This 192460-nucleotide long non-coding RNA is filed under the name Gossypium barbadense (sea-island cotton). Its description in RNAcentral is "long non-coding RNA (GBAR_LNC013895)". The stretch from base 175588 to 175674 matches the Rfam family "MIR7486 microRNA precursor family". Lineage: Eukaryota; Viridiplantae; Streptophyta; Magnoliopsida; Malvales; Malvaceae. The record is from RNAcentral.
UCCGGUGAUGAAAACAAGAUGGUAAUGGAACCUUCCUUUUAUACCUCAGUCCCAAAGUUUCAAUUGACCAGCAUCAGUUUGUCAAAGUGCAUUACAUCUCAACAACUCAAUCUUGAACUUCCUACCUUCCUUUACUACCAAUAUGACUUGAGAUAUGUGGAUCUUUCUCAUAACAAUUUCAGCGGAACAGUCCCAACUUGGUUGUUAGAAAACAACACAAAGUUAGAAGUUCUCAUCUUGAUGGGUAAUUCCUUUACUGGUCCUCUCUCAUUUUCGUCAGCUCUUAUUUCUAAUGUAUCUUCAAUUGACAUAUCUGAAAACAAAUUACAAGGUCAAAUUCCGACUAGUAUAUGUUCAACUUUUCCACAUUUGUGGCGGUUAUUCUUAUCCAAGAAUGCUUUUGAAGGUAAUAUCCCACUUUGUUUAAGUGUCAUGAAGGACUUAUCAUUUUUAGAUCUAUCAAACAAUCAAUUGUAUGGAAAAGUACCAGAAGAGUUGAUCGCGAAAGGCUCACUGACCAUUUUGAGACUAUCAAAUAACAAGCUCAGUGGAAAUGUAGUUCCUGUGGUUCUCAACUCAAAUGGGGUGCAGAAUUUAUAUUUGGAUGGAAACAAUUUUUCAGGAGAGAUGACAAAUGUUGAUUUGUCUACUUUUGAGUUUCCAAAUUCAAUAAGGGAAAUUGAUCUUAGUAACAACAAGUUGCAUGGAAAGCUCCCAAGAUGGAUAGGGAAUGCAUCGUUUUUGGAGAGAUUAGCUUUGUCCAACAGCGGUUUCGAGGGUUCUAUUCCAAUGGAAUUUUGCAAGUUGAAUAGGUUGGAAUUUUUGGAUCUUUCCCAAAAUCAUUUAUCUGGAUCUAUACCGUCAUGUUUUAAUCCACCAAACAUAGAGCAUGUCCACCUCCACGAGAAUAGACUGAGAGGUCCACUAUCACUUGCUUUUUAUAAUAGCUCCUCUCUAGUGACUUUAGAUCUUAGAGGAAACAAUUUGACAGGUAAUAUUCCAAAAUGGAUUGACACAUUUUCUUCUUUGAGUGUUCUUCUCUUGAAAGAUAAUCAUUUUCACGGUAAAGUUCCAAUUCAGUUAUGCAAGUUGCAUUCUUUAAGCAUCAUAGAUCUUUCUCAAAAUAUGUUUUCUGGUCCUAUACCUUCUUGUUUGGGAAAUUUAUCUCUUCCAAUGCAAACGAAGAAGAUUCUAGACAUUGGGAUCUAUAGGCAAUCUACAGAAGAGGAUGAAUCAACACGCAUUAUGAUAGCAAAUCUGGGACUGGAUUCUUACUACCCUUACAGCUACUUUGAAGAAGUAAUAGAGUUCACAACAAAGAGUGGGUUCUAUUCGUACAAGGGCGACAUCCUUUCAUAUAUGACUGGGAUUGAUUUAUCUUGCAACAACUUAACUGGUCAUAUCCCACCAGAAUUAGGGAACUUGAGUGAAAUCCAUUCUUUAAACCUUUCACACAAUAAGUUGACCGGAGUUAUACCCUCGUCAUUCUCAAAACUUCAUCAAAUUGAGAGUUUGGACCUUUCUUACAACAACUUGAGUGGUGAAAUCCCCAAUCAAUUGGUAGAGUUGAACUCUUUGGAGGUUUUCAGCGUGGCAUUUAACAACUUUUCAGGUAGUAUUCCCGAACCAAAAGCUCAAUUUGGGACCUUUAUUGAAAAUAGUUAUGAGGGAAAUCCGUUUCUUUGUGGAGUUAUAUUGCAUAAAAGUUGUUCCAAAACCGAUUCACCAUCAACGAUAUCAACUGUAUCAGAAGAUAAAUGAGAAGAUGGUUUGAUAGAUACUUAUGAUUUUUGUGUGAGCUUUUUGGUUUCUUAUGUAGUUGUGUUGUUGACAAUUUUUGUUGUCCUCUACAUAAAUCCAUAUUGGCGAAGAGCUUGGUUUUCUCUAGUUGGGAAAUGCAUUACCACCUGUCACUACUCAAAUGUGGGCAAUUCUUACUUAUCACAUUUUCAAGCGAUGUGUUUAGCUACUCAAAUUGCGAUUUGAUUUCCACACCUAAAUGUUUAAUUAUGCUAAGUUGAGCGAUAAUGAAUAUUUUGUUGAUUUUUGCAUUUUGAAUAAAAGCUCUUUUACCUUAUGGUUUUAUCAUUUUCAACCAACUAUUUCUUUUUUCUUCUAUGAAAUUUAAUGUAAAAUCAUAAUCCAUUAUUAUGUAUAUGUAAUAUCUCUUUAAAUUAAAUUAAAUUAAAUUAACUGCCAAGCGUUCACUAGUGCAUACUAAAAAGGAAAUCUAAUGUAAAAUUAAAUAACAUACUAGAAAAUUGAAUCUAAAACUGGAAUAUUUUAAAACCUCACAAAUAAUGCAAUUCUUUAUUCCUCUUUUCCUCUCAAGUUAUUUUGUAUCAUGUUAUAUUUUACAUAAUUAUUCGUAUCAUUGAAUUUUAAAAAAAAUUUAAUAUUUUGAUAUCAUGUUCAUAUUAUGCUUUAAUUCACAAUAUAUUUUGUAUAAUAUGUUAUAACAAUUCAAUUUAAAAAACAAGCAAUUAUCUUAUUUUUGCAUACCGUAAUAUACAUUUACAUGUUAAUAAUUCUUUGUACAUAAAUUUUGACAUGUUCGUAUAUUCGAGUCAUUAUAAUUUUAUUAUUUGUAAUAUGACAUGUUUUACUUACCCUUAAUAUUGUGUCAUGAUAAUUAUAACUCGAUUGGCAGUGUACCAAAUAUUUUUCUAAUAAAAAAUAGUAUUUUAUUCUAUUUACCAAAUCUUUAUCAACUUUAUAUUCUCACCAACAAAACAUACAUUCAAAGUUCAAAUAAGUUCCACACCCAUUUAUGCUCAUCAUCAGAAAGCUGAAAUAUUCCACUCUAAUUAACAUUAUGAUUCUGUAAACAACAAAAAAGUGUGAUCUUUUUUUAAAGCUCUUUUUUUUCUUUAAUGAAAUGGGAUUGGUAAAAAAUCCGCACAUGUGUCGUGUGUGAAGAAGGUCAGGUUGUCUAUUCAUUCUCUAAUAAGUAGCUAAUUAUAGUUGAUCCUACAAAAUCAAAAUUAAUUCAGGUAUCUAUAUAUUCUGAAGACUGGACAGACCUUAGAAGCUCCUUCAAAUUUGCAAGAACAUGUCGUGGUCCUAAACUCUUUACACCGAUGAAAUUCAAAAGUUGCUCUAUAUCCUGCAAUCACAGUAAAGAUUAUGCAAGCUUUUCAGAACGAAUAACAUAACAAGCAAAAGGCAAUCAAAAUACUGUGAUCUCGAUAAUGUUCUUUGCCGAAAAGGAACAUAAACAUAACCUGAAAACAUCAGUGAAGGCUCAUCAGAUUUGCUUAGCAACCUUACAUACACAUGUAAAAAGCUUUGCUUUUGGAUGUAAGGUGUGACUAUCAUCACAGUCUUUCCUAAUUAGCUGAUAACCCUAUAUCUAACAUUAAUCAUGGCUAAGCAAAUUAACAUACAUAAUGUAAAGGAAUUUGACUAUAAGAUCCAACAUAAAACUUAAUAAAAGAUAAUCAACAUAGAAAGUUAAAAGGCAAUGCAAACUUAUUACAAUGAUGCAAGUGGAUCAAAAGAAAGCACUCUAUAAGGAAUUUGCAUUUAAGGCAUUGUAAACAGAAAAAAAAAAUAAAACUUUUUGGAAAGUAUUUUCAAAGAGGAGACAAACAGGGUAGAAAAAAUGUUUGGUCCUUCCUUUUUCUAUUUCUACUGUGGUGAAAAAGCCUUUUUGGGUUAAAAGUGUUUUUACACUGCAGAAGUGUUUUUCCACUGCAGAAGUGACGAAGAACACAUAGCUUUUGUAGUCAAAAACCUACUGCUUUUGGCUUUUGCAUUUCGAAGUGAAAAUUAUAAAAAUACUCUUAGAUUAAUUUAUAUUUUAUAUAUUAUUAUAUUAAUUGUUUAAAUCUUAUUUAUUAUUAUAUUUAAUUUUUUUCAAAAUAUUUUAUAUAUCAUCAAUUUUAUAAAUAAUUUAAAUUAAUUACUUAAAAGGUAUUUAAAAGUUAUAUUUCAUGUAUCAUUAUAUUAAAUUAUUUAAAUAUCAUAUAACUUGACUAAUUUUUUUCUUUCUACCAUCAUGUCUAAAAAAGACAUUUUAACUUUCAACUGCAAUUUUUGGCAGCAAUGAACAACACUAAAAACUAACAAACACACUUUUCCGCACCACAUUUCAACAACACUUUUUUCUAAACGCACUUUUGAACUAGUCCUUAGUCUAUCAUGCAUCAACUCUUCAUUUUUCUUUAACUACCCAUGUCCGACUUCGAACAUGGAUAUGGAGAUAUGACCAAGUCACAGUGACAUAGUUUUUAGUUAUGGGGAAUGGGAUUCGAGUGCUGGACCUCCUUUUAGAUGCAUGGUGGGACUUCAUCACAUUUUUCAAAUUUGUUGAUAAUCCUUCACCUAAUCUGCCGGUGAAGUUUAUAGAUAGUCUUAAGUGUCUAUCACAAGAACCUAGAUAUUGUAAAUCCAAUAUCUUCCAAACAAUUCAACCAUGAUAUUAAUGAUGAUGGAAGCAAGAUUAUCCACUAUCAAUGACAUAAAAUGAGCUGUAAAUGCUGACGAACAAACAUGCACUGUUUUUCCAACCUGUGGAUUGAAGAGCAUUGACAAGCUAACUUUGCAGACCAUUUGAAUCCAAUACUAUACAUAAAAAUGCCAAAGGAGAAUAAUUCAUCUUGGAAAAAGAAUUACUAAUAUGCAAAAGCUUACCUUGUUUAACAAGAAAACAGCAUAUGCUGCUCUUGUCGUGUCUUGACCUUCUAAAAACAGCGGAAAUUCUGCCAGCUUUACAUUUGCUGAAAGUGUUGUAUCCAAUGACAAAUCAGAAGAUGCAGGGUCUAUUGAAGACGCAUGGUCAUUAAUAUAUGAGCGAGAACCACCCAAGCGCAGAGGAUAACGCAAGGGAACUUGUAAAUAGGAUGCAAUUAGUGAAACAGCCUGCAAAUGAUGAAAUAACAGGAAACAAGAAACAAUAAUAGGUAUGAUUAAAAUUAUAGCCUCAGCAUGAGAAACAAACAAUCAAGAUGCAACCCACUAUACCAUAUUACCAUCCUAGCAAUUAAAAAUUACUACAGCAUCUUCAAGCAACAAGGGAUUGUAGGUGGUAGGUCAAAAAACUUGAUAUCCACAGCUUGAUAUUAUCAGAAAAAACAAAUUCAGUAAUAAAUGAUAACUUCACAGAAGAAAUAGAACGCACAUGUGCAACAUAUCCCAAGGCAGUUGCAGAUCUCUGAACCUCCUUUUUGUCAGUGAAAAAACUCAUCUUUGUAAAAGGAAGCAAGGUGAGAUUCAGACCUAAAAUUGUCAACGAUCCUUGAUUGACGGGCUUUGAUGCAGAAGGAUUCCCUAUUGAAGACAGGAACAAAGGAACUUCAUAUCAGUACAUCACCAGACACCACCUCUUUGUGAAAGUCAAAAGAAAAUUCAAAAAAAUAUCAUCAUGAAAGUAAGAGAUAUGUAAAAAGCUCAUAAUAUUCAAGAGCAAAAAAAAAUUGUUUUGAUAUGAGGAGAAUUGAAUAGUAGAUUGCUAAAAGAGGAAUAACUGAAUACAACCAUUAUAACCAAAAGAAGAGUCAAGUGAUAGGUAAUGGUACUCCCUAAGCUGUUUAGGAAUCAUAAAAGACUUGUCCAGUCGACAAAAAUAACUCAUUUUAUUCUCCCCUAGUAAAACAUCAUAUUGGACCAACCAUAUUUGAUAUCAAAGGAUAUGCAUAUCCAGGCAUGCCAUUUAUAGAUAUUCCCAGUGUUACAAGAAGGAAUUGUUCAAGAGAAAGAAGCUGCUAUUGUUGGUAAAGUUUUCCUCAAACCAUUUUGAACAUCCAAAAUCUCAAGAACAAAAAAGAAAACGUAGGAGGAAAUAUAACAAGCAUCACAACGGGUUCUCGAUGAUAUAAGUGAGAGGAUAAAUGUUAAUUAAGAUUAUAAAAAUAAACCACAAACUAAACAGGAAAGACAUGGAUUUCAAAACGAGGAGACUGGCUGCUAAUUAAAACCAUAUGCGGCGUUGUCUAGGGCGCAAGGCACAUUCUAGGUGCUAACCUUUAUAUUGCCUCAAGCACAAGGCACAAAAGGAAGCGCUAGCCUGAGUGCAGUAAAGCGCAAUACGUAUAUGUGAGAGUUUUUGCAAGUCUGUGUGUCUAUAACAUAAAAGUUUUAAGAUAUAUGGUAAACUCUAAAGUGUGGUCUGGUUUAUCCACAAAACUUGCAAAAUUUUUAUAGGUGAAUACUUAAAUAUUGAGAAUUAUAGAGUUUGAUAUUAUCCCUUUCUUAUUAGUAAAGGUGUAUCAAAUGAAAACAGUAGAAAAUAAAAUAAAAUAUUGAGAAAUUCAACAAGGCAGGCUUUUUCUAAUGCCCAUUGCCUUACAAAAAAAGUGUGCCUAGGUGCACCAGGCAUACGCUUGAUCAAAUGGACCUCACCUGGAAGGGUCCAAGGCGUUUUGUUGUAUAAAACUAAGGCGUAGGCACGCCUAGGCGCAUGCCUUGACAACACUGACCAUAUGUUGGCUUUAUUGCAAAGCAUUAGCAAUCCAAAACUACUAGCACAUUACCUAAUCUACUACUGCUAGAAUAGGACUCAAGUUCUUGCUCCUGUGCAGGUCCAACCAAGAUCUUUACAGGAUACAAUAAUGAAACUUGUGAUAUCAUAUAUUGUUGCCUUGCUCGAAGCUUCCUUUGCACAUUUUUAAGUUUAACACAACCCCUUUCUUCAGUGAGUAAUCUAUUUGCUUCCUGUGAUAAAAACAACAUAUAAUCAAUCAUGCCACGCAUGCAAGACUACCAACCAACUAUCUAAUAAAAGAGACAAAGAAGUAGGAGAGCAAGAAGGGGAUAACCCUUGACUAUGCAAAGGAAUUCAUAGAAUGAGAAUCAUCUCAUCUAAGCCCCUCAACCACCUUCACAGGGGGUGGAGGUGCAAAGAGAGAGGUCUUAUUGAUCCGAGAGGAGAAUAUAUAACAUCUAAAGCUGAAUAAGAAGAAACCUUCAAAUAUAUCAUAAAUUCAGAAUUCAUGAUAAUAUAAAAAUGAAAUUCCAAAGCUAAUUUAAGCUAGAAUAAAAAUGCUUCACCUGUAAUCGCUUCCUUGCUACAGAAAGAGAGGUACCAGCAACCAACAAUGAUCUUACUUCAGUACUCAGCAUUUCCUCCUGUUUUUUAGCAUCCUCUGUUGCAACUUUGCAACGAGUUGACAUGUUUGCCAUAACUACUUUCCUUGCCUCUAGUCUCUCACGCAUUUCCUCAAGCUCGUUCAGUUUAUUCAAAGACUCAUUUUUUACCUGCACAGCAUGUUCCCACCCAUUAAUCAGUGGGCCAAUUAAUUAGGUCACAGAAGACAAAACUAAAUUAUCACUCACCAGGUCCCCUUGAAGUGUCAUAUGGCUUUAACAAUUCAACGUGCAAUAUCUAGUAAAAGUGAAAUAAACAUAGAAGAAUGCAAAUGCAAUUCUUAAACGCCUUUAAAUGGACAACAUGAAACAGUUUAAGAGCCCUAUAAAACAGAAAAGUGGAAAAAAAAUCUGAAAAGGAAAAAAAAUGAAUUGAAACAAUAAAUCCAUCUGGUACAAACAGCAACAAAUCUCGAAAUAAGCCUUGGCUUUAGCCCAUUAAAGCCCGGGCAUCCGGCCGAAUAAACAGUGACUGCCAUGUCAACUUUUUGAGACGGUAGAAAAGAGCUCAAAAAUCUCAAUUUCCAAAAUUAAGGACAUAAGAAGGAAAACAAUGUACUUAUUCUUACAGUAGAAGAGCAAAAUGAAACUAAAUGAAGGAUAAGGGAACUGAUGCGAAUUGACAUUGUUAUUUUUGGGACUAAAAAGAAUACGCAGAUUGAAUAUUUAAGAUUUUGUAAGGGAAAAGUUCCAUUCACCAACACAAUUAUCAUCGCCCUUUAUCCCAGUAAAGCUUAAUUGACAAUUUUUCUGUCUCGUGUUCUUGCUAAAGCAUUUGAGCAACCCAACAGAAAUCAUUAUAUGUCAAACUGAAAUGAUUGGCUUUAUCAAUUUCACAACCUAUACUGCCCAACCUAGUAAGUAAUUUAGGUGCAGACACCAGAAAUCUAUUUUCUUUGCACUCUACAACCAAAUAGCCUACCACUUAUCAAUCAAACACAGCUGAAAACUUCAGUGAGGAAACAUUAUGUAAACUGAAAAAACUAUAACUUCAACUUGAUUCAUAGCUCGGUAAGUUCAGGGAACUUGGACUUCUACCACCAUGAUCCAGUUCGAUGUGAAACAGUGAUCCAUAUCACGCAUAUCAGUUCCCGCAACAAGAGGUAAAACAGCAAAUUAGGUAAACAAUGAUCCAACUAUAUUUCAGAAUAGCAACAUUGAGCAUGAAAGCUAAAAUUAUAGCAUAUUAUGGGUCCUUGCUCCCUACAACUACAUAUAAAAUUACUAAACAAUAUUACUACAUUAAGGAUCCAGAAAAACUUGGUUUCAAUUGUUGAUCACUUGAUCCAACUAUUUUAGAAAGUUUAUUCUUCUUUUUCCUUUCCCUUAUUUUCUAAAUCAGGAAAAACAGUAGCAUAUAAACUGGAUUACUACUCCAAUUAAGUUUCUAAAAUUUCAGCAAUAUCCCUUUAACCUUUUCACUCAAGUCACUACCCCCCCCCCCCAAUUAACAAAUAUAUUCCCAGUUUCCCUUUCACUUCAAACCCCCCCCCUUUUUUUUUUCUCUACCCAAAUUCAGCUUACGUUCAAAAACCCAAAAUUGGUUUGCUAAAAAAACAUAAUUUUCAAACCCAAAGGUAACCUAAUUUUAAUCAGAAAAAAAAAAGAAGCAUUACCUGAAUUAGUGAAUGGAGUUUCUCUUGAAGACUUUAUUUUAAAAUUAUCUUAUACUAUUUGCUUUAAAUCGAUUUUUAUUAGUUAUUUGAAACUCGUUUUCAUGUACUAUUUAUUUUUUUAUCACUUAUUUAAAUUGUUUUACAUAUCUAUUUUUUAAACCCUAUUUUAUUAUAUUUUACUUAUUUUAACUUUUUUACAUAUUUCAUUAUAAAUAUUAUUAAUUAUCUAUAUUGAGUUUUUCAUUUAUGUAUUACUUAUUUAGAUAAAUAUAUACUAUUUUGUGUAUUACUUAUUUUGAUUUUCUUCUUAUACAAUAUUACUUUAAAAUUCAUUUAGAUAUUAUUAUUUCACAUAGUAUUUAUUUUUAUCUUCAUUUUUGAUCUAUUUCAAACUCAUAUAUAUUGUUUAUUUUGAAAUUUUAUGCACAUGAUUUAUUGUUUAUAUUGAUGAUUUUAAAUUUCCUUUCUUGUAUUUUUAUUUAUUUAUUUUAAAACUUGUUAUACUUUAUUUGUGUUAAUUUGCUUAGUUUUUCUUUCAAAAUUAACUUAUAAUUCAUUAGCUUUUAAUGUUAGUAUUUGCAUAAUAUGUGAUAUAAGAUUAUUGCUCUCAUGUAUUGCUUAUCUGUAUAUAUUGAUUAUUUGUCAUUCAUUAGUAUAUAUUUUGUUUUACGAAUUAUCACUUCUCGCGUUGUACAUUAUCAUUUCCAUCGCGUUUUAUUUGCUCAAAAAUUAUGUUUAAUAUGGCUUAAGUUUUGAAAUCAUUUUAUCCAAAAGCUUCCAAUAUAGCAUAACACUCGGUGUUUGGGAUUUUUGAAAAGAUCGUACUCUAACUUACGAGGUCUCGAUUUUUUGAUAAUUUCAAAUAUACGAACCUUUUUAAAAAAAAAAACAAGACACAUUUACUUAAAAAUUAUCUCAAGAAUCAAAAAAAGAUCGUGUCCCAACUUACCGGAUAUGAUUUAUUAUCUGAAACCGAUAUGAUCAAGAUUUUUAAAAAUAAAUAAAUUUUGGUGUUUAUUCUCGUUUCGGGAUUUAAGAUAUUGUGUCCUAACUCACGGGAUAUAAUUUUUUUCUCGAUUAACGAGAAAUACACCCUUCUUUAAAUUUUAACAAAAUGGUCAUUUUUUUAAAUUUCUUUUCGAAAUUUUAAUUUUUCGACAUUAAGACAUUAAUUAAUCGAUUAGGUACUAAUUUUGGGCAUGACGGGGUGCUAAUCCUUCCUCGCAUGUAACUGACUCUCGAACCCGUUUUUCUUAAAUUCCAUUGACCAAAAUCAUUGUUUUAAUAAAAUCAAAAUGUUUUAUCAAAACGAUUGAAUUGCAAGGUGAUCCAAUCACACAUAAAAAAAAUGUCGGUAGCGACUCCCUUUUUUUCAUUUUCAAAAUAAAAGUCAACACUAUUUUUGUUUUCAAAAAGUGGUUUCGACAAAAUUGUUUAAAUCUUACUUAUUAUUAUAUUUAAUUGUUUUUCAAAAUAUUUUAUAUAUCAUCAAUUUUACAAAUAAUUUAUAUUAAUUACUUAAAAGGUAUUUAAAAGUUAUAUUUCAUGUAUCAUUAUAUUAAAUUAUUUAAAUAUCAUAUAACUUGACUAAUUUUUUAAUUUCUACUAUCAUGUUUAAAAAGAACAUUUUAACUUUCAACUGCGAUUUUUAGUAGCAAUGAACAACACUAAAAACUAACAAACACACUUUUCAGCACCCCUUUUCAACAACACUUUUUUCUUAAAGUACUUUUGAACUAGUCCUUAGUCUAUCAUGCAUCGACUCUUCAUUUUUCUUUAACUACCCAUGUCCGACUUCAAACAUGGAUAUGGAGAUAUGACCAAGUCAGAGUGACAUAGUUUUUAGUUAUGGGGAAAAGGAUUCGAGUGUUGGACCUCCUUUUAGAUGCAUAGUGGGACUUUCAUCACAUUUUUCAAAUUUGUUGAUAAUCCUUCAUCUAAUCUGCCGGUGAAGUUUAUAGAUGGUCCUAAGUGUCUAUCACAAGAACCUAGAUAUUGUAAAUCCAAUAUCUUCCAAACAAUUCAACCAUGAUAUUAUUAAUAAUGAUGAAAGCAAGAUUAUCCACUAUCAAUGACAUAAAAUGAGCUGUAAAUGCUGACGAACAAACAUGCACUGUUUUUCCAACCUGUGGAUUGAAGAGCAUUGACAAGCUAACUUUGCAGACCAUUUGAAUCCAAUAAUAUACAUAAAAAUGCCAAAGGAGAAUAAUUCAUCUUGGAAAAAGAAUUACUAAUAUGCAAAAGCUUACCUUGUUUAACAAGAACACAGCAUAUACUGCUCUUGUCGUGUCUUGACCUUCUAAAAACAGCGGAAAUUCUGCCGGCUUUACAUUUGCUGAAACUGUUGUAUCCAAUGACAAAUCAGAAGAUGCAGGGUCUAUUGAAGCUGCAUGGUCAUUAAUAUAUGAGCGAGAACCACCCAAGCGCAGAAGAUAGCGCAAGGGAACUUGUAAAUAGGAUGCAAUUAGUGAAACAGCCUGCAAAUGAUGAAAUAGCAGGACAUUAGAAACAAUAAUAGGUAUGAUAAAAUUAUAGCCUAAGCAUGAGAAACAAACAAUCAAGAUGCAGCCCACUAUACCAUAUUACCAUCCUAGCAAUACCUGCAAAACUUUCAUCAAAACGGUAAUAACACUUUUGGACAAUGUGUCCUAUUUUACCACACAACUGGCAUUGGGGCCGAUUGUUUGAAAAACCACCCUCACGGCCUCAUCCUCGAUGGAAACCUCUAUUGCAUUGAAAACCACCUCUAUGUGCCUGUUUGUUCCCUUGAUAGCCACUGUUAUAAUCAUAACACUUGGUCCGAUCACCCUCAUCACAAUCUUGUUUACUAGCUAUGUUAGCUUGUUCGAGAACACUAUUCAAGAACUCAAGUUCUCGAGCUUCACAAUCAAGCAGCAUCUCAAUCAACAGACCAAGCGACACAGCAGUAGCUGAAGCUACUACCCGUACUGAUUCACACUCAACUGGCAACCUUGCAAGAAUGAUGCUAACCAUUUCUUGAUUUGAAAUCAAACAACUCGUUGCAACCAACAUAUCACACAUGGACUUGAUCUUAGACAAAUAUUCUUUAACAAACAGAUGACCCUUUUUCUGUGAAUACAACACAUGAUGCAUACUGGACAAUUUUACCGUCGACUUAGUCGCAAGCCUUUUUUUCAAUAGUUUCCCAAAUAUAAUAACUAGUACGAGCACUAGUAAGAUAGGCUAGAAUUUCAUCACUAUCAGUUGAAAGUAACCAAGAAGCCAAUAGCUUAUCUUGUUGCACAUGUAAAACAGAAUCAGAAUCUUCUACUAAUCUCCCAUAUUUAUCCACUACAAACUGUGCUAGUACACUAAUAGCACCCAAAACAAACUCAUGCAGACCGUAUCAUUCAAGGAUCAACAUAAUUUGGAGCUUCCAUAAAACAAAAUUAUACUCACCAAGCUUUAUUGUAUCGUGCUUAGGAAAUUGUUGAAGACAUCUACAACUGUUGAGGUGGGUUUUCUUUAAACAUACUCAUUCCAACAAAAAAAAAAUCUACGUUAGUAUGAUUAAUUAGAAAGUGAUUAAUUCAUUAUUUAGUUAGAAGUGAUGGCCUUAAGAAAAAAAAUGACAUUAUUUUAUUUGGCAUUGUUAAAAGUGUUAGUUACUGAAAUAAUUAAUGAGAUUAUAAAAGUGAAAGAAUCAAAUUAUGUCAAAAGUAAAGUAGAGGGUUUUAAUCCUAAAUUUGGGUAUAAUAAAGGGACUAACACCAAAUAAUUAUAAAAUUUUCAAAUAUUUUAAAAUUAAUUUUAAAUAUUAAUUAAAUACAAAUUAUAAAAAAAUAAAAUAAAAAUCCCCAGCGCAGUGAGGGACAUAUUCGAUAUCAAUAAUUAUAAAAUCUGUAGUUGUAAUAUUUAAUUGAUAUAAUAUAUAAAAUUUGAGGGUUAAAUUUGUUAUUAUACAAUUUUUUUAACUGCCGUGUCACUUUGCAAUUUUUUAUUUUAAGGAGUCAUCAAAAUAACUAAACUAUGUAAUGUGAGUGCUUAAAUUACAAAAUUUUUACUUUAAUGUGAGUGCUUAAAUUACAAAAUUUUUACUUUAAGUGUUUAAAUUUUUAAAAAAAAUUAUAAUUAAAUAACAAUCUAUAUGUAGUUUGCCCAAAAAUUUUAUAACCCAAACUACACAAUUUUAUGGCCAUCUCCCACUUUUGAUAUCUCUUUGGCCAUUAGUUAAGAUGGGAGGGGAAUGACUUAUUCAAGAUUAGUGUCAACAUUAGAUUUAAAACCUACGGAAGUCAUGUUUCAAUUUUUUUAUAUAAUAAUAUAACAUUUAAAAUUAUAUUAUAUCUAUAAAAGAACUCAUUGGAUUAGGGUUUUUUUUUUUAAUUAACUUUCCAUUUGUUAUUAGAAAACAAAACUAAAAAUGCAUCAAACAGGGCUCUGAUAAAAAAUUAAAAAAAAACCAAAAUGUUUAGGUUUGGUAUCGUUUUACUUUUACUUUAAAAUCAGUCUAAUCUGUAUCAUGCUCACACCAAACAUAUGAAGAAAAAAAAAAGUGAAAUAGUAAGGAUAUUAUUAAUUUCAUUCCAAGACAAAUUUUAGCAUACCCAAUUAGGUCCUUGGGUUAAUCUUAUGUUUUUUGUUUAGGCAUUCAGCAUUCUUGGCGUUUAGUUUAGUUAGAAUUUUAAAUUAUGAUAGAUCUGAAACUUUGGUAUUUUUGUGCAAAACUCAACCUCAAAGCUUUAUUUGUUGUCUAAAUUAUUUUAUUGAAGCCUAGGAAUUGUUGUUAUUGUUUCGGCUAAUUGACCUUAAAGCAUCAAAUGCCUUUUUUUGGAUGGUCAUAUUCCUUCCAAGGGCUGAAUUACUAAAAGCCCAUGAAGUAUCCUUCUUUUUCUUAAGUGAGCCUCUGUUUCAAUGCCGCCAAAAUUUUCUUUAUCCACAUGGAAGCUGACCUGCCAUGAUGAUGUGGUAAAAAAAUGAACAAUUUGUAUUUUUUGAAAAAUAUAACACUUAAGAACUUUCUUUCUUCUUGCCUCCCAAUUCUCACCACCAAUUCCUUAGCCCAAAUCAGUUUUGGCCUCCGACAUUGAUCAUAACAAAAGUAAACUUUCUAUUAGAAAUAAUUUCUUUUAUGUACAAAUUAAAGGGUAAGAUAUUGUUUGGGUACAAAAAAAGCAUAUGAGCUUACUUUAGAAAAGUGACAACGUUGGGCUCUUUUAGUAUUCUAUCCUCCCACCAACUUUGUCCAAUGUUUUUUGCCUUAUCACCAGACAGUAAAAGGGCCUUUGACCUUUUCAGGCUAAGCGCUGCCUGGUGCAUGUAGGGGGAAAAGGCCUUCUAAUUGAAGUUCUCUUUAAUAUCUCUUUAAUUGUUUCUUAAUUGUAACAAAGGGAUAAUAUCGAACUCUCUAUUUCUCAAUAUUUGAGUAUUCAACACCAGGCAUGGGAUCAUAUGGAAAUAUGCAUAUGGUUGACAAAAGAAAGAAAAUUUGGAAAUGUUUAUUUAAGUAGUAACUGCUGGUUUUCUUGGAUGCUUUCUUGUUAAUGACUACUGUUUGGGCAUGUUUAUUUAAGAAUUGCCCCCAAGUAGUUUCUUGAAUCAUCUAAAAUUGGAAAAAAUAGUCUUAUGGUAACUCAUUAAAGUAUUUGAAAGUAUGCACAAGCUAAUAACAUUUUAGAAAUUAAAAUUGAAGAUCGGUUUUUAGGGUAUCAUGUCCAUAUUAAGCAUCAUCUUUCCAGAUUACUGUUCUCUCUCUCUCUCCCUCUCUGUGUGAUAUAUUUCUCAAGUGAAAGGUAACCUUCUUCACUUGAUUUUGACUUAAUUUUGCAGUCACCACGAUUGUAUAAUGUGUACAAGCAAAUGGGAAUUGUAAAAUCUUUUCAGAAUAUUCUGGACAAUGUUUUCAUUCCACUAUUUGAAGUUACAGUUGAUCCGAAUUCUCAUCCUCAACUACACGUGUUCCUAAAAAUGGUGAGUUCUAUGUUCAUCGGAGAACAUACUGUGCUAUAAUAAGAGAUUUCGGAAAAUAUAGUUAAAAAAUGCUUCUUUAUUGGAAUGACCUGCAUUAUAGCAAGCUGAAUAAAUGAUGCCUUAACUUUAUUCAUUGUGUUCUCAUAAUUCUUUAAAACCAUUCGAAAAUUCUAUUGAGCCACAUUAUAUGGUUAAUUUUUGGGUCUGUACUGCAUACUGAACAUGUGUACAUCCUUGCGAUUUUAGAUGGAUGGAGUUGGACAGCAAAGCAAUUGAAAAAAACCCAAUUUAUGGUUUCUAAAUGUUAGAUCAUUUAUGGUUUCUAGUUUCAAUUUAAAAAAAAAAAAUCCAAAUCAGCCAACUAAUGAAAUUUUCAACGAUGUUAGUUAUUUUAACUAAUCCAUAACAUGUUUGCUUCUUCUUCUUUUUUUUAGCCUAGCAGCAAUGUUAGCCUCUGGACUAGUUACCGCCCUCCUUUUUCCCCUCCCUAUUAACCCUUUUUAUUUUUCUUCUCAUUCACUCCAUGAGUCUUCGUUCUUUUCAGUUUACAGAUUUAUUUUGUGAGUAUUUUUGUUGUCUUUACAAGUUGUAAUGGACAGUUGACAAUGGCUAUCAUCAUUGAAACACCACCGACCACCAACACUUUCUUUUAGAAAGUGGGUACCUCUUCGUUGACUACUUAAUUUGUUUAUAUUUUGAGAGUUUCAAAAUAAUAAAUGAUUUCAUGACUCGGUUUAGACUCAUGUUUUUUUUCCAUUGUUCAAUAAGUUUUUACUUUUAAAAGUUUUUUUCUACUCUUAUAGUAAGCUUUUUAGUCUUGCUUUUGCGAGUAAUUUUAGGGUUGGUUUUGUCGCCAUCCCCUCUAGUUUGGUGGAUGCUCAGUUCUUUUGCUGAUUUAUGCCCGCCGCUUUGGACCAUCCGGGGUUGAUUUUCUUACUAUAUUAAGUGCUUGUAAUCACUUCUGAUAUGUUGUGCUUGAGUUGUGAUAGAGCUGAUUUCAACAUGCCAUAAUGUUCUAUUAAUGUUGAAGCUAAAGCUUUUGUUAUAUUGAUGGAGCUUGUCCUUUAGCGAGUACAACAAGUGUUUGUUAUUUCCUCCCCCCCCCCGAAUUGUAUGGUAUUAUUCAUUGAAUAAAUUAAUGAAGUUGUCUUAAAAAAAACUAAUCCAUAACAUUAACAUUAAUAAGAGAACAAAAUAUAUCAAAUUAAAAAAGAAAAACUGAAUCUUUAAUUCAAUUGAGAAAUUAUAGGGAUUAAAACUAUAAAUUGAUCUAUAAUAAUUUCUCAGGCAUUAAUUGUAAGAUUAAUUCCAUAACCUAAAUUAUUGUAGGGGCUAUAUAAGCUCAAGGUUGACGCAAAAGUCAAUAGUCAGCGUCUGAAAGUUAAUGCAAUUAAUUAUGUCAUUGUUGAUAUAUUUAACGCAAAUAUAUUAUCAUAUGUGUAAUGUCAUACCAUCUUAUUAUUUCCAUAUGUUACUAAAAAUCUAGUUAACGGACUAAGGAUUGUCAUUUGUAUCAAGACUGAAAUUUUAAAUUUUGAAAAAUAUAGGUACUUAGAAUAAUCCAAUUAGAGAGUAUGGACUAAAUCAACAAUUAUACGCAUAAUAUAGGACUAGUAAUUGGUUUUAAUUAAAUUGAUUUAACUCUAUUGUUUGGAUCACAACUAAAAUUUUAAAAUUCAAAAUGUAUAGGGAUUAAAAUUGAUCAAAUUGAAGUAAAUAGACUAAAUUUACAACUUUCACAAAGAACAGUGACCAACAGCAGAAUUUAACCAAAUAAGCUCACCAAAGUCAAUAGUCAAUCUUUGAAAAGUAAUGCAAUUAAUUAUGUCAUUGUAGGAACGCUUUCCUGACAUAAAAUUCCACCAACUAAGCCUUUUGCGUAAAUAUUAGCUAUGAAAAUUCAACCAUUGAUAUUAAAUUCAAGACCCCACAAAUGACAGACAUAUAUGUUGGAAAAAUCUUUGUGUGAACAUUUCUUUCGGUCAUACUCAUGUCGUAUAAGUUAGAGGAGCACAAGUCUAGAUUCAUCCAAUUUUUGAGGAAUUAAUUAAUUAUAUAUUAGUUUAAAAUUAUAGUGAAUUAGUGAGACGCCAUAGGUCUUGCUUGCAUAUAAAUAAGAAGCUUAGGCUUCUUCAGAUUAUUUACAUAUAAAAGUUUAAAAAGUAACAUAUAGCUAAGAGAGAAGAGGAAAACAGAAAGAUGAUGAUGAUAAUGAUGGAGUGGAAAUGGUUAUGGUUUAUAAGGAUGGCAGUAAUGUUGUUGGUGUUAGAAGGGUGCAGGUGGUGUACUGCUGAUGCUUGUUUGGAGCAUGAGUCGCCUUCUUGCAUCUCAAACCUUUCUUCAAUUAUGAUAAUCAAUUGAAAAGUUGGAUUGAGGUGAAGGGUUCAGAUUGUUGUAAAUGGAAAAGAGUUGAGUGCAACACCAUCACUAGGAGAGUCAUACAACUCUCCCUUAAUCAUACAUCAUCCAAUAUAUAAAUGAAUUAAUGAAUUUACCUUUCAAAAGAGAAAAAAAGAAUUCAUAAAUUUUGAAAUACAAAAUGAACGUGUUUUGAUAUUUUUAGGGCAAUGGUUUAGUGGUUCAAAAUUUUGAUUUAAUAUGGUGAAUUUAAUUAUAAUUUUUUAUAUAUUAGAUAGUAGAAUAUAUUUUACCAUUUAUAAUUAAGUACAAUUAAGUUUAGGUUAAAAUAUUUUAUUAAAUUUUUGUACUUUUCACAAAUUUUAAAUUUAAUCUGUUUACUUUUAUUCUAGAAUUUAAUCUCUCUGCAUGUAAAGGAGGUUAUUAUGGCAAGGGGAAUUACCAUGGCAGAGGUAGCCGAGGCUGACGAAGAGAUGCUGGAUAUGCUGAAGAAAGAUAGAUGGCUGAGAAACAGAAAAACUUUAGGAACAAUAUUCAGUGUUAGAAGUAUGGGGAUGUGAAGGCAGAUUGUUGGAAAAGGGGAAACAAGCAAAUUUUGCGGAAGAUGAUGAAGAGAUUUAAAUUAUUUAUGAGCUGUCUAGAUGACACUAUAGCUUCAACUAACAUUUGGUUUCAAGGGCGUAUAUCUCAUGAUGAAGAGAUCGUCUCUCUUCUUUUUUCUCAUAACAUAUUACACGCCAUGAUAAUAAAUAUUGAUAUGCCUAUAAAUUUGAGUUUCUAUUAUUUGUAGUCAUGAUUUGGUUCACUCCAUAAGUUACAUAAAUUUAUUAUAAUAAUUCAAUUAAUUUUAGAUUAAUUUUACAUUUUUGCCCGAACUUUAGUUUUUAAUAAUUCAAUCAUCCCACCAUUAUAUUCAAUUAAAAGUGUAAUACGAUUUUGCGUCAUCCAACCAUUAUUCUUAGUGUAAUUUUUGGUAGUGAGCAUAGAAGGACAGCGAGAACAAAGAAAGAAUGUAUCCAAUAACCCACUCCCCUUAUAGUCAAUGCUUAAAAUGAAUAAGAAAAUAGAAAACAAACGUGGCAAUGCCAGCUAAUUUGUUAUUACUAUUCACCGUAUAACUAAGGACAUUACGCACCGUUUUAAUUAAAACAAACUCACCGUUUAAGACCGUUACUUCUAUGCAUCGUUUUAAUCAUAUGCGUCAGUUCGAACAAAUAGGUGAACAUGAAAGCUUUUCGCAAAGUUUAGAUGUGUGCUUAAAACUCAAACUUUGUGUUCUGUAAAAAUAUUGAUUUUGUUGUAAUUGUAGGUUGAACUUUGUGAGUCCAAUUACUUUCUUUGGCAUCGGAUAUUUCGUGGAACUUUCGUAUGAGAUAUUUACUUCAUAAAUAGAAGAUUACAAAAUUUGGAUAUUAAUAUAUUUUUCAUGAUUUAAUUUUCUUUUCCUUUUUUGGGCUAAAAUAAUUAAUAACGAAAACACGUCUUUUGCUAGCACCUAUAAAUGCCUUAAAAAUGUAAAUUAAUAUUCCACAAUAAUUAUUAAGAUGAAAAGAAUUUUAUAAUCUAAACUUACGAUUUCAUGUGAAUUUAAUGUUUAGUUAUAGUUUUAAUUACAAAGUUAAAUUGGUAUCUUUGUUAUUGCAAUAAUUAAAAAAAGAUGAGUCCAAAUGACGUUGAUUUUCUGUUUUUUAAAAGUGAAUGCAAGAUGGGACGGCUGGAAUUUUUUUUAUUAAACAGUAAGUAUGAAACAGUUAUGGUAAUUGCUUGCUCCAUCUCACUCCACUCCACUAUAUAAAAUUAUCAUUUCAUUCUUUUAUAUAUAGAAAAAAAUUAAAUAUUUUAUGAAAAUAAUCAUGUUUAAAUUUCCAAGAAUAAAAGCAAACUGAAGACUUAAAAUUUCCAUUAAUAAAACCAAAAUCAAAGAAGUAAAUUUCCCAUGAAUAAAACAAAAAAUGAAGAUCUAAAUUUUCCAUUAAUAAAGCCAAGUCAAGACUAAGUUUGUAUAAGUGUAAGAAGGGUAUAAAUGAAACUCACAAGAAAGCCACAUGAAGAAUUUUAUAACCCCAAACUACACGAUUUUAUGUCCACCUCUCACUUUUCAUAUUUUUUUGGCCAUUCGUUUUUCAAGAUUAACAUCAGCAUUCUUGUGGUCCGUUCAUCCUUUUCUAAUGAAUUUCCACCAAGAGUUUUAUUUUUCAAAAUGUUAAAUUAACUCAUGAUAUUAAUUAAAUCAAGAAAUUUUAUAAUAAUAGAGAUGAAAAAACUAAAUUUUCAAAAUCAAAACCUAAAAUGUGCAAGAAUAAAAGCAAACUGAAGACUUAAAAUCUCCAUUAAAAAAAUCAAAAUCAAAGAAGUAAAAUUUCCAUGAAUAAAACGAAAAAUGAAGACCUAAAAUUUCCAUUAAUAAAUCCAAGUCAAGACUAAGUUUGUAUAAGCGUAAGAAGGGUAUAAAUGAAACUCACAAGAAAGCCACAUUAAGAAUUUUAUAACCCCAACUACACGAUUUUAUGUCCACCUCUCACUUUUCAGUUUUUUUGGUCAUUAGUUAUUCUAAGAUUUAACAUCAACAUUUGAUUUCAAAUCAACGUUAAACCAUGUUUAAACUCUUUUUCUUAUAUAAUAAUUAUAUUAUAUUUAAAAUUGAAAAAACUAACCAGCCAAAUAUAUAUUAAUUAAUUAAUAGAAUUUUUUUUGCUCAUCGAUUAAAAUAAAUCAAGAAAGACGUUGGAACCACCAACCUCUCUUUAAGAACAACAGGAAUACAAGAACCUAUGCACAACAAGUACUAAAAUGUAUUAAGUAAAUUCAUCACCAGGCCUUAAAAAAAGAAGAUCUCGAUAUACCUGCUUUUGCCAAAGCAUCUGCCAUACCAUUACUUUGCCAGUGAAUAAUUCUGAACUGAAACUUAGCCAAUUGAGUGAUAUUAAUUAUAGAAAUGGUUCUUCUUGCAACCAUAGAUGAAACACCACUGAGACUAACAAACUUGGAGAAACUUGAUUAAAUCAAACUUAUGCAAAUUUCUUGAAUAUUUAAGUUAAGAGUUAACGUCAAAGUCAAGAGUUGAUAAGGAUUUUGUGGUCCAUUCAUAUCUUUAUUACAAUAUAUAUAUAUUCAAGAAAUUUGCAGCAAGUUGGAGUUUUGCAAUAAGGAAUUUCCACCAAGAGUUUUGGAAUAAGGAAUUUCCUCCAAGAAUUUUGCAGGAAUCAUAUCUCUAACAAAAGAAAGACCUUCAUUUGACUAAAUUUUUUAGUAUUUAUUUUAACUUCCAUUUUAUUAAAAAAAAACAGAGGUAAAAAAUAUGCCGAACAGGGUCUUUAGGUUACUUUUCUUAGAACUAUAUUAUGUUAUAGUACCGUAUAAGUUAGAGGAGCACAAGUUUAGAUUCAUCCAAUUUUUGAGGAAUUAAUUAAAUAUAUAUUAUUUUAAUAUUAUAGUAUACAGAGGCAAUGUUAGAAAAAAAUUUUGUGGAGUCGAAAUUAAAUUAUAGUUUUAAAAGCAUAUAUCUUUAUAAUUUUUAAAGAAUUAAAUCAAAUUUUUAUCAAUUUUAGGGGGUCAAUGUGCAAUUUUAUCUUUACUAAUUUAAAAUUUUAAAACAUUUAAAGGACCUAAAUAGGAAUUUUUCUAUUUUAGAGGCGUCUGAGACGCCUGUCUAGCUAUGCCCCUGAUAGUGAAUUAGUGGGAUGCCAUAGGUCCUGCUUGUAUAUAAAUAAGAAGGUUAGGCUUCUUCAGAUUAUAUACAUAUAGAAGUUAAAAAUUAACAGACAACUGAGAGAGAAGAGAAAACAGAAAGAUGAUGAUGAUGAUGAUGAUGAUGGAGUGGAAAUGGUUAUGGUUUAUUAGGAUGGCAGUAAUGUUGUUGGUGUUCGAAGGAUGCAGGUGGUGUACUAUUGAUGCUUGUUUGGAGCACGAGAGGAUUGCUCUCUUGCAUCUCAAACCUUUCUUCAAUUCUCGUGAUGAAUUGAAAAGUUGGGUUGAGGUGAAGGGUUCAGAUUGCUGUAAAUGGGAAAGAGUUGAGUGCAACACCACCACUAGGAGACUCAUACAACUUUCCCUUAAUUAUACACAAUGGGAAUUCAACGUGGAAUAUUGGUAUCUCAAUGCCUCUAUGUUUCUUCCCUUCGAGGAAUUGAGGAGUCUUUAUUUGUCAGAUAAUGCCAUAGCUGGUUGCAUUGAAAAUGAAGGUCGUGCCUUUAAUUUUCCCUCAGUUACAUCUUUUAUUAUUACACUAUUCUCACCCUUGUUAAUUUGCAAUUACUUAUAAUUUAUUUUAUUUUAUUGAAGAAAGGUCACUAAAUGUUUGUGUAUAUAUUUAAAAGAACACUCUUACAGGUUUUGGAAAGCUAUCAUCCACAUUGAGUAAUUUGGAGAUUCUUGACUUAAGUUACAAUUACUUGAAUGAUAGCAUUUUGUUAUCUUUGAGUGAGCUUUCAUCUCUCCGAUAUUUGGAUCUAUCAUACAACCGAUUUGAAAGAUCAAGUCAUCCAAGAGGUAAAUUAAGUUUAGUCUGGUGUUAGUUUUUAUUUGUAUUGGGGAGUUUGACAGUGGUUUUCCAUUGUUUUAUUCCCUCUAACUUAGUUUUUGCUUUUAUGGUUGAGAGGAAAAAGAAACAAACAAGUACUUACUCAAAUUAACUAAACAAUGGAUUAUUUUUUUUAUGUUUUGCAGUAACUAAUUCUAUGGUAUAUAAAUCAGGUUUUCAGUGGCUUUCAAGGCUCACUAAAUUGGAAACUCUUCAUCUAAGUGGGAAUUCUUUGAAGAAUAGCAUUUUUUUACAGAUGAGAAAUCUUUCAUCUUUGAAGACUUUAAGUUUGGGUGACAAUCAGUUGGGAGGAAAACUGCUUCAUAUUCAAGGUAGACUGAUUUUACACUUUUCUUGUUAACUUUAAAAUAAAUUCAGUAUGUGAUUUGAUUUUAUCAUAUCAUGAAUAUAACUGAUCAAUAUUUGAGAUUGAAUUUCAGAAUUGAAUCAUUUGGCAAACUUGAAGUACUUGGAUUUAAGUAGGAACAGAAUUGAAAGCAUCUCAAACAAAGGUAUAAGUAAUAAUUUGUGCAUGACUUUCCUGACAGACUUCAAAUGUAUUUUCUUUGUUUUUUUCCUUUUCAUAUGGUUGAGAGGAAAAAAGAUCCUUAUAAUCUUAAAGAGUUGAUAUUGAGAGUUGGUCAUGAGAGAAUGGGUCCUUAAAAUCCUUAAGACCAGGGAGUUUGUGUCCACAGUUGAGUAUUCCAUUUGAAAACUGAAAAUUAAAUAUUCUAUUGCUUUAUUUCUUUUAAAAGAAAGAUUGAGUUUGGAUCUCCGACUGCUUUAUUUUUUUCAAAGAAAGAAAUAUGUUUAUACUUUUGCGCAGAAGAUAUGAAGAAGUCUUAUUUUGUUCUCGCUUUUGUGCAAGUGAAACUUAGUUAUCUCAAAUAUAUAUAUAUAUAUAUAUAUUGUAGUUAUCAGUUCACUACACAAUAGCAUGUAAACCAGUUCCCCCUUUUCAAAUUUAUGAGUGGGAGUUGUCCAUGAUUUUCUUUGUGAUUUUCUUUUCACGUUUUAGGAUUUUCAUCUUCACUUCAAGUUUUAGAUUUACUUUUUUUCAUUUUUAUUUCAUUAACUUAAAAAAGGAAUGCUGGAUCAUAUUCAAGGUAGAUUGAUUUUACAUGUUUCUUUUUAACUUAAAAAAUCAAUAUAUGUUCAAGUUUAAGUGACAACAACAUUGAAAGCAUCUCAAACCAAGGUAUAAGUAUUUGUGCGUAGUAACUUUCUUGACUGACUAUUAUUCCAAAAGGCAAUGACAGACUUCAAAUGUAUUUUCUUUAGUGAAUUUUUAUUGCAAAAAUGGAGUAUUAUUAUUUAUUUAAGUUUUGUAGUAACUAAUUAUAUAAUAUAUAAAUGAGGUUUUCAAUGGCUCAUUAAAUUGGAAAUUAUUGAUAUAAGUUGGAAUUAUUUGAAGAAUAGCAUUCUUUAAAAUAAAUUCAUGUUGAAGGAAAAGUUGUUGCAAUAAGUCAUUUGAUUUUAUCAUAUCAUGAAUAUAUAUAACUAAUCAAUAUUUGGGAUUGAAUUUCAAAAUUGAGUAAUUUAAGUAGGAAGGUAUCUCAAACAAAGUAUUUAUAUAUUGAAUCAAUUCAUCGGAAAGCUUGUAAAUUGGCUCUUCCUUCUCAAACAAACAUUUUUCCUAACUAUUUAUAUAUUGAAUGAUGUUAACUAUACUAAUUACUUUCUUCCAAUGAUAGAUGGAACACAAUUGAGGCUAACAAACUUAGAGGAACUUGAUUUGAGUGGUAAUCUCUUUCGGAACAACACAAUUUCCUUUCCUCAAGGGCUUUCAAGCCUAAAGUCUUUGACUUUGUACAACAACCAUUUGCAAGGCUCAUUAGAUACUAAAGGUACUAAAGCUAUAACUUUGUUUUUCUUGAUAAUUCUUUCUAGAACCUUUUAAAAUUAAUUGUUUCAAUUUUGAACAUUCACAUUUCACGUUUGAGGAUUUUCAUCUUCACUUCAAGUUUUAGAUUUACUUUUUUUUUCAUUUUUAUUUCAUUAAAAUAUUAAGUAGAAAUUAAAAUUAUUAACAUAAUGAUUUUUUGAAUUGGACGUGGAUAUGUAUAGGAUUGAGCAAUUUAACAAAUUUGAAGAAACUCGAUUUAAGUGUGAAUCAGAUUGAAAGCUUUCAAUCCUUUAAAGGUAUGCAUUUAUAUUUAACCAAUUACCUAAAUUCUUACAUAUAAUUAAAUUUUAUGCCAAUUCAUUUCAGUGAUGAAAUUAUAUAAAUCUUUUGUAGAUGGUGGUAGAAAAUUGGAGUUGACCCACUUGGAAGAGCUUUAUUUAGAUUACAAUCAGUUCAAUACUAGUGUAUUUGCAUCCCUUAACAAGCUUUCAAAUUUGAAAUCUUUGAGCAUAUGGGACAAUGGAUUGAAAGGAUCAAUAGAUAUGAAAGGUAAAUAUAUUAGUUUUUUUAACUAGAAUAUAAUCAUGUUUGAAGAGAAUAUAAUGAAGUUGAUUUGUUGUUUUUGUUUUCCUAGAUUUGGAAGCAUUUAUCAACUUAAGGGAACUAGAUAUGAACUAUAAUGAAUUGAAAGAUUUGGUGAUCCACCAAGGUAUCAUUUAAUUAAACUUCCUUUUUUUUUUAAUUUAGAAAUUUAGUUUUGAUCUCAUAUAUUAUAAUAACGGUUAUUGUCAUAAAUAUUAAUAAAGUUAUAUCAUAUCAUACUUGAAAGUAAAAGUUUGGUGAAACAUUUUCUAAAUCAUCCAUUAUAAUGUGUUUGGACUUUGGUUUGAAACUAAAAUUCUUUAAAAUUUUCAUCAUUUUAAAAUAUUAAUGUUUAUAAUUAUUUUGUUUGUAUAAAUAUAUUUUUUAAAAUAAUUUAUUGAAUUUUUAUGAGAUAAAAAAUAAUUAUAACAAUAAAAAAUGAUAUUAUAAAUAAAUAAAAACAUAUAUUUAUGAGAAAAUAUGUAAUAUAACUAUAUUUUAAUUUCAUAUAUUUUUAAUAGUAUAAAACAUAAAAAUACAUAUUAGCGUUAAAUAAAUGGCAUUUUUUGGCAAAAAUAAAUAAAUGUCAAUUUUGAAUAAUUUAAAAAAAAUCUUUAAUUUUGUGAAAUUUAAACAUACAUUGAGAGGUGCUUAAACUUCCAUUGCAAUCUUUUUAUAAAUUUCAAAGUGCAUAUGUUUUUAACUUUUUGGUUUAAAAAAAUAUGAUAGGUCUACGUACUCUUUACUAAUUUGUAAUUUAAUUCUUAUACUUUUAUUUUCAAGAAUUUAAUCCCUGUUUUUUUAUAAAAAAAUCAAAAUCCUAGUUCAAUUGUUAAAAUUGUUAAAAUUUUAAAAUAGUUUGUUGGUGUGACAUUUUGAAAUAAAAAAAAACUUAGUAGUAAUGUAACUAAAAAAUGACGUAAUGAACAUGGAUUUAAUAAAAUAAUUUUAACAAUAUUAAUAAAAUAAUUUUGAAUUUUGAAUUUUAACUUAACUCUAUUUUUGGGCCAAGAUUUAAUGCUUUAAAAUUUUCAUUUAAUCCGCUGAGUUUACUUAUAAUUCUUUUGAGUUUUAUUUAUUGGUGAGUAAAAUACCUAUUUGAUUUUUUUAUAUACUAUUGGCAUCUUUAAAGGUAAUAUAAUAAUUUUAGUGUAGACGUGUUUUAUUUUAUAAAUAUUAUUUAUAGUGUAGACAUGUGAAUUUUGAAUAAUUUAAAAAUAUCUUCAAUUUUAUGAAAUUUAAACAUACAUUUAGUGUAGACAUGUUUUAUUUUAUAAAUAUUAUUUAUAGUGUUGUUGAUUGGAGUUUGAAAAUUAUACAACUUAGCUAUAUCAGUUAAUUACUUAUAUUAAAAAAUAAUAUAAGAAAAUACUAAAAAGAAAAAAAAUAGUAUAAUUAAUAAAAUGGAUGAAGAGUUAUAUUAAAGUUUCAACAUCUUCUCUCUAUCAAAAUUUAUCUCGGAUAAAUCAUGAAUAAUCUAACUCAUAAAAAAAUAUAUAUAUAUUUAUAUACUUCAUUUCAUUCACAGAAAAUAAAGCAUUCCACUUAAUAGAGGCUUUCUAUAAUGCCGUUAUCUAAUACCUCUUGACAUUGCUUAGAUUCAAAUGUGUCGAGCAGUUUGGAGGAAAUAUAUCUUGACUAUUCUACUCUCAACACCAACAUUUUGCAAAGCAUUGGAGUAUUCGCUUCUCUUAAAAUAUUGUCUUUAUCUAAUUGUGGACUUAUUGGUCCCUUACCUAAUCAAGGUAAACAAUUUUAUGGCUCAAUUUGAUUUCUUUAUGAACUUUCUGUAAUAUAUUAUCUCCUAUUCUGUUUUAUAAAGCAAAAUUUAAUUGAAACUUCUUCCAUGAAUUUAUUUAUAAAAUUUUCAGGAUGGUGUGAUCUAAGGAACCUUGAAGUGUUGGAUGUGAGUAGAAAUGCACUUGAGGGGAUGCUUCCUCAUUGUUUUAGUAACUUGACAUCUCUUCGUGAGUUAGAUAUUUCAAGAAACCAUUUUCAAAUUCCGCUGUCAUUUGCACCAUUUGCAAACCUUUCAAACCUCAAAGCCCUUUUGAUUAAUGAAAACAAGAUGGUAAUGGAACCUUCCUUUUAUACCUCAAUCCCAAAGUUCCAAUUGGAAGUCAUCAGUUUGUCAAAGUGCAUAACAUCUCAACAACUCAGUCUUAAACUUUGUACCUUCCUUUACUACCAAUAUGACUUGAGAUAUGUGGAUCUUUCGCAUAACAAUCUCAGUGGAACUGUACCAACUUGGUUGCUAGAAAACAACACAAAGUUAGAAGAUCUCAUCUUGAAGGGUAAUUCAUUUACAGGUCCUCUCUCACUUUCGUCGGCUCUUAUUUCUAAUGUAUCUACAAUUGACAUAUCUGAAAACAAAUUACAAGGUCAAAUUCCAACUGGUAUAUGUUCAACUUUUCCACAUUUGAGGCAGUUAUUCUUAUCCAAGAAUGCUUUUGAAGGUAAUAUCCCACUUUGUUUAAGUGGCAUGAAGGACUUAUCAUUUUUAGAUCUAUCAGACAAUCAUUUGUAUGGAAAAGUACCAGAAGAGUUGAUCACGAAAGGCUUACUAAUCAUUUUGAGACUAUCAAAUAACAACCUCAGUGGAAAUGUAGUUCCUGUGAUUCUCAGCGCAAAUGGGGUGCAGCAUUUAUAUUUGGAUGGAAAUAAUUUUUCAGGAGAGAUGACAAAUGUUGAUGUGUCUACUUUUGAGUUUCCAAAUUCACUAAGCGAAAUUGAUCUCAGUAACAACACUUUGCAUGGAAAGCUCCCAAGAUGGAUAGGGAAUGCAUCAUUUUUGGGGAGAUUAGAUUUGUCCAACAAUGGUUUUGAAGGUUCUAUUCCAAUGGAAUUUUGCAAGUUGAAUAGGUUGGAAUUUUUGGAUCUUUCUCAAAAUAAUUUAUCUGGCUCUAUACCGUCAUGUUUUAAUCCACCAUACAUACAGCAUGUCCACCUCCACGGGAAUAGACUGAGAGGCCCACUAUCACUUGCUUUUUAUAAUAGCUCUUCAAUAGUGACUUUAGAUCUUGGAGGAAACAAUUUGACGGGUAGUAUUCCAAAAUGGAUUUACACGCUUUCUUCUUUGAGUUUUUUUCUCUUGAAAGAUAAUCAUUUUCAUGGUAAAGUUCCUAUUGAGUUAUGCAAGUUGCAUUCUUUAAGCAUCAUAGAUCUUUCUCAAAAUAUGUUUUCUGGUCCUAUACCUUCUUGUUUGGGAAAUUUAUCUCUUCCAAUGCAAAGGAAGAAGAUUCUAGAACCUGGUUUCUAUGGGCCACCUAUAGAAGAGGAUGAAACAACACGCAGUACGAAACUAAAUUUGGGAAUGUAUUCUUACUAUCCUAAUAGCUACUUCGAAGAAGUAAUAGAGUUCACAACAAAGAGUGGGUUCUAUUCAUACAAGGGCUACAUCCUUUCAUAUAUGAAUGGGAUUGAUUUAUCUUGCAACAACUUAACUGGUCAUAUCCCACCAGAAUUAGGGAACUUGAGUGAAAUCCAUUCUUUAAACCUUUCACACAAUAAGUUGACCGGAGUUAUACCCUCGUCACUCUCAAAACUACAUCAAAUUGAGAGUUUGGACCUUUCUUACAACAACUUAAGUGGUGAAAUCCCCAAUCAAUUGGUAGAGUUAAACUCUUUGGAGGUUUUCAGCGUGGCAUUUAACAACUUGUCAGGUAGUAUUCCCGAACCAAAAGCUCAAUUUGGGACCUUUAUUGAAAAUAGUUAUCAGGGAAAUCCGUUUCUUUGUGGAGUUAUAUUGCAUAAAAGUUGUUCCAAAACCGAUUCACCAUCAACGAUAUCAAUUGUAUCAGAAGAUAAAGGAGAAGAUGGUUUGAUAGAUACUUAUGAUUUUUGUGUGAGCUUUUUGGUUUCUUAUGUAGUUGUGUUGUUGACAAUUUUUGUUGUCCUCUACAUAAAUCCAUACUGGCGAAGAGCUUGGUUUUCUCUUGUUGGGAAAUGCAUUACCACCUGUCGCUACUCAAAUGUGGGCAAUUUUCUUACUUAUCACAUUUUCAAGCGAUGUGUUUAGCUACUCAAAUUGUGAUUUGAUUUCCACACCUAAAUGUUUAAUUAUGCUAAGUUGAGCGAUAAUGAAUAUUUUGUUGAUUUUUGCAUUUUGAAUAAAAGCUCUUUUAUCUUAUGGUUUUAUCAUUUUCAACCAUCUAUUUCUUUUUUCUUCUAUGAAAUUUAAUAUAAAAUCAUAAUCCAUUAUUAUGUAUAUGCAAUAUCUCUUUAAAUUAAAUUAAAUUAAAUUAACUGCCAAGCGUUCACUAGUGCAUACUAAAAAGGAAAUCUAAUGUAAAAUUAAAUCAAACAUACUACAGAAUUGAAUCUAAAACUGGAAUAUUUUAAAACCUCACAAACAAUGCAAUUCUUUAUUCCUCUUUUCCUCUCAAGUUAUUUUGUAUCAUGUUAUAUUUUACAUAAUUAAUCGUAUCAUCAAAUUUUAAAAAAAUUUUAAUAUUUUGAUAUCAUGUUCAUAUUAUGCUUUAAUUCACAAUGUAUUUUGUAUAAUAUGUUAUAACAAUUCAAUUUAAAAAACAAACAAUUAUCUUAUUUUUGCAUACCGUAAUAUACAUUUACAUGUUAAUAAUUCUUUGUACAUAAAUUUUGACAUGUUCGUAUAUUCGAGUCAUUAUAAUUUUAUUAUUUGUAAUAUGACAUGUUUUACUUACCCUUAAUAUUGUGUCAUGAUAAUUAUAACUCGAUUGGCAGUGUACCAAAUAUUUUUCUAAUAAAAAAUAGUAUUUUAUUCUAUUUACCAAAUCUUUAUCAACUUUAUUUUCUCACCAACAAAACAUACAUUCAAAGUUCAAAUAAGUUCCACACCCAUUUUUUUACUGCAAUACUCAAGAAUAUGCUCAUCAUCAGAAAUCUGAAAUAUUCCACUCUAAUUAACAUUAUGAUUCUGUAAACAACAAAAAAGUGUGAUACUUUUUUAAAGCUCUUUUUUUUUCUUUAAUGAAAUGGGAUUGGUAAAAAAUCCGCACAUGUGUCGUGUGUGAAGGUGGUCAGGUUGUCUAUUCAUACUGUAAUAAGUAGCUAAUUAUAGUUGAUCCUACAAAAUCAAAAUUAAUUCAGGUAUCUAUAUAUUCUGAAGACUGGACAGACCUUAGAAGCUCCUUCAAAUUUGCAAGAACAUGUCGUGGUCCUAAACUCUUUACACCGAUGAAAUUCAAAAGUUGCUCUAUAUCCUGCAAUCACAGUAAAGAUUAUGCAAGCUUUUCAGAACGAAUAACAUAACAAGCAAAAGGCAAUCAAAAUACUGUGAUCUCGAUAAUGUUCUUUGCCGAAAAGGAACAUAAACAUAACCUGAAAACAUCAGUGAAGGCUCAUCAGAUUUGCUUAGCAACCUUACAUACACAUGUAAAAAGCUUUGCUUUUGGAUGUAUGGUGUGACUAUCAUCACAGUCUUUCCUAAUUAGCUGAUAACCCUAUAUCUAACAUUUAUCAGGGCUAAGCAAAUUAACAUACAUAAUGUAAAGGAAUUUGACCAUAAGAUCCAACAGAAAACUUAAUAAAAGAUAAUCAACAUAGAAAGUUAAAAGGCAAUGCAAACUUAUUACAAUGAUGCAAGUGGAUCAAAAGAAAGCACUCUAUAAGGAAUUUGUAUUUAAGGCAUUGUAAACAGAAAAAAAAUAAUAAAACUUUUCGGAAAGUAUUUUCAAAGAGGAGACAAAAACAGGGUAGAAAAAAUGUUUGGUCCUUCCUUUUUCUAUUUCUACUGUGGUGAAAAAGCCUUUUUGGGUUAAAAGUGUUUUUACACUGCAGAAGUGUUUUUCCACUGCAGAAGUGAUGAAGAACACAUAGCUUUGUAGUCAAAAACCUACUGCUUUUGGCUUUUGCAUUUCGAAGUGAAAAUUAUAAAAAUACUCUUAGAUUAAUUUAUAUUUUAUAUAUUAUUAUAUUAAAUUGUUAAAUCUUAUUUAUUAUUAUAUUUAAUUUUUUUCAAAAUAUUUUAUACAUCAUCAAUUUUACAAAUAAUUUAUAUUAAUUACUUUUAAAAGUUAUAUUUCAUGUAUCAUUAUAUUAAAUUAUUUAAAUAUCAUAUAACAUCACUAAUUUUCUACUUUCUACCAUCAUGUCUAAAAUAGACAUUUUAACUUUCAACCGCAAUUUUUGGCAGCAAUGAACAACACUAAAAACUAACAAACACACUUUUCCGCACCACAUUUCAAAAACACUUUUUUCUAAACGCACUUUUGAACUAGUCCUUAGUCUAUCAUGCAUCAACUCUUCAUUUUUCUUUAACUACCCAUGUCCGACUUCGAACAUGGAUAUGGAGAUAUGACCAAGUCACAGUGACAUAGUUUUUAGUUAUGGGGAAUGGGAUUCGAGUGCUGGACCUCCUUCUAGAUGCAUGGUGGGACUUCAUCACAUUUUUCAAAUUUGUUGAUAAUCCUUCACCUAAUCUGCCGGUGAAGUUUAUAGAUAGUUGUUGACACCAUUUUUUUGAUGAAAACGGGAUCGACUUGGAUUUUGAAAAAAGAAUGAAAACGGGAGUCGCCACCAAUCCUUUUUGACGAGGUGUGAUCGGGUCACCUCAAAAUGUGGUUGUUUUUAAUAAAUGAUUUAAUUUUAUUAAAACAACGAUUUUGGUCUACGAAAUUCAGAAAAAUGAGUUCGGGAGUCGGUUACACACGAGGAAGGAUUAGCACCCUCGAUACGCCCAAAAUUGGUACCUAGUUGAUUAAUUAGUGUCUUAGUGUCGAAAAUUGAAAAUUUGAAGAGUUUUAAAAAUACGAUCCUUAAAAGAAAUUCUGAUAACGUGAAUUGAAAUAUAAGAUUCUCUUGUUCCGAAGGAAUAUCACAUCCAGCACGUUAGGACACGAUACUCUAAACCAUCGAAACCAAGAUCAUCUUAUAGUUUAAUGAAACCACACUUUGAAGCUUUAAGAGGAUAUUUGGCUAUUUAGUCGAACGAGAAAUCGAAACCCAGCACGUUAGGGCACGUUUUCUCGAUUUUCCAAACGCGAAAUAUCGCCUUAUUUAGAAAAAUUUUCCUUUUGAUGUUUGGUGUUAAUGCUUGACAAAACAAUAACGAAUACGACAAGGUGAGCAAAGUAAAGUGAGUAACAACAAUACAAUAGGCAAAAUGAAAUGACGAGGCGAUUACAUAAACAAAGCAUACAAAUAAAUAAAUAGAACUAACAUUUAAAAAAAAGCAUAAGUGUACACGAAUAAAUAAACAAACACCAAAUAACAAUGAUGACAAUAAAUACAAUUAUGUAAAAAUGUAUAUACAUGUAUAAUUUUAAGCCAUGAAAUAAGAAACGCAUAUAAAUUAUAGAAUAUGAAAACAUAGAUAAAUAUAUACAUAUGUGUAAAAAAUAAUAUUAUAAAAAGGGUACGUAUAUAUGUAUAAAAAAAUAAAUGUAUUAACAAUGAAUAUAAUAAGGGUAAGAAAACAAGUAUAUACACAAUAUAUAUGUAACGUGGUACUAAGGAUAUAUAUAUACAAUACAGUAUUUAAAAUAAUAUUUACGUAAUAUAAAAUAUAAUAUUAAAAGGUAUAUGUACAUACGUAAUAUAUAAAUACAUAUAUAAUAUAAUGUUAAAAUAUUUACAUAAUACUAAAAUAUUUAGGUAAUAUAUGCGUAUAUUGAAAACUAGUAAUAAUAUUAUCGAGGUAUAUACAAAUAUAUCAAGUAUAUACACGUAUUAUAAAUAUAUAAAUAUAUGACAAAGCAUAAACUAAUAAAAAUAAUAAGAAUAAUAAUAAUGAUAACAUUGGAAUAUAAAAGAAACAAACAUAACAUUAAUAAAAUAUUAAAAUAAAGUGAAAUAAAAAUAUUAAAUAUGAGAAUAUAUAUAGGUAUACACGUACAUAAUAAAAAUAUAUACUAAUACAUAAUAAUAAUAAUGGUAAUACUAAUAAUACUAAUAAUAUAAAAAUAACAAGGAUAUUUAAUAAAGAUAUAAAAAUCAACAAAAAAGGACUAAAAUUGAAUUGAAAGCAAAGUUGUGGGGCCAAUUUGAAAUGAAAACAAAGAAAAAGGACUUAAUUGUAACACGCAUGCAACUUGGAGGGUCAAAAGCGCAAUAAACCCAAGUAUUAAAAACGCUGCGCAGCGUGGGGGACCAGAAUGAAUUCGGGGCAACACCAUGGAGCCAAAUUAAAAAUAAAAAAACCUUGAUUGUAAACUCCCAGAAAGGCGGAAGGGCUAAAAGUGCAAUUAGCCCUUCCAAAGAAAAAAACACGCGGAUCUUCCUUGGUGCAGGUCGGGUCGACCCGACCCGUGUUCAAAACGACGUCGUUUCAUUUAUUUAAACCGGGGGUCCAAAACGGUGCGUUUUGACCCCCUAUAAAAGUCAAAAAAACUUCAAAAAAAAAUCAUUUGUAACGCUGAGGGAAAAAAAAGAAAAGGGAGAGAGGAGAGGGGAGCCCGGAGCGAUUUCCGGCCAAGGGAGGGGUCACCGGACGGCCACCGGAGGCUCGCCGGCGUCAGCGCCGGCCACCGCACGCGGUGGCCGGAAAGGUAAAAUUUUUUAUAUUUUUUUUAUAUUUUUUUUGUUAUUUAUUCUUGGUCUUAGAAUGUAUAGAUUUUAGGUUUAUAUUAAUAAAAAAGGUAUAGAUAUGUAUAUAGAAAUCGAAAGAAAAUGGAUGAAAACAAAAAGGUAACCUUUUCCGUUUGCCUUUCCUUUUUCCCGAAUGCUUGCUAUCUCAGUACUGAGAUCUAUGUAUUUUUUUUAAAAUUUUAGCUUCUGUUUUUUUGUAUUAAAAUGCCAAAAAACAAACAAAAAGAAGAAAGAAAAAAAACCCCCUGAUACAAUUUUUGAUUCGGGUUUUUAUAACCCAUUUUCAUCUAAUUUCCUAUUGUUUCUGUUUUGUCUCUUUGCAUGGGAUGGGCACGAUGGAGGUGACAGAGGCAUGGUGGUACAGAGGAGCAGGUGGCCGACAUGGUGGCAUGGAGAGCUGGGCGUGGCAGACAAGGAGGCCACGCGAGGCAUGCGGCGCUAGGGUUUGGGGGGCAUCUUUCUUCCGAAAAUGUUAAUGUUGUCUGGGCUGGGUUUUUAAUUUUUGUUUCGGGCCAUGGGCUACAUUGGGCUUGUUAUUUUCCUUUGUAAUUGGACUGUUGUUUAUCUUGUUUUAAUAUUCGGGCCUGGGCAUAAAAUUGGGCCUUACAGCUGCCCCUCUUUGCUUGUUAUCGUGUAACGAGAACAGAGCAAAGACUAAAAAAGGCCAAUUUGGCCCGGGCUCACCGAGUUUUGACUUCUUUUGGUGCUUCCUUUCUUCAAGCCUCAUUCUAGUCCACUGCGUCUUAUGAUUCUUCGAUCUGCUCUACUGCAACUUCAGAUACGCCUUAUAGCUUCAAUCUACUCUGCUACGACUCCAUGGGGAUGAGAUUUGUGUUUUUAGUCUGCUUCACUACUACUUAGGGAGAUAAGACUGUGGUUUCGUCUGCUCCGCUACUGCUUAGGGAGAUAAGACUGUAAUCUCCGAUCUAUUCCACUGUCAAAUACAGGGAGAUAGAGUUAUCAGCUUCAAUGUACUCCACUGUAGUCACAGGGAGGUAAAAUCUGCCAUCUUUGAUCUUCAAUCUAUUCCACUGCCAAAUACAGGGAGAUAGAGUUAUCGGCUUCAAUGUACUCCACUGUAGUCAGGGAGGUAAAAUCUGCCAUCUUCGAUCUGUUUCGCUGCCAAAUACAGGAAGGCAAGAUCUGCAAUCUUCGAUCUACUUCACGCCAAUACAUGAAGAUAAGAUCUGCUUUCUUCGAUCUACUUUGCCACCAGUAUGGGAAGACAAGAUCUGCAUCGUCGAUCCACUUCCUACCAAUAUAGGAAGACAGGACCUGCUAUCUUCGAUCUACUUCACGCCAAUACAUGAAGACAAGAUCUGCUUUCUGCGAUCUACUUCGCCACCAAUAUGGGAAGACAAGAUCUGUAUCUUCGAUCCACUUUCUACCAAUAUAGGAAGAUAGGAUCUGCUACCUUCGAUCUACUUCACGCCAAUACAUGAAGACAAGAUCUGCUUUCUGCGAUCUACUUCGCCACCAAUAUAGGAAGACAAGAUCUGCAUCUUCGAUCCACUUCCUACCAAUAUAGGAAGAUAGGAUCUGUUAUCUUUGAUUUACUUCACGCCUAUACAUGAAGACAAGAUCUGCUCUCUGCGAUCUACUUCGCCACCAAUAUGGGAAGACAAGAUCUGCAUCUUUGAUCCACUUCCUACCAAUAUAGGAAGAUAGGACCUAUUUACGCCUAGUGUUUAGGAUGACAUGAUCAGAAUGAAUCAAAUGCUCCUAACUAGAUGCGUAUGUAUUAUAUUUGUAGAAUGUCAUGAGAAUGAUCCAUUUUUAAUGCUUAGGUUGUCAUUCUUCAUUGUUCAUCAAGGUUCUAUCACUGAUGCCUUCUUGUUCAGCCAGUACCUUUGACAGAAAACCUAAAGAAAUAGACGCUAUUUAGACUAUCAUUUCUCAAAUGUUUCCAACCCUUAGGUUUGGUUAGUUCUAAACAAUAGUCCUGUUUCAGGUCAUCGUAUUAUUUAGAAACUUUCAGAGUAAUAUGCAGAACUCCUUCUGCAUGUGUAUUGUCAGUCCAUUAAUCGUUAUUUCAAUGAAAAAUGCUUGAAAAAGAUUAUCAAAAUGGACAAAAUGGAAUUUUGUUGAGAGCAAAGCUCUAAACAAACAAAUCAAGAUAGCAAAUUUGCUGAGAUACGAGAUGAAUAAGAUGAAAAAGAUUAUCACAACGGAUAAGAUGAAAAUUUGCUGAGAGCAAAGCUCUGAAUGAACAAAUUAAUCAAGAUAGCAAAUGUUGCUAGAAUACAAAACGAGAAUAAAUUAAUCAAGAUGAUGUAUUUUGUCAAAAAUACAGAAAAUGAAUAAAAUGGAAAUAAGUGCCCCAGAUAUCGUAGCAUGAGCUUCUCUGCCCCAAACUUCUUAAGGACCCUUUUGAACUUGAUAUGUGUUUAGAAGUCCUAGAAGGCUUUGUUGAUGCCCCAUCUUUGAUCGAAAACUACUUUAUGCCUCAUCCUUGAUCGAAAAUUUGAAUUGCCCGUUCCUGGGUUUUCAAUUCAAAACCCCUUUGGUCUCAAGGUGCCCUUUGCGGGUUUUCGCCUUGGCCUCUCCUCUUUUUUUUUUUUAGGCAAAGUACCUCUUCACUGAAUCCGAAUUCACAGGAUUGGGCAAGCUUUUGCCAUCCAUCCUAGUUAAAAUUAAUGCCCCUCCUGAAAAGGCCUUUUUUACUACAUAAGGUCCCUCCCAGUUUGACAUCCACUUUCCUCUGAAGUCUUUUUGUAUGGGAAGGAUCUUCUUCAGUACCAAGUCCCCUUCAUGGAAGUUUCUAGGACGAACUUUCUUAUUGUAAGCUCGCAUCAUUCGUUUCUGGUAUAUUUGACCAUGACGGAUAGCUCUUAACCUCCUUUCCUCAAUCAAGUUCAGCUGAUCAUAUCGGGAUUAGACCCAUUCUGCUUCGUCUAACUUUAGUUCUGAAAAAACUCAGAGGGAGGGAAUUUCAACCUCAAUUGGUAGCACUGCCUCCAUUCCAUAAACCAAAGAGAAUGGUGUUGCCCCGGUAGAAGUCUUGACGGACGUUCGAUAAGCAUAGAGGGCGAAUGGCAACUUCUCGUGCCAAUCUCUAUAGGUCUCAGUCAUUUUCCCCACAAUCAUUUUGAUAUUUUUAUUGGCUGCCUCCACCGCACCAUUCAUCUUUGGACGGUAUGGCGAUGAGUUGUGGUGCUUGAUAUUGAAUUGACUACAAACUUCUGCUAUCGUGCUAUUAUUCAAAUUUAAUGCGUUGUCAGAUAUAAUCCUUUCGGGCAUUCCAUACCGACAUAUGAUUUCCUUCUUUAAAAACUUGCUGACAGCUGCCUUUGUGACGUUGGUGUAAGAAGUAGCCCCUACCCACUUAGUAAAGUAGUCAAUCACUACAAAAAUGAAACGAUGUUCGUUUGAAGCCUUUGGCGAUAUCGGCCCAAUGACGUCCAUGCCCCACAUGGAGAAAGGCCAUGGGGAAGUCAUGACGUGAAGAGGUGAUAGAGGCAUAUGGAUUUUGUCUCCGUAAAUCUGGCAUUUAUGGCACUUCUUAGCAUAUUUGAUGCAGUCUCCUUCCAUGGUAGACCAAUAAUAUCCAAAUCUCAUGAUUUGUCUGGCCAUUGUGAAACCGUUAGCGUGUGUUCCACAAAUACCAUCAUGGACUUCUUCCAAGAUCUGUUUGGCCUCCAUAGCGUCCACACAUCUUAACAGCACCUGAUCUUUUCCUCUUUUGUACAGGAUCUCUCCAUCUAAGACGUAAUCACUGGCCAGCCUCCUCAACAUUCUCUUGUCAUUCUCAGUUGCUUGGUUUGGGUAUUCACGAUUUUUUACGUAUCGCAAUAUAUCCUGAUACCAAGGGUUUUCGUCCUUUUCUUCUUCUUCGUCAAUGUUACAACAGUGGGCUGGAGCAUCAUAAAUGCUCAUUUGGAUAGGCUUCACAUCCUCUGGUCUAUUUACUUUGAUAAUGGAAGCCAAUGUAGCUAAAGCGUCGGCCAUCUGAUUCUCGUCUCGUGGAAGAUAACAAAAAGUGAUGUCGUCAAACUCCUCAAUCAAUUCUAGGACUAUCCUUCGGUAACUAAUCAACUUAGGUUCUCUUGUUUCCCAUUCGCCUUUGAGCUGAUAAAUUACCAAUGCCGAAUCCCCAUAUACCUCAAGUACCUUGAUUUUGCGUUCUAUAGCCGCGCGGAUUCCCAUGAUACAUGCUUCAUAUUCCGUCAUGUUAUUUGUGCAAUCAAAAUCUAGUUUACUGGUGAAAGGAUAAUGAUCACCGUUUGGAGAUACCAAGACUGCCCCAAUCCCGUUGCCCAUGGCAUUUGAGGCUCCGUCAAAAUUUAAUUUCCAAGUAUUGCCUUCUUGUGUGCUUGCUUCAGUAGUUGCCACAUACAUCAGAUCCUCAUUUGGAAAAUCAAAGUUCAAAGGCUCAUAAUCGUCCAGGGCUCUACUUGCUAGAAAAUCUGCUAUCGCGCUCCCUUUUACAGCCUUUCGAUUCACAUAGGUUAUGUCAAAUUCAGAUAGUAGAAUUUACCAUCGGGCCAUCCUUCCGUUUAGAGCAGUUGACUCCAUCAUGUAUUUCAGAGGGUCUACCUUUGAGAUUAACCAAGUCGUAUGGUACAACAUGUAUUGUCUCAAUCUUCGAGUAGUCCAAACCAAUGCGCAACAUAAUUUUUCAAUUGGCGAAUACCUCGUUUCGCAUUCAGUGAACUUUUUACUGAGAUAAUAGAUCGCUCUUUCCUUUCGUCCUGACUCAUCAUGUUGGCCGAGCACGCACCCCAUGGAAUUCUCAAAUACUGCCAAGUAUAGUAUCAAUGGUUUGUCAGGGCAAGGUGGUAUCAGUACUGGGGCGUUGGACAAGUAAUGUUUAACUCUUUCGAAAGUUUUCUGGCACUCUUCAUCCCAUACACCUGGAUUGUGUUUCCUAAGAAGACGGAAUAUGGGGUCACAUUUCUCGGUUAAUUGUGAAAUGAAUCGAGCGAUGUAAUUUAGUCUUCCUAGGAAACCCCGAACUUCUUUUUGAGUACUUGGCGGAGGUAAUUCUUAUAUGGCCUUAACUUUGUCUGGGUCAAUUUCAAUUCCCUUUUCGCUGACUAAAAAUCCUAGCAAUUUUCCUGAUCUAGCCCCGAAAGUACACUUGGCUGGGUUAAGUUUUAGCUGGAACUUCCUUAACCUCAGAAACAGUUUUCUCAGAACUUGCACGUGUUCCCUUUCUGUUCUGGAUUUUGCGAUCAUGUCAUCAACAUAAACUUCUAUCUCUUUAUGCAUCAUAUCAUGGAAUAAUGCUACCAUGGCUCUCUGAUACGUUGCUCCCGCAUUUUUCAAUCCAAAAGGCAUCACUUUAUAACAAAACGUCCCCCACAUCGUUAUGAAUGUGGUCUUCUCCCUGUCUUCAGAAAGCAUCUUAAUUUGGUUGUACCCGGAGAAACCAUCCAUGAAAGAGAGCAGUGAGUAUCCGGCCGUGUUGUCUACCAAGGUAUCGAUAUGAGGAAGUGGGAAAUUAUCUUUUGGGCUGGCUUUGUUCAAGUCUCUGUAGUCCACACACAUUCGCACCUUCCCAUCUUUCUUAGGAACAGGGACUAUAUUGGCUACCCAUUCUGAGUACUUGACCACCUGUAAGAAACCAGCAUCAAAUUGCUUCUUAACUUCUUACUUUAUUUUUAGCAAGACAUCAGGCCUCAUCCUUCGGAGCUUUUGUUGGACUGGUUUGCAUUCUUCCUUUAUAGGCAAUCGGUGUACCACGAUAUCAGUACUUAACCCUGGCAUAUCUUGGUAGGACCACGCGAAGACAUCUUUAAACUCUUGAAGCAACUCAACAAGGUCUUGCCUUGUUUCCUUGGCAAUGCAAGCGCCAAUUUUUACCUCUCUGCUCUCUUCUAAGGUCACAACUUCUACUGAUUCCUUAUAGGGUAUAAUUUGUUUUUCUUCUUCUUUCAUCAUUCUUAACAAAUUCGGAGAUAAAACGCUGUCUUGGUCACCUUUAAAAUCUUGAGGAUCAUCUAUACUCAUGUCUUGCUCAAAUAGAGACUCUGAAUUAGUAACAGAGUCGCUCAUCUCGUUGAUAUUUGAAGACCUGUUAUUGGAACAAAUGGAGGCCCAAAUAAAAGGAUCUAAGAAUACUUGUAUGCAUAUUAUGAUUAUAAAGGGAAUGAAAAGAAUGAAAGAAUACUUGCUCAAGAUGAAACUGAAUGAUAAGUUUUCACUGAAAUUAGAUUUUGAACAUGUGCAUUUUACAAAAGAUUCUUAUCACCCCCAGGCUUAGGGCAACAAGUGUUCUGAAUAUUACUCUGAAUUAGUUCUAAAUGUUACAGGGAUCUCUUCUGCAGUCCAGUUAUUCGGAACACUUCCAGGUUCGUAAGGACGAAUGCCCGAUAAAUUCCUUUCCACCCUUUCUUCCGCGGAUAUGGCAUUGAUGUCCAACCUCUCAAUCCUUCCUUCUGUAACCUCAUCCUUCUCUUCAGGGUGGACAAUUCCCCCUGAAACAAAAGUCUUAGAUAUAUGAGGAAAGGUUAUCGGUCCCCACUUGGCUUCUAUCCCGCCCAAAUGUGCUCUUCUCCUUUCUUGUCUUUUCUCCAUCUCCUUCCUCCUUUCCCUCGCAAUAGGCUUAUAUCCCAAACCAUAACGGUCCUGUUUGUUAACUAGGAUCGGUACUCCGACCCUUCCCUGGAGGUAUUUUCCAAAUCCUCUUCCAGGCAAUGCUCCCUUUCCCACCGUUAAGUUCAUUGACGUAGCUUUGGAUAUCUUAGGCUCUGGGAUUUUGCUCAUCUCAAUGACAAAUAUGGCAUUUACGAAUUCCAAUGAUCGGAAUGAACAUUCUAUCGCUUCACUAUCAGCCUCUAUGUAUGGCAUAUCAUCGGUGACUGAUGCAAUGAUGUCUUCUUCUGCACCUAUAGUCACCAAUCUACCCUCUACCACCAAUUUUAACUUUUGGUGAAGUGACGAUGGUACAGCCCCUGCAGAAUGGAUCCAAGGCCUCCCUAAUAGGCAAUUGUAAGAUGGUUUAAUAUCCAUUACCAAAAAGUCUACCUCGUAUGUAUUUGGACCAAUCAAUAGAGGUAUCUCGAUUCUUCCCAUCACUUUUCUCUCAGUGCCAUCAAAUGCUCUCACUAUAUUUUGGCAUAAUUUCAUGUGAGAACUAUCCACAGGUAGCCUGUUUAAUGUGGACAGGGGUAAAACAUUCAGGGCCGAUCCAUUGUCAACGAGUACCGCCGGUAGUAUACACCCCUUGCAACGGGCAGUGAUGUGCAAGGCCUUGGUAGAUCCCAUACCGCCUGGCGAGAUCUCAUCAUCGUUGAAGAAGAUGAAGUUAUCGGCAUUUAUAUUGUUAACCAGGCAAUCCAAUUUGUCCACUGAGAUAUCUUUAGCGACAUAAGUUUCAUUUAGCACUUUUACUAACGUAUUACGAUGUAUCUCUGAACUUAGAAGUAACUCGAGCACUGAGAUGCGAGCCGGUUACUUAUGCAGUUGUUCCACCACGCUAUACUCGCUAUGCUUCAAGAAUUUUAAGAAUUCUCUAGCCUCAUUUUCAGUCACCGGUGUAUUAAUAUGCGGUUCAAUUCCGGUCUUCGUUUUAUCUUGUUCAACCGCCAAGGCUUUUCCUUUUAUAGGCCCCCUUUUUGUAUUUCCCGGGUCGCAACGUUUUCCACUACGCGUAUAAAAGCCUGUGUCAUUACCCUCUUCUGAAGCAUUUAUCGGGUUCUCCUCUCCCGUGAUCAUCACAUUGCAGUCAUAAUUCUAAGGAACCUUUUUACUAUCCUUGUAAGGAAAGGCUACAGGUUUUUGGAUUAUGACCCUUGGCGCCAGUUGUAUUCCAGAUCCUGUGCUUGUUGGCCUUGAAAUAAUCACCACCGGGUGAUUUUGGGCCUUUCUCGUAGGCCCCUCCUCUGAGGCAUAAACUUCUCCUUUCUCAAGUCCUUUGAUCUCUUCAUAAAAUUCUAACUCUUUGUUGUUCAUCAGAUUUUGUAACAUGGCCUUGAAAUCAGUGCAAUUUUGAAUGUCAUGGUCUUCUUCAGCAUGAAACUCGCAGUACGUCUUCGUUCCUUCGGGCCUUUCUUUUGAAUCUUGUUUGAUGAGACCUCCUUCUAUCAUUUGUCUCCAAACCCAACUCAAUGGGGUUUUUAUCUCUGCAAUGUCGGUUUUGAUUCUCUUUCUCCCACCUUCGAUUAUUGCGUUUACCCCUUUAUCAGCAUGAUCGGGUAACGGAUUCGCUGCUACAUUUGGUCCUAAUGGGUUGUCAAACUUCACAAUCCCCAUCUUAAUGAACCUUUCCACCGCCUUUUUAAACCCAGUGCAGUUCUCAAUUGAGUGCCCCGGUAUCCCUGCAUGGUAUUCACAUUGGGCAUUCGCGUCAUACCAUUUGGGAUACGGAGGUUGCAUGGGCUCUAGAUAAAAUGGAGAUACUAUGUGUGCAUCAAAUAACUUCUGAUACAGUUCCCCGUAUGUUAUUGGAAUGGGCGUGAAUUAAAGUCUCUCUGUGUUAGUCCUUGUGUUAGGCCUCGUGUUGGGUUCCUGCCUUGAGGGGGCUUGGUGACUAGUGGUUAUCAUUUUUGGAGGGCCAACAGUAAUCAGUUUUGAAUGGCUCUUGCUAUAUGUGCAUACGUUGUUUACUUCGCCCUCUUUUUUUCUUCGGGCUGGUCUUUUGAAGUUUUCCCCAGUGUCAAUUUUACCGCUCCUUACCGCGUUCUCAAUCAUUUCACCAGACAUUACCAUAUCCGAGAAACUCUUGGUAGCACUCCCCAACAUGUGGUUGAUGAACAGGGCUUUCAAAGUGUUGAUAAACAACAUGGUGACCUCUUUUUCCAAAAGGGGUGGCUGGACUUGUGUUGCCACUUCUCUCCAUCGUUGGGCGUAUUGCCUGAAAUUCUCGCUAGGCUUUUUUUCCAUGUUUUGUAACGUAAUUCGAUCGGGUGUUAUAUCCAUUACAUGACUGUAUUGCUUCAUAAAAGCUUGCGCCAAGUCUCUCCAUGAACUAACUUUAGCACGACUCAGUUGGUUGUACCAUUUGGCUGCAGAUCCGAUCAAACUGUCCUGGAAGCAGUGGAUUAACAGCUGAUCAUUGUUGACGUAUCCUGUCAUUCUUCGACAGAACAUAGUUAUAUGAGCUUCAGGACAACUAGUCCCAUUAUAUUUUUCGAAUUCUGACAUUUUGAACUUAGGUGGGAGUACUAAACCAGGGACCAAACUCAGAUCAUUGACGUCAACCCCGCGAUGACAGUCGAUGUUCUCCAUGGCUCUAAAUUUUUCCUCUAACCAUCUACAUCGGUCCUCCAGUUGUUUUGGCAGGUUCAUUCUUGUUUUUUCUGUUUCUGCCACGUCAUCGAGGUCCGGGACCACCAGAUUAGUGGGAUUAUCCCCGGGAUUAAAACCCGAGCCCAUUUGAAAAUGCACUGGUACCGAGGUACCAGCCAGAUAUUGAGGUCCUAUGGUAACUGGUACCCUCUGUGGGUACACCUCUGGUUGUGCUUGGAUGUUAGUUGGGGUGAAACCUGGAGGAUAAACAGGGUCAUCGUGAUCCUCCCCAGCAUCAAUUACGGGGUCUUUUCCUUUGUUAUUCCCUCCAGCCAAUAACUGCUUUAAUUGGUUCAUCACGGUGUUCUGGGAUUCUAACAUGUCCUGCUGGAUUUUUUCCAGUCGUUCAUGCAUCUGAUCUUGCAUCUCUCGUUGCAACUGUUCCAAUCUUUCCAACCUUUGAUCCAUUGCUUUUGUUUGGCGACGAGUACCGUAGUGAUAUUUGAUUAGAUUUUUGUUGGUUUCCAGGGUAACUGUCAUAAUUUAAUUUUAUUAGGGUCAUUUUAUGAGAUGUAAUGCAAAUGUAUGAGAUGAAUGCAAAAAAAAGAGGCAUUGAUUCGAAUUCAAUUUCAUUAGAAAACUCAACUAGAAAGCAAAUUUCUUUACAUAAAAUAAAUUACAUAUACGGCUUCGCCUUUAUACCCAAAGCCUUAACCUUCCUAAGAAGCCAACUAAAUCUCGACCUCGGCUUGAUUCUGACUCAUAUUUUAAACUCAAUACAUCGGCCUGAAUUGCUAAUGUUUGCAGAUGAUCAGCCACUUCCCGCACUUGAGUCACAGCUUCGCCCAUAACGUAAUCUCUAUCUCUAAUCUGACUUUGAGAAUGAUGGAAUUGCUCUUGCCAUUGAUCAUUACUCCUCUCAAGAAGCUCCAUUCGUAGCUCAGAAUUGUGUAAUGCGUCCUCAAGCUCCUCUACCUUUCCUUUCAGUUCUUCGAUCUUAUUUAAGCUUGCUCUUAAUUCGAUCAUGGAGUUGCGACUACGGUACGAGUGAAGUGACUUUUCUAGCUCUGCCACCUUGGCCUUUAAUCCUGCCUUCUCAUUUCGGCACUCUAACAAACUCCUUUCCAAAGCGUUUUCUCGAGCUCAAGCAUCUUGAAAUUUCUUUUCCCACUGAUCGGCCCUAUUCUUUUCCUCAUUGAUCUCUUGUCGCCAUUGCUCUGACGUUUUACCCAGACCGACAGUUCUCAUUGACAAUCGCAGCUUCUUGUAAUCUAUUUUUAGACUAUCCAAAUCCUCUUCAGCCUUGUUCUUUCCCUUCUUUAAUUUCUCGGCUUCUAGCUUGUGGAUAUCGAUGUCUAAUCCCAAAUGCACUCUUUCUUCUUCUAGCUGUUCUAUCCUCUUUCCCAACUCAGAAUUUCUUUUCUCAAAGUCUCGUUUGAUGAUCUCUAAUUCUGACGGAACUACUUGUAGAUGCUCCUCUAUAGACUGAACGCAAUCUUCCCUCGGCUUAGGGAUGUUGUCAUUGACUCUUUUACUCCACCACCCAUAAUAUUCUGAAGUUGUCAUCGCUCCUACGGUAAAUCUUUUCAUUCGGUGAACCUGUUUCCAAGCGUUAGAUAUUUCUCGAGUUUUUCUCUUGUAGUUUUCAUCCUUAUAAGAAAACUCACAUUGAGCCAGCCCUUGUGUUGCUGGUAUGAACUGUCUCGAUCUAUAUUGUCUUAAUACGAGUAAAGGGGCAUAACCGACAGCUCCCCAAAUUUCGAGUAAAGGGACCCAGUCGAAAUCCCCACAUCGAUACAGGAUCUCGUCGGGUACCAUCCAAGGAGCUUUCCAUUCAACGUCAUCCUCCUGAAGAUUUUGGAGAAUCGUCAUCCACUUCUCUUCCGUGAUGUCGUCUCGUCUUGGUGUAGCAACUUGUUCCUUCAAUGGGGAAUAGUCUUCUGAGAAGACUCGAUAGGAGACAUUUUCCACCUUCCAAAAGUGACUAUGGAACCACACUAAUAGUAGCUGUGCGCAUCCGAUGAACCUUCCCUCCCCUGCUCUUCGACAUGCACUUAGAAAUCUGAAGGUUUCUGCUAAGAUUGCCGGGAUGGGCGUGACUCCUUUACUAAGCCGAUCGAACAAAUCAGAGACGGCCUCAUCUACGUGCCCUAAAGCUCUAGGGAAAAUUACCAAUCCAUAGAUACCUAGAGCGAAGACAUCCACUCUUUUCUUCACAUCAGGGUGUGCUAAUACUAAAUCUCGCAAGCUUUUCCAAGGAACGCAUUUACUGUCUCCUUUCUGUUGGAUUCGGGCAGCGACCCACUGUUCGCUCAUCCCUGUAAUGCUCAUCAAUUUUUUUAAUAAUGUCGGGACACUAGCAGCUCUAGAAUAGGCCUUGUCAAUUUGAAUCUUUGGACACCGAAGCAAGGUCGUAUAUUCUUCCAUGGUGGGCACCAAGUCCACUUUUCCAAAAGUGAAACAACUGUAAGCAGGAUUCUAAAACUGGGCUAGGGCUCGGAAUAAAUGCUUGUCCACUUUGACACCAAGUAGGUAAGGCAAGUCCCCGUAGUCACAGUAAAACAUCUGCUUGGUCCCAUCGUCCCAUUGAUCCCAUAUUUCCUUCAUUUCUCGAAGAUCAUUUUGGAUUACGCUGAUACGGGUGAAGUCCCAUAACUCUGAUACGUACCCUUCUGCAAGACUAUCGCCUUUCUCUCUCCACAUCGUCUCAGCCCACACUCGUACAGCUGCAUUGUCUUCUACUUUAUCAAGAAACCUCUUUUCCAUGAUAAGCUUUCUAUCUAUACUGAACGUGAAUCGACACCUUUUGAAAUGAAAAUGCCAUGCAAUCAUAAACAAAGCAAAUCAGAGCUAGGAUUUAAAGUAAACAAUAAUAAAUAAAGCAUCUAUUCGGUAAGCGCUAGGGUUUGGAAUAGCUCUAUCUCGGUGGGUUCUUACGGCUCGCUAUAUGUGGUUUAGUUCUAAAGUAAGGGUACCUGAACCAGCAGAUUCCUCGAUCCUCACCCAUUAUAGGCUCAUGGACCGAGUUCAGUUCAGGGGAAUACAUUUCCCUAUGGCCAUGCGGAGAUGAAAAUCUCACGAAGACAUAGGUACGGAUGUAUCCCGGAAGCGAUUCACUAUCCCAUGCGGAGGUGAAAACCUCACGAAGGCGUAGUUUCUCACUCCCACUUAAAAAGGUAUGACCAGCGAUCAUGCAAUUCAAUGUGCAGAGGUAUAAAAUAAAAUACAGAACACGAUAAAAAAUAUAACUCAAAACAAAAGAGAUGCAAUGAAAGGAUCGUAAAUUUAAAUCAAAUUUUCCACUUUCAACAAAAAGACAAGAAAUAAUCAACACGUGGCUUGACUCUCUUUCGUUCCCCAGUGGAGUCGCCAAGCUGUUGACACCAUUUUUUUGAUGAAAACGGGGUCGACUUGGAUUUUGAAAAAAGAAUGAAAACGGGAGUCGCCACCAAUCCUUUUUGACGAGGUGUGAUCGGGUCACCUCAAAAUGUGGUUGUUUUUAAUAAAUGAUUUAAUUUUAUUAAAACAACGAUUUUGGUCUACGAAAUUCAGAAAAAUGAGUUCGGGAGUCGGUUACGCACGAGGAAGGAUUAGCACCCUCGAUACGCCCAAAAUUGGUACCUAGUUGAUUAAUUAGUGUCUUAGUGUCGAAAAUUGAAAAUUUGAAGAGUUUUAAAAAUACGAUCCUUAAAAGAAAUUCUGAUAACGUGAAUUGAAAUAUAAGAUUCUCUUGUUCCGAAGGAAUAUCACAUCCAGCACGUUAGGACACGAUACUCUAAACCAUCGAAACCAAGAUCAUCUUAUAGUUUAAUGAAACCACACUUUGAAGCUUUAAGAGGAUAUUUGGCUAUUUAGUCGAACGAGAAAUCGAAACCCAGCACGUUAGGGCACGUUUUCUCGAUUUUCCAAACGCGAAAUAUCGCCUUAUUUAGAAAAAUUUUCCUUUUGAUGUUUGGUGUUAAUGCUUGACAAAACAAUAACGAAUACGACAAGGUGAGCAAAGUAAAGUGAGUAACAACAAUACAAUAGGCAAAAUGAAAUGACGAGGCGAUUACAUAAACAAAGCAUACAAAUAAAUAAAUAGAACUAACAUUUAAAAAAAAGCAUAAGUGUACACGAAUAAAUAAACAAACACCAAAUAACAAUGAUGACAAUAAAUACAAUUAUGUAAAAAUGUAUAUACAUGUAUAAUUUUAAGCCAUGAAAUAAGAAACGCAUAUAAAUUAUAGAAUAUGAAAACAUAGAUAAAUAUAUACAUAUGUGUAAAAAAUAAUAUUAUAAAAAGGGUACGUAUAUAUGUAUAAAAAAUAAAUGUAUUAACAAUGAAUAUAAUAAGGGUAAGAAAACAAGUAUAUACACAAUAUAUAUGUAACGUAGGUACUAAGGAUAUAUAUAUACAAUACAGUAUUUAAAAUAAUAUUUACGUAAUAUAAAAUAUAAUAUUAAAAGGUAUAUGUACAUACGUAAUAUAUAAAUACAUAUAUAAUAUAAUGUUAAAAUAUUUACAUAAUACUAAAAUAUUUAGGUAAUAUAUGCGUAUAUUGAAAACUAGUAAUAAUAUUACCGAGGUAUAUACAAAUAUAUCAAGUAUAUACACGUAUUAUAAAUAUAUAAAUAUAUGACAAAGCAUAAACUAAUAAAAAUAAUAAGAAUAAUAAUAAUGAUAACAUUGGAAUAUAAAAGAAACAAACAUAACAUUAAUAAAAUAUUAAAAUAAAGUGAAAUAAAAAUAUUAAAUAUGAGAAUAUAUAUAGGUAUACACGUACAUAAUAAAAAUAUAUACUAAUACAUAAUAAUAAUAAUGGUAAUACUAAUAAUACUAAUAAUAUAAAAAUAACAAGGAUAUUUAAUAAAGAUAUAAAAAUCAACAAAAAAGGACUAAAAUUGAAUUGAAAGCAAAGUUGUGGGGCCAAUUUGAAAUGAAAACAAAGAAAAAGGACUUAAUUGUAACACGCAUGCAACUUGGAGGGUCAAAAGUGCAAUAAACCCAAGUAUUAAAAACGCUGCGCAGCGUGGGGGACCAGAAUGAAUUCGGGGCAACACCAUGGAGCCAAAUUAAAAAUAAAAAAACCUUGAUUGUAAACUCCCAGAAAGGCGGAAGGGCUAAAAGUGCAAUUAGCCCUUCCAAAGAAAAAAACACGCGGAUCUUCCUUGGUGCAGGUCGGGUCGACCCGACCCGUGUUCAAAACGACGUCGUUUCAUUUAUUUAAACCGGGGGUCCAAAACGGUGCGUUUUGACCCCCUAUAAAAGUCAAAAAAACUUCAAAAAAAAAUCAUUUGUAACGCUGAGGGAAAAAAAAGAAAAGGGAGAGAGGAGAGGGGAGCCCGGAGCGAUUUCCGGCCAAGGGAGGGGUCACCGGACGGCCACCGGAGGCUCGCCGGCGUCAGCGCCGGCCACCGCACGCCGUGGCCGGAAAGGUAAAAUUUUUUAUAUUUUUUUUAUAUUUUUUUGUUAUUUAUUCUUGGUCUUAGAAUGUAUAGAUUUUAGGUUUAUAUUAAUAAAAAAGGUAUAGAUAUGUAUAUAGAAAUCGAAAGAAAAUGGAUGAAAACAAAAAGGUAACCUUUUCCGUUUGCCUUUUCUUUUUCCCGAAUGCUUGCUAUCUCAGUACUGAGAUCUAUGUAUUUUUUUUAAAAUUCUAGCUUCUGUUUUUUUGUAUUAAAAUGCCAAAAAACAAACAAAAAGAAGAAAGAAAAAAAACCCCUGACACAAUUUUUUAUUCGGGUUUUUAUAACCCAUUUUCAUCUAAUUUCCUAUUGUUUCUGUUUUGUCUCUUUGCAUGGGAUGGGCACGAUGGAGGUGACAGAGGCAUGGUGGUACAGAGGAGCAGGUGGCCGACAUGGUGGCAUGGAGAGCUGGGCGUGGCAGACGAGGAGGCCACGCGAGGCAUGCAGCGCUAGGGCUUGGGGGGCAUCUUUCUGCCGAAAAUGUUAAUGUUGUCUGGGCUGGGUUUUUGAUUUUUGUUUCGGGCCAUGGGCUACAUUGGGCUUGUUAUUUUCCUUUGUAAUUGGACUGUUGUUUAUCUUGUUUUAAUAUUCGGGCCUGGGCAUAAAAUUGGGCCUUACAAUAGUCUUAAGUGUCUAUCACAAGAACCUAGAUAUUGUAAAUCCAAUAUCUUCCAAACAAUUCAACCAUGAUAUUAAUGAUGAUGGAAGCAAGAUUAUCCACUAUCAAUGACAUAAAAUGAGCUGUAAAUGCUGACGAACAAACAUGCACUGUUUUUCCAACCUGUGGAUUGAAGAGCAUUGACAAGCUAACUUUGCAGACCAUUUGAAUCCAAUACUAUACAUAAAAAUGCCAAAGGAGAAUAAUUCAUCUUGGAAAAAGAAUUACUAAUAUGCAAAAGCUUACCUUGUUUAACAAGAACACAGCAUAUGCUGCUCUUGUCGUGUCUUGACCUUCUAAAAACAGCGGAAAUUCUGCCAGCUUUACAUUUGCUGAAAGUGUUGUAUCCAAUGACAAAUCAGAAGAUGCAGGGUCUAUUGAAGACGCAUGGUCAUUAAUAUAUGAGCGAGAACCACCCAAGCGCAGAGGAUAACGCAAGGGAACUUGUAAAUAGGAUGCAAUUAGUGAAACAGCCUGCAAAUGAUGAAAUAACAGGAAACAAGAAACAAUAAUAGGUAUGAUUAAAAUUAUAGCCUCAGCAUGAGAAACAAGCAAUCAAGAUGCAGCCCACUAUACCAUAUUACCAUCCUAGCAAUUAAAAAUUACUACAGCAUCUUCAAGCAACAAGGGAUUGUAGGUGGUAGGUCAAAAAACUUGAUAUCCACAGCUUGAUAUUAUCAGAAAAAACAAAUUCAGUAAUAAAUGAUAACUUCACAGAAGAAAUAGAACGCACAUGUGCAACAUAUCCCAAGGCAGUUGCAGAUCUCUGAACCUCCUUUUUGUCAGUGAAAAAACUCAUCUUUGUAAAAGGAAGCAAGGUGAGAUUCAGACCUAAAAUUGUCAACGAUCCUUGAUUGACGGGCUUUGAUGCAGAAGGAUUCCCUAGUGAAGACAGGAACAAAGGAACUUCAUAUCAAUACAUCACCAGACACCACCUCUUUGUGAAAGUCAAAACAAAAUUCAAAAAAAUAUAAUCAUGAAAGUAAGAGAUAUGUAAAAAGUUCAUAAUAUUCAAGAGCAAAAAAAAAUUGUUUUGAUAUGAGGAGAAUUGAAUAGUAGAUUGCUAAAAGAGGAAUAACUGAAUACAGCCAUCAUAACCAAAAGAAGAGUCAAGUGAUAGGUAAUGGUACUCCCUAAGCUGUUUAGGAAUCAUAAAAGACUUGUCCAGUUGACAAAAAUAACUCAUUUUAUUCUCCCCUAGUAAAACAUCAUAUUGGACCAACCAUAUUUGAUAUCAAAGGAUAUGGAUAUCCAGGCAUGCCAUUUAUAGAUAUUCCCAGUGUUGCAAGAAGGAAUUGUUCAAGAGAAAGAAGCUGCUAUUGUUGGUAAAGUUUUCCUCAAACCAUUUUGAACAUCCAAAAUCUCAAGAACAAAAAAGAAAACGUAGGAGGAAAUAUAACAAGCAUCACAACGGGUUCUCGAUGAUAUAAGUGAGAGGAUAAAUGUUAAUUAAGAUUAUAAAAAUAAACCACAAACUAAACAGGAAAGACAUGGAUUUCAAAACGAGGAGACUGGCUGCUAAUUAAAACCAUAUGCGGUGUUGUCUAGGGCGCAAGGCGCAUUCUAGGUGCUAACCUUUAUAUUGCCUCAAGCACAAGGCACAAAAGGAAGCGCUAGCCUGAGUGCAGUAAAGCGCAAUACAUAUAUGUGAGAGUUUUUGCAAGUCUGUGUGUCUACAACAUAAAAGUUUUAAGAUAUAUAGUAAACUCUAAAGUGUGGUCUGGUUUAUCCACAAAACUUGCAAAAUUUUUAUAGGUGAAUGCUCAAAUAUUGAGAAUUAUAGAGUUUGAUAUUAUCCCUUUCUUAUUAGUAAAGGUGUAUCAAAUGAAAACAGUAAAAAAUAAAAUAAAAUAUUGAGAAAUUCAACAAGGCAGGCUUUUUCUAAUGCCCAUUGCCUUACAAAAAAAGUGUGCCUAGGUGCACCAGGCAUACGCUUGAUCAAAUGGACCUCACCUGGAAGGGUCCAAGGCGUUUGGUUGUAUAAAACUAAGGCGUAGGCAUGCCUAGGCGCAUGCCUUGACGACACUGACCAUAUGUUGGCUUUAUUGCAAAGCAUUAGCAAUCCAAAACUACUAGCACAUUACCUAAUCUACUACUGCUAGAAUAGGACUCAAGUUCUUGCUCCUGUGCAGGUCCAACCAAGAUCUUUACAGGAUACAAUAAUGAAACUUGUGAUAUCAUAUAUUGUUGCCUUGCUCGAAGCUUCCUUUGCACAUUUUUAAGUUUAACACAACCCCUUUCUUCAGUGAGUAAUCUAUUUGCUUCCUGUGAUAAAAACAACAUAUAAUCAAUCAUGCCACGCAUGCAAGACUACCAACCAACUAUCUAACAAAAGAUACAAAGAAGUAGGAGAGCAAGAAGGGGAUAACCCUUGACUAUGCAAAGGAAUUCAUAGAAUGAGAAUCAUCUCAUCUAAGCCCCUCAACCACCUUCACAGGGGGUGGAGGUGCAAAGAGAGAGGUCUUAUUGAUCCGAGAGGAGAAUAUAUAACAUCUAAAGCUGAAUAAGAAGAAACCUUGAAAUAUAUCAUAAAUUCAGAAUUCAUGAUAAUAUAAAAAUGAAAUUCCAAAGCUAAUUUAAGCUAGAAUAAAAAUGCUUCACCUGUAAUCACUUCCUUGCUACAGAAAGAGAGGUACCAGCAACCAACAAUGAUCUUACUUCAGUACUAAGCAUUUCCUCCUGUUUUUUAGCAUCCUCUGUUGCAACUUUGCAAUGAGUUGACAUGUUUGCCAUAACUACUUUCCUUGCCUCGAGUCUCUCACGCAUUUCCUCAAGCUCGUUCAGUUUAUUCAAAGACUCAUUUUUUACCUGCACAGCAUGUUCCCACCCAUUAAUCAGUGGGCCAAUUAAUUAGGUCACAGAAGACAAAACUAAAUUAUCACUCACCAGGUCCCCUUGAAGUGUCAUAUGGCUUUAACAAUUCAACGUGCAAUAUCUAGUAAAAGUAAAAUAAACAUAGAAGAAUGCAAAUGCAAUUCUUAAACGCCUUUAAAUGGACAACAUGAAACACUUUAAGAGCCCUAUAAAACAGAAAACUGGAAAAAAAAUCUGAAAAGGAAAAAAAAAUGAAUUGAAACAAUAAAUCCAUCUGGUACAAACAGCAACAAAUCUCGAAAUAAGCUUUGGCUUUAGCCCAUUAAAGCCCGGGCAUCCGGCCAAAUAAACAGUGACUGCCAUGUCAACUUUUUGAGACGGUAGAAAAGAGCUCAAAAAUCUCAAUUUCCAAAAAUAAGGACAUAAGAAGGAAAACAAUUUACUUAUUCUUACAGUAGAAGAGCAAAAUGAAACUAAAUGAAGGAUAAGGGAACUGAUGCGAAUUGACAUUGUUAUUUUUGGGACUAAAAAGAAUACGCAGAUUGAAUAUUUAAGAUUUUGUAAGGGAAAAGUUCCAUUCACCGACACAAUUAUCAUCGCCCUUUAUCCCAGUAAAGCUUAAUUGACAAUUUUUCUGUCUCGUGUUCUUGCUAAAGCAUUUGAGCAACCCAACAGAAAUCAUUAUAUUUCAAACUGAAAUGAUUGGCUUUAACAAUUUCACAACCUAUACCGCCCAACCUAGUAAGUAAUUUAGGUGCAGACACCAGAAAUCUAUUUUCUUUGCACUCUACAACUAAAUAGCAUACCACUUAUCAAUCAAACACAGCUGAAAACUUCAGUGAGGGAACAUUAUGUAAAAUGAAAAAACUAUAACUUCAACUUGAUUCAUAGCUCGGCAAGUUCAGGGAAUUGGGACUUCUACCACGAUGAUCCAGUUCAAUGUGAAACAGUGAUCCAUAUCAUGCAUAUCGGUUCCCGGAACAAGAGGUAAAACCAGCAAAUUAGGUAAACAAUAAUCCUACUAUAUUUCAGAAUAGCAACAUUGAGCAUGAAAGCUAAAAUUAUAGCAUAUUACGGGUCCUUGCUCUCUACAACUACAUAUAAAAUUAGUAAACAAUAUUACUACAUUAAGGAUCCAGAAAAACUUUGUUUCAAUUGUUGAUCACUUGAUCCAACUAUUUUAGAAAGUUUAUUCUUCUUUUUCCUUUCCCUUAUUUUCUAAAUCAGGAAAAACAGUAGCAUAUAAAUUGGAUUACUACUCCAAGUUUCUGAAAUUUCAACAAUAUCCCUUUUACCUUUUCACUCAAGUCAUUACCCCCCAAUUAACAAAUAUAUUCCCAGUUUCCCUUUCCCUUCAAACACCCCUUUUUUUUUCCUCUACCCAAAUUCAGCUUAUGUUCAAAAACCCAAAAUUGGUUUGCUAAAAUAACAUAAUUUUCAAACACAAAGAUAACCUAAUUUUAAUCAGAAAAAAAAAGCAUUACCUGAAUUAGUGACUGGAGUUUCUCUUGAAGACUUUGUUUCUUCUCAUUAGCUUCCUUAAGGGCAGAAGUUAAACUCCACAAUCUAGCUAGCUCGUUGUCGAAAUCUUCCCAUUCAAUUAGUUGCACAUUUUCAUGUGCAGCAUUGAUUUUCUUCGGGUCGGUAAUUAGGGUUUUGACUCGGGCUUGUUCUCGAUUUUCCAUGAAAUAAUUGAAGAGGAAAGCUUUCGAUUCUGUAAGUUUAAAAAGGGAUCAUAGAUCGACCUCAUGGUACUGGAUCUCGCCCGGUUAGAGUGUUCUUUUUCACGCCGAUCGAAUCAUUUUCUCGGGAAACUUUGCUAGCUAGGGGUAAUUUUCUCGGGAAAAUGGAGGGAAAAACAGAUUCGGGAGUUUUUAUUUGGGGGAGUCUAAGGUAUAACGGAGAAUGACAGGUGGCGGUUAACGGAGGAAUCUCACGAUUCAUGUCAUUUUCACUUUUUCGAUUUAGAAAUUGCUUAAAUACUUUUAAAAAUAGAUAAUAAGAUAAACUUUCUUUUUGAAUAAGAUAAAACUUUCAUUGAAAAUAAAUAAAUAAAUUAAAAAAUAUUUGAUGAUUUUUAAGUUGGUAAUUUUUUUUUAUAAAAAUUUGGUAACUUCUUUGAAAGUUGAUAUAAAAUGUAUCACGACCCGACUUGAGAUUUAAUUUGUCCUCGUCAGAAGUCCGACCCAAACAAGGGAAUAUGACUUGCCACUCACCAAUUUUUUAACCUUCCAACUUGCCAGCUUUAUGGAGUAACUCGGCACCUUGCGACACUACCUAACAUACCGUGAGAUUUAAGUACAAAUAUCUCUAAGGGUAUGUGUCAAGCUUAAGAGAAAUAACAUAUUAUUAUACAUAUUAUUUAGUUACCCCUAACAUGUCACGUCAAAAAAUCAUACUAUAAAAAAUAGUCCUCACAAGAUAGGAUAGAAAAAAAAAGUCAUCAACAAAAGUAAUUAAGUAACCUUUUUAUAAAACAAAAAGAUUUAUUUUAUUUUGAAAUAAAUUAAUUCUCUAACUUAUAUAAGAAAUUAAGUAAAAUCUUUUUAAAUAAUAAGACAUAAUUUCUCGAAAAAAAAUAAUCAAAUGAGAGCUAAUCAAAAUAAUUUAUUUUUUUAGGCCAAACAAUUUUACUUCAACUAUUUAUAAACACUUUUUAAUCAAUUUUAUUUUAACUCCCAUUAUAAAUUUUAUAAAAAGGAUAAUAUAUUAAAAAUACCCUUAAAUUAUUAGAUUUUGUAUAAAUAAACUCUUAUUUUUUUUAGUUAAAUAAACUCCUAAAUUAUUAAUUUAGUCAUGAAAAUGUUGAUAUAAAAGUAUGAGAAUAAUUUAUUAAAUAAAAAAUUAAUUAUUUUAAAAUAUUUAAAAUAUUUAUAUACAUAAUAAACUUAAUUAAAUUCUCUAGAAAAAAAAUUUAUAUUCUUUUAAAUUUUAUGUUGAUAUAUUAUUUCUAUUUGUCUAAUAAAGUGCAUAACGAGGCAAUAACUAUUUUUUAUGUAUAAAUUAAACAAUACUACAACUUCCGAAGUUAAUAAGAUUAUAUCUAUACUCACCAUCACAAUUAGAGACAGGGGUGAGUAUUCGAUCGAAUUGAGUUAAAAAAUUUUGAAUUAGUCGAGUUAACAAAUCUUAUUUUAGCAAUCGAAAUCAAUUUAAAUUUUUUUAAAUCAAAUCGAAUCGAGUCAAAAAAUUUCAAGUCGAAUUAACGAAUCCUAUUAUUUAUACUCAAUAUUGCGUUUAUAUGGGCUGAUUAUUUAACUGGUAGACGAAGUACAAGAUUAUUUAACUAUAUAAACAAUAUAAUGGUUUUGCAUUGUAACUUAAUAGGUAAACAUUUAUCAAAACGAAAUAAUUUUACCUUUUAAGUUAAUGGUUUUGACUUUUAACUUUUAACUUUAAAAAAUAUAAACAUUUAUCAAUACGACGUAAAUUUACAUUUUCGUAUUCGGAUUUUCGAAUAACUCGAAACGUGUAAUUCAUAUUCGAGUUAAACUAAAAAUUUUAAUUUUUUUAUUUGAGUUAAUCUGAAUAACUUGAUUAAAUCGAAUAACUCGAAUUGUUUAAUUUGAAAUUUGAUUUUUUUAUCGAAUUUUUCAAAUCAAAUCAAAAUUUACUCACCCUUAAUUAGUCAUCAUAACUAAAUUAAAGUUGCCCCAUUAUGCAAUUGCAAGUCUUCAAAGCCUAAAAGUUGUAACAAUUCAAAAUUUCAAUGGAAAUUAAAAUUAAUAUUUUUAUCAUAUAUUAGUCAAAGUUUAUUGCAUCAACAAUAAGUUAAGAUAAAAACCUCAAAUUUUAAAAUAUUUUUACCUCAAUAUAAAAUUUAAGAGCUUUCAUGUAUAAAAACUAAAGGUUAGAGCUUUCAUGUUUAAGGGCUUAUUUAUACUUCAUCUUUAUAAAAAAACACUUAAAUAGUAGUUUAAAUUAUAUAGUUAAUCACUCAAUUUUAGUAAAUUUUCAUUUUAGUCACUCGUUGUUAAUUUGGCUAAUGUAAAUAUUACAUUACACUGAUUUUAGUCACCUAAUUUUCAUAAGAUAGAAUUAAUUUUAUUUUUCGGUAAAAAAGAAAAGAAAAACUCAAAAUUUUACAAGCAAGUACCUAGGUUUUUAUAGAAAAAACUUGGAGUUUUAUAUGAAAAACCUACGUUUUUAUUGGAAUAGUCAUAUUAUCUUUUUUUAUUUCAUUUAUUUUUUUCAUUUAUAAAAUUAAUUUUAGCUUUUUCAAUGAAAAGAAAACCUAAUUUUUUACUAAGAAAAUCAUUUUAUCUUUUUAAUUUCUUUUACUUUCAUAUUUAGAAUUAAUUUUAAUUUUUUUUCCAAUAACAAUGAAAAAAAACUUGGAUUUUUACAAUGAGUUUGUUGGGUUUCCACGAGAAUUGCUUGAGUUUUAUGAAUAACUCAAUUCCUUAAAAAAUUCUAAAAAAAAUUAGAAAAAUAAGAUUAAUUAAAAAAAAUGGAGCAAAAUGAAAAUUUACUAAAAUUAGAUGGCUAAAAUGAAUAUACAAUUGCAUUUUCGUUAGCCAAAUUAACAUGUGAUCAAAAUGAAAUAUUAUUAAAAUUGAGUGAUUAAAAUGAAAAAACUAUUUGAUUUAUUUACACCCUGAUUUUAUGAGCAAAUUCCCCAGCACAAAGCCUAUUUUGACAAUAACAGUUCAAAUGAAAAGUCUUCGCUUACUCUUUGAACGAAACUCUUCUCCCGCUAAAACCACCUCUUCUUCCUCCAAAUUCAAACGCCCAAAGCUUUCUUCCAUCUCUAAUGGCUCUGAUUCAUCACAAUCAUCAUCAUCUCAAGAUCCCCUUAAAACCCAUUUCUCCUCUCUCAUCAAAUCCUCCGAAACCACCCUACAACUCCGGCAAAUCCACGCUCAAAUCCUGCGCCGCCACCUCUCUUCCAGUGCCAAUCUCACCACCCUCUUAAUCUCCGUUUCUUCUUCCUUCAAAUCCAUACCUUACGCGCUCUCUAUUUUCAACUAUUCUCACCACAAAAGCUUAUUCCUUUUCAAUGCUUUGAUUCGUGGCUUGACGGAGAAUUCCCAUUUCCAAUCCUCAGUUUCACAUUUUCUUCUCAUGUUGAGACAUAGAGUUCGCCCUGAUUAACUUACAUACCCUUUCGUGCUCAAGUCUAUUGCGGGAUUGGGUCUUCAUUUCCUUGGUCUGAUCCUUCAUGGGAGAAUCAUAAAAUCUGGGGUUGAGUUCGAUUCGUUCGUUCGGGUUUCGUUAGUGGAAAUGUAUGUGAAGCUCGAGGAAAUGGGUUUUGCGUUGCAAGUGUUUGAUGAAAGUCCUGAGAGAAACAAGAGUGAGAGUAUAUUGUUGUGGAAUGUGUUGAUUAAUGGGUGUUGUAAAGUGGGGGAUUUGGAGAAAGCUAUGGAGUUUUUCGAGGCUAUGCCUGAAAGGAAUAUUGGGUCUUGGAAUAGUUUUAUAAAUGGGCUAAUGAAAAAUGGGGAUUUGAACAAAGCAAUGCAGCUUUUUGAUGAAAUGAAGGAGAAGGAUGUGGUUUCUUGGACUACAAUUGUUAAUGGGCUUUCACAGAAUGGAGAUCAUCAGAAGGCGUUAUCCAUGUUCUUUAAGAUGUUGGAGGUCGGUUUAAGGUCGAAUGAUCUUACUCUUGUUUCAGCUCUUUUCGCUUGCGCUAAAAUUGGUGCACUUGAAGUUGGAGUCCAUAUCCAUAACUAUUUUGUGGAAAAUGGGCUUCGGUUGAAUAAAGCAACUGCUGCUGCUUUGGUUGAUAUGUAUGCAAAGUGUGGGAAUAUCCUAUCUGCUAGUAAGGUUUUUGAAGUAACUGUUGCGCGGAAGCGUGUGAAAGAGUAAAAUUAUUGUACUGAAAAAUCACACUAAGUUCAAUUCCCAGGAAAGAGAGGUGGAUCACGAGGAUCGCUUACAUACCAGAUCUUUCCUAGCCAGAAUAUCCCUCUAUCGUAAUUUAAUAGCACAAUAAAUCACUACAAUGACACUUGCAAAAUAUGCAGAACAAAAAAUAAAGAACACUAGAAUUUUAACGAGGUUCAGCAAAUUUUGCCUACGUCCUCGGGCACUACCAAAUAUAUUUCACUCCAAAAAAUACAAGUGAAAGUUUACAAAUAGGGAGAGAGAACAAUUGCCUUAAGUAGAGAUUGGCAAGUGUGGGAUGAAGAAAGUAAGAAAUGGUUAGGCCUAUUUAUAGUUGAGGUUCAAGGAUCAACUUGCAAUGUCCCUAUACAAUUAGGGACCAAAAUUGCAAUUAUCUCAUGCCAACUUUUAACCCAACUUGCCAACCAAUUUUACUUUCUACUUUCGGUGACCACCCUUUUUGACUUUUCAAACAAUGGGUGGGUUCCAAUAAUCUCCACCUUGAAGAUUUGAUUAGGCUAAUCUUAUCUUCACACAAUUCUUUCUGCCUUUGACAACAAUACUUGAUAGUGCCUUCUUCAACUGUUAAACUUGCAGGAUAUUAAUCAAGUUCAAACAAUGUUCGAACUUGGUUGAUGUUACCACCUUGCUCAUCAUAUCUGCGGGAUUAUCUGCAGUCUUGAUCUUCUGAAGACAAAUUUUCCCCUCUUCAAUAAUUUCCCGCACAAAAUGGAAUCGUACGUCGAUAUGUUUUGUACGUGCAUGAUAGACUUGAUUCUUUGCUAAAUGAAUAGCACUUUGACUAUCACGAUACACGUUAAUAUGCUCCUGAACCAACCCCAAGGUUUUAGCCAUACCUUGUAACCAAAUAGCCUCCUUUACAGCCUCUGUUACAGCCAUGUACUCGGCUUCUGUGGUUGACAAUGCAACUGUAGACUGUAGUGUAGACUUCCAACUUAUUGGUCAUCCAGCAAGUGUAAACACAUAACCAGUGGUUGAUCUUCGAUUGUCCAAAUCACCGGCAUAGUCAGAAUCAACGUACCCAAUAACACCUUUACCAAGUGUAUUAUCCUGCUUGAACAGUAAUCCAACAUCCACGGUCUUCUGAAUAUACCGUAGAAUCCAUUUCACAGCUUGCCAAUGUCCUUUUCCAGGAUUAUGCAUAUACCUGCUCACUAUACUAACUGCCUGUGAAAUGUCAGGUCUUGUACACACCAUUGCAUACAUCAAGCUACCCACUGCAUUAGAAUACGGAACUUGCAACAUGUAUUCUCGUUCCGUAUUCGUCGAAGGAGAUAGUUGUGUAAAAAGCUUGAAAUGAGAAGCCAACGGGGUACUUACAGGUUUUGUCUGCUCGUUCAUGCCAAACUGCUGUAGUACCUUUUUCAAAUACUGCUUCUGAGACAAGCUAACUCUAUCAUGAGCUCUAUCUCUCCAUAUUUCCAUGCCGAGAAUCCUUUUAGCUUCUCCUAGAUCUUUCAUCUCAAACUCGAGAUUGAGUUGAGUCUUCAAUCUUUCAAUUUCAACUUUGCUCUUAGAUGCUAUUAGCAUAUCAUCAACAUAUAAGAGCAAGUAUAUGAAAGUUCCUUCUUGUAGCUUCUGAAAAUACACGCAAUGAUCAAAUUUACUUCUUGUGUACCUUUACCCUUUCAUAAACUGAUCAAAUCGCUUGUACCACUGCCUCGGAGAUUGCUUCAAUCCAUAAAGCGACUUUGUCAGUUUGCAAACCCAAUUUUCUUUUCCAGCAACCUUGAAUCCAUCUGGCUGAGUCAUAUAGAUUUCCUCUUCCAAAUCACCGUGUAAAAACGCGGUCUUCACAUCAAGCUGAACUAGUUCAAGAUCAUAUUGCGCAACCAAGGCUAGCAAAAUCUGAAUAGACGAAUGCUUCACAACUGGAGAAAACACUUCAUUGUAGUCUAUUCCUUCUUUCUGAGCGUAACCCUUUGUUACUAAUCUAGCCUUGUAUCGAAUUUCAUUUUUAUCAGGAAAUCCUUCCUUCUUUGCAUAUACCCAUUUGCAUCCAAUUGCCUUCUUUCCCUUGGGUAGUGUCACCAACUCCCAGGUCUUAUUUUUCUGAAGAGACUGCAUUUCUUCAUUCAUUGCUUGCUUCCACUUUACACCAUCAGGGUUACUUAUUACUUCUGUGUAAGUAGAAGGAACAUCAUCAUCUGUAUUUGGAAAUGCAUAGGCCACUAUAUCAUCAAAGCGAGCAGGCUUACGAAUCUCUCUUCUUGGCCUUCUAUAUGCAAUUGAAUCUUGUUGCUGUAGAGAUUCUUGGGUAGGAACCUCUUCAUCAUUUGUCCCUUCAAUAUUAGCUGGAUCAUCGUUAACCUUUUCAAGCUCCACAUGCUGCAAAGUACUAACGGUUUUGUCAUCCUUUUGUGAAUCCUUGUACUUCAACAUGGUUGAUUCAUCAAAAGUCACAUCUCUACUGAAAACAAUCUUCAUUGUAUCAGAACACCAGAGACGAUAUCCUUUUACUCCAUCAGUUAUACCCAAGAAUAAUGCUUUCUUUGCUCUUGGGUCUAACUUAGAUUCUUUUACAUGAUAAUAUGCAGUGGAACCAAAUACAUGCAAAGAAUCAUAAUCAGUAGCAGAUUUACCAGUCCACAUCUCUAUAGGAGUUUUUCCAUUUAUUGCAGCUGAUGGCAAACGGUUAAUUAGAUGGCACGCAUAUGUAACUGCCUCAGCCCAAAAUUCUUUGCCCAAUCCAGCAUUGGACAACAUACAUCGAACUUUCUCCAGUAUAGUUCGAUUCAUUCGUUCUGCCACCCCAUUUUGCUGUGGUGUAUCCCGAACAGUGAAGUGUCGCACAAUGCCCUCAUCUUGGCAUACUUGUAGAAAUGGAUCGUUUUUGUACUCAGUACCAUUAUCUGAUCGAAGUCGUUUGACCUUUCGACCAGUCUGAGUCUCCACCAUCUUCUUCCAUUUCAGAAAUGCAUCCAAAACUUCACUUUUUCUUUUCAUUAGAUACACCCAUACUUUUCUUGAAUAAUCAUCAACAAAAGUAACAAAAUAGUGCAUACCUCCCAAAGAAGCUACUUUGGUAGGUCCCCACACAUCACUGUGAACGUAGUCCAGAAUUCCUUUCGUAUUGUGAAUUGCUGGACCAAAUUUUACCCUCUUCUGCUUGCCCAGAACACAAUGUUCACAGAAUUCCAUUUUGCAAGAAUUUGCACUUUUCAAUAAGCCUUGCUUCACCAAUGUCUGCAAAGCUUUUUCACCAGCAUGUCCCAAUCGCAUAUGCCAUAAUCUGGUAGCCUCUGAAUCUACAUCUUUUGUAGAAACUGUUGAUGUUGAUCCAAUAACUGUACUUCCAUUUAAAAAAUACAAGUUAUUUCUUCUUGUGCCUUUCAUCACCGUCAGUUGCCCAGCUACUACUUUUAGUAAUCCAUCUCUCAAAGUGAUUGUGAGCCCUUUAGAUUCUAGGGCACCUAAUAAGAUGAGAUUUUUCUUCAGGCUAGGUACGUAGCAAACAUCUGUCAAGACUUGGAUUGAGCCGUCGUGAUUCUUCAAUUGGACUGUACCCACUCCCAUUGUCUUACAAGCACUAUCAUUGCCCAUAAGAACAAUUCCACCUUCUAGCUCUUUAAGACUAGAAAACCAGUCCUUAUUAGGACACAUAUGGUAAGUACAUCCUGAAUCCAAAAUCCACUCAUCCGUUUGACAUGCCAUUGCCAUGCCAACCAAGCUAAAGUCUGACUCCUCAUCAUGCUCCGCUACACAUGCAUUAGAAAUAGCCUUGCCCUUUUGUAGCUUAGGACAAUUCUUUUUCCAAUGCCCUUUUUCACGGCAAAAGGCACAUUUAUCUUUGGCGGGUCUCCCUUUGGACUUUCCUCUUCUACCAGAUUUGCUGCUGUGUGAACGACCUCUUACUGUUAAGACUUCUGCGGUUGUAUCUCUGUGAUCUCUUUUAUCUUUCUUUCGAGUCUCAGAUCUAUACAACGCACUACAGACUGCAUCAAAUGUGAUCGUGUCCUUCCCAUGAAGCAAUGUGGUGGUAAGAUGAUCAUAUUCAUCAGGAAGGGAAUUCAACAACAAUAAUGCAUUGUCUUCAUCUUCAAAUUUCUCAUCCAAAUUUAGCAAGUCUGCUAAAAUUUUAUUGAAUGAGUUCACAUGGUCAUUCAUCGACAUACCGGGUGCAUACGUGAAUCGAUAAAGUUUCUUUUUCAUAUAAAGCCUAUUUUCAAGACUUUUCGUUAGAAACUUUUCUUCCAGUGUAUCCCAUAACUUCUUCGCUGAUGUCUCCCUCAUGACAGAGUACUUCUGCUCUUUGGCCAAACAUAGGCGGAUUGUACCACACGCCUGUCUAUUGAUUUUGGCCCACUCCAUGUCAUCCAUCUUGUCAGGUUUUUCUUCAAAUGCUAUAUCUAGCUCUUGCUGACAUAAGACAUCCAGGAUCUCACAUUGCCACAUACCAAAAUUAUUGGUACCGUCAAAUUUCUCUACUUCAAAUUUUGCAUUUGUCACAGUAGUCCUUGCUGAUGACGAUGCUGCUGCCAUUUUUCUCCUCAAUCCCAACUACUGUAUACGUGAACAGUACUGUAUACGUGAAUAGUACCGUAUACGUGAAUAGUGCCGUAUACGUGAAUAGUACUGUAUAUGUAAAUAGUACCGUAUACGUGAAUAGUGCCGUAUACGUGAAUAGUACUGUAAACGGUCGUAUUCCCCAAGUACGAACCUGGCUCUGAUACCAAUUGUUGCGCGGAAGCGUGUGAAAGAGUAAAAUUAUUGUACUAAAAAAUCACACUAAGUUCAAUUCCCAAGAAAGAGAGGUGGAUCACGAGGAUCGCUUACAUACCAGAUCUUUCCUAGCCAGAAUAUCCCUAUAUCGUAAUUUAAUAGCACAAUAAAUCACUACAAUGACACUUGCAAAAUAUGCAGAACAAAAAAUAAAGAACACUAGAAUUUUAACGAGGUUCAGCAAAUUUUGCCUACGUCCUCGGGCACUACCAAAUAUAUUUCACUCCAAAAAAUACAAGUGAAAGUUUACAAAUAGGGAGAGAGAACAAUUGCCUUAAGUAGAGAAUGGCAAGUGUGGGAUGAAGAAAGUAAGAAAUGGUUAGGCCUAUUUAUAGUUGAGGUUCAAGGAUCAACUUGCAAUGUCCCUAUACAAUUAGGGACCAAAAUUGCAAUUAUCCCAUGCCAACUUUUAACCCAACUUGCCAACCAAUUUUACUUUCUACUUUCGGUGCCCACCCUUUUUGACUUUUCAAACAAUGAGUGGGUUCCAAUAGUAACAAAAGAGAAGGACAUUCGUACCUGGAGUGUCAUGAUAUGGGGUUGGGCAACCCAUGGGUUUUAUGGACAAGCUAUCCGAUGCUUCAAAAAGAUGAUGUUUUCAGGUGUGGACUUAGUAGUUUUCAUUGAGCUCAACCCUUUAUUCUAAUCUUUCUGAAUAAACUCAAGUUUGUCGUAUUUGCAGGAAUAAAACCCGAUGCGGUGGUCUUUCUUACCCUCCUGACUGCAUGCUCACAUUCUGGACAAGUAGAUCUUGGGCUUAACUUCUUUGAUAGCAUGAGGUUUGAUUACUCCAUUGAGCCAACCAUGAAGCAUUAUACGUUGGUCGUUGAUUUGUUAGGCAGGGCAGGCCGACUGGAUGAAGCAAUGAAGUUCAUACAAAGGAUGCCUAUAAGUCCUGAUUUUGUGGCAUGGGGAGCACUUUUUGUGCUUGCAGAGCUCACAAAAAUAUUAAAAUGGCAGAACUAGUGUCAGAAAAGCUCCUUCAGCUUGAACCUAAACAUCCUGGGAGCUAUGUUUUCUUGUCAAAUGUUUAUGCAGCAGUUGGUAGAUGGGAAGAUGUGGAGAGGGUAAGAAUGUUGAUGCAGAAUCAAGCUGUUGGCAAAGAUCCGGAGUGGAGUUAUAUUGAAGUCAAUGGACAAGUGCAUAGUUUUGUAGCUGGUGAUCAUGAUCAUAAGCGUGCAAGAGAAAUAUACUUGAAAUUAGAGGAAAUAGUGUCUGGUGCAAGAGAGCAAGGAUAUAUGCCUGAAACUGGGUGGGUUCUUCAUAAUAUUGAGGAAGAAGAGAAGGAAGAUGCAUUAGGAAGUCACAGUGAGAAAUUGGCGCUUGCCUUUGCCUUAAUGAACACUCCUCCGGGGACAACUAUUAGGAUAGUGAAGAACUUAAGAGUAUGUGGAGAUUGCCAUUCUUUGAUGAAAUGUGCUAGUAAGAUGAGCCAAAGAGAAAUCAUAUUGAGAGAUAUAAAGAGAUUCCACCAUUUCAAGUAUGGGGUCUGCUCAUGUGGAGAUUAUUGGUAAAAUGGUAAGUAACAGCAACAUUAAUUUGCUUUGCUGUUAAUAGCACAUGAUUAGUGCUUCUACUUGGUUUAUUUAGAAUAAUGCUUUUAGUUAAAACAUGGAUGUAGCUACAGCAACACAAGUUUUUUUGUUUGAUAAUUGGUAGCAAGUACAUUAAAUUUCUCCAAUGGACCUUUCUGCACAUAUAUAUUAAACUUGAAACUCAUUAGUUAAGUUUGUACUUUAUUUAGGUAUCUAAUUAACGUUGUUAGAUUUUUUCAAUUUCAACUUAUCAUCUUGUGCCACUUCUUUCUCUUCCCUUUAGUGAAAUUUAGCACUUUAAAAGAUGGGUUGCAUUUUGCUCCCUCUGUCAAAAAAAAUGGACAGAUUAAGCUAUACACGUUAGAUCAAAGAGCAAAUAGGUCUUUUUGUUUAAAAAUCCAUCAAUUUUUGUUGUUAAAAAUCAAUCCAUUUACAUCAACAUAAAAUAUAUAACUGUUUGGGUAUCUCAUCAUCCAUGUUAGUUUUUAGCAAUACAAAUGGAUAGAAUUUUUAACAAAAAAAACCAGUUUAUUGUUUGAUCUAACAUACAAUGACUAAUUUGUCAAUUUUUUAAGUAAAUAAAGCAUAAUGCUAAUUGACUCUUAGUAUAAUAUCUCUAUGGUACUUUUAUCAAUACUAUCUCUAUUUAUGAAAUUAAAAAUACUUAAAUAAUUAGAUUUAUUGUAUAUUGUGAUAAAAAAUUAUGUAAGAAAUGCAUUUAUUAAAAAUCCAUAUAAAAUCUAAAUGAUGAUUGUAAAGUUAAAUGUUCUGGUGCAAGAGAGCAAGGAUAUAUGCCUGAAACUGGGUGGGUUCUUCAUAAUAUUGAGGAAGAAGAGAAGGAAGAUGCAUUAGGAAGUCACAGUGAGAAAUUGGCGCUUGCCUUUGCCUUAAUGAACACUUCUCCGGGGACAACUAUCAGGAUAGUGAAGAACUUAAGAGUAUGUGGAGAUUGCCAUUCUUUGAUGAAAUGUGCUAGUAAGAUGAGCCAAAGGGAGAUCAUAUUGAGAGAUAUAAAGAGAUUCCACCAUUUUAGGUAUGGGGUCUGCUCAUGUGGAGAUUAUUGGUAAAAUGGUAAGUAACAACAACAUUAAUUUGCUUUGCUGUUAAUAACACAUGAUUAGUGUUUCUACUUGGUUUAUUUAGAAUAAUGCUUUUAGUUAAAACAUGGAUGUAGCUACAGCAACACAAGUUUUUUUGUUUGAAAAUUGGUAGCAAGUACAUUAAAUUUCUCCAAUGGACCUUUCUGCACAAAUGAUAUAUGUCCCCAUAAAGAACUUGGUGCUCACGGUAUUGCAUGACAGGUAGCCAUAGGUUAUUCGCUCUCUUGAUUGGUAUCUUACAUUCCUCAAGGUCCAAAAGUUGUUCCUUCUUUUUGUCUGAAGUCCAAACCUAAGAAAAGCAUUGAUGGGCCUUUAAAACUUUGCUCAUUUCACUACAUGAACUAUUGGAUGUUUUGUGUUCAAAUUAGUUUAUGCCAGUAGUGAAAGUACAUCUCUUUCUCCUUAUCCAGUUAUUCUUUUCAGUUGUCAUCAUCUUUCUGUGUCUUGCCUUCUGAAGUGUUUAGAUGACUGCAUUUCUCAAUAUAAUUUUCAUUUGACCUAAAUAGUUGAAAUUAAAGUCCCUUAUCAUGCCAUUCAUUACUUUGCUUCUAUAUGGUAGUUAUUCUUCAAUGUCCAUGAAUUGACAUAUAUCACUGGAAGCAUAAUCUUACUUCUAAGCAUGGGAUUGACCUUCUUUAAUGCAGGUUCUUCUGUAAGACUCAAACCAUAGAUGGGCAAGGCUUGAGAAAAUAAAGUUGUAAGUGUUGAACCAGGAAGGACGAUGUUGGCCAUGUUAUAAACAUUCCUCCAGAAUGACUAAACAUCGAGGAAAAGGUUCAACCAUGAGUGGUCCACUGAAACGUGCUUGGUCGAACACGUGCCAAUUAUCAGCUACGUAUCAAAUCCCACAAUUAUAAAUGUAGAUUGGGUUCCAUGCUCUGGUUAAUCCAUUAGAUGACACGGUCCAUUGAAAAGGUACUAAAUUACUGAUGUUUGGUCCAUAUAUGAAUCUGUUUAUUUAAUGGCCAGCAUUAAUUGUUAAUUCUCUUGUUUGCGGGUGACUUUUCCUCUAGCAUGCCUUAUGGAAAGAAGUGUCAGUGACAACCUUUUAAUCAACAGCAACUUACCCUACUAAUGAGCAUUUGGAGCAUUUCAUAGCUCGUUCAGUUUAUUCAAAGACUCAUUUUUACCUGCACAGCAUGUUCCCGCCCAGUAAUCAGUGGGCCAAUUAAUGAAGGAGAGGAUAGUUUGCUAGACACAUGUUUUUUGUGUGAGCUUUCUGGUCUUUUAUGUAGUUGUGGUGUUGACAAUUUUUGUUGUUCUUUACAUAAAUUCUUAUUGGCUAAGCGCUUGGUUUUCUUUUAUUGGAAAGUGCAUCACAACCUGUCGUUACUCAACAAUGGCCAAUUUUCUUGCAUAUCACAUCUUCAGGCAAUGUGAUUAUGUUGAAAAUUGGCCUACCAUGCUUGCUGUAAUACUUCCGGAUGAAGUACGUGCUAGCAAUUGUUCAUGCUGCAGCACGUAUGCUUGCUGUAACAGCAAGAUUUUUGUUUUAGUUUCACUGUAAUCAGCCUAGUUGGAAAUGAACAAGCUGAUGACAGCUUGAUAUGUUUAGGUGUUGAAUGACUAAUUUAGGUGGCUUGUUUCUGUGUACAAGCAAUGUUUUUAAAGUUAGUAGGCUACUUAGUGGUAGUAGGUAGUAAUAACUGAUGUAGUUGGCUAUAAAUGUAUUGUUUUUUUAUUGAAAAAUUAAGCAUAUCAGUGGUUAAAACAGAUUGCUUCCUUGCUGCACGUUUGUGAGCAAGUAAAUUAUUCUUGCAGCUUGCUUCAUUGUCUUGUUCUGUUCUCUGUUUUCUUCCUCUGCUGUCAAAAAACCCAACAGAUUAGCUAUCGUGAAGAUUUCAACAAAGUCGGUUCGUGUUGAUUCAAGGAAAAAAAGAUAUUACGAUUUGAUUUCCUCACCUAAUUGUUUUACUAUGCGAAGUUGGAUUGUGAGGAAUAUUUUGUUGAUUUCUGCAUUUUGAAUAAAGAGCUCUUAGGUUUGUGUGGCCGACGUUUAUAGUUUUAUCUUUCGAUUUUAUCUUUUUUUUUGUAUGAAAUUUAAAGUUUAAUCAAAACUAAUUGUUAUGUGUAUGUAAUAGCUAUUUGAAUUAAAUUAAAUUGACAAAUCAACGUACACUAGUGCAUACUAAAAAAAAUGUAAUAUAAAAUUAAACCAAAAUUGAAUCUAAAACUUAAAUAUUUUAAAACCUCAAACAUAUGGCAACUCUUCACUCCUCUUUCCCUCUGAAGUUAUUUUAAUUUAAAAUAUAUUUUGUAUAAUGUGUUAUAACAAUUCAACUAAACAAAGUGAUUCUCUUUGCAUAACAUAUUAUAUGCUUAUAUAAACUUUUACACAAUUUGUUAUAGAUACAUUUUUAAUAAUUGAAUGAUGACUCCAUUAAAAAUGCAAUAUCAUAAUAAUUCUACAUUUCUUGCAUUAAUAUAAAAUUUUCCUUUUUUUUUCCUCCAAGCCUUGUUUAUUAUCUUUUGUUUUGCCAAAUGGCAGUGCCAGCUUUCAGGCUAGCUAUCGCCCGCCUUUUUCUCCCUCCCAUUAAUCCUUUUUUUCUUUUUUCUUCUCAUUCACUCCACAUGUCUUCUUUCUUUUCAGUUUGUAGAUCUAUUUUAUGAGAAUCUUUAUUUUCUUCACAAGUUGUGAUAGACAGAUGACGACGCCUAUGUUCGUUAAAACUUCAUCGGCCACCAAUAAUUUUUCAGAAUAAUAAAUAAUUUCAUGAGUCGAUUUGGAUUCUUGUUAUCAUAAGUUUUAUAUAUUUUUUAGUUUGUUUUUCAUUGUUUAAUAGGUUUUUAGUUUUAGAAGUUUUUGUCUACUCUUGUAACACGUUUUUUAGUCUUGCUUAUGCAUGUAACCUUAGUUUUACAAGUGAUUUUAGAGAUGGUUUUGUUACCGUCUUCUCUAGUUUGGUGAAUGCUCAAUUCUUUUGUCCAUUUUUGCUCGUCACUUUGGACCAUUCGAGGCUGAUUUUCUUUAUCGCAUUAAGUGCUUGCGAUCACUCCAAAUAUAUCGUGCUUAAGUUGUGAUAAAGCCUGUACAAGCCCAAUUUUUAUGCCCGGGCCCAAUUGACCCAACAAAACCGAACGGCCCAACAGACUAAGGCCCAAACCCAACAAAGACUAGGGUUUCAGAACCCUAGCCCCUCCAUCAGCGCCGCAUGCUAGGGUCUCUGACUUCUGCCCCGUCGGCGCAAACGGCGCACCUACCCCGUCCGUGUCACGUCUCCUCCAUCGCCCUACACCUGCAAACAAUAAAGAGAGAAGCAGACAACACAAAACAGGGGAAAGAUUGAAUCUUUUUUUUUUGUUCUUUCGGUUAUAAAGCCGAACGUAUCAAAUAAGAAAAAGGGGGGAUUUUUUGCAAAAAAAGAAAAUCACAUCAGAAAUAAGAAAAGGAACAAAGGUUGCUGUGUUCUUCAUUUUAUUCUUUUUUGAUUCGUUUACUUUCAUUUAUUUUUAAACAAAUCCGUUAAAAAAUAUAUCAAUAAAAAGGAAAAGAAAAAAAGGAGCGCACCUGAAUCGCUCUCUGGCUCCGUCGACGGAGGUUCUCUCGCCGUUGUCGGCCCGGAUCUGAAGGAGGGAUUCAGAGCCCUUGUCUCGGCGCUCGUAGGGGUUCAAGGACCCGAUUUUCAAAUCGCCCGAAGGCCAGGCUUUUUAAAAACCCUUUGUUGCGCUUCGUUGGCCGCCGUUUCGGUGGCGGUGCGACGGACAGACGGACGAUGGUGAAAAGCCAAUCGUCGGAGGGCAUGAAGAGAGAGUGGGGGAAAGAGUUCUGAAUUUUUUUUUUUAAAAGAGGGAUGAAAUGAUUUUUUUAGGGGUUUUGAUUUAUAUAAGGAUCCAAAACGGCGCCGUUUUGGAAGGGUCAGAAAGCCCCUAAAACGACGCCGUUUUUGCAUAAGACCCGAGACCCAACCCGUCUGCCUUAGGGGAUCCGCGUGUUUUUUACGGAAGGGCUAAUUUCACGUUUAAUCCUUCCGCUUUUUAAUUAUUUUAAAAUUAGGUUCUUUUGAUCUUUUUAAUUUUACCCGGAAAUUGUUUUCGUUUUCAAUUUGAUCCUUACCCAAACUACGUCGUUUUAAAGAAAGGGCCAUUUCUUUGUUGGUCCCUCCAUGUUUUAUGCUUGUUUAGAGCAGUCCUUCCCUUUUCGUUUAUUUGCGUUUUGAACCCCCCGAAUUUUGUUUUAAUGUUUAAUCUAAUCCUUCUGCUAUUUUGUUUAUUUUCUUAACAAAUUUAUUAUUAUUAUUAUUAUUACAUAUUCAUUUAUAACAUCUAAUUUUAGAUUUAAUCAUAUAUAUAAAUAUACGUCCAUGAUAUAUACCUACUUUUUAUAUAUACUUUAUAAUUUAUAUAUACAUAUACACAUUUUAAUUUAUGUACAUAUCUACACAUAUUUUUCAUACUUUACUCAUAUAUAUAUACAUGUACUUAUACAUAUUCUUUAUAUCUUAAAAUCCAUAUUUUUCUUAUGUAUAUAUUUUAUAUUUUAUAUUUUAUAUAUAUGUGUUUAUAUAUUCUACGAUAUAUAUUUAUAUGCAUAAUAAAUACAUAUCUAUAUACGUUUCGAUUUUUAUAAACACAUAUAUAUGUAUGCAUACCUUUAUAUUUCUUAUAUUAAAUACAUAUAUAUAUAUUUAUAUAUCCCUUUAUACUUCUAAAAUCAUAUAUUUUGUAUAUAUUCUUUAUAUUUUAUGAUUCCUAUAUGUACCCACAUAUAUACUUUUUGUAUUGUAUGAUUGUUAUUUACGUAUAUGUACGUACAUACAUACUUACACCUAUUUUCAUGUAUAAUAGCCUUAUAAUAUGUGUACAUACAUGUAUUUUUCAUAUUUCCAUAUACAUACACAUAUAUCUUUUUAUUUUAUAUAAUCUUACUCAUUUUAUUUAUUUAUUUAUUUACAUGUCUAUUAUUAUUAUGCUCUAGUUUUUAUUUAUUUAUUUAUUAUUUGUUAUUGUGCUUGCUUGAUCCUUUUAUAUAUUAAUCUUAUUUUUUAUUUUUAUUUUGAUCAUGUCAUUUUACUUACAUUAUCAUCAUCAUUCCGUUACACUCAUUUUUUUGUUUAGAUUUCAAAAAAAAAAAGAAGAAAUUUUAAAAAUAAGUAACACUCGGUAUUUUGGAUCUUCGAGAGAAUCGAGUCCUAACGUAUUGGGUUCCGACUUUCUUCGUUGAAUUUAAAUAAUCGAGAUUACUCUUUUAAAAAUGAUAAAAAAGCUCGUUAUCGAGAAUUCAAUACGUUGUGUCCCAACGGAUUGGACGUAACACGGUGUUUUCUCGAGACGAGGAUUUUUCGAAAUAAACGUAAUAUUCAAUGUUUAAUCUUUUGAGAAAUUGUGCCCUAACGUAUUGGGUUGUGAUUUCUUCAUUUGAUUUAAACAAUUGAAUAUCCUUUUAAACUUUAUUACAUGGAUCUUUUCAAACUCAAGUUUUAAACAACCUCGGGAAUUAAAAGAGGAUCGUGUCCUAACUUACUGGUCGUAAUCCCUUUUUUAAUUCGAGAUCGUUAAAUAUCUUUUAAAUAAGCUUUUUUCAUUCGCGUAUUGGGAAUUCGACAUAUUGUGUCUUAACUUGCUAGAUAUGAUAUUCUGUCUCGAAUAACGUGAAAUAUGCCCCUUUUCCUGAAAAUUUUCAACGUUUUAAUACAAGGAUCGUAUUUUUAAAAUUCUUCUAAGUUAUCAAUUUUCGACACUAAGACAUUAACUAAUCAACUAGGUACCAAUUUUGGGCGUAUCGAGGGUGCUAAUCCUUCCUCGUGCGUAACCGACUCCCGAACCCGUUUUUCUGAAUUUCGUAGACCAGACUUGUUGUUUUAAUAAAAUUAAAUUGUUUAUUAAAAACAACCACUUUUCGAGGUGAUCCAAUCACCCCUCAUAAAAAAGGAUUGGUGGCGACUCCCGUUUUUUUAUUUUCGUCAAAACCCAAGUCGACCCCGUUUUUCAUCCAAAAAAAUGGUGUCAACAAAGCCAAUUGUCAACAUGUCAUAACGUUCUAUUUAUGCUAAGGCUAAAGCCUUCGUUGGGUUGUUGGAGCUUGUCAUUUACCAUCUACGACGAGUGCUUAUUUUUUUCCCUGAAUUGUAUGAUUCCAUUCAUUGAAUGAAUUAACGAAUUUACCUUUCAAAAGAAAAAAAAUUCAUAAAUUUUGAAAUACAAAAUGAAUGUGUUUUGAUAUUUUUAGGGCAAUGGUUUAGUGGUUUAAAUUUUUUUAUUUAAUAUGGUGAAUUUAAUUAUAAUUUUUUAUUUAUUAGAUAGUAGAAUAUCUCUUACCAUUUAUAAUUAAGUUUAGGUUAAAAUAUUUUAUUAAAUUUUUGGACUUUUCACAAAUUUUAAAUUUAAUCUGUUUACUUUUAUUCAAGAAUUUAAUCUCUCUGCAUAUAAAGGAGGUAAUUAUGGCAAGGGGAAUUACCAUGGCAGAGGUAGCGGAGGCUGAGGAAGAGAUGCUGGAUAUGCUGAAGAAAGAUAGAUGGCUGAGAAACAGAAAAACUUUAGGAACAAUAUUCAGUGUUAGAAGUAUGGGGAUGUGAAGGCAGAUUGUUGGAAAAGGGGAAAACAAGCAAAUUAUGCGGAAGAUGAUGAAGAGAUUUAAGUUAUUUAUGAGCUGUCUAGAUGACACCAUAGCUUCAACUAACAUUUGGCUUCAAGGGCGUAUAUCUCAUGAUGAAGAGAUUGUCUCUCUUCUUUUUUCUCAUAACAUAUUAUACGCCAUGAUAAUAAAUUUUGAUAUGCCUAUAAAUUUGAGUCUCUAUUAUUUGUAAUAUGACAUGUUUUAAUUAUUUUUUAUAUUAUGCCAUGAUUUGGUUCACUCCAUAAGUUAUAUAAAUUUAUUAUAAUAAUUCAAUUAAUUUAAUUUAGAUUAAUUUUACAUUUUUGUCCUAACUUUAGUUUUUAAUAAUUGAAUCAUCCCACCAUUAUAUUCAAUUACAAGUGUAAUACGAUUUUGCGUCAUCCCGCACCAUUAUUCUCAGUGUAAUUUUUGGUAGUGAGCAUUGAAGGGGAGAGAGAGAGAGAACAAAGAAAGAACUUACUGUAAUUUUUGGUGUAUGUAAUCGAUAACCCUCAAUGCUUAAAAUGAAAAAGAAAAUAGAAAACAAAGGUGGCAAAGUUAGUUACAAUGCCAGCUAAUUCGUUAUUGCUAUCCACAUGAAGAAUUUUAUAACCCCAACUACACGAUUUUAUGUCUACCAGCUCUCACUUUUCAUAUUUUUUGGCCAUUAGUUAUUCUAAGAUUUAACAUCACCGUUAAGCCAUGUUUAAACUCUUUUUCUUAUAUAAUAAUUAUAUUAUAUUUAAAAUUGAAAAAACUAACCAACCAAAUAUAUAUUAAUUAAUUAAUAGAAGUUUUUUGGUCAUCGAUUAAAAUAAAUCAAGAAAGACGUUGGAACCACCAACUUCUCUUUAAGAACAACACGAAUACAAGAAUCUAUGCACAACAAGUUCUAAAAUGUAUUAAGUAAAUUCAUCAUCAUGCCUUAAAAAAAGAAGAUCUCGAUAUAUCUGCUUUUGCCAAAGCAUCCGCCAUACCAUUACUUUGCCAGUGAAUAAUUGUGAACUGAAACUUAGCCAAUUGAGUGAUAUUAAUUAUAGAAAUGAUUCUUCUUGCAACCAUAGAUGAAACACCACUGAGACUAACAAACUUGGAGAAACUUGAUUUGAGUUUUAACAUCUUCAGGAACAACACAAUUUCGUUUCUUGAAGGACUUUCAAACUUAAAUUAGUCCUUGGAUAUGCAUAAUAACACUCUGCAAGGCUCAUUAAUAGAUAUUAAAGGUACUGAAGCUAUAACUUUUUUUUCUUGAUAAUUCUUUUUAAAAUAUUUCAUAAUUAAUUGUUCUGAAUUUGUACAUUCACUUCUCACAUUUCUGGGUUUUUUUUGUCCUCAACUAAAUUAAACUUAUGCAAAUUUCUUGAAUAUUUAAGUUAAGAGUUAACGUCAAAGUCAAGAGUUGAUAAGUAUUUUGUGGUCCAUUCAUAUCUUUAUUACAAAAAAAAAAUAUUCAAGAAAUUUGCAGCUAGUUGGAGUUUUGCAAUAAGGAAUUUCCACCAAGAGUUUUGGAGGAAUCAUAUCUCUAACAAAAGAAAGACCUUCAUUUGACUAAAUUUUUUAGUAUUUAUUUUAACUUCCAUUUUUAUUAAAAAAAAGGUAAAAAAAUAUGCCAAACAGGGUCUUUAGGUUACUUUUUUUAGAACUAUAUUAUGUUAUAGUACCAUAUAAGUUAGAGGAGCACAAGUUUAGAUUCAUCCAAUUUUUGAGGAAUUAAUUAAAUAUAUAUUAUUUUAAUAUUAUAGUGUAUAGGGGCAAAGUUAGAAAAAAAUUUUUGUGGAGUCGAAAUUAAAUUAUAGUUUUUACAAUAGUUAAAAAAAAUAAUUUCACUAUUUUAAAAGCAUAUAUGUUGUAAGCACUAAAUUUUUGUCCGACUAGAGUUUGUGUUUAAUUUUCAAAAUUUCAAAAAAAAAUUUUAAAAAUAAAAAUUGCAUUUUGACCCCUAAAUUUUUCCUAAAUUUCAUUUUGACCCUUAAACUUUCAUUAAAUUUCACUUAGACCCCUAAACUUUCAUUAAAUUUCAUUUUAAUCCUAAAUUUUCUAAAAAUUACAUUUAGCCCCAGAAGUUUUGCUGUAUUUGUGAUUUGGUCCUUCAGACACGUUACGUGAUUUGGGGCACCCACUUCCCAGAUUUUCAGGCCACAAUCACCCACUACCUGCAAACAAUGAGAAAGAGGACAAAAUUUGGAGCUUUUAAAAAGAAAAAAAGAGAAGAGGAAGAAAAAAAGGAGAGAAAAAAACAAGCAGAAUUUUUAGAGAAAAAUAAAAAAAGAAGCUCUCAAUCCGGCCGAUUGCCUCCACCGCCACCACGUCCGUUGCGCCACCACCAUUGUCAUCUCACCAUCGAGUCCUAAACGCAAACAAAACAAAAACAAAGAAAAAAGCAAGCAAAAGAGAAAAGGAGAAAGUGCAAAGAAGAAAAAGAAAAAGGAAAAGGGGAGAGAGCAUACCUCCGUGCACGCCAUUGUCGGCCGUCGCACCAGGCGGAGGGACAUCACCGGCGAGACAAAGGAGGUGCUGCUGAUCGGGGAGAAAGAAAGGAAGAAAAAGAAGAAGGAAAGAAGAAAAGGGGAAGAAGAAAGAAAGAAAAAAGAAAAAAAAACUAAAAAAAAUAGCAGGCCAUUUUGGUGGACCAGAUUCAGCCCAACAAGAAGCAGCCCAAACCAGUCCUUUGGCAGCCAAUAGCAACAGCCCAACAGCAAAAAAAAUAAUAAAAGGGGAGGCCCAAAAUUUAAGCCCAUAACUUUGGGCUUUUGGGUAAUUUUUUUUCUUUUUUUCUUUUUAAUCUAUUUUAUUUUAUUUUAUUUAUUUAAAUGGUGUUUUAUUUAAUUUAAAUUAGUAUGCUUUAAAACAGUUUUCAUAAAUAUUAUUAUGUCAUUUAAUUGCAUAUUUUUUUUAAAAAAUAAUAAUAUUUUAAUGCAUAAGGCAACGAACCGAUUUAGCAUCGAGUCAUCGAAUUCAUCGCUAUGUUGGAUGGAUAUCGAUAGCUCGUGUUAAAUUCGGGACACCCUUUUAAAAAUAAAAAUAUUCAAAAAUCCUCGUAUUUUAAUAAAAAUUCUCGUGUUUUAUUAGAAUCCCGAUUAAAUAUUAAAUUGAAUUGAGUUAACAUUAAUUCGAUGGUUUCAUCGCCAUAUCGGGAUGAAUAUCAUCGAUUCGUGUUAAAUACGGUAUUUUUUAAAGAAAAAUUGUGUUUCAAAAAUUUUCAUGUCUUCAAAAUUUCUCGUGUUUCGUAUUUUAUCAAAAAAUUUAUGUUUUCAAAAACAAAUUUUCUGUUUUAAAAAUUUUCGUGUUUCAAAAAGAAGAUUCGUGUUUUCAAAAAUAAAAAUAAAAAAUCUCGUGUUUUAAAUUCUUCGUGUUUUUUAAAAAAAAAUUUUGUGUUUCUAAAAUUCUUGUAUUUUAAAAUUUUCGUGUUUUCAAAAAAGAAAAAGUUGUUGCGCUUUAAAAUUCUCGUGUUCAAUCGGAUCACGACUAAUAUUAAAUUGAACUCGUAUUUUUGAAAAUGAAGACAAUGCGCGUUUAACGAGAUACCAAUUUUGGGCGUUGCGAGGGUGCUAAUACCUUCCUCGCGCGUAACCGACUCCCGGACCCUAAUUUUCUCUGGAUUUUUACGUGGACCUAAAAUUACCUCUUUUUUAGAAAAGUUUAAAAAUAAAUUUUUCUUCUAAAAAGAGAAUUUUAUAGGUGUCCGAUCACACCUAGAAAAAAUAUCGGUGGCGACUCCUUUUUCAAAUAAAAUCGAGAUUCAGUUUUCAAAUUUACAAUAAUUACUUCGACUAGCGCCCGUGCCGAAAUUUUUAGGUCGCUACAGCUGGCGACUCCGCUGGGGAACCUUUUUGAGAGUCGAGUCGAAUUAAACUCGCGUUGUCAAAAUUUUCAAAGUUUCUUGUUCAAAUUAACAUUUAGUCGUGAUCCUUAAAUUUUUUGUUUUCAAAAAAAUCAUGCAUUUGCAUCGUGUUGUAUAUAUUCUAACUUGUUUUAUCAGGUUGUUUUUCAGCUUUAAAUUUUUGCGGUUUUAGUUUUGGUUUAGUUUUUCUAAAUAAAACGUAAAGGUUUACAAGUUUCUCCCCACACACCGUGCACGUGCAUUUAUGUUGCAUAACAUGAGCUCUAUACCCGGGCUCUGUCCCUGUUAAGAGAAAGUAAAUGCUACGCCUUCGUGAGUUAACUCGUUCCUCCGCACAGGCUAGUGAAUACUUUCGGGUUACAUAUGACUUAUGCUUUCGUGAGUUAACUUGUCCCUCCGCAUAGGCAUAAGUAAAUGUAAUCCCUCGAAUUGAUCUCGUAAGCCUAUGAUGGGCCAUGACCGAGGCUCUGUACUAAUCUUAGUAGAUGACAGUGCAGACGAUUCGAGUACCCACCUAGAACCAAAACCGCAUAUAGUGAACCAUACGAGCUAUCCAAUUAGAGUCAUGCCGAACCUCUGUCCGCUUAUAGUCAUCAAAAUAAGUACACGGGGAAAAUGCCUUUUGCCUUUCAUUUACACUGUUUAUGCAAAAUAAUUGGAUUGGGUAGUUUAAUUUGUUUUUCAAAUUAUAUUUGUUGUGUUUACUAACCAAGUUUGUUUGUUUUUACUUUUAUUUUCAUCAUGCAUCAUAGGCAUCAUAUUAGGAAGGUGUUGAUUAAAAGUUGGUUGCCAAAAAACGGGUUUCUGAUGGAAGAGUCAAUUACACAAAUAACCGAGAAGAAUGCCGUGGUUCGGGACUGGUCUCUAAAAAUUCAGAGAGAAAAGAGGGAUAGUCUAGUGGAAGGGUGUGUCACUAAUUUGCCCGAACAUAUAACUGUAAAUGUUCGCCAAAAUAACUUUGAGGAUUUGGUUCAAAUUUGGAAUCAGUGGGAUUCAGACACUAGAGACAUUUUCACUCAGAGGUAUGGAGAUAUAGCUCACCUGAUCAUCAUCCAUGUAGACGAACAGUUGAUUCAAGCCAUGGUUCGGUUCUGGGACCCAGCUUAUCAGUGUUUCACCUUCAAUCAAGAAGACAUGACUCCAACCAUAGAAGAGUAUGCUGCUUUACUCCGCAUCGACAAUGUACAAUUCGGCAAAAUAUAUGUGAAGGAGCCUAAACCGAUGACCUUCAAGAAAAAGUUAGUGAGACUGACAGACAUGACUGAUGCAUGGGCCGAAAAACAGAUAAAGAAGAAGAAUGAAACCAUUUGCAUUCCAUGGUCCUCCCUACGAGAUUUGGCUCUGAACCAUCCCAACAUGCUGAAAAGGGUAAAUCUAUUCGCUUUGGCCAUUUACGGUUUGGUCAUUUUCCCAAAAGUUCUCGGACAUCUCGAAGUUGCAGUAGUUGAUUUCUUCGAAAGGUUAAAACAAGGAAUCAACCCUGUCCCGACCAUCCUAGCCGAGACCUUCAGGUCCCUGAGUAGUUGUCGAAAAAAAGGGGAGGGACGAUUUAUCAGAUGCGCGCAGUUGCUCAAUGUUUGGAUUUUGAGUCACUUCUGGAAGGUAGAGCGCACUCCGUUCCAUAUGUUUUCUAAAACAUUCUCCCCGCUAGAAGCUUACCUCAAUAAAGAAUGGCCGAAGGAAGUCACCGAGCAACAUUGGGUAUCAGUUUUUCAAAAUCUUCGCACCGAGAAUAUAACAUGGAGAGCACCCUGGAUCCGUCCUUCAGUUCUGCUAUACAAAUGUGGAAGCCAAGAUUGGGUACCUCUACUCGGGUUUUGGGGAGGAGUUGGAUAUGCUCCGCUAUUAGUCCAAAGGCAAUUUUCUUCGCGACAAUUCCUCCCCGCAACUGGAGGAUUAGCACAGUUCGAGUUCGCUUUUGCGGGUGAAGGAUAUAUGAAGAGAGUCCGAGACACUGCAAAGUAUUGGAAGGAAAUUCAUUUCAUGGAAUUAGCUUUGUAUGUUGAUACCCUUACCCAAGAUUACGACAUAUGGAGGAAGCAACGGGUAAAUAGUCAGCAAAUCUCAUCAACAAACUACACCAUCCAGAAUCCUUUCUCGGAGAAAACGCCGUCUGAGCUAGAAAUGGCAAGACAAGAAUUCGAACGAGAAAAGGCCAAGAUGUCUCGGGACCUUAGUGCCCUUCAAGAAGAAAACUAUCAACUGAAGAUUGAAGUUCAGGUUGAAAGGUCCAGGACUGAAAAGUACAAAAAGAAGCCGAGAUUGUGAGAAACGACUUAAGGGACCUUCAUUUGGAAAACAAGAAAUUAAGAAACACUAUAAAGAAUAGCGGGUUGGGUAAGUCGACAGCAGAAUGGAAGGAAGAAAUUAGCAAUAUCAAGGGAGGAAUGGAGUUUUGGAAGGGAAAAGUAAAGAAAGAGGAGGAAAAGGCUGCGCGCGCUGUGAUAGAGUUAAGAAGGAAGAACGACGAGUAUGAAAUAGUGACUGCAAAAUUUGCGAAUAGUCAGUCUGAAUAUCAAGAAUUAAAAAGGAAAGCACGAGAUCUAGAAAAUAUGCUGCAAUCUCGUCAACAACAAUUAGAUAACCUCCUGAAGGCUCUAGAGGAAAAGCAUGAUCAGUACGAUAGGGACAUUCAGGCGUAUGAAGGAACUCUCAAAGAAAAAGAAAUGCAACUCGACUUCUUGAUCAAUGAAAUUCGUAAAGCGGCUAUGCAAGUUGUUCAAUUAUCAGAUGAAGCCGAAGUUAUCAGUUGCCAAUUCCCUCCGAGCCAAAGAUCGAGCAUAUCAGAGUUUUUAGAGCAAGUGAAUAAACAAGGCAAUGUGGCUAGGAAAUUUGUGUAACUGUUGGAAAAAUGAGAACUUUGUGUAAUAGACUAUGUUGAUAAAUGAAAUGCCUAAAUAUGGGGCUAUCUUGAAAUCAACACCAAAUUCUUGCAUGUUUACUCAUAACUAACAUUUAUGCAUCAUUUAUUCUUUGGACAUUCAUCCAUUCAUAUACUCAUUCAUUCAUUCAUCACGAGUACAUAUCACCAUAAUCAUCCACCGAAACUAAAGAACCGUAUAAUCCGCAGUUGCAAGAUUUCAAAUCUGGAACCACGCAAUUCCUAUAAAACGCGCCGACAAGCUAGAGUAAUGGAGGAUGAAUUCAAUGAGAGAAUUGAAAGGAUGGAAAGGGCUCAAAAGGAAUUACAAGAGUAACUGGCCAAAUCGCAGCAAGAGACGAGAGACCUAAUGGUGAGAUCUCGAGAGGAAUCACUCGAGCAAAGAGAUCAGAUGGCUAAAAUGAUGGAGAUGAUGACAACUUUGGUCAAAGGAAAAGGACCCAUGCAGAACUCCGAUGUUAUGGAACCUCGGUCAAGAAUUCACCAUGAUCAGGAUCCACUUUAUCCCCCAGGAUUUACUCCACCUCAUGUCCACGCAAUACAACGAGGAUACCCCCAAAGGGAACCUACAGGCCUAGAACAACAUCUUGCUCCGCCCACUAAUUUGGGGCAAGGAAUGUUAGCGUCGAACCUUGGGGCUAGUCCUGCUAAUCCACUAGUUCCAGAUCUGGAUGACCUAGCAGAGGCAGCCAAGUUGAAAUUGGAUAACCAUGACGCAAAAUAUAGGAGUCUAGAGGAAAGACUCAAAGCAAUAGAAGGCACUGAAGUCUUCUCCGCACUAGGUGCCAAGGAACUCAGUUUGGUACCUGAUCUAAUUUUGCCUCCGAAGUUCAAAGUGCCUGAUUUUGAGAAAUAUGAUGGGACAAGGUGCCCAAAAGCACAUCUCAUUAUGUUCUGUCAAAAAAUAACCGGUUAUGUGAACGAGGAUAAGCUACUCAUACAUUGCUUUCAAGAUAGUCUAACAGGGUCAGCUCUUCGGUGGUACAAUCAACUUAGUAGAGAAAAGAUUCGAUCCUGGAAGGACUUGGCGUCAGCAUUUUGCGAACAGUACAAGCAUGUAUCGGAUAUGGUGCCAGACCGUAUGACCUUGCAAAUGAUGGAGAAAAAGCCAUCAGAGACCUUUAGACAGUAUGCGCAGAGAUGGAGAGACGUCUCAGCUCAAGUGGAACCCCCACUAACAAAAACGGAGAUAACCGUUCUCUUUAUCAAUACUUUAAAGGCACCGUUUUAUGACAAAUUAGUGGGAAGUGCCACGAAAGAUUUCGCGGAUAUUGUAAUAUCCGGUGAACUCAUAGAGAACGCCGUCAAGAGCGGUAGAAUGGAAGGAUCAGAAGGCUCAAGAAAAGCAGCACCCUUAAGGAAGAAAGAGCCAGAAGCCCUCAUGGUGGGAACUGGGAGUCGUUACAUUCCCAAUUCAUAUCCUAAUCAACCCCGACCUCGAGAUUAUCCACCCUCGAGUUUCCAUUAUCCCCCUCAAACCCCUUGCUACCAAGCACCACAUCCGUCCUGCCCCGUAUACGCUACGAACAACCAAAGACCCGUCACCACUUUCCCACAAAACACGGUACCCACCCAAAGCCAACCCAGAAACGAACCAAGACCAUCAAGGCAUAAUCCUGAGAGACCGCAAUUUACCCCCAUCCCUGUGUCGUAUGGGGAAUUGUACCCAAAACUUUUAGAAAAAUAGCUAAUUUCUCCCCAUUACAUGGCACCCCUUAAACCUCCAUACCCAAAGUGGUACGAUCCAAACGCUAGUUGUGCAUACCACGCAGGGAACCAAGGGCACUCUACUGAGAACUGUCUCACUUUCAAAAGGAGAGUUCAAGGACUCAUUGAUGCGGGUAUCCUACGAUUCGAUAGUGCUAGUAAAGCCACGGAGAACCCGUUCCCUAACCAUACCGAAGGGAAUGUGAGCACAGUGGGGAAAGAGGAUGAAUGGAAGGUCAGAAGAUGUGUAUCAGAAAUAAGGACGCCUCUGCAGAAAAUCUGGGAGGUAUUGGUUAAGAAAGGAUUGCUCUGUCACUCUGAUAGAAUUUUUGGAGAAGAAGGUCAAAGUUUUUGCAAUUUUCAUGGGAUUGUUGGGCACGACAUUCAGUCGUGCGAGGACUUUAAAAGGUUACUUCAAGACUGGAUGAAUAAUAAAGAGAUCAAGGUCCUUAACAAGAGUGAAGAUGCCAACGAAAGAGAAGUAUGUGUCUCUGAUAGCCAAUCACCAGGUCCCCCUUAUAGUGCUGAUCGACCGUUGGUAAUUUAUUACGACGCGAUGAGAGAGCCCUUGAAACCACAGAUGGUAAUUGAAGUACCAUCUCCUUUCCCGUAUAAGGACAACAAAACAGUACCGUGGAGAUAUGAUGUUAAUAUCGUUACACCGGAAGUUGAAAAGUCCAAAGCCAUAAUUGAAGAUGUUGGGGAGGUAGGUCAUUUUACUCGAAGUGGACGAUGUUAUUCUAAAGAAGUUGAAUCGGUAAAGAAAAGUAGCGACUCGAAGCAAAAAGGAAAAGCAGUGAUGCACAAGGUCGAAGUCGAGCAAGAAAUUCCACCCGUGCAAGAAACUAAAAAGCUUGUGAAUGAGGAAGAAGCUCAAGAAUUCUUGAAAUUUAUUAAGCACAGUGAAUAUAGUGUGGUGGAACAAUUGAGCAAGCAGCCAGCACGAAUCUCAGUUCUAUCUCUACUGUUAAAUUCAGAGCCACACCAGAACGCUUUAUUGAAGGUGUUAAAUCAAGCUUACGUGGCCAACAACAUAUCUGUCGAAAAGCUUGAUAGGUGGGUAAACAAUCUGAAUGCGGACAACUUCAUCUCUUUUAGUGAUGAUGAGAUACCGCUAAAUGGUAGAGGUUCGGUGAAAGCGCUGCAUAUCACGACCCGCUGCAAGGGCUACAUAAUACCGAACGUACUCAUCGAUAAUGGGUCAGCGUUAAAUGUUAUGCCAUUGGCUACACUUUCCAAAAUACCGAUGGAUUUGUCCUACUUAAAGCCCUGUCAUUCCAUGGUAAGGGCAUUCGACGGGACGAAGUGCAAAGUCAUGGGAAAGAUCGAAAUCCCUUUGGAAGUGGGCCCCUACAUCUAUGAGGUCGAAUUUCAAGUUAUGGACAUUACACCCUCUUAUAACUGCCUUUUGGGAAGACCUUGGAUUCAUUCUGCAGCAGCAGUCCCAUCAUCCCUCCAUCAAAAAGUGAAAUUCAUCAUGGAUGGCUGUUUGGUCACAGUCGAGGGCGAAGAAGACAUUAUCGCAUCUAUCUCUGUUGAUGCGCCAUACCUGGAAGUAAGCAAGGACGUAGUGGAAUGUUCCUUUCGAUCCCUUGAAUUCAUCAAUGCCACUUUCGUCGCUGAGGGAAAUAGAAUUUCGAUGUCAAAACUGUCGAGAAAUACCAGAAUGGGUGUCAAGUUGACCGUAGGAAGGGGAGCUUGUGCGAGAAGAGGUUUAGGGAGACAUAUGCAAGGAAUAGUGAGGGCUUUAAAGCCAGUGCACCACAAGGCCUGAUACGGUUUGGGGUUCCAGCCUGACAUGCGCCAAAGAAGAAGACAGUGGAAGAAGGAUCAAGAAAGAAGAAUUGCAAGAACUUUGGGCCGAGAACCAGAAUGGGAACCAAUAGAGUACCCUCCUUUGUCAAAAACAUUUACAUCUGCGGGAAUGAUGUACCCUGGACAAGAGGAUCCACGAAACAUGCUGGGAUUAAUUGAAAAGGAUUUUCAGAAUGUUAGUAUAAAUGUCAUUGACAAAGAAGCUGGUGCAAGUAAAGAUGUCUCGAGGAUACGCCAUUGCCCUCCUGGUUUCAUGUUGAACAAUUGGAUAGCUGAGGAGCUUCUUGUAGUUUAUAAGCCUUCAGAGUAAUGCUAAACAUCAACCUUCUAUUGUGUCCUUAGAUAUAAUAGAGUUCUUUUGUAAGAGUUUGCAUUCGCUCUUUAUCAUUUAAAUGAAUAUCAAUGAAGAUGCAUUUUGUCACGAUUUUUCGCAUUAUCACUAAUUUCAUAAUCAUUUUCUCAUUUCAUAGCCUAUCCUUACAUUUGCCUCAUUGCCAUGACAUAAAAUUUUGUUUGUUGUUUCCAAUACUUGGAUGUCCCCCGAUAGCUUCCUUUUCCAUUCAACUUUCAGGUGCUCAGAUAUUGACGACAUGAAUAAGCCCGUUACGAAUCUUGAAAUUGAUUUUGAGAAGGCUGUUUGCUUAGGAGAAUUUGAAGCCGAAGAAAAUGCUGAAGAUUAUGUCUCGUCUCUUGAAUUGUUAAGAAUGGUGGAACAAGAGGAUAAACAGGUUCUGCCUCAUGAAGAAUCUGUAGAAACAAUAAAUUUGGGCACUGAAGAGAGGAAACAAGAAGUGAAGAUUGGGACUUCUAUUUCAGAAAGUACCAGACGUAGUUUGAUCACUUUACUCCGCGAAUACAAAGAUGUUUUCGCGUGGUCAUACCAGGACAUGCCAGGGCUAGAUGAAGAUUUAGUGGUCCAUAAGCUCCCAUUAAAGCCAGAAUGCAAGCCCAUCCAGCAAAAAUUAAGACGGAUGAGGCCCGAAAUCCUGUUGAAAAUAAAAGAGGAAGUCAAGAAGCAAUUUGACGCUGGCUUCCUACAAGCCUCCAAAUAUCCAGAAUGGGUGGCUAACAUAGUCCCGGUACCAAAGAAAGAUGGAAAAGUACGAAUGUGCGUGGAUUACCGUGACCUGAAUCGAGCAAGCCCAAAAGAUAAUUUUCCCUUGCCACAUAUUGACACGUUGGUGGACAACACAGCAAAACAUUCAUUGUUUUCUUUCAUGGAUGGAUUCUCGGGGUAUAAUCAGAUCAAGAUGGCUCCUGAGGAUAUGGAGAAAACUACCUUCAUAACAAUGUGGGGAACGUUCUGCUACAAGGUGAUGCCAUUCGGGUUAAAGAAUGCUGGGGCAACAUAUCAGAGGGCUAUGGUGACAUUAUUCCAUGACAUGAUGCAUAAGGAAAUAGAGGUCUACGUCGAUGAUAUGAUUGCUAAAUCUCGAGGAGAAGAAGAGCAUGUAAUGAACCUCAAGAAGUUGUUCGAAAGGCUGAGAAAGUUUCAGCUAAAGCUUAAUCCAGCCAAAUGUACAUUCGGGGCUACCUCGGGAAAGUUGCUAGGCUUCAUUGUCAGUGAAAGAGGUAUCGAAGUUGAUCCAGAUAAAAUAAAAGGCAUCCAAGAAUUACCACAUCCGCCACGCAAAAGGAAGUUAGAGGAUUUUUAGGGAGAUUAAAUUACAUCGCCCGAUUUAUCGCUCAACUUACCAACCAAUGCGACCCAAUCUUUCGGCUUCUUCGAAAACAUAGCCCGGGAGAAUGGAACGAGGAAUGCCAAGUGACCUUUGAUAAGAUAAAACAAUAUUUGUCCAGUCCUCCAGUGCUAGUACCGCCAACUCCGGGAAGACCAUUAAUUUUGUAUCUGACAGUGUUCGAAAGUUCAAUGGGUUACGUACUGGGACAACAUGACGAGUCAGGAAAGAAAGAAAAGGCGAUCUACUACCUCAGCAAAAAGUUCACUGAAUAUGAGGCAAAAUAUUCGUCCGUUGAGAAAUAUUGUUGCGCUCUGGUUUGGGUAGCUCGGAGACUCAAACAAUAUAUGUUGUAUCACACGACAUGGCUAAUUUCAAAGCUGGACCCAAUAAAAUACAUGAUGGAAUCGCCGGCACUAUCAGGAAGAAUGGCACGAUGGUAGCUCCUCCUUUCGAAAUAUGACAUUGCCUAUGUAAGUCAGAAGUCAAUAAAAGGGAGCGCAAUAGCUGACUUCUUAACAACUCGAACGACAGAGGAAUAUGAGCCUUUAAGAUUCGAUUUCCCAGACGAAGACUUAAUGUGCAUCACAGAAAUAGAAUCCGAGUCAUCAAAAGAGAAGUCAUGGAAGAUGUUCUUUGAUGGUGCGUCAAAUGCUUUAGGGCAUGGAAUUGGAGCAAUCCUGGUAUCACCAGACGGGAAUCAUUAUCCGUUCACUGCAAGACUGAACUUCUUCUGUACCAAUAAUAUCGCAGAAUAUGAGGCCUGUAUCAUGGGGUUUCGUGCAGCUAUCGAACGAAACAUCGAGAUCUUAGAGGUGUACGGGGACUCAGCCCUAGUGAUUUACCAAAUCCGUGGAGAAUGGGAAGUGAGGGACUCAAAAUUGAUUAAGUACAGCGAUUUAGUGGCUGGAUUGAUCAAGGAAUUCAAAGAAAUAACUUUUCAUUACUUCCCACGAGAAGAGAACCAACUGGCUGAUGCCCUAGCCACUUUGGCUUCAAUGUUCAAAGCAAGUAGAGAAGCAGAAAUAAUGCCCCUCAAAAUGAGCAUAUACGAGGUCCCUGCACACUGUUGUAGCAUUAAGAAAGAAGUAGACGGACGGCCUUGGUUUCAUGAUAUCUUAGAAUAUAUCAAGAAUCAAAGGUAUCCCGAACAAGUAAAUGAGAACGAUAAAAGAACAAUUAGAAGAAUGGCAGCGGGAUUUGUUCUUGAUGGGGAUAUCCUGUAUAAAAGAGGAAAGGAUCAGAUGCUUUUGAGAUGUGUGGAUGAUGUUGAAGCCAGAAAAAUACUUGAAGAGGUCCAUGAGGGAGUUUGCGGAACGCAUGCCAAUGGUUUCAAUAUGGCCAGAAAGAUCAUGAGACUCGGUUAUUAUUGGCUGACAAUGGAAAGUGACUGCAUCAAUUUUGCCAGAAAAUGCCACAAAUGUCAAAUCUACGGCGAUAAAAUUCAUGUAGCCCCUUCACCCCUUCAUGUCAUGACUUCUCCGUGGCCUUUUUCUAUGUGGGGCAUGGAUGUCAUAGGGCCAAUUUCUCCAAAAGCUUCAAAUGGACAUCGAUUCAUUUUUGUGGUUAUCGAUUACUUCACAAAAUGGAUUGAAGCCGCUUCAUUUGCCAAUGUGACGAAGACUGCAGUGUGCAAGUUUUUGAAAAAGGAAAUCAUUUACCGAUAUGGUUUGCCUGAAAGAAUCAUCUCAGAUAAUGCCACGAAUCUGAACAAUAAGAUGAUGAAAGAAGUGUGUGAGCAGUUUCAAAUAAAGCAUCAUAAUUCCUCGCCCUAUCGCCCAAAGAUGAACGGGGCUGUUGAAGCAGCUAACAAGAACAUUAAGAGGAUCAUUGGGAAAAUGACUGAGACAUAUAAAGAUUGGCACGAGAAACUUCCAUUUGCUUUGUUUGCAUAUCGUACAUCUGUGCGAACAUCUACGGGAGCAACUCCUUUCUCUCUAGUCUAUGGAAUGGAAGCUGUGCUACCUAUCGAGGUUGAGAUCCCCUCUCUGUGAGUAUUGAUGGAAUCAAAGUUAGAAGAAGCAGAAUGGGUUCGAGCUCGAUAUGAUCAGUUGAACCUCAUUGAAGAAAAACGUCUAAGGGCAAUUUGUCAUGGGCAAAUGUACCAAAAGAGAAUGAUCGCAGCCCAUGACAAGAAGGUACGACAAAGAGAGUUCCAUGAAGGAGAACUCGUUCUGAGAAAGAUUCUCCCAAUACAAAAAGACCUGCGAGGAAAAUGGGCACCAAAUUGGGAAGGACCAUACGUUGUAAAAAAGGCAUUCUCGGGAGGAGCUUUAAUCCUUACCAAGAUGGAUGGGAAGGAGUUACCGAAUCUGGUGAAUUCGGAUGCGGUGAAGAAAUAUUAUGCUUAAGAUGAAAACCCGAAAAGGGCAUCUUAAAAAAAAAGGGUGAAAACCCGAAAAAGGUGUCUUGAUUAGUACAAAAAGAUUAGGAUGAAAACCCGAGAGGGCGUCCUAAUGAAACAAACCUGGCGGUCAAACGAUAGGUCAAGUAGUGAGACUACAGUAUUUGAAGCACUUCUGAAAGCUCGAAAUUUUCUACGCAAGAAGCCAUGCUCGAAAAGAUAAUUGAUUGAGGAACGUAGAAGAGUUCAUGUGUUGAAUAUCUAGAGCAUUAGUAUCCGUUGAAUACGACCUUUUCUUUCUUUUUGACAUUUUUACUCUCAUUGGUUAACUUUCUUUGUUUGCCACACUUGAAAUAAAGGAAUAUGAGAUAUCCUUUGUGUCCCUACCUGACCAUUUUCAUGCAUCUCAUUAUGUGUUUAUUUAAUGAUAAAUAGUGAAAUGACAUACUCUAAACAAAAGAAAUGUCAAGCAUUACCCGGAUAAGAAUUUGAUAAGUGCAAGAUCUUCAAAGCAAGAACAAAGUUUAACCAAGGGCAAAAGGGUGAUAUCUGAGAAACGUCGAUUACUCGUAAAGCUCGAAGACAGGUAUGAGGCCUGAAGAGAAGGUCGAGAAUCAAAGCAAUGAACGCAGAUCCUCAAAAAUCAUGGCAAAAAUGACAUACGACCAAUAUGCUUAAGGAGCACUGCAUAAUCAUGUAGGCAUAAAGGCAUUUAAGACAAACAUGUGCAUAUCAUGAUGACUUCAUGCAUGGCAUAUACAGGUAAUCCAGUAAAGCAAGAAAUCUUGAAUCGCACAGAAUCAAAGGAAAAGAUACCCGAGUUCUACCAAAGGACUGGUUUUGGUAUUUUGAUGUUUAAUAUUCAUGCUUUCCAAGGAAAAUCAACUCAUAUUGCGAGAAAUGAGUUGAGCCUCAAGACACGUUGAGCUAUUUUUAAUUUUUUUAAAAAUCAACUCAUAUUGCGAGAAGUGAGUUGAGCCUCGGGGCACGCCGAGGUAUUUUUAGUUUAUGUUUUAAAUUGACUCAUAUUGCGAGAGGUGAGUUAAGCCUUUUAAUUUUUGUUUCUCAAAAUUCAACUCAUAUUGCGAGAAAUGAGUUGAGCCUCAAGACACGUUGAGGUAAUUUCAAUUUUUGUUUUCAAAAUUCAACUCAUAUUGCGAGAAAUGAGUUGAGCCUCAAGACACGUUGAGGUAAUUUCAAUUUUUGUUUUCAAAAUUCAACUCAUAUUGCGAGAAAUGAGUUGAGCCUCAAGACACAUUGAGGUAUUUUCAAUUUUUGCUUUUCAAAAUUCAACUCAUAUUGCGAGAAAUGAGUUGAGCCUUAAGACACGUUGAGGUAAUUUCAAUUUUUGUUUUCAAAAUUCAACUCAUAUUGCGAGAAAUGAGUUGAGCCUCAAGACACGUUGAGGUAAUUUCAAUUUUUGUUUUCAAAAUUCAACUCAUAUUCCGAGAAAUGAGUUGAGCCUCAAGACACGUUGAGGUAAUUUCAAUUUUUGUUUUCAAAAUUCAACUCAUAUUGCGAGAAAUGAGUUGAGCCUCAAGACACAUUGAGGUAUUUUCAAUUUUUGCUUUUCAAAAUUCAACUCAUAUUGCGAGAAAUGAGUUGAGCCUCAAGACACGUUAAGGUAAUUUCAAUUUCUGUUUUUAAAAUUCAACUCAUAUUGCGAGAAAUGAGUUGAGCCUCAAGACACGUUGAGGUAAUUUUCAAUUUCUGCUUCUCAAAAUUCAACUCAUAUUGCGAGAAAUGAGUUGAGCCUCAAGACACGUUGAGGUAAUUUCAAUUUUUGUUUUCAAAAUUCAACUCAUAUUGCGAGAAAUGAGUUGAGCCUCAAGACACGUUGAGGUAAUUUCAAUUUUUGUUUUCAAAAUUCAACUCAUAUUGCGAGAAAUGAGUUGAGCCUCAAGACACGUUGAGGUAAUUUCAAUUUUUGUUUUCAAAAUUCAACUCAUAUUGCGAGAAAUGAGUUGAGCCUCAAGACACAUUGAGGUAUUUCCAAUUUUUGCUUUUCAAAAUUCAACUCAUAUUGCGAGAAAUGAGUUGAGCCUCAAGACACGUUGAGGUAAUUUCAAUUUCUGUUUUCAAAAUUCAACUCAUAUUGCGAGAAAUGAGUUGAGCCUCAAGACACGUUGAGGUAUUUUCAAUUUCUGCUUCUCAAAAUUCAAUUCAUAUUGCGAGAAAUGAGUUGAGCUUCAAGACACGCUGAGGUAAUUUCAAUUUCUGUUGUUAAAAAAAAAUCAACUCAUAUUGCGAGAAAUUAGUUGAGCCUCAGGACAUGCUGAGGUAAUUUCAAUUUCUGUUUUCAAAAUUCAACUCAUAUUGCGAGAAAUGAGUUGAGCCUCAAGACACGUUGAGGUAUUUUCAAUUUCUGCUUUUCAAAAUUCAACUCAUAUUGUGAGAAAUGAGUUGAGCCUCAAGACACGUUGAGGUAUUUUCAAUUUCUGUUUUUCAAAAAUCAACUCAUAUUGCGAGAGGUGAGUUGAGACUUUUAAUUUCUAUUUUUCUAAAACCAACUCAUAUUGCGAGAGGUGAGUUGAGCCUUUUUCUGUUUUUCAAAAAUCAACUCAUAUUGCGAGAGGUGAGUUGAGCCUUUUAAUUUCUGAUUUUCAAAAAUCAACUCAUAUUGCGAGAGGUGAGUUGAGCCUUUUAAUUUCUGUUUUUCAAAAAUUAACUCAUAUUGCGAGAGGUGAGUUGAGCCUUUUAAUUUCUAUUUUUCAAAAACCAACUCAUAUUGCGAGAGGUGAGUUGAGCCUUUUUCUAUUUUUCAAAAAUCAACUCAUAUUGCGAGAGGUAAGUUGUGCCUUUUGCAAAUUCUGUUUUCAAAAAUCAACUCAUAUUGCGAGAAGUGAGUUGAGCCUUGGCUCACGUGCUGAGCUAUUUUCAAUUUCUAUUUUUAAUGUCUAGUUUUAANNNNNNNNNNNNNNNNNNNNNNNNNNNNNNNNNNNNNNNNNNNNNNNNNNNNNNNNNNNNNNNNNNNNNNNNNNNNNNNNNNNNNNNNNNNNNNNNNNNNNNNNNNNNNNNNNNNNNNNNNNNNNNNNNNNNNNNNNNNNNNNNNNNNNNNNNNNNNNNNNNNNNNNNNNNNNNNNNNNNNNNNNNNNNNNNNNNNNNNNNNNNNNNNNNNNNNNNNNNNNNNNNNNNNNNNNNNNNNNNNNNNNNNNNNNNNNNNNNNNNNNNNNNNNNNNNNNNNNNNNNNNNNNNNNNNNNNNNNNNNNNNNNNNNNNNNNNNNNNNNNNNNNNNNNNNNNNNNNNNNNNNNNNNNNNNNNNNNNNNNNNNNNNNNNNNNNNNNNNNNNNNNNNNNNNNNNNNNNNNNNNNNNNNNNNNNNNNNNNNNNNNNNNNNNNNNNNNNNNNNNNNNNNNNNNNNNNNNNNNNNNNNNNNNNNNNNNNNNNNNNNNNNNNNNNNNNNNNNNNUAGAUAAUGUGAAUGUAUUUAGAGGUGCUUAUAUAGUAUUCAAAACUAUCAUAUAAAUUCAAUUUUCAACCAUAUAUAAUUGACAUUAUGGGAGUUGGAAAAUGAUAGGGGGCACUAUAGCAAAUGUUAUAGUUGUAUAAAAUUAGGACUUUGUGAUGGAAUAGUUUAGGGCAUAUUGUUUGAAUAUUCCAUAAACAUUAAAAAAAAAACCAAAUUUGUAAUGGAAUAUAAGAUUGGGUUUUCUUUUAUUAUCAAUUUAAAGCCAUGAGAAUCUUUAUUAUUUAAAAAUUAAUGUAAUUGUUAAAUUGAAAUUGCAGGGGAAUUUCAAAUAGGAGAAAAUAUAAAAGAAAUGGAUCCAAAAACAGUGGGAAGUAGUGUUGUAAAAUAUGGGAGGUGGAGAUUUGGAAUGACAAAGAAAGCAAUGGGGCAUUCAUUAGUUUAUAGCCAACUUUAUCCAUUUAAAGGCCUCCAAAAUUAUACCUCUGGAAUUAUUCACCAUGUUCGCCUCACUGGUAUUUCUCACCAUUUCUUCCCUUAUUUAUCUUCUGCAAAUUUGUUUUCUUACCAUUUCUUUCGCAUUAAUACUAACUUUUUUAAUUUACAAUAUGGUAGCCAAUACUGUUUCGGUAUUAGUAAUAUUAGUCGAUACAUAUCACUUUUAAGGGUGAGUUUAAAGGGAUAGGAACAAUUCCGUGUGUUGACUUAAUAGUCAGGGUGUUCACCGUUCUAGGUAUGGUUUGAGUUCAAGUUAAGUUGUGCUAGUCACGUUACUGUUAGGGUUUUGCCCUUCUCUUGUAAUUCAGCAAAAAGAAAUUAAUAUAUGGUGAAAUUGCACUUUAACUCCUCCAAAAAUGAAAAUAUUUAUAUUUAAUUCCUUCAACAAUAAUGAAAUCGUAAGUUAAUGCAAGAUAAAUGACACUUUAACUUAACAAUCUCCGCUCCCCUUAAAAAAAAAAUCCUAACUUCACCCUUAAUCAUCUUGAUUUUAGAUUGGUACCAAGUAGAUUAAAUUUUGUUCUUAUUAAAACAUUGGUGUGUUUCCUUCUGUUUCAGCUAAUACCAACUUAUACCGAUAUGUACCAAACAAUAUUGGUAGGACUGAGAAAGAAAUCAAAAAAUUGAACUAAUUUUUAUUUAUAAUUUUAUUUAUAAUUUAAAAAUAAAAAUAUAUUUAAACAGUGACAAUAACUCAAAUUUUAUAUAAAAACUAUUUAAAAAUAUUAUCAUAUAAGAGUUAUUAAUUUAUUUGAAAAUUAGUUUCUUUUAAAAAUAUUUAUGAAUAUUUUUAAAAAUUUUACAAAAUAAUAUCCAAAAUUCAUAGAAUAAUUUAUCAAGAUAAGUUCAAACACCCAAAAUUAAUAGAUCUUGAACCAAAUAAAUCCAACUAAAAUAAACCCAAAAUUAAUAGACCGAGAAUCAAAUUAUCAUAGAAGAUAUACCAUACACACUAAUACCCAUAAUUACCCAAUAAUUCUUCUCACACUUUGCAGGUUUAAAACCCAACACCUUCUAUUACUAUCAAUGUGGAGACCCUUCAAUCCCAGCAAUGAGCGAUGUUCAUUAUUCACCAUGUUCGCCUCACUGGUAUUUCUCACCAUUUCUUCUCUUAUUUAUCUUCUGCUAAUUUGUUUUCUUACCAUUUCUUUCGCAUUAAUACUAACUUUUUUAAUUUACAAUAUGCUAGUCAAUACUGUUUCGGUAUUAGUAAUAUUAGUCGAUACAUAUCACUUUUAAGGGUGAAUUUAAAGGGAUAGGAAUAAUUUCGUGCGUUGGCUUGAUAGUUAGGGUGUUCACCGUCCUAGGUGUGGUUUGAGUUCAAGUUGUGCUAUUGUAAUUCACCAAAAAGAAGUUAAUAUAUAGUGAAAUUGCACUUUAACUCCUCCAAAAAUGAAAAUAUGUAUAUUUAGUUUUCUUCAACAAUAAUGAAAUCGUAAGUUAAUGCAAGAUAAAGGACACUUUAACUUAACAAGCUACGCUCCCCUUAAAAAAAAUCCUAACUUCACCCUUAACCAUCUUGAUUUUAGAUUGGUACCAAGUAGAUUAAGUUUUGUUCUUAUUAAAACAUCAGUGUGUUUCCUUCUGUUUCAACUAAUACCAAUUUAUACUGAUAUGUACCGAAUAAUAUUGGUAGGACUGAGAAAGAAAUCAAGAAAUUGAACUAAUUUUUAUUUAUAAUUUUAUUUGUAAUUUAAAAAUAAAAAUAUAUUUAAAUAGUGACAAUAACUCAAAUUUUAUAUAAAAAUUAUUUCAAAAUAUUAUCAUAUAAGAGUUAUUAAUUUAUUUGAAAAUUAGUUUCUUUUAAAAAUAUUUAUGAAUAUUUUUAAAAACUUUACAAAAUAAUAUCCAAAAUUCGUAAAAUAAUUUAUCAAGAUAAGUUCAAAAACCCAAAAUUAAUAGAUCUUGAACCAAAUAAAUCCAACUAAAAUAAACCCAAAAUUAAUAGACCGAGAAUCAAAUUAUCAUAGAAGAUAUUUACCAAACACACUAAUACCCAUAAUUACCCAAUAAUUCUUCUCACACUUUGCAGGUUUAAAACCCAACACCUUCUAUUACUAUCAAUGUGGAGACCCUUCAAUCCCAGCAAUGAGCGAUGUUCAUUAUUUCCGAACAAUGCCGGCCUCCGGUCCAAGGAGUUAUCCGGGAAGAAUUGCAAUCAUCGGAGACUUGGGGCUCACGUAUAACACAACUUCAACAAUUGAUCACCUUAUGAGCAAUCACCCGAACCUGGUGCUGUUAAUCGGCGAUGCAAGCUAUGCCAACUUGUAUCUCACCAAUGGCACCGGUGCCGAUUGCUACUCUUGCGCUUUCUCCGACACUCCUAUUCACGAAACGUAUCAGCCUCGUUGGGAUUAUUGGGGAAGGUAAAUUUUAACGAUGUUUCAUGGAUUUAAAUAGCGGUCACAACAUGACAUUACGAUAGUAUUUGUUAUAAAUGUGCAGGUUUAUGCAGCCUUUGGUGUCCAAGGUUCCCUUGAUGAUGAUAGAAGGGAACCAUGAAAAAGAAGAACAGAUUGAGAAGAAGACAUUUGCGGCUUAUAGUGCUCGAUUUGCAUUUCCAUCGGAGGAGAGCGGAUCAUCGUCGACAUUCUAUUAUUCUUUUAAUGCAGGUGGCAUUCAUUUCGUGAUGCUCGGUGGUUACACCGACUAUAACAAAUCAGGGGAUCAAUACCAGUGGUUGAAGAAGGACCUUGCAAAAGUUGAUAGAAAAGUGACUCCAUGGUUGGUUGCAACAUGGCAUCCUCCAUGGUACAGUACAUAUACUGCACAUUAUAGAGAAGCUGAAUGUAUGAGGGUAGAAAUGGAAGAUUUAUUAUACAAAUACGGAGUUGAUAUAGUCUUCAAUGGACAUGUAAGUCGUGCUUUAUAAUGAAUUAAUUCAAUUACAUUCACUCGAAGAGCUGAUGGUCGUGUUCAUUUGGUGAUAAUCAAUAGGUUCAUGCCUACGAGAGGUCGAACCGAGUGUAUAACUACAACUUGGAUCCUUGCGGUCCUGUUCAUAUUACGAUUGGUGAUGGUGGCAACCGAGAGAAAAUGGCAAUUACACAUGCUGAUGAACCCGGAAAUUGCCCCAAACCAUCGACAACUCUGGAUAAAUUUAUGGGUGGGUUCUGUGCAUUUAACUUCACAUCAGGGCCGGCAAGUGGUAAAUUCUGCUGGGAUAGGCAGCCUGAUUAUAGUGCAUAUAGAGAAAGCAGCUUUGGACAUGGAAUCCUUGAGGUAUAUUAUGCAGAUAUUUCAUUAAGAUUAAUUUCUAUGGACCGUAAAAAGGACACAAAGGGUACUUUAAUUAUACAAAAAAAACAUUAACAGCAAGUGUUUUGCAGGUGAAAAAUGAGACUCAUGCACUGUGGACAUGGUACGGUAAUCAAGAUGCUUAUGGGACUACUGGUGAUGUGGUUUAUAUAGUUAGGCAACCUGAUAGAUGCCCUGUUGAACCCGACGUAAUUAAUUAAGAGUAAACUCCAAAGCUUAAUUAAGUUGAUUCAUCUGCAGUCACCAUUAAAAAGUGAUGCCAAGAAAGUUUAGGUUUGAAUCUCGGCAUCUGUCCUCAGACUAUGAUUUCUUUUGUACCAGUAAAUAUCUUUCAAAGCUAUAAAUACAUAUUAAACAUCAAAAUCAGACAGCUGAUAAAUCACAAAGGGAUUAUGUACGUAUGUAUGCAUGCAUGUAUGUUGGCUUCUAAAGAUUGAAAAGUAAAUAAUUAAGGAUUCAAAAGGAACAUUAUUGUGAUAUGAUUUGCAGGUUCGUAAUUUUAAUUAAAUGAAAUAAGUUUGAUGUAACUAUGCAAGUAGUACUUAGAAUCCUAAAAGUUUGAAAUAAAUAUUUGUAACUUUGUUGAAUGUUUUCAUGAGAGUUCCUUUCUCAUGGAGGUCAAUUUCUUUGUUAUAAGAUACGGUCCCAUGGUUUGACAUACUAAGAUUAAAUAGGCUCUUAUGUAGGCUAACACGUAUCCUACUUUAGGGUCAACACGUGUCUCUUGAGUAUGGGUUUGCCUGCAUGGUGGUGUGAACCCAUUAGGUGCGGACUUAUACAGACGAACUAUAUGGUUUGGUUAACUAUAUCCGAAAUAAAAGGGGUCAGAUCGGUCUUAAUCAGAAAACAAAUAAUUUAUGGCGGACACUACAACAAACUUAAUAAUCACAUUUGUUAAUAACAAAUAAUUAAUUUGUUUUGAUAACGUAAUUACAAGACAUAAUUUGAAAAUAAUAUAUGCUUGCUUAGAUACCAUUAUUCUCAGUACUCCAAGUAACAUAAAUAUUGAAAUGAAUUUGUGAGAGAGCUAAGAUGGUUGUAUUCUAAUAGAGAGAUUUCUAUUGCUGGUAAAGAAGACUUUAGCUCCACUAUCGUGCGGCCGUGACAUUAGCUUAAGCUCCUCAUUAAGCUAAUUAAAUGUGAUCUCUAGAUUAACCAACAAUGUCUUCAUAAAGUAGACAACUAAAUGAUCGAUACCACCAGCAUCCUUCCAUAAAUAGCUGCGAAAUAGGGCUUCAACUUCUAACAAAAACGCCUCUUCCUAUCAUUGGGGUCAUGCAUCAAGGUUUAAAAAGUUCCAUAUUGGAUGCAAAAUAAAUGAUAGAACAAGUAAGAGCAGGAUAGACAUUGAGCUUGUGUUGAGUGUACUAUCAAAUGAAGCUCUAGAGAGAAAUGGAGGGCUGAAUCCAGGGUAAUUGAGCCCCGGACCGCCACCUCCGCCAUUGAUCGGUGUGGUUGUCGUAGUUGGCACAUUCGGAUUGUUCCACGACCCUGUUUUUGGCAUAGCUGUCCCUCCGGAUGUGCUGGAAAUUUCAUAACUUAAGCUUUUAAAAUCAAUAAAAUAACAGUGACAAAAACUACAAAUAAUGAUGGAAUCCAAUUUGGUUGGUAAUUUUCAAAAAAUAGGCGAAAGGAGCUAUUAUUAGCUUUUGCUGGAACCCAAUAGAGGUGCUCAUGGGCCGGGCCGGGCCGGGCCCAGAAAAAAUUUCGGCCAGUGUCCUAGACCCUGGCCUGGCCGAGGCUGAAAUAUGAGCCUAAAAUUUUAUCUAGGCCAGGCCUGAAAAAAAAUUCAUAAGCCCGAGCCCAGCCCGGCCCAUUUUUUAAAUAAACACCAAAAAAAAUUUAAAAAUAAAAAAAUUUAUUUUAAAAAUAUUUUAAAAAAUAAAAAUAAAAAAUAUUUUAAAAAUAAAAAAAUAAAUAGAUUUAUUAUAUUUGGGUCGGGUCGGGCCGGGCCAAAAAAUGUUAUGUGAGGCCCGGUCCAUUUUUUAAAUGGGCCUUUUUUUUUGUCUAAUGUCAUAUUUCGGGCCUAUUUUUUACUUAAACCCUCCCAUAUUUUGGGCAGGCCAUUGGGCCGAGCCGGGCCGCCCGGCCCAUGAAGACCUCUAGAACCCAGCAAUGCGCCCAUGGAUAGAGAUGACAACAAGGUGAGACGGGACGAGUUUUUGCUCGCCUCAAUUUCGACUCGAUUUUUAUAUCCUCUACUUCGAUUUAUUCUGAGCUCGAUUUUAUUUAAAAAUGUAAAAAUAAUUAUAAAAUUAAAAAAAAAGUGUUUUAGUAAGUAAAUCAAGGCAGACAAAUCGAAUUUUCAUCUAAAUCUAAACUCGAAUUGAUCUUGAACUACCCAUGUAUGACUCCAGUAUCCAAAUAUCUAGAGUGUUUUUUGACCGUUGGAUGUCUUUCAAGAAAAGAGUACCCAUCCAACGGUUGAAAAAGUCUCACCUAAACAAGACGGUAGGAAAACAUUACAAGUAAAGAAGUGGCCAACAGACAUAAAUAAGCCUGGAAACGUAAAAGGUGUAAACCUUCACAAAGUGACGACUGCAUGUAGGAUACGAAAAUGGACGGUUAGAGAUCAUGCCGAGAAACACGUGUCAGACAUCUACUCAAUUACAGCAUCACCAUGAAAGGCUCACACCCACUUGAGAAUCAAAGGAUUAUGCAAAGUUGAUUCAUGUUAGUUAAUUAGGAUUUAAACAAUAUCUUAUUUUGCGCCUUUUUGUUUUUCUGUCUUUGAUCCUCUUACAAGCCACAAGGGUUUCAAUAAUAAAUUACACCCAACUUCAAAAAGUUAUUAAAUGAGCAAUAAAUUAUUCAAAUUUUUUUAUUUAAGUCACUAAACUAUUUAAAAGUUUUUAUUUAAUUUACUGGGCUGUUAAAUUUUUUUUUUAAAAAGGAGGUUCAGCUAGUGAACUCCAAGCAACAAUUUAACAAUCGGUAUGGUGGAUAAAUACCCGCUGACGAGUAGAUCCAAGUUGAUCUAACGGUUAGUGUCGGAGAUCGGAGAAUGAAGAGAAAAACUGUUUGGAUUUUAGUUUAUAGAUUUGUGACGUUAAAAGUUAUUUCAUAAAAAAAAAUUAAACUGUAAAAGAGAAGGGAAAUUAAAGCUUUUGAGUGUUGCAAGCAAUGCAGACAAAGAAAGCCGUACAACAGUAAUUUUAACAACCCGAUGACUUAAAUGAAAAUUUUCGAGUAGUUCAAUGAAAGAAAAUACAAAAAAUUCUCUCUGCUGCGUUGUUUUCGUCUUCUUUGCAGGUAAGGAGGCUAGCUGGCGUAAGGAGGUGGUGGAUGUGGCACAGCACACGCGGGGAAGGCCUUGGUGGCUGCGGCGCCGGAAGGAGGGCUGUUGCAGCUAGGGUUUUCUGAUUUUUUUUUUGUUUUGGGCUAGGGUUGUGUUGAUAGUUGUAUUGGGCUAGGUUUUUGGGCUGGGUGUAGUUGGACUAGAUGCAUCUGACUUUGGGUUUGUACCGGGUCACUGUAAAUGGGUUUGGUUUUUAUUGUUAUUGGGCUGUGAACUAUUUGAGUUUUAAUUAAUUUUUAUUUAUUUGGUUUUUUAUUGUGGGCUGGGCAAAUUGGGUAUUACAAUCAGCUAAUUAGGAAAGACUGUGAUGAUAGUCACACCUUACAUCCAAAAGCAAAGCUUUUUACAUGUGUAUGUGAGGUUGCUAAGCAAAUCUGAUGAGCCUUCACUGAUGUUUUAAGGUUAAGUUAAUGUUCCUUUUCGGCAAAGAACAUUAUCGAGAUCACGGUAUUUUGAUCGCCUUUUGCUUGUUAUGUUAUUUGUUCUGAAACGAUUGCAUAAUCUUUACUGUGAUUGCAGGAUAUAGAGCAACUUCUGAAUUUCAUUGGUGUAAAGAGUUGAGGACCACGACAUGUUCUUGCAAAUUUGAAGGAGCUUCUAAGGUCUGUCCGGUCUUCAGAAUAUAUAGAUACCUGAAUUAAUUUUGAUUUUGUAGGAUCAACUAUAAUUAGCUACUUAUUACACUAUGAAUAGACAACCUCACCUUCUUCACACACUACACGUGCGGAUUUUUUACCAAUCCCAUUUCAAAGGAUCACACUUUUUUGUUGUUUACAGAAUCAUAAUUAAUGUUAAUUAAAGUGGAAUAUUUCAGAUUUCUGAUGAUGAGCAUAUUCUUGAGUAUUGCAGUAAAAAAAUGGGUGUGGAACUUAUUUGAACUUUGAAUGUAUGUUCUGUUGGUGAGAAUAUAAAGUUGAUAAAGAUUUGGUAAAUAGAAUAAAAUAUUAUUUUUAUUAGAAAAAUUAUUUGGUAGACUGCCAAUCGAGUUAUAAUUAUCAUGACGUAAAACAUGUCAUAUUACAAAUAAUAAAAUUAUAAUGACUCAAAUAUACGAACAUGUCAAAAUUUACGUAAAACGAAUUAUUAACAUGUCAAUGUAUAAUACGGUACGCAAAAAUAGGAUAAUUGCUUGUUUUUUAAAUUGAAUUGUUAUAACAUAUUAUACAAAAUACAUUGUGAAUUAAAGCAUAAUAUGAACAUGAUAUCAAAAUAUUAAAUAUUUUUUAAAAUUUGAUGAUACGAAUAAUUAUGUAAAAUAUAACAUGAUACAAAAUAACUUGAGAGGAAAAGAGGAAUAAAGAAUUGCAUUGUUUGUGAGGUUUUAAAAUAUUCCAGUUUUAGAUUCAAUUUUCUAGUAUGUUUGGUUUAAUUUUACAUUAGAUUUCCUUUUUAGUAUGCACUAGUGAACGCUUGGCAGUUAAUUUAAUUUAAUUUAAUUUAAAGAGAUAUUGCAUAUACAUAAUAAUGGAUUAUGAUUUUACAUUAAACUUCAUAGAAGAAAAAAGAAAUAGACGGUUGAAAAUGAUAAAACCAUAAGAUAAAAGAGCUUUUAUUUAAAAUGCAAAAAUCAACAAAAUAUGCAUUAUCGCUCAACUUAGCAUAAUUAAACAUUUAGGUGUGGAAAUCAAAUCACAAUUUGAGUAGCUAAACAUAUCGCUUGAAAAUGUGAUAAGUAAGAAAAUUGCCCACAUUUGAGUAGCGACAGGUGGUAAUGCAUUUCCCAACAAGAGAAAACCAAGCUCUUCGCCAGUAUGGAUUUAUGUAGAGGACAACAAAAAUUGUUAACAACACAACUACAUAAGAAACCAAAAAGCUCACACAAAAAUCAUAACUAUCUAUCAAACCAUCUUCUCCUUUAUCUUCUGAUACAGUUGAUAUUGUUGAUGGUGAAUCGGUUUUGGAACAACUUUUAUGCAGUAUAGGUCCACAAAGAAAAGGGUUUCCUUCAUAACUGUUUUCAAUAAAGGUCUCAAAUUGAGCUUUUGGUUCGGGAAUACUACCUGACAAGUUGUUAAAUGCCACGCUGAAAACCUCCAAAGAGUUUAACUCUACCAAUUGAUUGGGGAUUUCACCACUUAAGUUGUUGUAAGAAAGGUCCAAACUCUCAAUUUGAUGUAGUUUUGAGAGUGACGAGGGUAUAACUCCGGUCAACUUAUUGUGUGAAAGGUUUAAAGAAUGGAUUUCACUCAAGUUCCCUAAUUCUGGUGGGAUAUGACCAGUUAAGUUGUUGCAAGAUAAAUCAAUCCCAGUCAUAUAUGAAAGGAUGUCGCCCUUGUAUGAAUAGAACCCACUCUUUGUUGUGAACUCUAUUACUUCUUCUAAGUAGCUACUAGGAUAGUAAGAAUCCAUUCCCAAAUUUAGUAUCAUACUGCGUGUUGUUUCAUCCUCUUCUAUAGAUGGCCCAUAGAACCAAGUUUCUAGAAUCUUCUUCGUUUGCAUUGGAAGAGAUAAAUUUCCCAAACAAGAAGGUAUAGGACCAGAAAACAUAUUUUGAGAAAGAUCUAUGAUGCUUAAAGAAUGCAACUUGCAUAACUCAAUAGGAACUUUACCAUGAAAAUGAUUAUCUUUCAAGAGAAGAACACUCAAAGAAGAAAGCGUGUAAAUCCAUUUUGGAAUACUACCUGUCAAAUUGUUUCCUCUAAGAUCUAAAGUCACUAUUGAAGAGCUAUUAUAAAAAGCAAGUGAUAGUGGGCCUCUCAGUCUAUUCCCGUGGAGGUGGACAUGCUCUAUGUAUGGUGGAUUAAAACAUGACGGUAUAGAGCCAGAUAAAUUAUUUUGAGAAAGAUCCAAAAAUUCCAACCUAUUCAACUUGCAAAAUUCCAUUGGAAUGGAACCUUCAAAACCAUUGUUGGACAUAGCUAAUCUCUGCAAAAACGAUGCAUUCCCUAUCCAUCUUGGGAGCUUUCCAUGCAACUUGUUGUUACUGAGAUCAAUUUCGCUUAGUGAAUUUGGAAACUCAAAAGUAGACACAUCAACAUUUGUCAUCUCUCCUGAAAAAUUAUUUCCAUCCAAAUAUAAAUGCUGCACCCCAUUUGCGCUGAGAAUCACAGGAACUACAUUUCCACUGAGGUUGUUAUUUGAUAGUCUCAAAAUGGUCAGUGAGCCUUUCGUGAUCAACUCUUCUGGUACUUUUCCAUACAAAUGAUUGUCUAAUAGAUCUAAAAAUGAUAAGUCCUUCAUGCCACUUAAACAAAGUGGGAUAUUAUCUUCAAAAGCAUUCUUGGAUAAGAAUAACCGACUCAAAUGUGGAAAAGUUGAACAUAUACCAGUUGGAAUUUGACCUUGUAAUUUGUUUUCAGAUAUGUCAAUUGAAGAUACAUCAGAAAUAAGAGCCGACGAAAGUGAGAGAGGACCUGUAAAUGAAUUACCCUUCAAGAUGAGAUCUUCUAACUUUGUGUUGUUUUCUAGCAACCAAGUUGGUACAGUUCCACUGAGAUUGUUAUGAGAAAGAUCCACAUAUCUCAAGUCAUAUUGGUAGUAAAGGAAGGUAGGAAAUUUACGAUUGAGUUGUUGAGAUGCUAUGCACUUUGGCAAUCUGAUGACUUCCAAUUGGAACUUUGGGAUUGAGGUAUAAAAGGAAGAUUCCAUUACCAUCUUGUUUUCAUUAAUCGAAAGGGCUUUGAGGUUUGAAAGGUUUGCAAAUGGUGCAAAUGACAGCGGAAUUUGAAAAUGGUUUCUUGAAACAUCUAACACACGAAGAGAUGUCAAGUUACUAAAACAACGAGGAAGCAUCCCCUCAAGUGCAUUGUUGCUCACAUCCAAUACUUCAAGGUUCUUUAGAUCACACCAUCCUGAAAAAUUUAUAAAUUCAUGGAAGAAAUUUUAAUUAAAUUUGGUCCUAUUAAAUAGAAUAGGAGAUAUUAUAUUACAAAAGCUAGUAAAGAAAUCAAUUUGAGCCAUAAAAUUAUUUACCUUGAUUAGGUAAGGGACCAAUAAGUCCACAAUGAUAUAAAGACAAUGUUUUAAGAGAAGCGAAUACUCCAAUGCUUUGCAAAAUGUUGGUGUUGAGAGUAGAAUAGUCAAGAUAUAUUUCCUCCAAACUGCUCGACACAUUUGAAUCUAAGCAAUGUCAAGAGGUAUUAGAUAACGGUAUUAUAGAAAGCCUCUACUAAGUAGAAUGCUUUAUUUUCUGUGAAUGAAAUGAAGUAUAUAAAUAUAUAUAUAUAUUUUUUAUGAGUUAGAUUAUUCAUGAUUUAUCUGAGAUAAAUUUUGAUAGAGAGAAGAUGUUGAAACUUUAAUAUAACUCUUCAUCCAUUUUAUUAAUUAUACUAUUUUUUUUCUUUUUAGUAUUUUCUUAUAUUAUUUUUUAAUAUAAGUAAUUAACUGAUAUAGCUAAGUUGUAUAAUUUUCAAACUCCAAUCAACAACACUAUAAAUAAUAUUUAUAAAAUAAAACAUGUCUACACUAAAUGUAUGUUUAAAUUUCAUAAAAUUGAAGAUAUUUUUAAAUUAUUCAAAAUUCACAUGUCUACACUAUAAAUAAUAUUUAUAAAAUAAAACAUGUCUACACUAAAAUUAUUAUAUUACCUUUAAAGAUGCCAAUAGUAUAUAAAAAAAUCAAAUAGGUAUUUUACUCAACAAUAAAUAAAACUCAAAAGAAUUAUAAGUAAACUCAGCGGAUUAAAUGAAAAUUUUAAAGCAUUAAAUCUUGGCCCAAAAAUAGAGUUAAGUUAAAAUUCAAAAUUCAAAAUUAUUUUAUUAAUAUUGUUAAAAUUAUUUUAUUAAAUCCAUGUUCAUUACGUCAUUUUUUUAGUUACAUUACUACUAAGUUUUUUUUUUAUUUCAAAAUGUCACACCAACAAGCUAUUUUAAAAUUUUAACAAUUUUAACAAUUUAACUAGGAUUUUGAUUUUUUUUUAUAAAAAAAACAGGGAUUAAAUUCUUGAAAAUAAAAGUAUAAGAAUUAAAUUACAAAUUAGUAAAGAGUACAUAGACCUAUCAUAUUUUUUAAAACCAAAAAGUUAAAAACAUAUGCACUUUGAAAUUUAUAAAAAGAUUGCAAUGGAAGUUUAAGCACCUCUCAAUGUAUGUUUAAAUUUCACAAAAUUAAAGUUUUUUUUUAAAUUAUUCAAAAUUGACAUUUAUUUAUUUUUGCCAAAAAAUGCCAUUUAUUUAACGCUAAUAUGUAUUUUUAUGUUUUAUACUAUUAAAAAUAUAUGAAAUUAAAAUAUAGUUAUAUUACAUAUUUUCUCAUAAAUAUAUGUUUUUAUUUAUUUAUAAUAUCAUUUUUUAUUGUUAUAAUUAUUUUUUAUCUCAUAAAAAUUCAAUAAAUUAUUUUAAAAAAUAUAUUUAUACAAACAAAAUAAUUAUAAACAUUAAUAUUUUAAAAUGAUGAAAAUUUUAAAGAAUUUUAGUUUCAAACCAAAGUCCAAACACAUUAUAAUGGAUGAUUUAGAAAAUGUUUCACCAAACCCAUAUUUUACUUUCAAGUAUGAUAUGAUAUAACUUUAUUAAUAUUUAUGACAAUAACCGUUAUUAUAAUAUUUGACAUCAAAACUAAAUUUCUAAAUUAAAAAAAAAAAGGAAGUUUAAUUAAAUGAUACCUUGGUGGAUCACCAAAUCUUUCAAUUCAUUAUAGCUCAUAUCUAGUUUCCUUAAGUUGAUAAAUGCUUCCAAAUCUAGGAAAACAAAAACAACAAAUCAACUUCAUUAUAUUCUCUUAAAACAUUAUUAUAUUCUUGUUAAAAAACUAAUACUUUUACCUUUCAUAUCUAUUGAUCCUUUCAAUUCAUUGCCUCUUAUGCUCAAAGAUUUCAAAUUUGAAAGCUUGUUAAGGGAUGCAAAUACACUAGUAUUGAAGUGAUUUCCAUCUAAAUUAAGCUCUUCCAAGUGGGUCAAUUCCAAUUUUCUACCAUCAUCUACAAAAGAUUUAUAUAAUUUCAUCAUCUACCAUCACUAAUUUCAUCUACCAAUUUGUUAAAUUGCUCAAUCCUAUACAUAUCCACGUACAAUUCAAAAAAUCAUUAUGUUAAUAAUUUUAAUUUCUACUUAAUAUUUUAAUGAAAUAAAAAUGAAAAAAAAAAGUAAAUCUAAAACUUGAAUUGAAGAUAAAAAUCCUCAAACGUGAAAUGUGAAUGUUCAAAUUUGAAACAAUUAAUUUUAAAAGGCUCUAGAAAGAAUUAUCAAGAAAAACAAAGUUAUAGCUUUAGUACCUUUAGUAUCUAAUGAGCCUUGCAAACGGUUGUUGAACAAAGUCAAAGACUUUAGGCUUGAAAGCCCUUGAGGAAAGGAAAUUGUGUUGUUCCGAAAGAGAUUACCACUCAAAUAAAGUUCCUCUAAGUUUGUUAGCCUCAAUUGUGUUCCAUCUAUCAUUGGAAGAAAGUAAUUAGUAUAGUUAACAUCAUUCAAGAUAUAAAUAGUUAGGAAAAAUGUUUGUUUGAGAAGGAAGAGCCAAUUUACAAGCUUUCCGAUGAAUUGAUUCAAUAUAUAAAUACUUUGUUUGAGAUACCUUCCUACUUAAAUUACUCAAUUUUGAAAUUUAAUCCCAAAUAUUGAUUACUUAUAUAUAUUCAUGAUAUGAUAAAAUCAAAUGACUUAUUGCAACAACUUUUCCUUCAACAUGAAUUUAUUUUAAAGAAUGCUAUUCUUCAAAUAAUUCCAACUUAUAUCAAUAAUUUCCAAUUUAAUGAGCCAUUGAAAACCUCAUUUAUAUAUUAUAUAAUUAGUUACUACAAAACUUAAAUAAAUAAUAAUACUCCAUUUUUGCAAUAAAAAUUCACUAAAGAAAAUACAUUUGAAGUCUGUCAUUGCCUUUUGGAAUAAGAGUCGGUCAAGAAAGUUACUAUGCAGAAAUACUUAUACCUUUGUUUGAGAUGCUUUCAAUGUCGUUCCAACUUAAAUCCAAGUACUUCAAAUUUGUCAAAUUAUUCAAUCCUGAAAUUCAAUCCCAAAUAUUGAUCAGUUAUAUAUAUAUAUUCAUGAUAUGAUAAAAGCAAAGACAUAUUGCAACAUUAACUGUCCCUUAAACAAAAAUUGGUUUUAAAGUAAAAAAGAAACAUAUAAAACCAGUCUACCUUUAAUAUGAAUUGACAUAUAAAUACUGUACUUAUACCUUUGUUUGAGAUGCUUUCAAUUCUGUUCCAACUUAAAUCCAAGUAUUUCAAGUUUGACAAAUUAUUCAAUCCUGAAAUUCAAUCCCAAAUAUUGAUUAGUUAUAUAUAUUCAUCGUAUGAUAAAAUCAAACUUGAACAUACAUUGAUUUUUAAAUCAAGGAUGAAAGAUUUCUCAUAUGAAACAAAAUGCUAUUCUUCAAAGAAUUCCCACUUAAAUCAAGAGUUUCCAAGUUAUUGAGUCUUGAAAGCAAUUGAAAACCUGAUAUAUAUAUUUACUUGUUAAUUGUUUUUUCUUUCUUAGCCAUAUGAAAAUUUUACUAAAGCAAAAGUGGAAUUACGACGGAUAAAAAGAAUGGAAAACUAGGUACCAAGCCUAGAAGACCAUCCUCAAACUCCACUAUACAAAUAAAAACUAACAGCAGACCAAACUUAAUUUACCUCUUUGAUGACCUGAUCCUUCAAAUUUGUUGAUUGAUAGAUCUAAAUACCGGAGAGAUGAAAGCUCACUCAAAGAUAACAAAAUGCUAUCAUUCAAGUAAUUGAAACUUAAGUCAAGGAUCUCCAAAUUACUCAAUGUGGAUGAUAGUUUUCCAAAGCCUAUAGAAAUAUUCUUUUAAAUAUAUACAAGUUAGUGACUUUUCUUCCAUAAAAUAAAAUAAAAUAUAAGUAAUUGCAAAUUAACGAUGGUAAGAGUAGUGGGAUAAUAAAAGAUGUAAUUAAGGAAAAACUAGAGGCACGACCUUCAUUUUCAAGGUUACCACUUAUGGCAUUCCCCCGCAAAUAAAGACUCUUCAAUUCCUCAAAGGGAAGAAACAUAGAGGUAUUGAGAUACCAGGCAUUGAGAUUCCUAUUAUCCGUUUUGUAUCCCAUACUGUCAAACCAUCUUGUAGAAUUAAGGGAGAGUUGUAUGAGUCUCCUAGUGGUGGUGUUACACUCAACUCUUUCCCAUUUACAACAAUCUGAACCCUUCACCUCAACCCAACUUUGCAAUUGAUUUUGAUAAUUGAAGAAAGGCUUGAGAUGCAAGAGAGCGAUUCUCUCAUGCUCCAAACAAGCAUCAGUAGUACACCAUCUGCAUCCUUCUAACACCAACAACAUUACUGCCAUCCUAAUAAGCCUUAACCAUUUCCACUCCAUCAUCAUCAUCUCUCUGUUUUCACUUCUCUCUCAGUUAUAUGUUACUUUUUGUUAACUUCUAUAUGUAAAUAAUCUAAAGCAGCCUAACCUUCUUAUUUAUAUACAAGCAGAACAUACUGGAUCCCACUAAUUCACUAUAAUGUAAAAAUAAUAUAUAAUUAAUUAAUUCCUCAAAAAUUGGAUCAAAAUCUAGGCUUUUUAUUUACGUAAAUUCCUUAUUGCAAAAACUCCUGGUGGAAAUUCGUUAGGAAAGGAUGAAUGGACCACAAGAAUGUUGAUGUUAAUCUUGAAAAACGAAUGGCCAAAAAAAUAUGAAAAGUGAGAGGUGGACAUAAAAUCUUGUGGUUGGGGUUGCAAAAGUCUUCAUGUGGCUUUCUUGUGAGCUUCAUUUAUACCCUUCUUACACAUAUACAAACUUAGUCUUGACUUGGCUUUAUUAAUGGAAAAUUUAGGUCUUCAUUUUUGGUUUCAUUCAUGGAAAUUUUACUUCUUUGAUUUUGAUUUUGCUUUUAUUCUUGCACAUUUUAGGUUUUGAUUUUGAAAAUUUAGUUUUUUUCAUCUCUAUUAUUAUAAAAUUUCUUGAUUUAAUUAAUAUCAUGAGUUAAUUUAAUAUUUUAAAAAAUAAAAUAUUACAUUCACUAUUUUUAAAAAAAUAGGAGUAACUAUAAAAUUUAAUUAUUUAUAUAAUAUUUUUAUAAAAAAACUAUUUAUUUCUACUAGACCACUACUUUAAAACUAUCAAUUAUCAUAUAACUUCUCUUUAAUAAUUCACUAUUCUUUGAACAUUCAUUAGUUUUUGAAACAUAAAAUUUAUAAAUAAUUAUUUUUAAAAUGACUUGAGUUUUACUUGAAUCAUUUUUGUAAUUAGUUAAUUAAAUUGGGUUAUUUUUAAAAAAAAUCCUCUUAACUAAUAGCAAAAAAAAAAAAAGAAAAAAAAAAGCCAUCAUGUAGAAAAUUCUGGUUUGUUGGAAAGAUAAAGACUUGCACCAUUACUUUAAAUUUUGAAAUGUUCAACUUGAUAUUGACAUCUGAUAAUAUGUACAAAUUUCUCAUUGUUUUGAAUUUUAGUGAUAUUACACAUAUGAUAAUAUGUUUGUCACACCAAAUUUUGAAAUAGUAGAACUUAAUGAAUUUAACAAAUACUUAAUGAAUUUAAGAAAUAUCUAAAAUAUCAAAUUAAAGUCUAGGAAUUAAAUCUACAACUUCAGUAAAGUACAAGAACUAUUGUAGAAUUAAACCUUUAUAUAAUAAUUUCCUUCUAUGAACCACAAUUCAAGUGCACCCCACAAGCAACAUUAAAAAAUUGGCAUGUGUCUAUUUUUUUAAAAAUAUUUAUUUUUUUAAUAUUAUAUACUACACCUCUAUAGGAUACGUGUCAAUCCUUUAACUCUCCUUAUGGAAUUUAAAAACUCCACUAACAAUGUACCAAAUAUUAAUCCUAAUUAUUAUACUAUUCAUGGAUAAAGAUAAAAUAUAAUAUUUGCUUAAAAAUCUCAAUUAUAUAUAUUUGGUCACCCAUUGUGAUGUAAUAUAGCACCGUCUACAAAAUAGUUGGAGGAAAGUGUUAAGAAAAUAUCAUUACAUAUAUCAACAUUCGCAUAAUUCAUUGCAUUAACUUUCAAAUGUUAACUAUUGACUUCUGCGUCAACUUUGAGCUUAUAUAGGUCCCCCUCAUGGAAAUUGAGAAAAACAAAUUAAUAUGUAUAUUCUUGUGGGUGGAAAUUUAGUGGAGAUGCCCAUCAUCUUUCCUAAUUAAUAAAAAUGAAGACUUAGAAAAUGUGCAAUCAUAAUCCUAGUCGUCGUUAUGGCCCCAAGAAUAGUUAUCUUAAUUUGUCUCUCUUCAGGAUUAAAGAUAAAAAAUAAAUUUUAUAAAGUUAGAACUAUAAUUUUAUAAUUAUAUUAACAUAUAAUUUCAUAAAAUUUUAAAAAUGUAUCUUUUAAUUUUUUAAUUAAAUUGAUAAUUCGUUAACUCAUAAUAUUAUUUUAUUUUUCAAAAUAUUUACGAGAACGAGUUCGUAUUCUAUUGUGUGGAAAAUUUUAGUACAGAUUAUUAAGUUAUUGGAGAAGCCAAAUCCAACUUGUUUGACCAAGAAAGUUUUUGUCGCGUGGAAAAUGGACAUUACCAUUUCCUUGAAUGACCUUCAAUUUAAUGUAUUCACACCAAAUUUCAUUAAUGAGUAAAACAAAUAAUGAAUAAUAAUGAAAAUUGGAGGAAAUUGUUAAGAAAUUAUUAUUACAUAUAUCAACAGUCACAUAAUUCAUUGUAUUAACUUUCAAAUGUUGACUAUUGACUUUUACAUCAACCUUGAGCUUAUAUAGGCCCCCCUCACGGAAAUAAUCUCAUAAUUAAUGCCUGAAAAAUUAUUAUACAUCAAUUUACAGUUUUAAUCCCUAGACUUACUCAAUUGAAUUAAAAUUUUAGUUUUUAUUAUUUAAUUUGAACUAUUACUUUAGAUUUUGAAAUGUUCAACUUGAUAUUACAAAUUUCUCAUUCUUUUGAAUUUUAGUGAUAUUACACCUAUGAUAAUAUGUUUGCCACACCAAAUUUAGAAAUAGUAGGACUUAAUGAAUUUAAUAAAUAUCUAAAAUAUCAAAUUAAAGUCUAGAAAUUAAAUCUACAACUUCAGUAAAGUACAAGAACUAUGGUAGAAUUAAACCUUUAUAUAAUAAUUUUCUUCUAUGAACCACAAUUCAAGUGCAUCCCACAAGCAACAUUAAAAAAUUAAAAUGUGUCUAUUUUUUUAAAAUAUAUUUUUUUUAAUAUUAUAUACUACACAUAUAUAGUAUACGUGUCAAUCCUCUAACUCUACUUAUGGGAUUUAAAAAAUCCAGCAACAAUGUACGAAAUAUUAAUCCUAAUUAUUAUACUGUUCAUGGAUAAAGAUAAACUAUAAUAUUUGCUUAAAAACCUCAAUUAUAUACAUUUGGUGACCCAUUGUGACGUAAUAUAGCACCAUCUACAAAGUAGUUGGAGGAAAUUGUUAAGAAAAUAUCAUUACAUAUAUCCAACAGUCACAUAAUUCAUUGCAUUAACUUUCAAAUGUUGACUAUUGACUUCACGUCAACUUUGAGCUUAUAUAGGCCCCCUCCUCAUGGAAAUAAUGUCACAAUUAAUGCUUGAGAAAUUAUUAUACAUCAAUUUAUAGUUUUAAACCCUAUACUUACUCAUUUGAAUUAAAAUUUUAGUUUCAAUUUGAUAUAUUUUGUUCCUCUUAUUAAUAUUAAUGUUAUAGAUUUAUUAAAAUAACUAACAUUAUUAAUUCUCUAACAUUUAAAAAUUAAAAUUAUGUGGUUAUUAAAAUUAUGAUGCUAAAUUGAGAAUUAAAAAUUAUCAAGUUUUAAAUGAUCUCGGGAAUUAAGAAGAGAUCGUGUCCUAACUUAUUGGGCAUGAUCCUUUUUUUUCUCAAGUUUUAAAUGAUCUCAGGAAUUAAGAAAAGAUCGUGUCCUAACUUACUGGGCAUGAUCCUUUUUUUUUUAAAAUCUAAGAUAGCUAAAUAUUUUUUAAAUAAGUAAAUUUUUGGCAUUCAUUCGCGCAUCGGGAAUUCAAGACAUUGUGUCCUAACUUACUGGAUAUAAUUCUCUUUCUCGAUUAAUGUGAAUUAUGGCUUUUUCCCGAAAAUUUUCAACAUUUCAAUAAAGGAUCGUAUUUUAAAUCUCUUUAAAGUUUUCAAUCUUCGAUACUAAGACAUUAAUUAAUCAACUAGGUACCAAUUUUGGGCGUAACGAGGGUGCUAAUCUUUCCUCGUACGUAACCGACUCCCAAACCUGUUUUUCUGAAUUUCGUGGACCAAAAUUAUUAUUUUAUUAAAAUUAAAUUGUUUAUUAAAAAUAACCACUUUUCAAGGUGGCCCGAUCACACCUUAUCAAAAAGGAUUGGUGGCGACUUCCAUAUUCGUUUUCAUUUUUUAAAAUCCAAGUCGACCCCGUUUUCACAAAAAAAAAAAGUGUCAACAAUUAUAUUAAUAUAUAAUUUCAUAAAUUCUUUAAAAAAAAUUGUAUCUUUUAAUUUUUUAAAUUAAUUUAGUAAUUCAUUAACUCAUAAUAUUAAAUUUUUUAUUUUUCAAAAUAUUUACGAGAACGAGUUCGUAUUCUAUUGUGUCGAAACUUUUAGUACAGAUUAUUAAGUUAUUGGUGAAGCCAAAUCCAACUUGUUUGACCAAGAAAGUUUCAGUCGUGUGGAAAAUUUUAGUUUUGUGGAAAAUAUAGAUUAACUUCUAUAUAUGUAUGUAAUCUAAAGAAGCCUAAGCUUCUUAUUUAAUUAUAUACAAGCAGAAGAUAUUGCAUCCCACUAAUUCACUAUAAUAUAAAAAUAAUAUAUGAUUAAUUAAUUCCUCAAAAAUUGGAUCAAUCUAGGCUUCUUAUUUACGUAAAUUCCUUAUUGCAAAAACUCUCGAUGGAAAUUCGUUAAGAAAGGAUGAAUGGACCACAAAAAUGCUUAUCAACUCUUGACUUUGGCGUUCAAUGCUAAGUUCAUUUUAAAAUUCUUUCAUGGAGAGAAGAUGGGAUGACAAGAAUGAUAAGUUUUAAGUCAUUUAAGUUUACACAAAAUUUUAAUCACUCACAAAAAAUCAGUCUUGAUAUUCUAUUAAAAAAUUUAAACAUGGCUUAACGUUGAUUUUAAAUCUAAUGUCGAUGUCAAUCUUGAAAAACGAAUGGCCAAAAAAAUAUGAAAAGUGAGAGGUGGACAUAAAAUCGUGUAGUUGGGGUUAUAAAAUUCUUCAUGUGGACAUAAUAUAUUUUUUAUGCCCUUCUUACACUUAUAUAAAGUUAGUCUUGAUUUCGCUUUAUUAAUGGAAAUUUUAGUUCUUCAUUUUUUGUUUUAUUCAUGGACAUAAUAUUUAUUUUUAUUUUUUAUUUUUGUGUUAUGGUCUAUGUUCGAGGUUUAUGGCUAUCCCCUUUCAACAACGUCGUCUCAACGGUUCAAACAUACACUUGCAGGUAAAAUAAUACUUUUUAAAAUCACAAAUAUUUGAAAUAAUAUAUUGCAGCUAUAUAAAUGCUUUCUUGUUUAAGAUACUAAUAAAGUAAUUAACAAAGUAAUUAUUAUACCUAUAAUAAUUCAAAAUGCCACUUGUUAUCUAAUGAAGUAUAGGGGUGCAAAUGAGACAUCCGUACCCGCAAGCUAUUCGAAUUCGGCUCAAAAAAUUUUGAAUUUGAUUCGGUAAUUAUUGCGCCGAGCUAUAGGUCGAUCCGGAUUCAAGCUUAGUAAUACUUGACUCGAGUAGUUUGGGAGCCUUAUUGAACUUUUCAUAUUUUUAUAUUAUUAGAUUACAUUAUUGCCUUUAAUAUAUAUUGUUAACCCUAAGUUUAAUUAUUGAGGCGAGCUCGAACUCGAGUACAAAAAUUGAUAAACAGAUUUAAUUUCGAGCUUAAAAAUAUAUGUUCAAUCGAGUAUCAAGCUUUGAAUUUCAAAUUAAACUUGAGUUUAACCGUAUUGAGUUCGAAUAGAUUCAAUUACACCCUACAAUAAAAUAUACCAACAAAACCUACAUUCCAUAUUUGCUUAAAAACUUUGCUGUAAAUUUUAUAUAUGUGUGUGUUUAACGUGAGUUCCAUCUAUGUCCAACUUGAUGACGAUGAAAGUUCCUAUGGUGUAAAAAGUUUUAGUUAUGUGGAAAAAUAAGGUCUUCUCUUCACACGUUUAAUAUGCUUACUUGUGACGGUCAUUUCGGGCUUGACAUCAAUUUUCAAAAUGUUCUAAUUGGUGGAAAACUUACGUCUGCUUUUAUGAUUCUUUCAAGUCAAUUGGAGAAUGCCUCUGUUACACUUCAAAAGAAGUAGAUUUUGAACUCAACAUGAACCUGUGAGAUUUGAUGCCUAAAAUAUAGGUAUAAGGUUUCAAUUCAAGGAAAUGUUGGAAGUCCAGGAAAUUUCUUAGUCUCCUCUCUUUGGAUGUUUUUGAACAAAAAUGUUUUAAGUCUCUUCCGAUGCUAAACUUCUGAUUGGUCGUCGGUUCACUGACCCUUUGGUACACAGCAAUAUGAAGCAUUGGCCAUUCAAGGCCAUUGCUGGUCCUGGUGAUAAGCCAAUGAUUGUACUACUAUAGAUUUGAAAUGAUUGUACACAUCUGAUCGGCUCUUUGUAAAUUUAAAUCUUACAAAUUCGGAUAAUAUUCGAAUUUAAAUAUUUCAAUUACUAUCUGCAAUAGAUUAAAAACAAACGUGAUUAUCAAUCCUUGGAUAUCCACAUACAGAUUAUGCAAUACAAUCUCUUAAGGCAUAUAGAAUUUGGGUCUUAACCAAGCUAUGUUGCUUAAAAGCUUGCUAAAAGCACCCCUAACAAAGGGGUAAAUAAAUAAAAUAUCAAGCACCAGUUAUCAAAGCAGAUUGACCACCUUAUAUCUAUGUAUGCUACUACAAAACUUGCACCAUUAAAAUCUCAAGCUGGUAAUUGGAGCUUCAUGUUAUUCUUGCAGCUGCAGGCAUAAUAAUCAAAUAAGUUGCAAUCAUUCACAUAGGUACUAUGAAGUGCUUUCCAGAGCGUGAGAAACCUCUGGAAGUAAUAGUAGAAGAAAUCAGCAUAAAGCAAUGUCUGGACAAGACCGCAAAUCCAAGCUGAUCAAAGGCAUCAAUCAUGUAAACUAGGUGUUAGAAAUAACAAAUAUAGCAUAGAAUAUAACAAAUAAUGAAUAACAAUGAAUAGUACACGUUACCAUUUCCUUGAAUGACCUUCAAUUUCUCCAUUGAGAUAUAGUAAGAGGGAGUGGAAUAGAUGUAAGGUAAUAUUUGAUGUAUUCGGUAAAUGAAUAAUAACACCACAUUCCAUUAAUGAGUAAAACAGAUAAUGAAUAAUAAUGGAAGUUUUAUAAAAUAAAAAUAAAUUAAAUCAUAUACAUAUAAUGUAUUAAAUCUUAUUCGUGAAGUUCACAAUGAACAAAAUACUAAUCCAUAAUGGAGAAAAAUAACCUAAACUUUAAACAUUUGUUCAUUACUAUAAACAUAUGUACAACUUUUUAAAGGUUUUAUAUAAACUAUUAAAAGGUAUAAACACUCUCAUAAAAAUAUAUUAUUAAGUACGUCUUCUUUUACUAGGAAAGUUCCUAUCCUGUAGAAAAAUGUAGUUUUGUGAAAAAAGGUCUUCUAUGCACUAAUUUGUGGCAAUCACAUGGGGUUUGGGAAUUUCAAUUUUGAUAGCCAACCGAGAUUCACUAAAUUUAAAUUUUAUUAUGAUUAAUUACGCUCUUCGUUUUGGAGAAAUAGGUAAUCACAACAACUAAUUUAAUUAAAUGUAAUUUAAUAAUUAAUUUUUUUAUAAUUUAAUUACAUUAACUAUAUUUAAAUUUAAUAUUUAGUAUUUAUAUUUUAAUUUAACAUAAUUUAAUUCACUUACUUUUAUAAUAUUAUUAGUUCGUCUAAAUAGUUGACACCUUUAAUUAAUUCUUAUUAAAAUGUUAAAAAUGUUUAUACUUAUUUUCCAUGUUAAAAUAUAUAUUUUUUUGUGCUUUUAAAAACAAAAUUUCACAAUAUCAUUUCCCGAUAUAAAAAUUAAAUCUCAAAUUAAUUUAUAUUUUUGUAUUUUUUUAUAACUAAUGUUAUCAAGAACUCUUAAUAGUGCAACUGAUUCCACCAUAAUAUUUAUAUUCUUUAAAUAUGAUUUACAAUUUAUGUUUGGAGUUCGUGACUGUCAUUCUUAAUAAUGUCAUUUCUAAUGUUCGAACAUGCAUCUCCCCUUGAGAAUGCAAUAUUCAUUACUAUUGCACCUAAUUAUUUUGAUAAUUUAAUUUUAAAUAUUGACAUAAAAAUAUUUUUAAAUAUAUUAUUAAUAAAUUUAAUUAAGAUUAUAAAACUUGAGGUUUUUUUUAAUUCUUCAAAAAUGUCAUUUAUUUAUUUUUGGCCAAAAAAUGCCAUUUAUUUAACUCUAAUAUGUGCUUUUAUGUUUUAUUUUAAAAAUAUAUGAAAUUCUAAUGAUAGUUAUAUUACAUAUUUUUUAAUUUUAAAUAUCAUUGUUCUUUUAUAAUUUGUUUCAAGUAUGAAAUGAUAUAAUUUUUUUUAGUAUCUAUCACAAUAACCUUUACUAAGAAUUGAAACUAAAUUUCUAAAUUUUGAACAAAAAUGAAAGUUUAAUUAAAUGAUACAUUGGUGGAUUCAUUACCCCUCAUAUCUAGUUCCCUUAAGUUGAUAAAUGUUUCCAAAUCUAGGAAAACAAAAAACAACAAAAUCAACUUCAUUAUAUUCUCUUCCAACAUUAUUAUAUUCUUGUUAAAAAUCUAAUAUUUUUACCUUUCAAUCCAUUGCCCCAUAUGCUCAAAGAUUUCAAAUUUGAAAGCUUCUUAAGGGAUGCAAAUACACUAGUAUUGAACUGAUUUCCAUCUAAAUAAAGCUCUUCCAAGUGGGUCAACUCUAAUUUUCGACCACCAUCAAUAAAAGAUUUAUAUAAUUUCAUCACUAAAAUGAAUUGGCAUAAACUUUUAUUAUAUAUAAGAAUUUAGGUAAUUGGUUAAAUAUAAAUGCAUACCAUUUAAGGAUUGAAAGCUUUCAAUUUCAUUCCAACUUAAAUCGAGUUUCUUCAAAUUUGUUAAAUUGCUCAAUCCUAUACAUAUCCUCAUCCAAUUCAAAAUCUGAAAUUAGUAAAGAUAAAAUUGCACAUUGACCCCCUAAAAUUGAUAAAAAUUUAAUUUAAUUCUUUAAAAAUUAUAAACAUAUGUAGCGACCUAAAAAUUUCGGCACGGGCGCUAGUCGAAGUAAUUAUUGUAAAUUUGAAAACUGAAUCUCGAUUUUAUUUGAAAAAGGAGUCGCCACCGAUAUUUUUUCUAGGUGUGAUCGGACACCUACAAAAUUCUCUUUUUAGAAGAAAAAAUUAUUUUUAAACUUUUCUAAAAAAGAGGUAAUUUUAGGUCCACGUAAAAAUCCAGAGAAAAUUAGGGUCCGGGAGUCGGUUACGCGCGAGGAAGGUAUUAGCACCCUCGCAACGCCCAAAAUUGGUAUCUCGUUAAACGCGUGUUGUCUUCAUUUUCAAAAAUACGAGUUCAAUUUAAUAUUAGUCGUGAUCCGAUUGAACACGAGAAUUUUAAAGCGCAACAACUUUUUCUUUUUUGAAAACACGAAAAUUUUAAAAUACAAGAAUUUUAGAAACACAAAACUUUUUUUUUAAAAAAAACACGAAGAAUUUAAAACACGAGAUUUUUUAUUUUUAUUUUUGAAAACACGAUUCUUCUUUUUGAAACACGAAAAUUUUUAAAACAGAAAAUUUGUUUUUGAAAACAUAAAUUUUUUGAUAAAAUACGAAACACGAGAAAUUUUGAAGACAUGAAAAUUUUUGAAACACAAUUUUUCUUUAAAAAAUACCGUAUUUAACACGAAUCGAUGAUAUUCAUCCCGAUAUGGCGAUGAAACCAUCGAAUUAGUGUUAACUCAAUUCAAUUUAAUAUUUAAUCGGGAUUCUAAUAAAACACGAGAAUUUUUAUUAAAAUACGAGGAUUUUUGAAUAUUUUUAUUUUUAAAAGGGUGUCCCGAAUUUAACACGAGCUAUCGAUAUCCACCCAACAUAGCGAUGAAUUCGAUGACUUGAUGCUAAAUCGGUUCGUUGCCUUAUGCAUUAAAAUAUUAUUAUUUUUAAAAAAAAUAUGCAAUUAAAAUGACAUAAUAAUAUUUAUGAAAACUGUUUUAAAGCAUACUAAUUUAAAUUAAAUAAAACACCAUUUAAAUAAAUAAAAUAAAAUAAAAUAGAUUAAAAAGAAAAAAAGAAAAAAAUUACCCAAAAGCCCAAAGUUAUGGGCUUAAAUUUUGGGCCUCCCCUUUUAUUAUUUUUUUUGCUGUUGGGCUNNNNNNNNNNNNNNNNNNNNNNNNNNNNNNNNNNNNNNNNNNNNNNNNNNNNNNNNNNNNNNNNNNNNNNNNNNNNNNNNNNNNNNNNNNNNNNNNNNNNNNNNNNNNNNNNNNNNNNNNNNNNNNNNNNNNNNNNNNNNNNNNNNNNNNNNNNNNNNNNNNNNNNNNNNNNNNNNNNNNNNNNNNNNNNNNNNNNNNNNNNNNNNNNNNNNNNNNNNNNNNNNNNNNNNNNNNNNNNNNNNNNNNNNNNNNNNNNNNNNNNNNNNNNNNNNNNNNNNNNNNNNNNNNNNNNNNNNNNNNNNNNNNNNNNNNNNNNNNNNNNNNNNNNNNNNNNNNNNNNNNNNNNNNNNNNNNNNNNNNNNNNNNNNNNNNNNNNNNNNNNNNNNNNNNNNNNNNNNNNNNNNNNNNNNNNNNNNNNNNNNNNNNNNNNNNNNNNNNNNNNNNNNNNNNNNNNNNNNNNNNNNNNNNNNNNNNNNNNNNNNNNNNNNNNNNNNNNNNNNCUCUUUUUACUUAAUUAUUUAUCAAUUUACACUAGUUCGAGUUUUUGUAACAGUAUCAUGGAGACUUAUGUACUAGGAGUUAGAUUGUAUUUUGCCUCUUUUACUCAAAAAAUGAGUAAAUUAAUCCUUGUACGUUAAAUCAAUGAGCAAACUAGUCCUUUUAGUUAACAUUUUCAUUCAUUUUUACUAUUAAAAAUUGGAGUGACUAACGAAAUAACCAGAUAGUUACACAUUACAUGCCAAGGGUGAAGCCAGAAAAUUCUUUUAGGGGGCCGAAAUUAAAUUUUAAUUUUUAAUAGCUUAUAUCUUUAUAAUUUUUAAAUGAUUAAAUCAAAUUUUUAUCAUUUUUAGGAGGGGACUAAAGUGUAAUUUUAUCUUUACUAGUUUAAAUUUCUAAAAUUUCUAAAAAGCCUAAAUGGAUAAUUUUCAAUUUUAGAGGGGUCAGGGCCCUUGCCAGCCUCCCUAGAUACGCCACUGUGGCAUGCCACAUGUACCUCAUGUCAGCAUACAUGAACCCGUUUUUAACAGUUAAAAUGGAUGAAUUUUUUAGUAGAAGGAUUAAUUUUCUCAUUUUUUGAGUAGAGGAAAGAAAAUGCAAUCCAAUGCCUAAUACAAGGGCCUCUAUGUCUUUCAUUAUUACUCAAUUAUUUGUCAUCAAAAGUUGUAUAUGUUCAAAUAUAAAUACAAUAAAACACAUAUGUAGUUAUUAAACAUAUCAUGCUAAUGUCAUUGUUUCUUCUUUAUCCAAAAUUAUUGGACUUAUAAAAUUCUUGAGAAUAAGAAAACCCCAUUAAACUUCCUUUUAAGUAAAACGUGUGUUCAAAAUCUUGAACUAGGUUUAUGCAGCAAUAGAAAUUCACAAGCUGUUUUUUUUAUACAUGAGAUGUGAAUCUCAAAAUUUUAGGGUUUCUGAUCUCAUAUAUUUUGGGUCCAGAUUUAAUGCUAAGGAUUUGUUGAGAAAGUUGAAAGGGAAGAAAAUGAUGUUCAUUGGGGAUUCACUAAGCUUGAAUCAAUGGCAGUCUCUAACAUGCAUGUUGCAUGCAUUUUUGCCACAAUCAAACUACACUGUUCACAGAGAAGGGAACCUUUCGACCUUUUAUUUGCCUGUGAGUUGCCAAAUCUAGUAGCUAUUUUAUUUCCUUCUUAUAAUUAAAACUUUUCAAUGUCACCUUUAGAAGGUAGCUGCAUGAAUCAAAUGAGUUAAAUCAAAUAGACUAAUUACUAUUGUUUGGCAAAAAUACCGAGUAGACCUUUUUAAAAAUAGUUAUUAUACUUUUAUUACAACAAAAUAAGCAGGGGUGAACCUAAAAUUUUUUUUAGCAGGAUAGAAAUUUAAUUAUAAUUUUUUCAUAGAUCAAAAUAUAAAUUUAUUAUGAAUUAAUUUAUAAUUUUAUCAUUUUUAAAGGGAUUAAACAGAAAUCAUUUCAUUUUUAUGGGGGUUAAAGUGUAAUUUUACUAUAUAUUAAUUUAUAAUUUCUUUAUUUAUAAGACUAGAAAAAAUUUUCAUGGGGGCCAAAGUACAAUUUUACUAUAUAUUAAUUUAUAAUUUCUCUAGUUAUAAAAGAACUAAAUUAAAAACUUUUCAUUUUUUAGGGGGGCCAAGGCCCUGCCUACCCCUUUCAGAUUAUUCGCCUCUGAUAAUAAGCCAUUAAACUUUAAUUUAUAACCGUUACCAUUAAUUUUUAACUUAUAUCCAAAUAACCCCUUACCAUUUUAUUUAUACUCAAAAUAAAAUUUAACAUAAAUAAAGGUGAGAGAGGGGCCUUGGCCUAUUGGUUAAAAUAGAAAAUUUUCAUUUAGGUCCAAAGGUAAAGCCAAAAAAUCAUUUUAGGGGGUUGGAAAUGAAUAAUAAAUUUUUGGGGAGACUAAUAUUGCAAUUUUAUCAUUAUAUCAACUUAUAAUUUCAUAAAUUUUGAAAAGAUUAAAAGACAAAUUUAUCAAUUUUUGGGGUUGUCUACUCUCCUGAGUUGGUCUCUAUUGAAAAUUAAUAAUUCCAUAAAAUAUAGCUUUCCUAAAUUUAUAAUUUUAGCUCGACCCUAAAUAUAAAAUUCUUUGCUUUACCCCUGAUAUUAAAUCAAAAGAUAGAAACUUAUUAUGUUACUAUAAGAAUAUAGGGAUUUAUUUAGCAAAAGCAAACUAUUUCAAGGACUUUUUUGGUAGUUUGCACUUAUAGUUGGUAUUAGUUAGAAUUAAGUGCCAAGAUUAAGUUUCCUUUGAGAUAUAUAGUUGGUUAAGCAAUUUAAUAUAAGUGGAAAUUUAGACCCCUAAGUUAUACCCUUCAUGCAUUUGGACAACUGUGUUGAGCCAAAAAAAAAAUUGCAGGAGUAUGAAGUUUCGUUGAUGCUAUCACGCAAUGCAUUUCUUGUGGAUAUUGUCCAAGAAAAGAUUGGCACCGUUCUGAAGCUUGAUUACAUUAAAAACGGCGAAUCAUGGAAAGGAUAUGACUUUCUCAUCUUCAAUACCUGGCAUUGGUGGCUCCACACUGGAAGAAAACAACCGUAAGCAAAACAUAAUUUCAGCAAUUAAAACCCGAUUUUUUAAUUGCAUCCCGAGUAGAUUUGUAAACAAAUACAACACUCGAAUUGGGUUGGGUUUGAACCGGAAUAUCAUUCCUAUAGUUUUGAUUAGACCUGUAGUUUAAAAGUUAAUUAUUUAUUUAAGUUUGAAAAUUCGUUUGAAAUUUAGAAGAAUAUUUAGAUAAAAAUAUUAGACUUCAUAAAUGAGCUUGAGUAAAAAAAUUAAACCCGUUUUUAAUAUGGGUUAAGCUUAAGCUCAAAAAAGUUAAGGAUCCAGACAUGUUGAUGAACUUAAAAUGAAUUUGCGAUAACUAUUUACAAAUAUUAGUAUGUUGGAGCAAAAUUUUAAGCCAUUGUUUGGUCCAACUAAAUUUAGGCAAAUAUAAAGUGCGUUAAUAUCAUGCUUAAAAUUGAUUCAAACUGAUCCCAACCCAUAACCACUUCUAAUUCUGAUUAGUUUGACUCAACCUUUUUAUUCUUUUAAAUACUUAUAAAAUCUCUUAUCCAAUUAUAUUUAUAUUUGAGCAAAAAAUGAUGUAUGUAUGUAUGUAUGUAUGUAUGUAACUUGAAAAAUGAAUUGGAUAUUAGAUGGGAUUUCAUUGAAUCAAGAGGAAAGGUGAAGAAAGACAUGGAUCGUAUGGCUGCAUAUAGAGAGGCACUAAGAACAUGGUCAAAAUGGGUGGAUUCCAAUGUUAACACUACAACUACCCAAGUGUUUUUUCAAGGCAUUUCUCCGACUCAUUUCAAGUAAGCUUUAGCUCUUCUCUUCUCUUCUCUUACCAUUUGCAUUAACUUCCUUGUUCUUAUUUUACUUAAAAGAAAUGGAAUUAUGAAAAAAAUUGAAAGCCAUUUUUUUUCCAAUAGAACUUAAUUCAUUUUAAUCCCAUCAGAUUUGGUUCAAAUUAGAGGUGUUUAUAAGUUGGUGAGUCAAUCGGCUUAGUUCGCUUUAGACUGCACUUGAAGUUAAGUUUUCAAGUUUCGAGCCAGAUUAGCCUUACUUGUUUUAUUAGUCGAAGAAAACUAUUUUUAAUUGUUUUAUAAACAAUGAAAAUGGACCAUUUAGGUAAGCUUAAGUUUGGAAAAUUUUUGAAAUUGGGCUUAAACUUGACUUGGAAAAUGAACACUUAUAGUUGAAAGAAACUCAUUUGUCAUAAAGCACAAAUACUUUUAUGAUUAGAGACGUUAAUGGGCUUGAACUUAAAUUUUCUUUUUGGUUUAAGCUUGGUUCGAGUUGAAAACUCGUAUUGUUUAAAAUAUUUCUAAUAUAUUAUUGUUUAAAAUAUUUCAUAAAUAUUUUCAAAAUGAAAUAUGUGUAAGAAUCAUAAAUUCAAGCUGUAGUGUUUCCUCAUAUAAAUUAUGAAUCACUCUAAAUAUCUCAAAGAGAAAAUGACAGUUCAUUGACAUCUAUAUAAAGAUUUUUUUUUUUAAAAUAAAAAUCAACAAGUCUCUUACGUUAUCCAUAUAUAAUAUGUGGAUGUACAAUUAUAAACUUCACCUCAAACAAUUUGGUAUUUUGAUCCACAAUUUUGACAGUGGCAAAGAAUGGAAUGGUACCAAAUCAACAACUUGCACACAUCAAAUCAGACCGGCUACCGAUUUAACGUACGAAAGUGAUCCACCUCCGGAAGUGACGAUCGUAAAGGAAGUGCUAAAAAACAUGUCGACGCCGGUGGUUUUGCUCGACAUAACCAGAUUAUCACAGCUGAGGAAAGAUGGUCACCCAUCAAUUUAUACUGGUCUAAAAGGAAAUGAUUGUAGUCAUUGGUGCCUAGCUGGUGUUCCUGAUACAUGGAAUGAAAUCUUAUAUGCAAUUCUUACAAGUAGGAAAACUUAAUUCAAGAUUAUAAUUUUUUUUUCAAUUUAAUGUAUUUAGUUAAUAAAAAUUAAUUUCCCAUUAAUAGAUGAAGAAUUUUAAAUUUAAUAACAUAGGUGUAGCCAUCAAUUUAAUGUAUUUUUUACCCGAACCCAAAUUAAGUCAAGCUCAAACCAAUGGAAAACCUACAAUAUUAUUCAUAAUAAUAUUGAAACUUUAGAUUUUUUUAUUAGUAUUAUAUAUUUUAAUAAUUAAUUUUAAAUAUUUUUAUUAAUAAAUAGUAUUCAGGUCGCGCCAGCCCAAUUUAAAAGAUAUUUAACUCAAUAUAAAUUCAACAUAUUAAAUGAAUAAUUCAAAUGUCAAAAUGAGCAAAGGAAAAUCUAGAGUUGUAAGCUUUGCAACUUUAAAUUGGACAUGAGAGUUUCUUUUAUUGGAUACAUGCCACAUUAUUUUUUAACAAAAUUCCUUUAUUUUAUCAAUUGAAUUUAAAUUAUUAUAUUAAUAAAAUUAUUUAAUUAUUUAAUUGUGUUUCAACCUUUUACAUAAAAUAAAAUUUUCUCUUUUAACUUUUUCAUCAUUUAAUUUUUCACUUUUUAAAAUCACCCUCAAUUUCAAAUAUAAAUUUACUUGUGUAAAAAAAAAUCUAAAUCUGUUAAUUGCAUCUAGAACUUUUCAGAGUUGGUCUUGUCAAAAUUUUAAGUCUAUUUGCUAGGCCCAAGUUUGGCCUAAAAAAUAGACUUAAAAUUUUGUCUAAAUUUAACCCGGAUAAAAUAUUAAAAUCAGGCUCGACUCAACUCACCUGAAUUAAUUUUUCUAUAAAAAUAUUAAAAAUAAUAGGUCAAAAUACUAAAAAUAUUAAAAUAAAUAUUUUUUAAUAAUUUAAAAAUAAAUUUAAAAAUAUUUAUACUUAGAUAAAAUUAACAAUAAAAUAAUUUUUUAAUGUUUAUUAAAAAAUGGGCCGGACCGGGCUCGGGCUUAUGAUAUUUUUCCCGGGCCGGGCCUGGAAAAAUAUCAGGCCCAUAUUUCGAGCCGGGCCAAAAAAAAUUUCUGGGCCCGACCCGGCCCAUGGACAGGUCUAAUCUUAGACCUUUUCAGUGUUGGUCUUGUCAAAAUUUUAAGUCUGUUUGCUAGGCCCAGGUUUGGCCUAAAAAAUAGACUUAAAAUUUUGUCUAAUUUUGACCCGAAUAAAAUGUUAAAACCAGACUUAGACUCAACCCACUUGAAUUAAUUUUUUAUAUAAAAAUAUUAAAAAUAAUACGUCAAAAUAUUAAAAAUAUUAAAAUAAAUGUUUCCUAAUAAUUUAAAAAUAAAUUUAAAAAUAUUUAUACUUAGAUAAAAUUAACAAUAAAAUAAGAGUUAUAUAAUAUAUAAAUAAUAAUAAAAUAAUAGUAACAACAAGAAAAUAGUAAUUUUUUGUCUUUUUGUUAAUUCAUAUCGGACCGGGCUUAACCCGGUUGAGAACGGUACUUAUAUUUGUACAAAAAAAAAAUCAAAAAAAAAUGUGAACGGUACUUAACCCGGUUGAGUCGGAGCUCCAUGACCCGAACAGCAAUUUAUUUUUCAAUUCUUCUUCGUUACGCAAAAAGGAAAAAAAAAAAAACAGCUCAUGAAAAUGGCAUGGUCAAAUACUCUGCUUCAGAUUCACAUCAAAUCCCCUUCGAUCCCUUCUCUCCAUUUCCCACAUUCCCUCCCAAAAAGCUCCCCAUUCCUUCUUAAUCCUAACCCUAUAAAUCCCAUUCCCAGAUCCCUCAGAAUGCAAUUCCUUCACAGACCCAACGCUGUCCCACUCGUAUCAAGAGCCAUGGACAUCAUCCAAUCGUCUCCUCCCACGUGGCAAUCCGCAGUCCUCAGUAACCUCUUGAUCUUCGUCGUCGGCACCCCACUUUUAGUGGCGGGGCUUUCUCUCUCCGGAAUUUGUGCUGCGUUCUUGCUUGGCACUCUCACUUGGCGCGCUUUUGGCUCCCCUGGGUUUCUCCUCGUUGCUUCGUACUUCGUUAUUGUGAGUUGCUAAUAAUAUAUUAUGAAUUGUAGCUGAAUUAUGGGAAUUAAGUUAAAUUUUGGAAAUUGGGUUUUGAUUUUGUAUCCAUCUGGUAUUAAAAGUUGCUUGCUUUGGAGAAUUAGCUGUCAUUGUUUGGUAGUAUGGCAAGGAAAAUAAACUUAAUUUAUGUCGAAAGGUUACUUUUUAAUUAGUUAGCUAUUCAAGUUUGAUUAGUUGUAUUUAGAGAAAUUGAUUGUACUAGGUGAAAUGAGAUCAAAAGAUUAACAAAAGUUACUUGAUGGUUUCUAGCUUUUUAGCUGAAAUAAAGUCCUGUAUGAAAUGAUAUAAUAUUUUAGUUUUCUAUUAUGGCUUGUUUUCCUUGCAAAGUAUGAAUCUUGAAUUAGUUCCUGCCUCCCUCUUCUAAUUCUCCUUACCCAUUUCUAGUUGAAAGUUAAUUGAAAUUCCAUGUGAUUUUGUGUUAUAAUUCCAGUUCAUAAUCUGAAUGGAGACAAUAAAUUUGGAUGAAGGAGCUUUAAGCAGUGGGAAAAAUCCAUAAUAAUUUGUAAUUCUCUAAAUCUCUAAACAAUCUUACAUCUCUUUGUCAUGCCUUUCAAACAUAGUUGGUAUAACUAUGUUCAAUUGUCUUAGCUAUUGUUUAAUCAUUUUUAAUUUUUCAUUCCCCCUGCUCCCCCAAAAAAAAAUGUUUGUCUGAGCAAUGAGUCUUUCUCAAAAUCAAUUUCCAAGGCCAUUUUAUUUGAUUAUGACUUUGUGAGUAAAACAUGUUUGUAUUUGUUAGGGAACCGCAGUAACAAAAGUGAAAAUGGCUCAAAAGGAGGCCCAAGGGAUUGCUGAGAAGAGGAAAGGAAGAAGAGGACCUGGGAGUGUAAUUGGGUCCAGUGCUGCUGGUUGUGUAUGUGCUGUUCUAACAAUAUAUGGAGUUGGAGGAGAGGCAUUUACACGUCUUUGGCAACUUGGUUUUAUUGCUAGUUUCUGUACUAAGUUGAGUGAUACAGUGUCCAGUGAGAUUGGGAAAGCAUAUGGCAAAACAACGUAAGUAGUGCAUCUCUGUUUGUUAAUGUAUAGGCGCUUUAGAUUAACUGUAUUAAUAAUUCUCCUUAGUUCAUUCUAAAGAAAGGAUAUUUCAAAUCAAGUGGAAUUUAGAUCCCUUAUGGUUCUUGCUAUAUUCGAGCUCUAUUAUUGUCAUAUAUGCUGGUGAUAAAGGUCGCUUUGACAUCCUAUAUAGAAACAAAAUUUGUGAGUGUUAAUAUUGCCUCAAAUCUUUUUUUUUUUCUUCAAAGGUUUAUGUCAAUUGCUACUCUCUUUUUUUUUUACUGUUAAACUACACUUUAGAAUUGCAAAUAUAAAGUGUGUGAUGUGCCAAAAUGAACAGGUACCUGGUGACAAACUUUCAGAUUGUUCCUAGGGGAACAGAAGGAGCUGUCAGUGUUGAAGGAACUGUUGCUGGACUUCUAGCAUCUAUACUGCUUGCCACUAUUGGUUGUCUAUUGGGUGAGGUAGUACUUGCUAUGUACUCAUACUAUGUGAAUAAUUUGUUCUGCCAUUCAUGAUACCAUUUUUUUUUAAUAACAAGCAUUAUUGUGAUCAUUACAAAAUGUUUACACCUUGUAAGAACCUGGAAUUUUUUCUAGUCUCUGCAACAAUAGACUAAUUGGUGGGGUGGUGCCUAGAUGGAAUGAUUUUGCAGAUAUAAUUUGUUGAAGGUGUUUUUCAAAGGGAACUCUUAGCAAAAUAGCAGAUCAUGAUAUAUUUAUAAAUUGAUUUUGACAUCUCAGUUUAGGCGUGUACGACCUUUGUGAGCAUUAUUUUGCUGGGAACUUAAAUUUCAAUUUAAUAUAGUUCAGGUAUUACAAUUUGGUAAAUUGGAUAAUAUUUUCAAGGGGAAGGAGAAUUAAAUUAGUUGAAACCGAUUUUUAUUGUUAGUGGUUUUUUGUAUGUGAGUGGAUGAGGUUGUCUCUCUAGCCUUGCUGCAUCUUUAGCUAGGAUUUUCUCAAAAAUCUUGUAUAUAUCCCUAAGGUUAUGGUGUUGUUCAUAGUAUUGACGCCAUAACCUCUAUACACUUUCAAACUGAAUAUGAUCAACAGCUUCUAGAGAAUGCAUAAAUGAAAUAUGGGUAUUUGAAUUUAUAGAGAUGUUCUAAGCUUCUGUUUUUUGCUUUUUCAUUUAUCUUUGCAAGCAGAUAAAUGUACCUGAGGUAUUGAUAUGUGUAAUAGCAUCCCAGAUUGCUAAUCUUGGUGAGAGCAUAAUUGGUGCUGCAUUCCAAGGGAAAGAAGGAUUUCGUUGGGUAAGGAAUCAUUUGAAUAAUAGGAUGGUUUCUGUCAUCCUGUUUUCUUAACCAUUUUUUCUUAAAUUUAGUGCCUAUGUAUCUUCUAGAUUUUAGUGUUACCGAUGAAUCAGGCUUGAUUCUAUAUGAAUGUAUGGUUUGAUGUGGUAUAUCGAUGAGAUGAUUACAUGUAUAUCAUUUUGUGGACUCUCAUCAUGUUUGGAUCUGGCUGCACUCCUAAAGCUGUAGUGAGGAAGAAUUAUAUACCCACUGUUUUGGGGUAAAGAAGAUCGAAGAGUAAAUUUAGAGAGAUCAGCCUGUUAUAAAACUGCCUGCUAAGGAUUAAUUCUAGUCUUAAUUUUCAUUCGAUGAAAUCACGGUAUUGUGCAUGUAAAAGGCUGUUAUGUUGGUCUGAUUCUUCUUUUUGCUUUGAAGUAUCCAUGUUCAACAUAUAGUCACACAAGAAAUAUGGAGAUAUGACCUUCAAGAUACAUGAUAAACUUUAGCACAAAUCUCUAUCAGACACUUACCUGAAUUUGAGCGAAAUAUCUGGGUUGGCCAUAUAUAAAUCUGCCUAGGAUCUAUCAUCUUAGCAUGUUUAUAUGCUUUUCAUUAUAAGGCUGAAACUUGGAUUCUUUUACCAUAUUGAUUUUGGUUUUCAUCUUGCAGCUGAACAAUGAUGCUGUUAAUGUCAUCAACAUAUCCAUAGGCUGCAUUUUGGCAGUCUUAAUGCAACAACUACUCCAAAACUGGCAAAUGUAAGUUCACCCCAUCAUCUCUUUUGCGAUGUCAGGUAAUUAUUGCAGAGUUCAUCGACACUGCAAUCGACAUAUUGCAAUGUGGGGAAAGAAAAGAAGAAGAAGAAAGAGAAAGUCUUCAAUGUAAUGCAAGAGAUGAGCACAAAGGUGCAACAAUUAUAGCAAUGAUUUUGCUAACCUUGAAAGAUACUCAAAUGAUAUGGAAAAUCAUUAGCAUAACCAUUUGUUCCAUGAGUAUAUUUUAAAAAGGCUUCUCUCUUUUAUAGUCUUGGUAUUCAAAGAUGUAUUCCUUUUAUCAAUCUCCAGUUAGAAAUGAAUUAGAUGCUUUUUAAAUUGCAUUUCUUAACCAAAAUUAUUGGCUUUUUUUUUAUUGUUGUUGAGCCGCACUGGAUUUAUGGGUGUAAUUGAAGCACAAGCUUGACUUGGAACUUUUAUGUUCAAAGUUCGGCCCGGGCCCAAGCUUGAGUUCAAUUAAGCCAUUUGUGAAUAUAUCAACCAAUUGUUCCUUUGUAAAGACAUGUCUAGUUUGGACUAAACCAUCUUGGAUUUUUUUUACAAGGUGAGAGUCAAUCUCUAUAUGUUUCGUUCUCUCGUAGUAUUCAGGGUUGGUUGCAAUCUGAAUUGCUGCUUGACUAUCAUAGAAUAAUAUGAUUGGUUCUACUCGUUUAAAUCCAAGUUCCUUCAGUAGUCCAGUCAACCAAACUAACUCAGCCAUAGUUCUAUACUUUGCCUUUGCUGAAGAUCGUGAUACUGCAUUUUGUUUUGUUUUGUUUUUUCCAAGAGAUGAGACUUAAAACUUCUGGAGGAUGGUCAGGAUGGGUGUUUGGUUUACAAGGUAAAGAAAACGGUGAAGGUGGAGUUUGUGAGGUUUUCUUUUUACCUUUCCCUUUGGAGGAGGAUGAAGGUUGGAUCAUGAAAUUUUCUGGAAGUUUUUCUGGUGGUCUAGAAAGAAUGUCUGCAAGAACAUUGGUUUUCCCUUUUAUGUGGAGGACAUUCUGUCACUAAUCGCUUUGACAUUGGACUUGAAGCCCAAUUCGAAUCACAAUAUGCUACAAGUUAUGGAGAACCAACUACAGCACAGAAUAAACCUUGUCCUGGAUCCUUUUUAAUGUAUCUGACUAUUCUAAGAGCAGCUUUAUAAUGCGACUUCUUGGGUCGUUGCAUAAACUGACUGGAUGUUGUACCACAAACGUCAUAUCUAGCCUUGUAUGAGUCAAGUACAAAAGCCUUCUAAUAAGCCUUUGAUAUAAUGAAACAUCUGUCAAUACCUCAUCAUCAUGAUUCAUUUGCACCAUCUCAUCUUACUGGAGAUGUCAAGUUUUGAUUUUGUUCUAAAGGAGUGACAACUAUCUUUCCUCCCCCUUACCUCGUGUCUGAAAUUAAUUCAAGAGCAUAUUUGCGUUGAUUCAGUACAAUUUCAAACUGUGAUCUUGUGAUUUCAAUGCCAAGAAAAUACUUUGAGAUCACCUAAAUCUUUCAUUUUGAAAUUUUGAUGCACAGUUCCUUUAAGCUCAUUUAUAAGCUUGGUAUCAUUUCCAGAAAUCAACAAAUCGUUAACAUAUAUCAACAUGACAACCAGCUUAUAACCUUUCUUCUUGAUAAAACGAGAAUAAUCGUACUUACUUUGUGAAUAACCAUUUAGAAGAAUAGCUUUAGUAAGCUUUAGAUUCCACUGUCAGACUUAGCAAUUGACAUACUCUAGUCUCUCUUUGAUUGCGAAAAUCGUCUGGAAGAGUCAUAUAAACCUUCUCAUGUAAAUCUCCUUGCAUUAUAGGCAUCCAUUUGAAACAAGGGCCAACCAAACUAUACAGCAAGAGCAAUGACCGUGCAAAUUGUGACUUGCUUCGCAACAGGGGAAAGUGUCAUGAAAAUAAAAAACCUGCCUGCUGAGUAUAACCCUUCCUAACAAGUCUGGCUUUAAAUCUUUCAACCGAGCCAUCAGAGCUGUACUUGACCUUGUAGACCCAUAUGCAACCAAUGGGCGUUUUACUAGGAGGUAAAGGAACUACCUCCCACGUGACAUUUGAUUCCAAUGCUUGAAUUUCUUGAUCCAUGGCCUUUAUCCAAUGUUUAUCCUUAAUUGCUUCACUUUAGGUUUAAGGUUCAAUAAUAUGGGAAAUGGAGGCAGCAAAAAAUUGUGUAUGCAAAGGUAAAUGAGCAUCAGCUAUACAAUUAGAUAUAGGGUACUAACCUUUAUGGAGUGAAGAAGAUAAAGAAGAGCAAUUUAAAUCUUUCAUCCAUGUAGGAUCCUUAAAAGAACGAGUAGUGCGAUGUAAAGACAGCUGGUAAGGUAGUAGACUACGAAGGUAAUAAGGACUGGUUGGGAAAUGGAGCUGAAGAACGACAAGGAGCUAAGGAUGAACAUUUCAAAUGGGAUUUUUCCAAUUCAAAGCUGAAGUAGGUAAUCUGUUAACAAUAUAACAAGCAGCAAGGAUACACUCGCCCCAAAAUUUGGUAGGUACAUUAGACUGAACUUUGAAAGCACAUGCUAUUUCUAACAAAUGUCGAUGCACACAAGAACUUUGAUGUAUUAUGCCUAAGAAGAAAAAAAAGGAGUAUAUUCAGAGUUAAAGAACUCAGUACUUAUGACUUCCAAAAGUUUUAACAACAGUUGAAAAUUGCGUGUGAACCAAGGCUAUAAACUGUUUCAAAAUGACAAUAGUGUCGGUUUUAAGCUUAAACAGAUGAACCAAAGAAAAAGGAGAAUCCGCUCGAGAAUAACUAAUAGGAAAUGGCAAUCGUGUUUGUUUAGUAAGAGGACGAACAUGGCAUGGACUAAUAUAGUCACUGUUCCAAAAUGAAAGAAACAUGGCCAAGUCCGGCAUGCCAAAGGAAAGACUGAUCAUGAGAUGUCAAAAAGGAAGAAAUGGGAGAAGAUACAAAAGAUGGCAAUUGAGGCUGUUGAUGCACCAGAAUGUAAAGAUCAUUCUGUUCUUUACCAAUCCCCUUCACUUGUCCACUGCAAAGUUGCCGUAAAAGGCAAAAAUCGGGAUAAAAGGAUACAAAACAAUGUAAGUCUCGAGUUAACUUGAAAACGAAAAUUAAAUUGAAAUGAAAGUCUGGGACAUGAAGGGCAUUGGUUAACUUGAUAGAGGAGGACAAGACAUAGGAACCCAUGUGAGUAAUAGGGACGGAUUUACCAGUGGGAAAUUGGACAAAUGAAGAAUGAAAAGUAAAAGGAACAAGAGAAUCCAAAUAUUGGCAAUCAGAUAUCAUGUGGUUGGUGGCCCUCGUCUCCAAAAUCCAUUGGAAAGAUGCAGGCCAAGAAACCAUACCUGCCAUGUGAGCAGCUACUCCAACAGUUGAAGUGAACUCAAGACUGAGUAAAUUCAAGAUCAGUAGAUACUGUGCCUGAAUAAACACAGGUGCAAAUACUAUGGUAGCAUUGUUAGUCAUAGUUGACCUUUGUUUUGUAAAUUUAAAAUCAACAGGAUACCCAAUAAGCUUCUAACAAGUUUCCCGUUUGUGACCUUUAAUCUUUCAAUGGUCACACACAUCUUUCAAUGGUCACAGAAUACAAUGUUGUAGGUUCAGAAGGAAAAGAUAUGCCAGAAGAAUGUUGUCUUUGAGCUUCCUCUUGAACAAGCACGGAAUUAGCUUAAUUAACAGAAGGUAAGGGUUCCAUUAACAAAACCUGACUUCCAACAACAGCAUAAGAAUCAUUCAGGCCCAUCAGAAACUGAAAUAACCACUGUUGUUGAAUAAGUUGUUGAUUCAUGCGGGAAUUUUCACAAGAAAAAGAACCAAAGCAUCGUAAUCCCACAAAAGCUUCAAUCGUGUAAACAAAACUGAAACAGAGUAAGUACCUUGAGCAUGGGAAGCAAUCUCACCAUGAAGAACCAUCGACUUUCUCAUAUCGUUCUUGAAGUUCUUUCCAUGUUGACAAAAAUAAACUGUGCGGUAUAAUUAUAUAAUUAACGUCGCUCAAAAUUAACAUAAAAUUUCAAUAUUUGUAAAUUCGAAUAAAGAAGGUGAAAUUCAAUUAUAUUACUUUAUAUACUCAGUGCUUUCUAUGUAAAUUAUUUUCAUUAUUUUAAAUAUAAAAUGUUUAUAUUAACAUGAUAAAAAAUAAAUUAAAUUAUAAAUUAAAUAAAAAAUAAAAUUCAGUUUUAGUUACAUUCAAAUACUCGAUUUUUGGGGUUUUCUGCGCCCUAAUAGUAGGAAAAGAAAAUUCUCAUCAAACCCUAAAGCCCAUAAAAGAAAAAGUGAGAAGUUUAGUUGAUCUAUCAGAAUCUCAAGCACUCACCCUUAAUUUGCAGUAAGUUGCGAGUCUGCAAUUCUUUAGACCCCUUUUCUCAAUUGAUUUUCUUCUUUAACCAAUCGUUUCUCUCGCGCUCUGUUUCUUUUAGGAUGGCCGAUGAACAUAUUUCCACAGUCCUGGAGCAGCUACGACGAAUCAUGGCCGACGAAAGAUUUCGGAACUCGGAGUUUCAGAUAAACUUGCUUGUAUGGAGACUCGAAGCUUUUCAAUCUAUGAUUCUUUAACAUGGGGACGGGCUAUUUUCGGUUCGGCUAUUGGAGCGUGGGAUUACUGUUCAUGCACUCGAUCAAGUGCUAUAUAACAUAGAAGAUGUAAUUAACGACGUCUUACAUUUAGGAGUAUCUACUGAAUUAGCAGCAGCAGGCCUUGAGAAGUUUGCUUCUACUCAAUCAAAAGCAGCAUCAGCAGAAACAGCCACUCUUUACAUCUUGCGCAAGAGGUUGGAAGAAUUGGAGGAGGUAUUGAUUGGUAAUCCGCAUGAAUCGCAUCCCUUGCACUCUAAACGAUCUUUUUUUGUAAAAUUGUCAAAGUUAUAUGGUCUAGAUGUGGUUAAGAAAGAUAUAAUAAAUGUAAUUUUGGGUGAAAGUUUCAGGGAUAGUAGCGACAGCAUUAAAACCAUCAUUAUUGUUGGCAUGGAAGGAACGGGGAAAACAUAUCUUGCGCGGUGCAUUUGUACUGAUUGUCAAGUUCUGGAAAUUUUUGACAACAUAAUUUGGGUGAAUGUUUCGGAUGAUUUUGAUUUAGGUAAAAUUGCAAGAAAAAUUAUUCUGUCUCUUGAAGGUUUGGAGCAUGACUCUUUGCGUCUCCUAACAUUAGUUCCAUUGCAAAGUCUGUUAGAUAGAAUUCAGCGAAAGAUUGUUAACAAGAAAUCACUUCUUGUUUUAGAUGGUGUGGGGAGAUAUGAUUGUGAUGAUUGGGAAGCACUUAGAGCUGUUUUUCAACAUGGCAUGUCGGGGAGUGGGAUUCUAGUGACUACUCAUGAGCACUCGGUUGCAGGAGCAAUGGAAUCAUCUUAUAAAUUUUGUUUGGGAAAGCUGUCUGAUGAGUUGUGUUGGAUGAUACUUCGUGAAGUUGGAUUGAAUGAUGAUACUCUUGAAUAUGCGGUAGAGGAUAUAGGAAGGGAACUUGCAAGGAGGUGUGAAGGACUACCCUUUGCUGCAAAGGUUUUGGGAGAUGCUAUACGACAUUAUGACUUUGGAAUAAGAGGAUGGGAUGUUUUUCUGAGAAAUUGUAUCUGGAAAUCUCCUAGAAUACCCAAAUAUAUGUCUAAAAUUCUAUCACUAUCUUAUUGCAAUCUACCUUUGUCUGUAAGACGGUGCUUAUCGUAUUGGGCUAUCUUCCCCAAAAGCUUUGAGAUUUCAAAAACUCUUUUGGUGCAACACUGGAUGGCACAAGGUUGUCUGUACUCAUCUGAUAAUUUAGAAAUGGAACUAAAAGGUGAAGAGUACUUUAAAUGCUUAGAAGCUCAUUCAUGUUUCCAAUAUUGUACCAGAGAUGGUGGUAUGCUUACUUGUAAGAUGCAUAGCUUAGUACAUGAUUGUGUCCAAUCUUUGUCCCCAUAUGAUUUAAUGAUGAGGUUCGAGUCUGUUAAACAGCUGACCUUGAAUUUAUCUUCUUGGACGGAGGAGGUCAAAGUUGUUGGCACUCAUCAUUUGGUAAUGAUGAUUGCUCAAGGAGCUGGUUUUCCCAUGGACAUUAGUGGUGCAGAGAAAUUGAGGACCCUUGUUGCUGUUACUCAAGGGUGUUUGAUAACUAGUCAAGCAUUAUCUAACUUAUUUAAACAAUCCAAACAUCUGAGGUUAUUGGAUUUGAGCUUGACUAGUGGGUGGCAUAAUUGUUUUGGGCCAUCCGGACAAGGUAAUAUACUAGAUGAAAUUCCGGUGGAAAUCUGCAGAUUGAUUAAUUUGAGGUACCUUAGCUUGGCUGGCAGCAAAGUAUUGAAGAUAUUACCAGAAACAUUGUGUGACUUGCAUAAUUUGCAAUCCUUGGAUCUUACUGGUUGUAGUAGUCUUAGAAAAUUGCCAGAUGGAAUGGGGAAAUUAAUGAACUUGAGGUAUUUUUAUACCUGGUGUUGCUCUAGUAUAACUUCCUAUCCAAAAGGGAUUAGCUGCUUAACUUCUCUUUGAGAAUUAACCAAUGUCAUUGCUAGAGCUGAUCACAAUGAUGCAAAGGAAUUCACUCUUGGAGAUUUUGAAAAGUUGAACAACCUUUGUGGACAUGUUCGUGUGAAACUGGUAGGGAAUGCGAUGGAUGCAGAUGAGGCUAUUAGAGCUAACCUUUGGAACAAGAAGGAUCUUGACCGUAUCAGAAUAAAUCUGGAUGGGGAUAUAGGGAAAGAAAGCCAAGACGUUAUAAAGAAAGCAUUAAACCCGCCUUCCGACUUGAAUAUAGAGUUCGUAGGUUGGUGGUUCUAGUCCAGAAAUGUAAGGAUGCUGCAAAGCAACAGGUAGUCUCUCUGUCUCAUUUUCUCUUUUGUUGUAGCUUUGAUGGUUCAAAUUCAGUAUUUACUCCUAUGAUUCAUUCAAACCCAAAUUUCAGUUGUGUUAUAGUAGUUCUAGUUUCUGUUGUUAUCAUCUGAUUAGAUGGAAUAUUAUGAAAUCUCUUAUAACAUUACAAUGACAAAGAUAUCGGCUUGUCUAUCACAUGAAAUUUCUCUCUUGCUAAAGCAUGCUCUGAAUGAAUCACUUUAAAACGGCAAGAUAACUUAGAUUAUCCUUAUUUUCUUUUGCUGGACAUACAUAUCCCGUGAGAGACAUUGUCGUUAUCGGUGGUACUGUAGUUAAAGUUGGAGUAUAUUUUUAGUAUUUUAGUUUUUAUAUUAGGAUUUAAUCAGUUAUUAAGAUGGAUUUUUUCUGGAAAAAACAUGGAUACUUUUUUCUAAAAUUUUUUAUUAACUCUUUUGAAAUUUGUUAAAUUUUUAAUUAUUUUUAUUAGUUUUUGAAUUUUUAUGAAUUAUAGGUAGGCUACCACACGAAUUGAUCACGUCAAUAUUGUUAAAAUUUUAAUAAUCUUUUUAAUUCAAAAGAAAGUAAUAUAACUAAAUUGUAAAGGUUAAGUGUAAAAGUCAAAAUGACAAAAUAAGUCAACAUUAAAAGAUUAAAUUUAUCACGAUGCCUUUUUUAUAUACUCAUAAUUAAUUAUAAUAAAAAGUUAACUUUAUUCAGAUAUAUUUGUUAUUUUAAAUAAAUAUUCAGAAUACAACUUGAAAAUAAUCUCAUGUUUAUAAUUAUAACACGAAAACUUUACUUACUAUAUAAUGGAAGAGUAUUUGGUAUAUUAACAGUGUGCCUUUUUUUAUUGCACAAGUAUGUGUAAAAGAUUGAUAUAUGUCUUUAUUUUUUAAUAUUUUAUUAUACUUUCUAAGACACUUGUCAAUCUUUUAACUUUGCUUAUAAAAUUUAAAAAUUCCACUAAUAAUCUCACCUAGCAAAAUGGAUUAAAAACAUUUAAAGUAAUUUAGUUGAAUUAUGAUAAAAGGUCAAUGUAUUCUAAAAUGCUAAAUGGCAUAAAUUUGAGUUUGUCAAAUUCUCUAGCAUUGGGAGGUAAGUCAAAUUGCAAACUAAGUUGAAUAUUUUUUGGCUUUUCAGUAAUCAUAUUCAUGCUAAUAUUUUUAGAUUUAAUUCUCACUUUCAAUAUUAAAAGAGGGUUCAAAUGCAACUUGGAGUCAACAUGAACAUGAUACUUUGAAAACCCUAAAGGGCACUUGCACUCUUGUUUUGGAGGUGAGGUUAAGAAGACCUACAACAAGUUUUAAUAGAAUUUGAUAUAGUUGAAAAAGAUUCAGAGGAAAAUGGUACCAAAAUCUACAGUCGUGGAAUACGAUGACUGUAUUAAAAUAUAUGAAAUUGGUUGAUGGUUUUAUUUAUUGUCUCUUAAUAUUUUAACUAAUCAAUUAAGUAGUAAUGAGAAGGACAUGACACUUAAUCAUUAUAGUUUCUAGUUAAAGUUUAGGAAGAUGCAUUGACAUCAAUUCACUAAUUUUUUAUGAAAAAUGUUUUUAACCGGUUCAUAUCCCCAAUACCAUUGAACGUUGAAUCAAAUGGUUUUGUUGAUUAGAGAAAGACACUAAGAAAUGUAGAGGAACAUGUAUGCGUAAGAGAGAAUUUGAGGCACAUUUAAUAAGUUAACUUUGGAAAUUUUAUAUGUGGAUAAUAGCAACGAAGAAAGAGACUGUUGAGAAUGAUCAAACUUGGAGCAUAUGUUUAGAUCCAUGUGGAGGUACCUAUUAGGUAAGUGAAACAAGCAAUUGAAAUGAUGGAGAGUUUAGUACACCGGUAUCGUACUAUGAUAAUUUAUGGUCAUUUUUAAUUAAUACAAGUCAAAAAUAAUAAUAUUUAAUAAACCUAAAAUUAAUGGGCAAAUAGUGAUGAGUUAUCCUAAAAUAGAAUUGAAGAGGAUAAGGUCCUACAAUUAAUAAUAAGAAAAGUGAAGACUCUUUGAAAAGAUUAAGGAUGUACUUUGAUUAAGAGUGGUUAUAAAAAAAAAAAUUGGGGGGAAGGGAUAGAGUGGAGUAAGGAAAGUGGUGUGAUUGCCCAUUAACAUAAGUAAGAAAUAUGCGAAUGAUUGCCCAUUAACAUAUAGAGUAGGUAAAAUUGACUUGUUUUUCUAGAAAGACAAUAGAUAAGCCUAAAAAGUUAUAAAAAGUAAUUGUUAAAAUAGUUAAAAUGAGAGGAAAAAAUAAGAUAUUUUUGUUUAUGAGAAUUAAGUGUCGUGAGUCGGGACGAAAAGAUUAAUCAUUGUUACGACAGUAAAUACCUUGAUUACAACGAAAAAGAUAAAAUACCAUUUUACUUUAUAGAAAAUUCUCAUGAUUUUAUAAAAUAUACCAUGAAUAUAUUAAAUCAUAUAAAAAGCGUAAUUCUAUAACUCAUACCUAAUUUAAAUACAGGAUGGUAUUUAGAAUGAUUAUAAGAAAAUGCUUGUUCAUGAAUGUUGUGAGUUUUCCGAAUCUUGGGGACAAUGUACCCUCUGGCUCCCGUCAGGAUUCACCUGGUAAUUUAUAAAAAGGAAUAAACAAUCACUUGGUAACUCACAACUCACAAGGCAUAAAAUAUAAUCACGUCAAGCAGCAAAACACAAACCUUUUUUAAUAUUCCAAUCUAAUACAAGUGAUAAUAUCAACUCUUAGAGCCCUAACUCUUAAAGUAUCAGCACAUAAUUUUAACCACUUACUUUUAAUAAAUACCACCAUCACUACCAUUAUCACCAUCGACAGAGCCUCUCAAUUCAUAUGUCCUGCAAAAAAUGGUGUCAACACUAACAAAAAAACCAAAAUUAUAUCAUUAAAAUAUAUUUGUAUUUCUUAAAAGGCAGAUCAUUCAGUUUUUCUGGACAAGUUUCCCUAUGCAAUCUAAUACAAGUGAUAAUAUCAACUCUUAGGGUCUGUUUGAUUGACGGAAUUGAUUUUCCGGAAAAUCAUUUCCAACUUUUCCAGCGUUUGAUUGGCGGAAAACAUUUUCCAUUUGGAAAAUGAACUCCAAAACAAGGGAAAAUGAGUUACAUUUUAGGGAAAAUGUCUUACUCUUUCAAUUUCUAUAAUUUUAGGCUUUUCCCACCUACCUCUAAUUACACAAAAUAUUUUCAGAUUUAAUUUACUAAUUUUGGCUUUUACAAGGUCAAGAUUUGACUAUCCCAUCAAAUGUCCCAAAUUUAUAAUUUGGUCCCUCUUCUCUUUUCCAUGCUUCAAUCUAACCCCUUCUUUGCUUGUUUUUGAUUUAAAGUGCCCGAAUUUUGUUCCUGUCAAUAUUUAAACACAAAACGCACCAAUUACCAGGGAUUAAUUUGAGAAUAAGUCGAGUUGAACACGUAAAUUAUGCAAAAUGAACAAGUUAUCAUUGACCAUUAGUGCUACGUCAGCACAAACAAACGGUGUUAGUGCAGAGAUACCAACCUAGGUGACAGAAUAUAAAUUCAGGUACCAAUUAGAUAAAAAAAAAUCAUACACCAAAUAAAUACUUUUGAAUAAGUUCGAAAAUAGACGACAAAUUAUCCUUUCUUUUCUCUUUUUAUCUACCUGUAAUAUUUGAAUAUGAAAAGAAGUUACACAACUUUUCAAUUUCAAUAGUAGUUAUUUAACUUUGCCUAGUUGAGUUUUACAUAAAAUUUCUUUCUUUCGUUGAACAUGCUCUCAAUGAAUCACUUCAAACCCCCAAGAUCCUAAUAUUUUGCAGAACAUAUCAAUUGAGAGGCUCUAUCGAUGGUGGUGGUGGUGUUAGAAUCCGUUUAUGCUGGUGGUAGCAUUUUGUAUUUUUUUUUAUCGUAUUUAUUAAAAAUAAGUGGUUAAAAUUACGUGUUGAAAAUUUAAGAUUUAGAGCAUAUCGCCACUCGUAUUAAAUUGUAAUAUAAGCAUCGAUUGUAAAAAGAAAAGUUUGUGUUUUGCUUGUACUGUCUCAUAAAAGACAUUAAGUAAUUUCGUUGUCGUGUUUAUAUUUUAUGCCUUAUGAGUUACCAAAUGGUUGUUCAUUCCUUUUUAUAAAUUACUAGCCGAAUCCUCUUCAGUGAAGGAGCUUGAAAAUUUUUUGGGAGGGUCGGAAUUAAAUUGUAUAUUUGUAUGAUGGUAAAAAUAGAAUUUUAUAAUUUUAAUAGCUUAUAUCUUUAUAAUUUUUAAAAGGUUAAAUCAAAAUUGUAUCAUUUUAAGAGGUCAAAGUAUAGUUUUACUAUUACUAAUUUAAAAUUUUAUAAAUUAUAAAGGGCCUAAAUUAAAAUUUACUAUUUUAAGGGGGCUAUGGCGCCUUGGGUCUCCACUACAUUAUGCCACUGAUCCUCAUGGAAGACAGAGGCUACCUUGACCCCCAAGAUUUAGAAAAUUGCCAUUUGACCUUUUUAAUUUUAUAAAAUUUUUAAUUUAGUUUAUUAAAAUUCUGUAAAUUUUCAUUAAACAAUUUUUAAAACUUUUAAUUAGAUCUCUCAAAUUCUUUUUGGAAAUUCUUAUUUUCUCAAUUAAUUUUUUAAUUAAACUAUUCAGAAUUUUUGAUAAUUCUCAUUAAACCUUUUUAAAAUUCUCGAAAUUUUAAUUAAAUUGGUAAAAUUUGAAAAAUUUUAGUGAAGGGAAUCCCUCCCACAUAUUGAUCAAGAAAGCUUUGAAAAAAUAUUAAUUAAUUAUAUGUUUGAGAGAUUAAUAAUGUACUAUUUGGCUCCCAACAAUAAUAAUUCACUCUUAAUUUUGCUUCUUUUCCCUUUUUCUUUUACUUGUUUUUGUGAAAGAUAUCAUAAUAUAUGUUUUAAAUAAUUAAUGUAAUAAUAGAAAUAUUAAAAAAUAUAGUUAAUAGUAACAAUAUUUUAUACAAGCACAAUGACUUAUUCAAUUCUCCAAUUUUACAAAAAGAGACCAAUAAGUGAUUAGAUGUAAUGACAGGUCACAUUGCAUUCCCAAAAGAACUGCCUAAGUUCGAACAUCAUAAGUAAUAUAAAAACUUAAACAAAGUCAUGUAACAACCCAUAUAUCAAGUAUCACCAAAUACCAUUUCAUUCUUAUUCCAUUGUUUAGUUUCUAUUUUCAAUCAACUGAAUAUCGUCCGAUGGAACUAUAGCAAAACGGGCUCAAAUACACGGGAAUAAGUUGGUCACACAAGUUGACAGUAUAUUAGGGCUGCUCAGACAAGUUGACAUUACAACAGAAUUGCUCACAUAAACUGAUAUUAUAUCAAGGUUAUUCAUCUGGGCUAAACCUUCAAUAUGUAUAACCCGAGAAUUUGAGACAAGCCCAAGAACUCAUCCUAUGUAAAAGGGGUGCCAAACCCUAGUGCAUAGUAGGGUAUGUUGCCGCCCCUUAGUGUUUUGAAUAAAGGGGAACUGUAGUAUCAUAUUAAAACAAUACUAUUUAAUUACUCAUUAUUCAAGUAAAACUUUUGUACUAUUUUCCUAAAAUAGGAUCUAUGAAAUGAUUUAAUUACACCUAUCGCUGUUAUUUUAUCAUAAAAUAGUGGUAAUUUGUUUAUAAGAAUAAAUUCUAUAUUCUGAAAAGCUCAAAGUUUUCGAUUUCUAUAUAGAGAAUUAACUUUCUCACUAAAAGUUCAUGAAAGAUUGGUUGAACUGGGCAAAAAAAUUGGUCGAAUUAGAUGCGAUUGAACUGGUUGAACUAAAAUAUUUUAAUAUAUUUUUAUUUUUUAUGAAUUUUUUAUGAUUUAUUUAAUUGAAUUAGACUAAUCAAUCAAACCAAUUGAAUCAAUUGGAUCAACAAACUAGUAACCUUAUUGGUUUGAUCAUCGAUUUAGUUUUUAAAACCUUAGAUUUCGUCAUACCGUUUCAAUUAUUAUACCUUAUAAAUAAAAUAUAAAGUAAACCAGUGGUGAAAUUAGGGGGAUUGGCAAGGGCCCUGGCCCUCCCUAAAAUGAUUUUUUUUUUCAUAUGGACCCUCUAAAAAAAUUAAAAUUUUAAAUUAAUAAAAAUAAAAUUAUACUUUGGCUCCCCUAAAAUAUAAAAAUUUGAUUUAAUCUAUUAAAAAUUAUAAAGAUGUAGUCUAUUAAAAUGGUGAAAUUGUAUUUUUCUAUCGUAAAAAUUACAAUUUAAUUUUAGCCCAUAAUUUUUUUUUUCUAAUUUCGCACCUGAAAUAAGCUAUAUUUGAUUAAAUUUAUUAUUUUACCUUACAUACAAAACACAAAAUAAACAUUUAACUAUACAAAAUUAAUUGAUGAAUUGUUUUACUCAGUUGAAAGUAGAACAAAUAAUUGAUCCAAGAGGAAAGUGAAAUUUAUCCUUUUAUACGUCGAACAUUAGCGAAAAGGACAAAAAAGAAAUUUUGGGUUAUUUGGCUUUUGUUUCCUGCUGCUCUCCUCAAUCCAUUGACGCUGUUUCACCCCCUUUCUCUCGAUUUCUCAAUGUUUCUUUUCCUGUAAUUUGUUGUGAUUUGAAGUAUAAAUCAGGGAGAAGUAAAAGCUAUCAUAAAAAUGGCGGAGGCAAUUCUUACGGUAGUCUUGCGACAGAUAACAACAAUCUUGAGUGACCAAGCGGUAAAAGAGAUGACGAUGUGGGGAGACCGCGAGGCUGCUCUCAAAAAUCUUGAAACAUAUCUGAAAUCCAUCCGAUCCGUUCUCAAAGAUGCAGAGGACCUUCAAAUUACAGACGAUGCAAUCAAACUGUUGCUAGAAGAUCUGAAAAUUGUAAUUUAUGAAAUCGAGGAUGUGUUGAAUUUAUGGAGCUGUAAAGUACGGAAGGCAGAAUCUGUUCGUGCCAAGGUAAAUUGUCUACUUGAAUUCAUUGCAUAUCGUCGUAGUUCUGAUAGAAUAAAGAAGAUUUGUGAAAAACUGAGUCCAUUUGAGCUGAAAAACAAGCUGGAUCUGGGCAAGAGUAAAAUUAUAUCUCCUCUGCGGAACAAAGAAAGUACUAGCUAUUGUGAUCUAUCAAAAAUUAUUGGUCGAAGCGGAAUAAAAACUGAGUUAGUGUUCCGUUUAGUUUNNNNNNNNNNNNNNNNNNNNNNNNNNNNNNNNNNNNNNNNNNNNNNNNNNNNNNNNNNNNNNNNNNNNNNNNNNNNNNNNNNNNNNNNNNNNNNNNNNNNNNNNNNNNNNNNNNNNNNNNNNNNNNNNNNNNNNNNNNNNNNNNNNNNNNNNNNNNNNNNNNNNNNNNNNNNNNNNNNNNNNNNNNNNNNNNNNNNNNNNNNNNNNNNNNNNNNNNNNNNNNNNNNNNNNNNNNNNNNNNNNNNNNNNNNNNNNNNNNNNNNNNNNNNNNNNNNNNNNNNNNNNNNNNNNNNNNNNNNNNNNNNNNNNNNNNNNNNNNNNNNNNNNNNNNNNNNNNNNNNNNNNNNNNNNNNNNNNNNNNNNNNNNNNNNNNNNNNNNNNNNNNNNNNNNNNNNNNNNNNNNNNNNNNNNNNNNNNNNNNNNNNNNNNNNNNNNNNNNNNNNNNNNNNNNNNNNNNNNNNNNNNNNNNNNNNNNNNNNNNNNNNNNNNNNNNNNNNNNNNGCAUCUUUCUAACACCAACAACAUUACUGCCAUCCUAAUAAACCAUAAGUACCAUUUCCACUCCAUCAUCAUCAUCAUCUUUCUGUUUUCACUUCUCUCUCAGCUAUAUGUUACUUUUUGUUAACUUCUAUAUGUAUAUAAUCUAAAGAAGCCUAAGCUUCUUAUUUAUAUACAAGCAGAACAUUUUGCAUCCCACUUAUUCAAUAUAAUAUAAAAAUAAUAUAUAAUUAAUUAAUUCCUCAAAAAUUGGAUCAAUCUAGGCUUCUUAUUUACGUAAAUUCCUUAUUGCAAAAACUCUUGGUAGAAAUUCGUUAGGAAAGGAUGAAUGGACCACAAGAAUGCUUAUCAACUCUUGACUUUGGCGUCCAAUGCUAAAUUUAUUUUAAAAUUUCUUCAUGGAGACAAGAUGGGAUGACAAGAAUGAUAAGUUUUAAGUCAUUUAAGUUUACACAAUUUUAAUCACUCAUAAAAACAAGUAUUGACAUUCUAUUAAAGAAUUUAAACAUGGCUUAACGUUGAUUUUAAAUCUAAUGUUGAUGUUAAUCUUGAAAAAAGAAUGGCCAAAAAAAAUAUGAAAAGUGAGAGGUGGACAUAAAAUAGUGUAGUUGGGGUUAUAAAAUUCUUCAUGUAGACAUAAUAUUUUUUUUAUGCCUUUUUUACACUUAUAUAGAGUUAGUCUUGACUUUGCUUUAUUAAUAGAAAUUUUAGGUCUUCAUUUUUUGUUUUAUUCAUGGACAUAAUAUUUUCUUAUUUUUAUUUUAUGGUCUAUGAUCGAGGUUUAUGACUAUCCCCUUUCAACAACGUCGUCUCAACUGUUCAAACAUACACUUGCAGGUAAAAUAAUACUUUUUAAAAUCACAAAUAUUUAAAAUAAUACAUUGCAGCUAUAUAAAUGCUUUCUUGUUUAAGAUACUAAUAAAGUAAUUAACAAAGUAAUUAUUAUACCUAUAAUAAUUCAAAAUGCCACUUGUUAUCUAAUGAAGUAUAGGGGUGUAAAUGAGACAUCCGUACCCGCAAGCUAUUCGAAUUUGGCUCAAAAAAUUUUGAAAUUGAUUCGGUAAUUAUUGAGCCGAGCUAUAGGUCGAUCCGGAUUCGAGCUUAGUAAUACUUGACUCGAGUAGUUUGAGAGCCUUAUUGAACUUUUUAUAUUUUUAUAUUAUUAGAUUACAUUAUUGCUAUUAAUAUAUAUUAUUAACCCUAAGUUUAAUUAUUGAGGCGAGCUCAAACUCGAGUACAAAAAUUGAUAAACAUAUUUAAUUUCGAGCUUAAAAAUAUAUGUUCGAUCGAGCAUCAAGCUUUGAAUUUCAAAUUAAACUUGAGUUUAACAGUAUUGAGUUCAAAUAGAUUCAAUUACACCCUACAAUAAAAUAUACCAACAAAACCUACAUUCCAUCUUUGCUAUAAAUUUUAUGUAUGUGUGUGUUUAACGUGAGUUCCAUCUAUGUCCAACUUGAUGACGAUGAAAGUUCCUAUGGUGUAAAAAGUUUUAGUUAUGUGGAAAAAUAAGGCCUUCUCUUCACACGUUUAAUAUGCUUACUUGUGUCGGUCAUUUCGAUCUUCACAUCAAUUUUCAAAAAGUUGGAAAACUUAUGUCUGCUUUUAUGAUUCUUUUAUGUGUGUGUUUAACGUGACUUCCUUGUGAGUUCCAUCUAUGUCCAACUUGAUGACAAUGAAAGUUCCUAUGGUGUAAAAAGUUUUAGUUAUGUGGAAAAUUGGUGGAAAACUUACGUCUUUUUCACUUGCUUUUAUGAUUCUUUUUACAUGAUAUUACUAUAUAAUUAAAUUGAAAUACUGAUAAAUUUGAACCCAUAUGAUGUAAGUCUAGGCAUCAUCUAAUUUAUUGAUAUUUAAUUAAUUAAUAUAUAUACUUUCAAUUAUAAGAAUUGAAACAUAACUUUCAAGUCAAUUGGAGUAUGCCCCUGUUACACGUCAAAAGAAGUAGAUUUUGAACUCAACAUGAACCUGUGAGAUUUGAUGCCUAAAAUAUAGGUAUAAGGUUUCAAUUCAUGGAAAUGUUGGAAAUCUUGGAAAUUUCUUAGUCUCCUCUCUUUGGAUGUUUUUGAACAAAAAUGUUUUAAGUCUCUUCCGAUGCUAAACUUCUGAUUGGUCGUCGGUUCACUGACCCUUUGGUACACAGCAAUAUGAAGCAUUGGCCAUUCAAGGCCAUUGCUGGUCCUGGUGAUAAGCCAAUGAUUGUACUACUAUAGAUUUGAAUAUUUGUACACAUUUGAUCGGCUCUUCGUAAAUUUAAAUCUUACAAAUUCGGAUAAUAUUUGAACUUUGAAUGUAUGUUUUGUUGGUGAGAAUAUAAAGUUGAUAAAGAUUUGGUAAAUAGAGUAAAAUAUUAUUUUUAUUAGAAAAAUUAUUUGGUACACUGCCAAUCGAGGUAAUUAAAACAUGUCAUUAUAAAUAAUAAAAUUAUGAUGACUCAAAUAUACGAACACGUCAAAAUUUAUGUACAACGAAUUAUUAACAUGUAAAUGUAUAAUACGGUACGCAAAAAUAAGAUAAUUGCUUGUUUUUUUAAUUGAAUUGUUAUAACAUAUUAUACAAAAUACAUUGUGACUUAAAGCAUAAAAUGAACUUGAUAUCAAAAUAUUAAAUUUUUUUUAAAAUUCAAUGAUACGAAUAAUUAUGUAAAAUAUAACAUGAUGCAAAAUAUCUUGAGAGGAAAAGAGGAAUAAAGAAUUGCAUUAUUUGUGAGGUUUUAAAAUAUUCCAGUUUUAGAUUCAAUUUUCUAGUAUGUUUGGUUUAAUUUUACAUUAGAUUUCCUUUUCAGUAUGCACUAGUGAACGCUUAGCAGUCAGUUUAAUUUAAUUCAAAGAGAUAUUGCAUAUACAUAAUAAUGGAUUAUGAUUUUACAUUAAAUUUCAUAGAAGAAAAAGAAAUAGAUGGUUGAAAAUGAUAAAACCAUAAGAUAAAAGAGCUUUUAUUCAAAAUGCAAAAAUCAACAAAAUAUUCAUUAUCGCUCAACUUAGCAUAAUUAAACAUUUAGGUGUGGAAACAAGUCACAAUUUGAGUAGCUAAACACAUUGCUUGAAAAUGUGAUAAGUAAGAAAAUUGCCCACAUUUGAGUAGCGACAUGUGGUGAAGCAUUUCCCAACGAGAGAAAACUAAGCUCUUCACCAGUAUGGAUUUAUGUAGAGGACAACAAAAAUUGUCAACAACACAACUACAUAAGAAACCAAAAAGCUCACAAAAAAAUCAUAAGUAUCUAUCAAACCAUCUUCUCCUUUAUCUUCUGAUACAAUUGAUAUCGCUGAUGGUGAAUCGGUUUUGGAACAACUUUUAUGCAAUAUAUCUCCACAACGAAAAGGAUUUCCCUCAUAACUGUUUUCAAUAAAGGUCCCAAAUUGAGCUUUUGGUUCGGGAAUACUACCUGACAAAUUGUUAUAUGCCACGCUGAAAACCUCCAAAGAGUUCAACUCUACCAAUUGAUUGGGGAUUUCACCACACUCAAGUUGUUGUAAGAAAGGUCCAAACUCUCAAUGUGCUGAAGUUUUGAGAAUGAUGAGGGUAUAACUCUGGUCAACUUAUUGUGUGACAAGUUUAAAGAAUGGAUUUCACUCAAGUUCCCUAAUUUUGGUGGGAUAUGACCAGUUAAGUUUUUGCAAGAUAAAUCAAUCCCAAUAAUAUAUGAAAGGAUGUUGCCCUUGUACGAAUAGAACCCACUCUUUGUUGUGAACUCUAUUACUUCUUCUAAGUAGCUGUCAGGGUUGUAAGGAUUUAUACCCCUUUCCCAUUUUCUCAUCACAAUGGAUGUUGAUUCAUCCUUUUCUAUAAAUGGAAGAUAGAACCCAGUUGCUAGACUCUCUUUCUCUUUCAGUGGAAGAGAUAAAUUUCCCAAACAAGAAGGUAUAGGACUAGAAAACAUAUUUUGAGAAAGAUCUAUGAUGCUUAAAGAAUGCAACUUGCAUAACUCAAUAGGAACUUUAUCAUGAAAAUGAUUAUCUUUCAGGAGAAGAACACUCAAAGAAGAAAGCGUGUAAAUCCAUUUUGGAAUACUACCUGUCAAAUUGUUUCCUCUAAGAUCUAAAGUCACUAUUGAAGAGUUAUUAUAAAAAAGCAAGUGAUAGUGUGCCUCUCAGUCUAUUCCCGUGGAGGUGGACAUGCUCUAUGUAUGGUGGAUUAAAACAUGACGGUAUAGAGCCAGAUAAAUUAUUUUGAGAAAGAUCCAAAAAUUCCAACCUAUUCAACUUUCAAAAUUCCAUUGGAAUAGAACCUUCAAAACCAUUGUUGGACAAAUUUAAUCUCCACAAAAAUGAUGCAUUCCCUAUCCAUCUUGGGAGCUUUCCAUGCAACUUGUUACUGAGAUCAAUUUCGCUUAGUGAAUUUGGAAACUCAAAAAGAAAUGUUCACACAAAGUUUUUUCCAACAUAUGUCUGUCAUUUGUGGGGUCUUGAAUUUAAUAUCAAUGGUUGAAUUUUCAUAGCUAAUAUGUGCGCAAAAGGCCUAGUGGGUGGAAUUUUAUGUCAGGAAAGCGUUUCUACAAUGACAUAAUUAAUUGCAUUACUUUUCAAAGAUUGACUAUUGACUUUGGUGAGCUUAUUAGGUUAAAUUCUGCUGCUGGUCACUGUUCUUUGUGAAAGUUGUAAAUUUAGUCUAUUUACUUCAAUUUGAUCAAUUUUAAUCCCUAUACAUUUUGAUUUUUAAAAUUUUAGUUGUGACCCAAACAAUAGAGUUAAAUCAAUUUAAUUAAAACCAAUUACUAGUCCUAUAUUAUGUGUACAAUUGUUGAUUUAGUCCAUACUCUCCAAUUGGAUCAUUCUAAGUACCUAUAUUUUUCAAAUUUUAAAAUUUCAGUCUUGAUGCAAAUGACAAUCCUUAGUCCGUUAACUAGAUUUUUAGUAACAUAUGAAAAUAAUAAGAUGAUAUGACAUUACAAAUAUGAUAAUAUUUUUGCGUUAAAUAUGUCAACAAUGACAUAAUUAAUUGCAUUAACUUUCAGACGUUGACCAUUGACUUUUGCUUCAACCUUGAGCUUAUAUAGCCCCUACAAUAAUUUAGGUUAUGGAAAUAAUCUUACAAUUAAUGCCUGAGAAAUUAUUAUAGAUCAAUUUAUAGUUUUAAUCCCUAUAAUUACUCAAUUGAAUUGAAGAUUCAGAUUUUCUUAUUUAAUUUGAUAUAUUUUCUUCUCUUAUUAAUGUUAAUGUUAUGGAUUAGUUUUUUUAAGACAACAUUAUUUUAUUCAAUGAAUAAUAUCAUACAAUUCGAGGAGAAAAUAACAAACACUCGUUGUACUCGUUAAAGGACAAGUUCCAUCAACACAACAAAACCUUUAACUUCAACAUUAAUAGAACAUUAUGGCAUGUUGAAAUCGGCUCUGUCACAACUCAAGCACAACAUAUCAGGAGUGAUUACAAGCACUUAAUAUGGUAAGAAAAUUAACCCCGGAUGGUCCAAAGCGGUGGGCAUAAAUCAGCAAAAGAACUGAGCAUCCACCAAACUAGAGGGGAUGCGGCGACAAAACUAACCCUAAAAUUACUCUCAAAAGCAAGACUAAAAAGCGUACUACAAGAGUAGACAAAAACUUCGAAAAGUAAAGACUUAUUAAACAAUGGAAAAAUAAACAAAAAAAACAUAUAAAACUUAAGAUAACAUGAGUCUAAACCGAGUCAUGAAAUUAUUUAUUAUUUUGAAACUCUCAAAACAUAAACAAAUUAAGAAGUCAACGAAGAGGUACCCACUUUCUAAAAGAAAGUGUUGGUGGUCGGUGGUGUUUCAAUGAUGAUAGGCAUUGUCACCUGUUCAUCACAACUUGUAAAGAUAACAAAAAUACCCACAAAAUAAAUCUGUAAAUUGAAAAGAACGAAGACUCAUGGAGUGAAUGAGAAGAAGAAAAAUAAAAAGGGUUAAUAGAGACAAAGCAGGGCGGUAACUAGUUCAGAGGCUAACACCGCUGCUAGGCUAAAAAAAGAAGAAGAAGCAAACAUGUUAUGGAUUAGUUAAAAUAACUAACAUCAUUGAAAAUUUCAUUACUUGGCUGAUUUGGAUUUUUUUUUUUAAAAAAUUGAAACUAGAAACCAUAAAUGAUCUAACAUUUAGAAACCAUAAAUUGGGUUCAAUUGCUUUGCUGUCCAACUCCAUCCAUCUAAAAUCGCAAGGAUGUACCCAUGUUCAAUAUGCAGUACAGACCCAAAAAUUGACCAUAUAAUGUGGCUCAAGAGAAUUUUCGAAUGGUUUUAAAGAAUUAUGAGAACACAAUGAAUAAAGUUAAGGCAUCAUUUAUUCAGCUUGCUAUAAUGCAGGUCAUUCCAAUAAAGAAGCAUUUUUUAACUAUAUUUUCCGUUACCCCAAUAACAAUGGCACAGAAUGUUCUCCGAUGAACAUAGAACUCACCAUUUUUAGGAACACGUGUAGUUGAGGAUGAGAAUUCGGAUCAACUGUAACUUCAAAUGGUGGAAUGAAAACAUUGUCCAGAAUAUUCUGAAAAGAUUUUUCAAUUCCCAUUUGCUUGUACACAUUAUACAAUCGUGGUGACUGCAGAAUUAAGUCAAAAUCAAGUGAAGAAGGUUACCUUUGACUUGAGAAAUAUAUCACAGAGAGAGAGAAAGAGAAAACAGUAAUCUGGAAAGAUGAUGCUUAAUAUGGACAUGAUACCCUAGAAACCGAUCGAUCUUAAAUUUUAAUUUCUAAAAUAUUAUUAGCUUGUGCAUACUUUCAAAUACUUUUCAUUAGAGUUACCAUAAGACUAAUUUUUCCAAUUUUAGAUGAUUCAAGAAACUAUUUGGGGGCAAUUCUUAAAUAAACAUGUCCAAACAGUAGUCAUUAACAAGAAAGCAUCCAAGAAAACCAGCAGUUAAUACUUAAAUUAACAUUAUCAAAUGGAGAUGUAAAGAAGAAAGAAUCCUACUGCAAAGCUAGAUAGCAGGAGAAUCACUAGAAUGAAGAGAAAUACUAUUGGCACUAUACCUGGAUUAACCAAACAGUAGUCUCACUAUAAAUUUCAUUGUUAAUAAACCAACUUGCCAAACUGGUCCCAUUCACUUUGUUUCCUUCCAUAUAUGGACACCCUGUACUCUGCCAUCUAGAAAAUAUAUAUAUUAUUCAGUGUAGUCAGAGGCGCAAGGAGCACUCUAGGUGCUAGAAUCCUUUUAUUGUACAAGGCACAUGGCGCACAAAAAAAAAAAAAAACUUGCUUAUGUUAAGGCACAUGUAUGCGUGUUUUGGUAUGUCCAUGUCUGUAUAUAUAUAAGCCGAAGAUAUAUAAUUAUAAUAAUAAACUAUAAAAGUGCUCCAGUCUGAAGUACAGAACAUGCCAAAUUUUCUUUCUUUUGUCAACCAUAUGCAUAUUUCCAUAUGAUGCCAUGCCUGGUGUUGAAUACUCAAAUAUUGAGAAGUUGAGAGUUCGAUAUUAUCCCUUUGUUACAAUUAAGAAACAAUUAAAGAGAUAGUAAAGAGAACUUCAAUUAGAAGGCCUUUUCCCCCUACAUGCACCAGGCAGGCGCUUAGCCUGAAAAGGUCAAAGGCCCUUUUACUGUCUGGUGAUAAGGCAAAAAACAUUGGACAAAGUUGGUGGGAGGAUAGAAUACUAAAAGAGCCCAAUGUUGUCACUUUUCUAAAGUAAGCUCAUAUGCCUUUUUUGUACCCAAACAAUAUCUUACCCUUUAAUUUGUACCUAAAGAAAUUAUUUCUAAUAGAAAGUUUACUUUUGUUAUGAUCAAUGCUGGAGGCCAAAACUGAUUUGGGCUAAGGAAUUGGUGGUGAGAGUUGGAAGGCAAGAAGAAAGAAAGUUCUUUUGAGUGUUAUAUUUUUCAAAAAAUACAAAUUGUUCAUUUUUUUUACCACAUCAUCAUGCCAGGUCAGCUUCCAUGUGGAUAAAGAAAAUUUUGGCGGCAUUGAAACAGAGGCUUCAUGGGCUUUUAGUAAUUUAGCCCUUGGAAGGAAUAUGACCAUCCAAAAAAAGGCAGUUGAUGCUUUAAGGUCAAUUAGCCGAAACAAUAACAACAAUUCCUAGGCUUCAAUAAAAUAAUUUAGACAACAAAUAAAGCUUGAAGGUUGAGUUUUGCACUGCAGCAGCAUUGGGCUUUACAAGGUGAAAACCCACAUUGCACAAAAAUAUCAAAGUUUCAGAUCUAUCAUAAUUUAAAAUUCUAACUAAACUAAACGCCAAGAAUGCUGAAUGCCUAAUCAAAAAACAUAAGAUUAACCCAAGGACCUAAUUGGGUAUGCUAAAAUUUGUCUUGGAAUGAAAUUAAUAAUAUCCUUACUAUUUCACUUUUUUUUUCUUCAUAUGUUUGGUGUGAGCAUGAUACAGAUUAGACUGAUUUUAAAGUAAAAGUAAAACGAUACCAAACCUAAACAUUUUGGUUUUUUUUUAAUUUUUUAUCAGAGCCCUGUUUGAUGCAUUUUUAGUUUUGUUUUCUAAUAACAAAUGGAAAGUUAAUUAAAAAAAAACCCUAAUCCAAUGAGUUCUUUUAUAGAUAUAAGAUAAGUCCUGCAAAGUUUUUGUUUUUUAGAAAUAAAAUUUUAUUUUUGUUUUUUAAUUCUUCAUACCUAUUUUAAUAUCUAAGUUCCGGAUUCCUAACUGCCCUUUCAAUUAUAUAGUAUUCAAGAUUUGAACUUAUAUUUUUCUAUAAAAAUAUAAUGUAUUUUAUUAUUGUAUCCUACAUUCAUUAAUACUUAGUAGAAAUAACCUAAUAAAAUGAUUUUUUUCAUAUAUUAAUAGAGAUAAGAUUCGUGCAAAAUUGUUGGUUGAAAAUUCAUUAGGAAAGGAUGAUUGUACGAAUGUACCAUCAUUAUAAGUGAGCUCAACGAUAAGCCUCCUAUCAAUCACCAGUGUGCAGAAAACAUUUGAAAUCGAAACACCCGUUCAUACAUCAUACAUCAUCAUAAGUGAGCUCAACGAUAAGCCUCCAAUCAAUCACCAGUCUACAGAAAACAUUUGAAAUCGAAACACCCCGGACAUCUCCAACAAAUCUGCCAUAACGUUAGCAUCUCUUCCAUUUUUUCUAAACAAAACCUCACUAAGCUCAUCAAAUGUGCCAAUAUUUCCAAGGCCUAGAUUUCUCAUUGAUACACCAAGAAAGCUCGACUAUGGAGUCGGAUUCAACCAUAAGCUUUCAGUCUAUAAUCCACUAGGAAUCCAAAAAGAAACACUCUCGAACACCUAAAGAACCUGAAACAUAGCAAUGACAUGACCCUUUGAAUUUCUAAGAACCUCACCUCACCACGUCGAGCUAAGAUUACCUAAUGUCGAACCUUCACGGUUAAACUUUUACCAGCCUUCACCUUACUCUUGAUAUGAUGAUUAUGGAUACUCCCUUCACAAUCCCACAAACACUCCCACCAAAUUGACUCAACAAAAUUUGCACCUAUAGGUUUUCUGUUUAUAUUUGAUUUUGUUCACACAUUGCCUAAAACUACUCAUGAUCCCUCUCCAACCUAUAAAUACGAGGAUAAUGCGCUUCAACGCGCUCAAACCCACGUCCUCCUACAUUAGCAACAAUACUCAUGUCAAUCGAGUUAAAACACAAUCAAUAGAUUUUUUUUAAAAAAAAUCUUUAAAUGUUAUAUUAUUAUAUAAGAAUUUGAAACAUGACUUCCGUAGGUUUUAAAUCUAAUGUUGACACUAAUCUUGAAUAAGUCAUUCCACUCCCAUCUUAACUAAUGGCCAAAGAGAUAUCAAAAGUGGGAGAUGGCCAUAAAAUUGUGUAGUUUGGGUUAUAAAAUUUUUGGGCAAACUACAUAUAUUAUCAUUUAAUUAUAUAUUUUUUUCAAUUUAAACACUUAAAGUAAAAAAUUUAUAAUUUAAGCACCCACAUUAUAUAGUUUAGUUAUUUUGAUCACUCCAGUUAAAAUAAAAAAUGGCAAACUGAAGCGACAAUUAAAAAAAUGUAUAAUAACAAAUUUAACCCUCAAAUUUUAUAUAUUAUAUCAAUUACAUAUUACAACUAAUUUUAUAAUUAUUGAUAUUGAAUAUGUCCCUCACUACGUUAGGGAUUUUUUUUAUAAUUUGUAUUUAAUUAAUAUUUAAAAUUAAUUUCAAAAUAUGUGAAAAUUUUAUAAUUAUUUGGUGUUAGUCCCUUUAUUAUACCCAAAUUUAGGAUUAAGCCCCUAUAUUUUAAUUUUGACAUAAUUUGUUUCUUUCACUUUUAUAAUCUCAUUAAUUAUUUCAAGUAACUAACACUUUUAACAAUAUUGCCAAAUAAAAUAAUGUCAUAUUUUUUUUUCUUAAAGCCAUCACUUCUAACUAAAUCAUGACUUAAUCACUUUCUAAUUAAUCAUACUAACUUAGAUUUUUCUUUUGUUGGAAUCAGUACGUUUAAGGAAAACCCACCUUAACAUUUGUAGAUGUCUUCAACAAUUUCCUAAGCACGAUACAAUAAAGCUUGGUGUGUAUAAUUUUGUUUUAUGGAAGCUCCAAAUUAUGUUGAUUCUUGAAUGAUACGGUCUGCAUGGGUUUGUUUUGGGUGCUAUUAGUGUACUAGCACAGUUUGUAGAGGAUAAAUAUGGGAGAUUAGUAGAAAAUUCUGAUUAUGUUUUACAUGUGCAACAAGAUAAGCUAUUGGCUUCUUGGUUACUUUCAACUGUUAGUGAUGAAAUCCUAGCCUAUCUUACUAGUGCUCGUACUAGUUAUUAUAUGUGGGAAACUAUUGAAAAGAAGGGUUGCGACUAAGUCCACGGUAAAAUUGUCCAGUCAUGUGUUGUAUUCACAGAAAAAGGGUCAUUUGUUUGUUAAAGAAUAUUUGUCUAAGAUCAAGUCCAUGUGUGAUAUGUUGGUUGCAACGGGUUGUUUGAUUUCAAAUCAAGAAAUGGUUAGCAUCAUUCUUGCAAGGUUGCCAGUUGAGUGUGAAUCAGUACGGGUAGUAGCUUCAGCUACUGGUGUGUCACUUGAUCUGUUGAUUGAGAUGCUGCUUGAUUGUGAAGCUCGAAAAUUGAGUUCUUGAAUAGUGUUCUCGUACAACCUAACAUAGCUAGUAAACAAGAUUGUGAUGAGGGUGAUCGGACCAAGGGUUCUGAUUAUAACAGUGGCUAUCAAGGGAACAAACAGACAUAUAUAGGUGGUUUUCAAUGCAAUAGAGGUUCCAUCGAGGUUGAGGCCGUGAGGGUUGUUUUUCUAACAAUCGGCCCCAAUGCCAGUUGUGUGGUAAAAUUGGACACAUUGUCCAAAAGUGUUAUUACCGUUUUGAUGAAAAGUUUUGCAGGUAUUGCUAGGAUGGUAAUAUGGUAUAGUGGGCUGCAUCUUGAUUGUUUGUUUCUCAUGCUGAGGCUAUAAUUUUAAUCAUACCUAUUAUUGUUUCUUGUGUCCUGCAAUUUCAUCAUUUGCAGGCUGUUUCACUAAUUGCAUCCUAUUUACAAGUUCCCUUGUGUUAUCCUCUGCGCUUGGGUGGUUCUCGCUCAUAUAUUAAUGACCAUGCGUCUUCAAUAGACCAUGCAUCUUCUGAUUUGUCAUUGGAUACAACACUUUCAGCAAAUGUAAAGCCGGUAGAAUUUCCGCUGUUUUUAGAAGGUCAAGACACGACAAGAGCAGCAUAUGCUGUGUUCUUGUUAAACAAGGUAAGCUUUUGCAUAUUAGUAAUUUUUUUUUCCAAGAUGAAUUAUUCUCCUUUGGCAUUUUAUAUUAUAUAAUUAGUCACUACAAAACAUAAAUAAAUAAUAAUACUCCAUUUUUACAAUAAAAAUUCACUAAAGAAAAUACAUUUGAAGUCUAUCAUUGCUUUUUCGAAUAAGAGUCGGUCAAGAAAGUUAUGCGCAAAUACUUAUAUCUUUAUUUCAGAUGCUUUCAAUUCUAUUGUCACUUAAAUCCAAGUACUUUAAAUUUGUCAAAUUAUUCAAUUUUGAAAUUCAAUCCCAAAUAUUGAUCAAUUAUAUAUAUUCAUGAUAUGAUAAAAGCAAAGACAUCUUUCAACAUUAACUUUCCCUUAAACAAAAAUUGGUUUUAAAGUAAAAAAGAAACAUAUAAAACCAGUCUAGCUUGAAUAUGAAUCAAUAUAUAAACACUAUACUUAUACCUUGGUUUGAGAUGCUUUCAAUAUUGUUGUCGCUUAAAUACAAGUAUUUCAAGUUUGUCAAAUUAUUCAAUCCCAAAUAUUGGUUAGUUAUAUAUGAUAUGAUAAAAUCAAACUUGAACAUACAUUGAUUUUUAAAGUUGAAAAUUACUUGUUAAUUUUUUUUCUUUCUUACCUAUAUGAAAAUUUUACUAAAGUAAAAGUUGAAUUACAACGGAUAAAAAGAAUGGAAAACUAGGUACCAAGCCUAGAAGACCAUCCUCAAACUCCACUAUACAAAUAAAAACUACUCAAACUCCACUAUACAAAUAAAAACUAACACCGGACCAAACUUAAUUUACCUCUUAGAUGACUUGAUCCUUCAAACUGGUUGUAUGAUAGAUCUAAAUACCGGAGAGAUGAAAGCUCACUCAAAGAUAACAAAAUGCUAUCAUUCAAGUAAUUGUAACUUAAGUCAAGGAUCUCCAAAUUACUCAAUGUGAAUGAUAGCUUUCCAAAGCCUGUAGAAGUGUUCUUUUAAACAUAUACAAGCAGUUAGUGACUUUUCUUCCAUAAAAUAAAAUAUAAGUAAUUGUAAAUUAACAAUGGUGAGAAUAGUGGAAUAGUAAAAGAUAUAAUUAAGGAAAAAAAAUAAAGGCACGACCUUCAUUUUCAAGGUUACCACCUAUGGCAUUUCCCGACAAAUAAAGUCUCUUCAAUUCCUCAAAAGGAAGAAACAUAGAGGCAUUGAGAUACCAGACAAUGAGAUUCCUAUUAUCCAUGCCGUAUUCCCAAUUGUCUUCCCAUUUUGUAGAAAUAAGGGAGAGUUGUAUGAGUCUCCUAGUGGUGGUGUUACACUCAAAUCCUUCCCAUUUACAACAAUCUGAACCCUUCACCUCAACCCAACUUUGCAAUGGAUUACGAUAAACGAAGAAAGGCUUGAGAUGCAAGAGAGCGAUUCUCUCAUGCUCCAAACAAGCAUCAGUAGUACACCAUCUGCAUCCUUCUAACACCAACAACAUUAUUGCCAUCCUAAUAAACUAUAACCAUUUCCACUCCAUCAUCAUCAUCUCUCUGUUUUGUAUACAUAUGGACUACAAUUCAAGUUUCAUGCUUAUAAUUAUACCAAAUCAAAGUUCAUGUAUCAAAUUGCACAUUAAAUCAAAAUUUAUGUAUACAUUUGAUAUUUAUCUCAUUUAUGGGAGAUUAACUUUCUAAUGGUAUUGUUUUGUUUACAUUAAUCCAAAUAAUAGGAAAUGAUGAAUUAGUUUAACGCAAAUUGUAAUUCUAUUAAUGUUUCUUCUCAAACUUUUGGUUGCUCUUAUUUACAUGUUUUAUUAAUUGAUAGAUUUAAAUUCUUGGAAUAUAUUCGGUUAGAAUGAAGUGCCCCGAAUCCUUAUUUAAAUAAAAUACAGUGUUAAAAUAAAAGAAAAGUAAAAUCCCUACAGAAUUAUACUUCUUUUAUUUUAUUUUAGAAUAAGGCUUUUUAAAUCUUAUUAAACUCCAUCUAUUUGAUAUUGAUUAGAAUAAAGAGUUUCACUCCUAUUAGAAUAAAGUUUUACAAGCCUAUAAAUAGACAUAGUCUACUCCUCUUGUAAUUAAUUCAAAUUCGACAUAGUGAAUUUUCUUCUCCUCUGCCCGUGGUUUUUUCCCGAAAGGGUUUCCACGUAAAAUUUGUGUGUUCUUUAUUUUUCUAUUUCUAUUUUCUUUGUGAUAUAUUAUCAUUACCGACAUUUAUUUUCACAAAUUGGUAUCCGAGCUUCUGGGUUGUUCAUCGCAAUCACUGUAAUGACGUCUUUGAAGUAUGAAAUUCUACUGUUGGAUCGCAACACCAGAUUCGCAUUUUGGCAGAUAAAGAUGCAGGCAGUUCUUGCACAGAUGGACUUAGAGAAAGCCCUGCUAAGGUUAGAUAAGAUGCCUUCAACAUUGAUGGAGGAAGAGAAGAAGCACAAGGAUUGAAAGGCGUUAACACAAUUACAUCUGCAUUUGUCUAACGAAAUUUUGCAGGAUGUGAUAAAGGAGAAUACCGCCGCUAGAUUAUGGAAGACGUUGGAACAACUAUGUAUGUCGAAAACUCUAACUAGUAAGCUGCAUAUGAAGCAGCGUCUUUAUGCUCAUUGUUUGGAGGAAGGUGCGUCUAUGCAUGAACACUUGACAGUGUUUAAAGAAAUUCUCUCAAAUUUGGAGGCCAUGGAGGUUCAGUAUGAUAAGGAAGAUUUAGGGUUGAUUCUACUUUGUUCGUUGCCCCCGUCUUAUUUAACCUUUAGAGAUACAAUUUUAUAUAAUCGCGAGUCUUUCACAGUUGAUGAGAUUUAUAAUUCUUUAACCUCGUAUGAUAAGAUGAUGCAUCUUAUGGUUAAAACUGACUCUCAAUGAGAGGGUCUCAUUAUUCGUGAGAGAUAAGAUCAGAAUAUUGAUGAUGAUCAUGGAAGGACACAAGAACGGAAUCCUCGUGGUAAAUCUAAAGGUAGAUCGAAGUUUUCAAACAGAGGUAAAACUUGUAACUUCUGCAAGAAGAAAGGGCACAUUAAAUCUAAGUGCUAUAAGCUACAGAAUAAGAUCAAAAGGGAGACUGUGAAUCAAAAUGGAAAACAACCAGAAAAUUUUGGUAAGGCUAAUGUUGUAGAAUACUACAGUGAUUGUGAACUUCUAGUCGCUUCUGUCAAUAAUUUUAAAGUGAGCGAGGAGUGGAUCCUUGAUUCGGGUUGCACCUUCCACAUGAGUCCCAAUAGUUAUUGGUUUACAACUUACGAAAUAGUGUCUGAAGGUGUUGUUUUAAUGGGAAAUAAUACUUCAUGUAGAAUUGCAGGUGUUGGAACAAUUAAAGUUAAGAUGCUUGAUGGAGUUGUCAGAACACUUAGUGACAUAUGACAUGUUCCAAAAUUGAAGAGAAAUUUAAUUUCAUUGAGUACUCUUGAUUCAAAAGGGUACAAAUACACAGCUAAAAGUGGUGUUUUGAAUAUUUCUAAAGGUUCCCUCAUUGUGAUGAAAGGAUAGAGAAAGACUACCAAGUUUUAUGUUUUGCAAGGUUCUAUUGUUACUGGUGAUGCAGCUGUCGUAUCCUCUUCCUUGUCAGAUGAUGAUAUUACUAAACUUUGGCAUAUGCGCCUAGGGCAUAUGAGUGAGAAUGGCAUGGCAGAAUUGAGCAAAAGUGGACUUCUUGAUAGGCAAUGAAUUUGCAAACUGAAGUUCUGUGAGCACUACAUUUUUGGGAAGCAAAAGAGAGUUUGAUUCACCAGAGGAAUCCAUAACACAAAGGGAACGUUUGAGUAUAUUCAUUCUGAUCUGUGGGGGCCAUCCAGAGUACUUUCGAGAGGUGGAGCUAAUUAUAUGCUAACUUUUAUUUAUGAUUUUUCCAAAAAAGUGUGGGCGUUCUUCCUGAAGCAGAAAAACGAUGUGUUUUUUGUAUUUAAGUCUUGAAAAACCAUGAUUGAAAAACAAACGGGAAAGUAAAUAAAACACCUCCGCACAGACAAUGGCUCAGAGUUCUGUUUUGAUAAGUUUAAUAAAUUGUGCAAGUCAGAAGGGUUCAUGAAACACUUGAUAGUUCAUCAUACUCCACAGGAAAACGGCGUUACAGAAUAAAUGAACAGAACGAUCAUGGAGAAGGUUCGAUGUAUGUUGUCAAAUACCAACUUACCAAAGUCAUUUUGGGCUGAAGCAGCCUCUACUGCAUGAUUUUUAAUCAACCGAUCUCUAUCCAUUGCCAUUGAGAAAAAGACUCCACAAGAGGUAUGGUCUUGUAAUCCUGCUGACUAUUCUGAUUUAAAGAUUUUUGGUUGUCAUGUGUGUGUGCAUGUUGAUAAUGGAAAAUUGGAAUUGAGAUCCAUUAAAUGUGUUUUUCUUGGUUAUAAAGCUGAUGUAAAAGGGUAUAAGUUAUGAUAUCCUAAAAAUAGAAAAGUUGUGAUUAGCAGAUAUGUUAUUUUUUAUGAAACUGCUAUGCUACCUAACUUAUCUCUUAAAGAAUCUCUCAAUAAAGAAAAUCAAAAGUAGGUGGAGCAUCAGAUUAAUACAGAAUCUACAACAGAGUCGACUACUGAAGCCAGUACAAAAAUUCAAAAUAGAGUUGCUCCUUCACCAUAAUACUCUAUCGCCAAAAAUAGAACUAGAAGAGAAAUUAGACCUCCAAAGAAGUAUGUCAAGUCUGAUCUAGUUGCUUAUGCUUUAAAUGUGGCUAAAGAUAUAGAUGUAAAAUAAGAGCCAUCUAAUUAUUCUGAGGCGAUUAGUUGUGAAGACUCAGAAAAGUGGAUGUUUGCUAUGCAAAAGGAGAUGGAAUCACUCCACAAAAAUAAAAUAUGGGAUCUUGUGAAACUUCCUAAAUGUAAAAAGAUUAUUCGUUGUAAAUGGGUGUUUAAAAAGAAAGAAUGGACUCCAAGAGUUGAAGAACCCAGAUAUAAAGCAAAGUUUGUUGCAAAUGGUUACAGUCAAAUUCCAGGAGUGGACUUCACAGAUGUGUUCUCUCCAGUUGUGAAGCAUAGUUUGAUUCAAGCUUUACUUGGUAUUGUGGCCAUACAUGAUUUGGAGCUUGAACAGUUAGAUGUAAAAAAUGCUUUUUUGCAUAGAGAAGUUAAGGAGGAUAUUUACAUGCAACAACCAGAGGGUUUUACAGUCUCAGAAAAAAGGACUAUGUUUGCUUGCUGAAAAAGUCUCUUUACAGUUUGAAACAGUCACCAAGACAGUGGUACAAGAGGUUUGAUUCAUUUAUGACUUCUCAUGAUUUUAAAAGAAGUAGCUUUGACAGUUGUGCUUACUUUAAGAAAAACAAUGAUGGUUCUUUUGUGUAUCCACUCUUUUAUGGUGAUGAAAUGUUGAUAGCAGUGAAAGAUAAAUGAGGGAUAAGAAAGGUCAAAGCCCAACUAAGUGAAGAAUUUGAGAUGAAAGAUUUGGGACCAGCAAAGAAGAUACUUGGUAUGGAGAUUCUCAAAGAUAGAAAAGUAAGUAAAUUGUACCUAAGUCAAAAGGGGUACAUUGAGAAAGUUCUUUGCAGAUUCAAUAUGCAGAAUGCUAAGCCUGUUAGUACUCCUUUAGCAGCCCAUUUUAGACUUUUAUCGGCUUUGUCUCCACAAUCAGAUGAUGAGAUUAAGUACAUGUCACAUGUUCCAUACUCUAGUACAGUGGGAUCUCUCAUGUAUACUAUGGUUUGUUCACGUCCAGAUUUAUCAUAUGUAGUUAGUGAAGUUAGCAGAUACUUGGUGAAUCCCGAUAAAGAACAUUGGAAAGUAGUUCAGUGGAUUUUAAGAUACUUACGAGGUACUACUGAUGUUUCCUUACAGUUUGGAAGAACUAGAGAUGAAGUCAUUGGGUAUGUUGAUGCUAAUUUUGCUGGAGACUUUGAUAGAAGAAGAUCUCUCACAGGUUAUGUCUUUAUAAUCGGAGGUUGUGCAAUCAGUUGGAAAGCCACUUUGCAAACUACAGUUGCUUUGUCCACCACUGAAGAUGAGUACAUGGCGAUUACUGAGGCUUGUAAAGAAGCUAUUUGGUUGAAGGGACUCUUUAGUGAACUCAAUAAAGGCUUUCAAAUCAAUACAGUAUUUUGCGACAGUCAGAGUGCUAUCUUCUUUACAAAAGAUCAAAUGUUUCAUGAGAGAACAAAACACAUUGAUAUUCGGUAUCAUUUUGUUCGUGAUAUUAUUGCUUGUGGUGAUAUUGUUAUGAGCAAAAUUAGUACUCAUGAAAAUCCUGCAGAUAUGAUGACUAAGUCACUUCCUAUAACCAAGUUUGAGCAUUGCUUAGACUUGGUUAGUGUUCAUUGUUGAAGUUAAACCCUUAAGGGGUUUUAUGGAAUAGGUGGAAAACUUGAUCGUUGAGAGUUCGCGAUGAAGAACUUGUUCAUUAAGAAUUCGUGUCAAUGUGGAGAUUGUUAGAAUUAAGUGACCCGAAUCCUUAUUUAAAUAAAAUACAGUGGUAAAAUAAAAUAAAAGUAAAAUCCCUAUAGAAUUAUACUUCUUUUAUUUUAUUUUAGAAUAAUAUUUUUUAAAUCUUAUUAAACUCCAUCUAUUUGAUAUUGAUUAGAAUAAAGAGUUUCACUCCUAUUAGAAUAAGGUUUUACAAGCCUAUAAAUAGACAUAGUCUACUCCUCUUGUAAUUAAUUCGAAUUCGACAUGGUGAAUUAUCUUCUUCUCUGCCCGUGGUUUUUUCCCGAAAGGGUUUCCACGUAAAAUCUGUGUGUUCUUUAUUUUUUCUAUUUUUAUUUUCUUUACGAUAUAUUGCUAUUAUCGACAUUUAUUUUCACAUAUUCUAAUUAAUUAGAUAUUUCCUUCCUUCCAAAAGCCUUUCAAAAUAGGUUUAGUUUGACCAAGAUACUCUUGUAGAAAAUUUUAGUUUUGUGGGAAAACGAAAAACUAGAUUUAUUUUUUAUUCUAAUUGGUUUCAUAUGCAAGGUAUAUAAACUUUUGUGUCGCUGCAAUUUUUUUCCAACAUAUGUAUGUGAUUUGUGGGGUUUCAAUUUUGAAUUUUUUUUAUAAUUUAAUUAAAUUGUGAAAGUAUUUGAAAGUUUUUAAGUUGAUACAAUGUUUAGAACUACCCCAACACCCACCCAACCCUUAAAUAGGAGGAUAAACAUGCUUCAGCACGCUCAAACUCACAUUCUCCUACAUCUAUGAUAAUACUAAUGCCAACCGAGUUAAGACUCAACUAGCCUUGAAUUUUGAAUUUUACUUCUGAUAUAUUUUGAAUUUUGAAAUUUUAAUUUUGACCCAAACAGUAGCAGUUAAUUUAAUUUGAUUAAAUUUAAUUACUAGACCUAUAUUAUGCGUACGAUUAUUGAUUAGUCUAUACUCUCAAAUUGGGCAAUUCUAAGUACCUAUACUUUCUGAAUUUUGAAAUUUCAGUCUUGAUGCAAAUGACAAUUGUUAAUCUAUUAAUUAGAUUUUUAGCGAGUAAUAUGUAAAAAUAACAAACUGGCAUAACAUUACACAUAUGAUAAUAUGUUUAUUGCACCGCAUUUGAAAAUAGCCGAAUUUAACAAAUAUCGUUAGUGAGGAUUGGAAAUUAGAGUCUAGGGAUUAAAUCCACAAGUUCAGUAAAUUACAAGAACUAAUGGUAGAAUUUAACCUUUAUAUAACCUUUAAAUUCUAACCGUGGUUUGCACACUACUCAGCCGACCAUUGGCUGUGGUGGGAACACAAACUGUUUGAAUUUGACAUCAGUGAUUGAAUUUUCAUAGCUAAUAUGUACGUUCCUUCAAUUUCUCCAUAGGAGGGAGUGGAAUACAUUAUAUAAGGUAAUAUUUGAUAUAUUCGGUAAAUGAAUAAUUGCAAGAUAUCUCAUUAUCUAGUAAAAUAAAUAAUGAAAAUUUUAUAAAUAAAUAUUAAUAAAAUAUUAUUACAUAUAUCAACAAUGACAUAGUAAGUUGCAUUAACUUUUAGAUGUUGACUAUUGACUUUUGCAUCAACCUUGAACUUACAUAGGCCCCUACAAUAAUUUAGGUUAUGGAAAUAAUCUUGCAAAUAAUGCUUGAGACAUCAUUAUACAUCAAUUUAUAGUUUUAAUUCUUGUACUUACUCAAUUGGAAUAAAGAUUUAGUUUUUUAUUUUCUUUUGAUACAAUGUCUAGAAUUAUCCAUAGCCCUUUUCCAACCCUUAAAUAAAUGAAUAAUGUGCUUCAGCGUACUCGAACUCACAUCUUCUUACAUUGACAAAUUGCUGAUGCCAAUUAGUUAAUGUUAAUGCUAUACUUUAGUUAAAAAUAACUAACAUUAUUAAAAAAUUCAUUAGUUGGCUCAUGUGGAUUUUUUUUCAAAAAAAUUGAAAUUAAGAACCAUAAAUUCUUUAAGACUUAAAAAUUAAAAUUAUGUGGUUAUUAAAAAAGAUUUAUUUUUUAUUAAAUUAUUAUUUAAAAUAAAUUUAUCUCAUCAUAAUGAUAUGAUUUUUUUCUUUAAAAAAUCCACAUUAACCAACUAAUAGAAUUGUAUAAAGCUGCCACCAAUCUCUUAGCAUGAUGGCAAAAGAUUCAGAGGCAGCCAGAAAAUCUUUUGAGGGGCGUGAAUAAAGUUAUAUAUUUUUAUAAUAGCAAAAGUGAAAUUUUAUUAUUAUAAUAGUUUAUAUCUUUAAUUUUUAAAAUAUUAAAUAAUUUUUUUCUUAUUUUUGAGGGGAUAAAGUAUAAGUUUAUCAUAUACUAAUUUUAAAAUUAUAAAAAGACUAAAUGUGAAAUUUUUCAUUUUAAGGGGUGGGGCCCUGUCAGGUCUCCUUGGCUUCACCUUGAUAAAAGUAUUAUGUAAUACGUAUAAAGUUUGAGUUUAAUCCCAAACAAUCUCAUUUCUUAUCCCUCAUUAUAAAAUAAUAAAAUAAAUAGAGCAAUUGAUAUGAGGAGACAAGUAUAAUAGGGCAAUUUUAACCUGGGCCAGAUUUCAAAACAAAACCCAAACCAAAUAAUAAAAGAGUCCAAAAUAAUUAAAACAAUCCAUCCAUUUUACAAACAAACCCAAAUUAGCAGCCCAAAUACAAAUUAAAACUCAAUAACCCAAAACUAACUAUAGCCCAAUUAGCUAAACACUUAAACGCAACAAAAAAAACCCUAUCCCCCUAAGCCUCCAACGCUGCAUGACCACCUACGCCGCACGUCGUCGCUGCCGCUCGAGGCUCGCCUAUCUUCGACCAUCCACGCAUCUGACACUUGCAAAACCAAGGCAACACGCAACAACAAAGGCCAAAUAGAGGAAACAACAAGGAAACAGACAAAAAAGGAAGAAACAAACAGUUUUGAUUCGGCUAUAAAAGCCCGAAUCUCACCCUUGUAAUUUUUUUGCGAACAUUAGAAAAUAAAAAAACAAAAACAACACUUUCAAGGUGAAUUUCUACUUUUAUUUCUGUUUUAAAUACUUAUUUGAUUCUAUAUUCAUAUUUUUAUUUUAUUUUUUAUAUAUAUACGAAAAUAAUAAAAUAAAAAAAGGAAGAAAGGGCUCACCGGAGACGCCCCGUGAUCGUGCCGUCAGAAGGCUCUUCUCCGUUGUUGCCAUCGGAUCCGAGAGGGGGUCGAGAGUCUUCCUCUUUCGCUUUUUUGGGUCGAGAGGGCUGGGCUUCCAAGGGAGCUGCGAAACGGGGGCUAAAAAUGCCCUUUUGCGCAACACCGACCACCGGCCACGACAGCACUACGACGGCGACCAUGGCCGGCCAAGGGGUGGGCUGAGAGAGAGACCAAGAGAUACUGAGAGAGUUCUCUGUUUUUUUAGAAAAAUGAAAGUUGAACCGUUUUUUUCUUCUUUUUUUUUGCUAUUUAUAUAGGGUAUAAUACGACGCCGUUUUGGACUUAAGCAUCAGUGGCCAAAACAAUGCCGUUUUGCAUCAGACCUGAAAAUCGACUCGAAUGCGGCCAGGAUCUGCGCGUUUUAGCUUUGAGGAGCUAUUUGCAUAUUCAGCCCUUCCGCUUUUGUAGUAUAGUGCAAUCUGGUCCUCGUUGUUUUUAUAUUUUGGCCGCAUAAUUUUUUGAUUGUUUUACUUUGGUCCGAGCUGAAACGCUGCGCAUAGGGGCUAGGAAUAUUGCCCAGUCGGUCCCUCAUUCCUUAAGCGCGCUCUAUUUCAGUCCCUAGCAACCCUUUUUUUUAUUUGUAAUUUAAACCCCAAAUUCUGGGUCGAUUUUAGUAUCAUCCUUAGUCCAUUUAAUUUAUUUGUUCACUAUUUUUUAUUUAAAAAACUCUUUUAUUAUUAUUUGUUUUAAGUUUUUUUAUUUAUCAUUUAUUUUAAAUUGUUUUACAUACUAUUUAUUUAAAUUUUUUAUAUAUUAGUCAUUUUAAACCAUUAUAUGUACAUUAUCUUUUAAAUUUUUAUAUACAUAUAUUUUUUUUAAAAAAAACUGUUGUAUGUUUCUUAUUUAUUUAUUUUAAACUGUUAUUAUUAUUCAUUUUAAGUUUUUAUAUACUGUUUAUUUGAAGCCGGUUAUUAUUUAUUUUUGAAUUGUUCUUAUAAAUUAUUUACUUUAAAUUAUUAUUUACUUUGAAAUUUUUUUGCAUAUUAUUUUGUUUUGUUUUUUUUAUUGUUAAUAUUAGUAUAAAAAUUAUAUACAUUGUGUGAUUAUUACCGCCAUGUGUACUAUAAUUAGUUUCUUCGUGUUUUCAUAUUAUUAUCACUCAUUAACAUAACAUUUUUUUCAUAAAUUGUUAUUUUAUGUUCUAUGUUAUCAUUCCAUUUCACUUCAUCACUUCGAAAGUUGCAUUCAAUUUGUAUUUACCCAUAAUAAACCGUUCUAUUUUGUCACAAAUAAAACAAAUGCACCUCGUUCAAGCAUUGUACUCACAAUUAUUCAAAACGGGGAAAAGUUUUAAAAUAAGACAAUAUUUCGCAUUUUGGAGAUUUGAGAAAUUGUACCCUAACUUACGGGGUUUCAAUUUUCUCGUUGAACCUAAAUAGCAAAAUAUCCUUCUAAUUUUCAAAAUUUACGAAAUUCCAAUAAAGUUAAAGGCUAGCUUAUUCUCAAGGGUUCUAAGUGUCGUGUCCUAACUUACGGGAUGUGACAUUUAUUAUCUCGAGACGAGAGGAUCUUUGACAUUCGUUUCAAUUUAUUCAAGCAAAUUCUUUUAAAUUAAAAUAGCGUUAACAAAAGGGGGAUCGUGUUUUAAAUUCUUUCGAAGUUUUUCAAUUUUUAACAUUUAGACAUUAAUUAAUCAAUUGAAUACCAAUUUUGGGCGUGACGAGGGUGCUAAUCCUUCCUCGCAUGUAACUGACUCCCGAAUCCGUUUUCUCAAAUUUCAUAGACCAAAAUCACUGUUUUGAUAAAUUAAAAUAUUUUAUUAAAACAACUAAAUUAUGAGGUGACCUAAUCACACCUCAUAAAAAAAAGAUUGGUGGCAACUCUCGUUUUAAUUUCCAUUUUCAAACCAACGUCGACCCUUUUAAAAAAAUGGUUUCAAUAUUAAGUUAUAAGUUGAAUGAAUUAAAAAUAUGUGAAAAGUGUAAAUAGAGACUCUUCAAUCUCAUUUCCUCUAAUGCUCUUUUUUUAAAUUUUUUUUUAAAUUUUUUAUGUACCUUUUAAAUAGUUAAUGAAAAUAAAAAUAUUUUGAUAAUUUUCACUUCGAAAUGCAAAAGCCAACAACAGUUUUUGACUACAAAAGCGGUGUGUUCUUCAUCACUUCUCAGUGGAAAAACACUUCUGCAAUGUAACAACACUUUUAACCCAAAACGGCUUUUUCACCACAAUAGAGAAUGCACCCUAAAAUUGUAAAUAGAAAAAAGAAGGAUCAAACAUUGUUUCUACCCUGUUUUUGUCUCCUCUUUGAAAAUACUUUCCAAAAAGUUUUAUCAUUUUUUUUUCUGUUUACAAAUUCCUUAUAGAAGUGCUUUCUUUUGAUCCACUUGCAUCAUUGUAAUAAGUUUGCAUUGCCUUCUAACUUUCUAUGUUGAUUACAGUUUAUUAAGUUUUCUGUUGGAUCUUAUAGUCAAAUUCCUUUACAUCAUGUAUGUUAAUUUGCUUAGCCCUGAUAAAUGUUAGAUAUAGGGUUAUCAGUGUCGAAACCACUUUUUUGGCGAACAAAAAUUAGUUGUUGACUUUAAAAACGAAAGUUGGAGUCGCCAUCGAUCCUUUAUUGGGGUGUGAUCGGCUCACCUUAAAAACGAUUUUGGUCUGCAAAAUUUGAGAAAACAGGUUCGGGAGUCGGUUACGCAUGAGAAAGAGUUAGCACCCUCUUAACGCCCAAAAUUGGUACCGAAUUAAUUAAUUAAGGUCUUAAUGCCGAAUAUCGAAAAUCUGUGAAGAAUUUAAAAAUACGAUCCUCCCUUUUUGUUAAUGUUAAUUUUAUAAAAGAUGCUUGGAUAAAUCGAAGCGAAUGCUAAAGACCUUUUUGUCUUGGAAUAAUAAAAUGUCACACCCAAUACGUUAGGACAUGACAUUUUAGUCCUCGAGAAUAAGCUUGUCUUUUGAUUUUCAAAGCUCGUGCGGUGAAGUUUAAAAAGGAUAUUCAAUUGCUUUAACUCAGAUGAAAAAUCGGAGCCCAAUACGUUAGGGCACAAUUUCUCAAAAUUCCGAGCAUUGAAUAUUGCCCUUAUUAUUAUUAUUUUUAAAAUCUUCAUCUCGAGAAAAUGACAUGUCAUAUCCAAUAUGUUAGGACACGACGUAUCGAAUUUUCGAGAAUGAGCUUUUUAUUUAUGCUUUAAUUAAAAAAGGAUACCCGGUUUCUUAGAUUCAACGAGGAAGAUUGGAAUCCAAUAAGUUAGGACACAAUCUUUUCGAGGAUCCUAAAUUCCGAGUGUCGCGUUAUUUUUGAAAAAAAACUUUUUGAAUAAAAAUGCUCUCGAUACUUGAAUGAUAUUAAACGUAACCUUUUAACAACGAAUAAAAUGCGACGGGACGAUAAUGUAUAACGCGGAAUGACGAUUUGUAAACAAAAUAUACUCUAACGAAUGACAAAUAAUCAAUAAAAACAAAUAAACAUUAUCAUACAUAUAAGAGCAAUAAUCACAUGUAAAUAUUAACAUCAACAUUUGAAAGCUAAUGACCUAAAAGCCUAUCGCAAAUACAACAAAUUUAAAAUAACUAAAAAAAAAGCAUGAGAGAAAAGAAAUUUGAAAUUAUCAACAUAUAUACACAAAAUACACGUAUAUAAAAAUUUAAAAGAAAUAAUUAAUAGGAAGACUUGAAAUAAUUUAAAAAUAGAAUUAAAAAUGAAUAAUAAUAUCUAAAUGAAUUUUAAAAUAAAUAUUAUAAGAAGAAAGUCAAAAUAAAUAAAACCCAAAAUAAUACACAUAUAUUAAUCUAAAUAGGUAAUAGAUAUAAAUUACGUAUUAUAAAAGAAAACUAUUUAAAAAGGGUAAAUUCUAUUGGAUUAACAUAAAAAUAUAAAAUAAUUUAUUAUGAAAUUAAAUAAUAAUAUAUGAUAAUAAUAUAAAAAAACUUAAAAUAAUAGUGCAUAAUAGAAUAAAAUAAUGAAUAUAAAAAGGUUAGAUAAAUUGAUAAAAAAUAAUACUAAUAAUAAUAAUAGUAGCAGUAAUAAUAAUAAUAAUAAUAAUAAUAAUAAUAAUAGUAAUAAUAGUAAUAAUGAUAAAUUAAUAUUAAAGUAAUUAAUUUGAUAGCAAAAAUAACAAAACAGAUUACUAAUUUGGAAUUAAAACAGAAAUUUAGGGGUAAGACGUGCAAUAAAAUGAAAUGAAAAGGACCUAAUUGAAAUUAAUUUAAAAUCAGACUGACUAGCAAAGAAAUUAAACGCACAAGUCUCACCUGGCAAUCAAGUCAGAUCAUCAGAAACGGCGUCGUUUCGAACGUUUGUCUCCUCAACUGACAGAAGGACGAAAUUGAAAGAAAUAUCGAAUUAUGUGGCAAAAUUAAAAAAGACAAAGAAGGAUUAAAAUGAAGUAAAUAAAAAACAGAAGGACCAAACAGGAGAAUAAGCCAUUGAAACAAAACACGCGGAUCCUCCCCGGGUCAAAUCGGAUCAUCGGGUCAACCAACACGGAGACGUUUUGAAGCCAUUAAAUCGGGCUUAAACGGCACCGUUUUAUUAUCGUUAAAAACCUAAAAAAAUAAAACCCUAAUAAUUUGUUUUGCCAUCCUAAAACAGAUCAAGAGCCUAGCCUUCUCCCCACCGGUCUCCACUCACGAACCCAAUCUGACUCCGAUUCAGACGGAGCAAACCAGAUUCCAAUGGCGUCUGCUCUGGUAAGACGCUUCUUCUCUCCCUCUUUUUUUUUCGUUUGGUGCCAAAGAAGAAAACAAAGAAUCAAAGAAAUAAAAGAGAAAAAAAAACGAAGAAAAUCACCUUUCGAAAAAACUUUCUGUUUUGAUUUUUUGUUUGUAUUCAAUAUGCGUAAAAAAGGAUUACAAUGGCCUUCUCCCUCUUUAUAGCCGAAUAUUCGAAAUAAAAUGAAAGAAAAUACAAAAAAUUCUCUCUGCUGCGUUGUUUUCGUCUUCUUUGCAGGUAAGGAGGCUAGCUGGCGUAAGGAGGUGGUGGACGUGGCACAGCACACUCGGGGAAGGCCCUGGUGGCUGCGGCGCUGGAAGGAGGGCUGUUGCAGCUAGGGUUUUCUGAUUUUUUUUUGGGCUAGGGUUGGGUUGAUAGUUGUAUUGGGCUAGGUAUUUGGGCUGGGUGUAGUUGGACUAGAUGUAUCUGACUUUGGGUUUGUACCGGGUCACUGUAAAUGGGUUUGGUUUUUGUUGUUAUUGGGCUGUGAACUAUUUGAGUUUUAAUUAAUUUUUAUUUAUUUGGUUUUUUAUUGUGGGCUGGGCAAAUUGGGUAUUACAAUCAGCUAAUUAGGAAAGACUGUGAUGAUAGUCACACCUUACAUCCAAAAGCAAAGCUUUUUUUACAUGUGUAUGUAAGGUUGCUAAGCAAAUCUGGUGAGCCUUCACUGCUGUUUUAAGGUUAAGUUAAUGUUCCUUUUCGGCAAAGAACAUUAUCGAGAUCACGGUAUUUUGAUCGCCUUUUGCUUCUUGUUAUUCGUUCUGAAACGAUUGCAUAAUCUUUACUGUGAUUGCAGGAUAUAGAGCAACUUUUGAAUUUCAUCGCUGUAAAGUGUUUAGGACCACGACAUGUUCUUGCAAAUUUGAAGAAGCUUCUAAGGUCUGUCCAGUCUUCAGAAUAUAUAGAUACCUGAAUUAAUUUUGAUUUUGUAGGAUCAACUAUAAUUAGCUACUUAUUAGAGUAUGAAUAGACAACCUCACCUUCUUCACACACUGACACGUGCGGAUUUUUUGCCAAUCCCAUUUCAAAGGAUCACACUUUUUUGUUGUUUACAGAAUCAUAAUUAAUGUUAAUUAAAGUGGAAUAUUUCAGAUUUCUGAUGAUGAGCAUAUUCUUGAGUAUUGCAGUAAAAAAAUGGGUGCGGAACUUAUUUGAACUUUGAAUGUAUGUUUUGUUGGUGAGAAUAUAAAGUUGAUAAAGAUUUGGUAAAUAGAAUAAAAUACUAUUUUUUAUUAGAAAAAUUAUUUGGUAGACUGCCAAUCGAUUUAUAAUUAUCAUGACGCAAUAUUAAGGGUAAUUAAAACAUGUCAUAUUACAAAUAAUAAAAUUAUAAUGACUCAAAUAUACGAACAUGUCAAAAUUUAUGUACAACGAAUUAUUAACAUGUCAAUGUAUAGUAUAAUAUGGUACGCAAAAAUAAGAUAAUUGCUUGUCUUUAAUUGAAUUGUUAUAACACAUUAUACAAAAUACAUUGUGAAUUAAAGCAUAAUAUAAUCAUGAUAUCAAUAUAUUAAAUUUUUUAAAAAUUCGAUGAUACGAAUAAUUAUGUAAAAUAUCACAUGAUACAAAAUGACUUGAGAGGAAAAGAGGAACAAAGACUUGCNNNNNNNNNNNNNNNNNNNNNNNNNNNNNNNNNNNNNNNNNNNNNNNNNNNNNNNNNNNNNNNNNNNNNNNNNNNNNNNNNNNNNNNNNNNNNNNNNNNNNNNNNNNNNNNNNNNNNNNNNNNNNNNNNNNNNNNNNNNNNNNNNNNNNNNNNNNNNNNNNNNNNNNNNNNNNNNNNNNNNNNNNNNNNNNNNNNNNNNNNNNNNNNNNNNNNNNNNNNNNNNNNNNNNNNNNNNNNNNNNNNNNNNNNNNNNNNNNNNNNNNNNNNNNNNNNNNNNNNNNNNNNNNNNNNNNNNNNNNNNNNNNNNNNNNNNNNNNNNNNNNNNNNNNNNNNNNNNNNNNNNNNNNNNNNNNNNNNNNNNNNNNNNNNNNNNNNNNNNNNNNNNNNNNNNNNNNNNNNNNNNNNNNNNNNNNNNNNNNNNNNNNNNNNNNNNNNNNNNNNNNNNNNNNNNNNNNNNNNNNNNNNNNNNNNNNNNNNNNNNNNNNNNNNNNNNNNNNNNNAUGGUCUUCUAGGCUUGGUACCUAGUUUUCCAUUCUUUUUAUCCGUUCUAAUUCCACUUUUGCUUUAGUAAAAUUUUCUUAUAGCUAAGAAAGAAAAAAAAAACUAUUAACAAGUAAUUAUAUAUAUAUAUCAGGUUUUCAAUUGCUUUCAAGACUCAAUAACUUGGAAACUCUCGAUUUAAGUCGGAAUUCUUUUAAGAAUAGCAUUUUGUUCCAUAUGAGAAAUCUUUCAUCCUUGAAGACUUUAAGAUUGAGCGGUAAUCAGUUGAAAGGAAGGCUGGAUCAUAUUCAAGGUAGACUAAUUUUACCUGUUUCUUUUUAACUUUAAAAAUCAAUGUAUGCUCAAGUUUGAUUUUAUCAUACGAUGAAUGUAUAUAACUAAUCAAUAUUUGGGAUUGAAUUUCAGGAUUGAAUAAUUUGACAAAUUUGAAGUACUUGGAUUUAAGUUGGAACGACAUUGAAAGCAUCUCAAACAAAGGUAUAAGUAUUUGUGCAAAACUUUCUUGACCGACUCUUAUUCCAAAAGGCAAUGACAGACUUCAAAUGUAUUUUCUUUAGUGAAUUUUUAUUGCAAAAAUGGAGUAUUAUUAUUUAUUUAUGUUUUGUAGUAACUAAUUAUAUAAUAUAUAAAUCAGGUUUUCAACGGCUCAUUAAAUUGGAAAUUAUUGAUAUAAGUUGGAAUUAUUUGAAGAAUAGCAUUCUUUAAAAUAAAUUCAUGUUGAAGGAAAAGUUGUUGCAAUAAGUCAUUUGAUUUUAUCAUAUCAUGAAUAUAUAUAAGUAAUCAAUAUUUGGGAUUGAAUUUCAAAAUUGAGUAAUUUAAGUAGGAAGGUAUCUCAAACAAAGUAUUUAUAUAUUGAAUCAAUUCAUGGGAAAGCUUGUAAAUUGGCUCUUCCUUCUCAAACAAUCAUUUUUCCUAACUUUUUAUAUCUUGAAUGAUAUUAACUAUACUCAUUAUUUUCUUCCAAUGAUAGAUGGAACACAAUGGAGGCUAACAAACUUAGAGGAACUUGAUUUGAGUGGUAAUCUCUUUCGGAACAACACAAUUUCCUUUCCUCAAGGGCUUUCAAGCCUAAAGUCUUUGACUUUGUACAACAACCAUUUGCAAGGCUCAUUAGAUACUAUAGGUACCAAAGCUAUAACUUUGUUUUUCUUGAUAAUUCUUUCUAGAACCUUUUAAAAUUAAUUGUUUCAAAUUUGAACAUUCACAUUUCACUUUUGAGGAUUUUCAUCUUCACUUCCAGUUUUAGAUUUACUUUUUUUUUCAUUUUUAUUUCAUUAAAAUAUUAAGUAGAAAUUAAAAUUAUUAACAUAAUGAUUUUUUAAAUUGUACGUGGAUAUGUAUAGGAUUGAGCAAUUUAACAAAUUUGAAGAAACUCGAUUUAAGUGGGAAUCAAAUUGAAAGCUUUCAAACCUUUAAAGGUAUGCAUUUAUAUUUAACUAAUUACCUAAAUUCUUACAUAUAAUUAAAUUUUAUGCCAAUUCAUUUCAGUGAUGAAAUUAUAUAAAUCUUUUGUAGAUGGUGGUAGAAAAUUGGAGUUGACCCACUUGGAAGAGCUUUAUUUAGAUGGAAAUCACUUCAAUACUAGUGUAUUUGCAUCCCUUAACAAGCUUUCAAAUUUGAAAUCUUUGAGCAUAAGUGAGAAUCAAUUGAAAGGAUCAAUAGAUAUGAAAGGUAAAAAUAUUAGUUUUUUAACAAGAAUAUAAUAAUGUUUGAAGAGAAUAUAAUGAAGUUGAUUUGUUGUUUUUGUUUUCCUAGAUUUGGAAGCAUUUAUCAAAUUAAGGGAACUAGAUAUGAGCUAUAAUGAAUUGAGAGAUUUUGUGAUCCACCAAGGUAUCAUUUAAUUAAUUUUCCUUUUUUUUUAAUUUAGAAAUUUAGUUUUGAUCUAUGAUAUUAUAAUAACAGUUAUUGUCAUAAAUAUUAAUAAAGUUAUAUCAUAUCAUACUUGAAAGUAAAAUAUGGGUUUGGUGAAACAUUUUCUAAACCCUCCAUUAUAAUGUGUUUCGACUUUGGUUUGAAACUAAAAUUCUUUAAAUUUUUCAUAAUUUUUAAAUAUUAAUGUUUAUAAUUAUUUUGUUUGUAUAACUAUGUUUUUAAAAUAAUUUAUUGAAUUUUUAUGAGAUAAAAAAUAAUUAUAACGAUAAAAAAUGAUAUUAUAAGUAAAAAUACAUAUAUUUAUGGGAAAAUAUGUAAUAUAACUAUAUUUUAAUUUCAUAUAUUUUUAAUAGUAUAAAACAUAAAAAUACAUAUUAGAGUUAAAUAAAUGGCAUUUUUUGGCCAAAAAUAAAUAAAUGUCAAUUUUGAAUAAUAUAAAAAAAAACUUCAAUUUUAUGAAAUUUAAACAUACAUUUUGAGGUGUUUAAACUUUUUUUUUUAACUUUUUAUAAAUUUCAAAAUGCACAUGUUGUUAAUUUUUUGGUUUUAAAAAAUGUGAUAGGUCUAUGUACUCUUUACAAAUUUGUAAUUUAAUUCUUGUAUUUUUAUUUUCGGGAAUUUGAUCCCUCUAUUUUUUAAAUUUUAAAAUCCAAGUUCAAUUGUUAACAUUGUUAUUUUUUUAAAAAAUAAUUUAUUGGUGUUGACAUUUUAAAAUAAAAGAACUUGGUAGCGAUGUAACUAAAAGAUGAUGUAAUGAACAUGGAUUUAAUAAAAUAAUUUCAACCGUAUAAAUAGUUAGACUUGAAUUUUGAAAAAAAAAAUUUGUAAAGAGAAAAAUAUGCACAUUAGAUUUAAAUAAAAAUAAUAUUUUUUUUAGUUUAAAAUUUUCUAUUUUAUAAUAGAACCAUUGAUUUAAAUAAAUGAGAUUUUGAAGAAUUUCCAAAAAAAAAAAACUAUGUAGGUGAAAUUUAAAUAGAGAAUUUGAUAAGCUGAAAUUCUCUUUUGGAAUUCAUAAAUUUUAAAAUUCAGAAGCAUGUAUUUUGACAAUUUUGAUUUAAUAUGGUGAAUUUAAUCAAAAAAUUAUUUAUUAGAUUGUAAAAUAUUUCUUAACAUUUAUAAUUGAGUACAAAGUAAAUUAAGUUUAAGGGAAAAUAUUGGGUACUAUUAAUGAAAUUCUUUUCUUUUAUCAAUUUUUUUUUAAAAAAAUCGGGGUGGUACUAUUAAUGAAAUUCUAAACUUCAUAAGUAGGAUUGAGAUAAUAACAAAUUUCUUAUAUGGUAUAGUAAAAUAUUAAAAAAUAAAUAUUUAAAAGAAAUAGGUUAGUGGCCAUUUUUUAACUUCACUUGUAGAGUUAAAAAACUCCAUUACCAGUACCAAAUACUAACAUUAAGGUUAAAUGCUAAUUGAUUUCAAACAUAUUUGAGUUUUUUAAAAGAAUAUUCUCAUAUAUUUAAAAGAAAACAACACAAAGUUAGAAGAUCUCAUCUUGAAGGGUAAUUCAUUUACCGGUCCUCUCACAUUACCGUCAGCUCCUAACUCUAAAGUGUCUUUAAUUGACAUAUCCCAAAACAAAUUGCAAGGUCAGAUUCCAACCAACGUGUGUUCACAUUUUCCACAUUUGAGCCACUUAUUCUUAUCCAAGAAUGCCUUCGAAGGUGAUAUCCCUCCUUGUUUGAGUGGCAUGAAGGAUUUAUCGAUUUUAGAUUUAUCAGACAAUCAAUUGUCUGGAAGAGUACCUGAAGAGUUAAUCACAAAAAACUCGUUGACCAUUUUGAGACUAUCAAACAACAACCUCAGUGGACAUGUGCUUCCUGUGAUUCUCAAUGCAAAUGGGCUGUCAAAAUUAUAUUUGGAUGGAAAUAAUUUUUCUGGGGAGAUGGCAAAUGUUGAUGUCUCUAUUUCUGAGUUUCCAACUUCACUAAGGGAAAUUAAUCUCGGAAAUAACAAGUUUUAUGGAAACCUCCCAAGAUGGAUGGGGAAUGUGUCAUUUUUGGAGAGAUUAGCUUUGUCCCAAAAUGGUUUCGAGGGUUCUAUUCCAAUGGAAUUUUGCAACUUGAAUCGCUUGGAAUUUUUGGAUCUCUCUGAAAACAAUUUAUUUGGCUCUAUACCGUCCUGCUUUAAUACCCUAAACAUAAAGCAUGUCCACCUGCACGGGAGUAGACUAAGUGGCCCACUACCAAUCGCUUUUUAUAAUAUCUCUUCACUGGUUACGUUAGAUCUUAGAGGAAACAAUUUGACUGGUAGUAUUCCAAAAUGGAUUGGCACACUUUCUUCAUUGAGUGUUCUUCUCUUGAAAGAUAAUCAUUUUCAUGGUGAAGUUCCAGUUCAGUUAUGCAAGUUGGAUUCUUUAAACAUCAUAGAUCUUUCUCAAAAUAUGUUUUCUGGUAUUAUACCUUCUUGUUUGGGAAAUUUAACCCUUUCAACGGAAACAAAUAAGAUUCUAACUGAUUCGAAAAUUAGUCCAAGGUUAACAGGGGACGGAUUAGUGAAAACAUUGGGAGCUCUCGGAAAUUAUUACUAUCCUGAAGGCUACUUAGAAGAAGUAAUAGAGUUCACAACAAAGAGUGGGUUCUUAUCGUAUGAGGGAAACAUCCUUACAUAUAUGACCGGGAUUGAUUUAUCUUGCAACAACUUAACUGGUCAUAUCCCACCAGAAUUAGGGAACUUAAGUGAAAUCUAUUCUUUAAACUUGUCGCAUAAUAAGUUGACAGGAGUUAUACCCUCAUCAUUCGCAAAACUUCAUCAAAUUGAGAGUUUGGACCUUUCUUACAACAAUUUGAGUGGUGAAAUCCCCAAUCAGUUGGUAGAGUUGAACUCUUUGGAGGUUUUCAACGUGGCAUACAACAACUUGUCAGGUAGUAUUCCCGAACCAAAAGCUCAAUUUGGGACCUUUAUUGAAAACAGUUAUGAGGGAAAUCUUUUUCUUUGUGGAGCUAUAUUGCAUAAAAGUUGUUCCAAAACCGAUUCACCAUCAACGAUAUCAACUCUAUCAGAAUAUAAAGGAGAAGAUGGUUUGAUAGGUACUUAUGAUUUUUGUGUGAGCUUUUUGGUUUCUUAUGUAGUUGUGUUGUUGACCAUUUUUGUUGUCCUCUACAUAAAUCAAUACUGGCGAAGAGUUUGGUUUUCUCUCAUUGGGAAAUGCAUCACCACCUGUCGCUACUCAAAUGUGGGCAAUUUUCUUACUUAUCACAUUUUCAAGCAAUGAGUUUAGCUACUCAAAUUGUAAUUUGAUUUUCACACCUAAAUGUUUAAUUAUGCUAAGUUGAGCGAUAAUGAAUAUUUUGUUGAUUUUUGCAUUUUAAAUAAAAGCUCUUUGAUCUUAUGAUUUUAUCAUUUUCAACCAUCUAUUUCUUUUUUCUUCUAUGAAAUUUAAUGUAAAAUCAUAAUCCAUUAUUAUGUAUAUGCAAUAUCUCUUUGAAUUAAAUUAAAUUGAAUACCAAGCGUUCACUAGUGCAUACUGAAAAGGAAAUCUAAUGUAAAAUUAAACCAAACAUACUAGAAAAAUGAAUCUGAAACUGAAAUAUUUUAAAACCUCAAAAACAAUGCAAUUCUUUAUUCCUCUUUUCCUUUCAAGUUAUUUUGUAUCAUGUUAUAUUUUACAUAAUCAUUCAUAUCAUCAAAUUUUAAAAAAUAUUUAAUAUUUUGAUAUCAUGUUCAUAUUAUGCUUUAAUUCACAAUGUAUUUUAUACAAUAUGUUAUAACAAUUCAAUUUAAAAAACAAGCAAUGAUCUUAUUUUUGCAUACCGUAUUAUACAUUUACAUGUUAAUAAUUCAUUGUACGUAAAUUUUGACAUGUUUGCAUAUUUGAGUCAUUAUAAUUUUAUUAUUUGUAAUAUGACAUGUUUUAAUUACCCUUAAUAUUGUGUCAUGAUAAUUAUAACUCGAUUGGCACCAAAUAAUUUUUCUAAUAAAAAAUAGUAUUUUAUUCUAUUUACCAAAUCUUUAUCAACUUUAUAUUCUCACCAACAAAACAUACAUUCAAAGUUCAAAUAAGUUCCACACCCAUUUCUUUACUGCAAUACUCAAGAAUAUGCUCAUCAUCAGAAAUCUGAAAUAUUCCACUCUAAUUAACAUUACGAUUCUGUAAAAACCAAAAAUGUGUGAUCCUUUUUUAAAGCUCUUUUUUUUUUCCUUUAAUGAAAUGGGAUUGGUAAAAAAUCCGCACAUGUGUCGUGUGUGAAGAAGGUGAGGUUGUCUAUUCAUUCUCUAAUAAGUAGCUAAUUAUAGUUGAUCCUACAAAAUCAAAAUUAAUUCAGGUAUCUUUAUAUUCUGAAGACUGGACAGACCUUAGAAGCUUCUUCAAAUUUGCAAGAACAUGUCGUGGUCCUAAACUCUUUACACCGAUGAAAUUCAAAAGUUGCUCUAUAUUCUGCAAUCACAGUAAAGAUUAUGCAGUCAUUUCAGAACGAAUAACAUAACAAGCAAAAGGCGAUCAAAAUACCGUGAUCUCGAUAAUGUUCUUUGCCGAAAAGGAACAUUAACUUAACCUUAAAACAUCAGUGAAGGCUCAUCAGAUUUGCUUAGCAACCUCACAUACACAUGUAAAAAGCUUUGCUUUUGGAUGUAAGGUGUGACUAUCAUUACAGUCUUUUCUAAUUAGCUGAUAACCCUGUAUCUAACAUUUAUCAGGGCUAAGCAAAUUAACAUACAUGAUGUAAAGGAAUUUGACUAUAAGAUCCAACAGAAAACUUAAUAAACGAUAAUCAACAUAGAAAGAAGGCAAUGCAAACUUAUUACAAUGAUGCAAGCGGAUCAAAAGAAAGCACUUCUAUAGGGAAUUUGCAUUUAAGGCAUCGUAAACAGAAAAAAAAAUGAUAAAACUUUUUGGAAAGUAUUUUCAAAGAGGAGACAAAAACAGGGUAGAAACAAUGUUUGGUUCUUCCUUUUUCUAUUUACAAUUUUAGGGUGCAUUCUCUACUGUUGUGAAAAAGCCUUUUUGGGUUAAAAGUGUUUUUACACUGCAGAAGUGUUUUUCCACUGCAGAAGUGAUGAACAACACAUAGCUGUUGUAGUCAAAAACUGUUUUUGGCUUUUGCAUUCAAAAGAGAAAAUUAUCAAAAUACUAUUAUUUUCAUUAACUAUUUAAAAGGUAUAUAAAAAUUAGAUUAAUUUAUAUUUUAUAUAUUAUUAUAUUAAAUUGUUUAAAUCUUAUUUAUUAUUAUAUUUAAUUUUUUCAAAAUAUUUUAUAUAUUAUCAAUUUUACAACUAAUUAACAAAAUAUUUUACUAGGGAAUACGUAUAUGUGAAUAUCUAUAAAUGGCAUGCCUGGAUAUGCAUAUCCUUUGAUAUCAAAUAUUUUGAAAAAAAUAUUAUCAAUUCCACUGAUAUAUUAUCAAUUCCACUGAUAUAAAGCUCUUUAUAUUACCAAUAUAAAUAUAAAUAUUUUGAAUAUAAAUAUCCAUUGAUAUAUUAUCAAUUCCACUGAUAUAAAGCUCUUUAUAUUAUAAAUAUUUUAUAUUUUUUUUCAAAAAUAUGGAUAUGCAUAUCCUUUGAUAUCAAAUAUAAAGGUAAUAUUUAUAGGAAUUGUUUUUUAAUUAGAUAUUUUUAUAUAUCAGUGGAAUUGUCAAAAUAUUUUCAUUAACUAUUUAAAAGGUAUAUAAAAAGAGCUUUAUAUUGCCUCAAGCGCAAGGCACAAAAUGAAGCGCUAGCCUGUGUGCAGUAAAGCGCAAUACGUAUAUGUGAGAGUUUUUGCAAGUCUGUGUGUCUAUAACAUAAAAGUUUAAGAUAUAUAGUAAACUCUAAAGUGUGGUCUGGUUUAUCCACAAAACUUGAAAUUUUUUUAUAGGUGAAUGCUCAAAUAUUGAGAAUUAUAGAGUUUGAUAUUAUCCCUUCCUUAUUAGUAAAGGUAUAUCAAAUGAAAACAGUGAAAAAUAAAAUAAAUUAUUGAGAAAUUCAACAAGGCAGGUUUUUCUAAUGCCCAUUGCCUUACAAAAAAAGUGUGCCUAGGUGCACCAGGCAUGCGCUUGAUCAAAUGGACCUCACCUGGAAGGGUCCAAGGCGUUUUGUUGUAUAAAACUAAGGCGUAGGCAUGCCUAGGCGCAUGCCUUGACGACACUGACCAUAUGUUGGCUUUAUUGCAAAGCAUUAGCAAUUCAAAACUACUAGCACAUUACCUAAUCUACUACUGCUAGAAUAGGACUCAAGUUCUUGCUCCUGUGCAGGUCCAACCAAGAUCUUUACAGGAUACAGUAAUGAAACUUGUGAUAUCAUAUAUUGUUGCCUUGCUCGAAGCUUCCUUUGCACAUUUUUAAGUUUAACACAACCCCUUUCUUCAGUGAGUAAUCUAUUUGCUUCCUGUGAUAAAAACAACAUAUAAUCAAUCAUGCCAUGCAUGCAAGACUACCAACCAUCUUAAAAAAGAGACAAAGAAGUAGGACAGCAAGAAGGGGAUAACCCUUGACUAUGCAAAGGAAUUCAUAGAAUGAGAAUCAUCUCAUCUAAGCCCCUCAACCACCUUCACAGGGGGUGGAGCUGCAAAAAGAGAUGUCUUAUUGAUCCAAGAGGAGAAUAAAUAACAUCUAAAGCUGAAUAAGAAGAAACCUUCAAAUGUAUCAUAAAUUCAGCAUUCAUGAUAAUAUCAAAAUGAAAUUCCAAAGCUAAUUUAAGCUAGAAUAAAAAUGCUUCACCUGUAAUCGCUUCCUUGCUACAGAAAGAGAGGUACCAGCAACCAACAAUGAUCUUACUUCAGUACUAAGCAUUUCCUCCUGUUUUUUAGCAUCCUCUGUUGCAACUUUGCAACGAGUUGACAUUUUGCCAUAACUACUUUCCUUGCCUCUAGUCUCUCACGCAUUUCCUCAAGCUCGUUCAGUUUAUUCAAAGACUCAUUUUUUACCUGCACAGCAUGUUCCCGCCCAUUAAUCAGUGGGCCAAUUGAUUAGGUCACAGAAGACAAAACUAAAUUACCACUCACCAGGUCCCCUUGAAGUGUCAUAUGGCUUUAACAAUUCAACGUGCAAUAUCUAGUAAAAGUAAAAUAAACAUAGAAGAAAGCAAAUGCAAUUCUUAAACGCCUUUAAAUGGACAACAUGAAACAGUUUAAGAGCCCUAUAAAACAGUAAAGUGGAAAAAAAAUCUGAAAAGGAAAAAGAAAUGAAUUGAAACAAUAAAUCCAUCAGGUACAAACAGCAACAAAACUUGAAAUAAGCUUUGGCUUUAGCCCAUUAAAGCCCGGGCAUCCAGCCAAAUAAACAGUGACUGCCAUGUCAACUUUUUGAGACGGUAGAAAAGAGAUCGAAAAUCUCAAUUUCCAAAAAUAAGGACAUAAGAAGUAAAAAAAUGCACUUAUUCUUACAGUAGAAGAGCAAAAUGAAACUAAAUGAAGCAUAAGGGAACUGAUGCGAAUUGACAUUGUCAUUUUUGGGACUAAAAAGAAUACGCAGAUUGAAUAUUUAAGAUUUGGAAGGGAAAAGUUCCAUUCACCAACACAAUUAUCGUCGCCCUUCAUCCUAGUAAAGCUUAAUUGACAAUUUUUCUGUCUCGUGUUCUUGCUAAAGCAUUUGAGCAACCCAACAGAAAUCAUUAUAUUUCAAACUGAAAUGAUUGGCUUUAUCAAUUUCACAACCUAUACCGCCCAACCUAGUAAGUAAUUUAGGUGCAGACACCAGAAAUCUAUUUCCUUUGCACUCUACAACUAAAUAGCCUACCACUUAUCAAUCAAACACAGCUGAAAACUUCAGUGAGGAAACAUUAUGAAAACUGAAAAAACUAUAACUUCAACUUGAUUCAUAGCUCGGCAAGUUCAGGGAAUUGGGACUUCUACCACCAUGAUCCAGUUCGAUGUGAAACAGUGAUCUAUAUCACGCAUAUCGGUUCCCGCAACAAGAGGUAAAACAGCAAAUUAGGUAAACGAUGAUCCUACUAUAUUUCAGAAUAGCAACAUUGAGCAUGAAAGCUAAAGUUAUAGCAUAUUAUGGGUCCUUGCUCUCUACAACUACAUAUAAAAUUACUAAACAAUAUUACUACAUUAAGGAUCCAGAAAAACUUUGUUUCAAUUGUUGAUCACUUGAUCCAACUAUUUUAGAAAGUUUAUUCUUCUUUUUCCUUUCCCUUAUUUUCUAAAUCAGGAAAAACAGUAGCACAUAAACUGGAUUACUACUCCAAGUUUCUAAAAUUUCAGCAAUAUCCCUUUAACCUUUUCACUCAAGUCACUACCCCCCCAAUUAACAAAUAUAUUCCCAGUUUCCCUUUCACUUCAAACCCCCUUUUUUUUUUCUCUACCCAAAUUCAGCUUAAGUUCAAAAACCCAAAAUUGGUUUGCUAAAAAUACAUAAUUUUCAAACACAAAGGUAACCUAAUUUUAAUCAGAAAAAAAAAGCAUUACCUGAAUUAGUGAAUGGAGUUUCUCUUGAAGACUUUGUUUUAAAACUAUCUUAUACUAUUUGCUUUAAAUCGAUUUUUAUUAGCUAUUUAAAACUCGUUUUCAUGUAUUAUUUAUUUUUUUAUCACUUAUUUAAAUUGUUUUACAUAUCUAUUUUUUAAACCCUAUUUUAUUAUAUUUUACUUAUUUUAACUUUUUUACAUAUUUCAUUAUAAAUAUUAUUAAUUAUCUAUAUUGAGUUUUUCAUUCCAUAUGUAUUACUUAUUUAGAUAAAUAUAUACUAUUUUGUGUAUUACUUAUUUUGAUUUUCUUCUUAUACAAUAUUACUUUAAAAUUCAUUUAGAUAUUAUUAUUUCACGUAGUAUUUAUUUUUAUCUUCAUUUUUUAUUUAUUUCAAACUCAUAUAUUGUUUAUUUUGAAAUUUUAUGCAUAUGAUUUAUUGUUUAUAUUGAUGAUUUUAAAUUUCCUUUCUUGCAUGUUUUUUUUAUUUAUUUUAAAACUUGUUAUACUUUAUUUGUGUUAAUUUGCUUAGUUUUUCUUUCAAAAUUAACUUAUAAUUCAUUAGCUUUUAAUGUUAGUAUUUGCACAAUAUGUGAUGUAAGAUUAUUGCUUUCCUGUAUUGCUUAUCUGUAUAUAUUGAUUAUUUGUCAUUCAUUAGUAUACAUUUUGGUUUACGAAUUGACUAAUUUACCAAAAAAAGCCAUUUUUUUAUAAAUUACCGAAAUAGGCCGGUUUUUUAAUUAUUUACCGGAAUGGGCCAUUUCCCCCGAAAUCGCGCCACGUCGAAGCGAUGUCAGGGGACGGGGCAGAAGGUCGCGUCCACGUCAGAGCGACCUACUGACGUGGAAGGAAAUCGCUCCCCUGAGGGCGCGAUUUCCUUCCACGUCAGCAGGUCGCGCUGACGUGGACGCGACCUCCUGUCACUUUGCGCGGUACCGGGAAUGCGAUUUUGACCCUGAUUUUUACGCCUAGGUUUUAUGGCUUUUAGGGUUUAGGGUGCAGGCUUUUUAGGAGUUAGGGGUCCGGGAAAAUUAUUUUUCGAGUUGACGUUUCUGGUUAAAUAGUGGGAAAUCGCUUAUACUAGGAUGCUAUUUAAGAAGAAAUUGUGAAAUAGUGGCCUCGUGGACGCGAUUUCGCUACAGUGGUCAUGUGAGAAAUAAUUUUUUUAGACGUUUUCUGAGGAAAUAGUAUAAAAUCGCUGAUACCAGGAUGCUAUAUGAGAAGAAAUUGUGAAAUCGCGCCCUCGUGGACGCGAUUUCGCUACAGUUGGUCAUGUAGGAAAUAAUUUUUUUUGACGUUUCUGAGUAAAUAGUGUCAAAUCGCGCCCUCGUGGACGCGAUUUCGCUACAGUAGCAAGUUUGGGCUGAGGUUAUAAAUUAGGCAGAGAAUUUUCUUAGAAUGCAUAACUCAGAGCAGAAACAUUUUAGGUUAGGGUUAGGGAAUUUAGAGUUUCAAAAUGAGUGAAUGUAUUAGUGCUGUUAUUUACUACGAUGGUGAGGUUUGCCACACCGAGAAUGGUGUUGUUUUUUUGUCGAAGAAUACGAUGCGACUGUCAUUUAGCCAAAACAUAGAUUUGACAGAACUCCGUAAAAGAAUUAGGCGUAAAAUCUUCGGAACCACGCCAAUGAAAGUUCAGUCAAUGACGUAUCGAUUUUGUUCUUCUGUUGAUUCGGUGACAUAUGACUCGUUCGACAUAAAAGGUGCUCGUAGCUUAGAGGCAAUGGUGCAGACUCAUCUUGCUAGCGGAGCAACUUAUAUUGAGUUAUAUGUACAAUUUACGUCACCAAAUGAUGUACUUUCGUCCGGUGUUCGAGAUGUAUACACGACCCCUGGCCGACACUCGGUUAGUGUGUUACAAAAUACGGAACAGCCCAUGUUCGGUAGCGGUGUCGAAUGCACAUCCCCCCAAGACACUCUGUCGGUGGAUGGGACAUGUACGUCGGUGGCUCGACGGUUGACGCUGGAAAUACGAGCUGGUACGUUCAUUCUCUUAUUUUAUUUUAUUUCAUAUUUUGGGAAAUUUAGAACGAUAAGCGAAAAUGAAUAUAUUCAGAUUAGCAGGGGACAUGACCCAUUUGUUUAGUGUUCUUGUUUUGCUUCUUAAGAUCCACACAAUCAAGUCUUGUGCUGGUACGUUCAUUUUCCAAAUAUUUACUUUACUUUUUGUUUCUGGGCUUAUUUCAUUUUAUGUUGUACUUUUUUCCCAGUAAUUUACUGCUUAAUAUAAAAGAAUCGAAUAUUUAGGUUAAAUUGUGGGUGGGUUUUUGCUAGUUUAUUGAAUACUCAAAUUGGAGCCAUGUAAAAUGUGGAAACUUUAGCUUGAUAGAAAAUGUGACCCCCUUUUUUUUUAAUGUAUGGAAUAAAAAUUUUUGUAUUUUGUGAAUUUUUUUUUAGUAAUUUGAAUUUGUAUGUAUGUUCAUUGGAAGUUUAGAAGCAAGGAGUUCUGAUCAUUAGGACUUUAUGUGAUUCAUUCAUUUUGAGUUAUAGUGUAGUUAGUUGUUGGAUUUAGUGUCACUGUUGGCAUCUUAUUUUAGCUGAUUUCCUUUCUAUUUGUACCGAUAAACCUCUAGAGGUUUUGAAAUUAGCAACUGAUUUUUUUUAUGUGUGAGAGUUUUUAUGGAAAUCAAUAAGCUAAUUACAUUUUGCAGGAUCAUACAGUCGGGUUAGUGGUUUUUAUGUCAUGCUGGCCUAUGGUUUUGAGAUGAACAUCAUGAAAUCUGUAUAAGAUGAGGGUAUUAAACUAUAAACAUAGCCGAGGUAGCGAUUUAUUUCGUAUCAUGCUAUUGGAAGUUUUUUUGGGGCGGCAAUGUCAACUAAAUUUAUAUUCUUUUGAUCAAGUCGAUUAUUUCCAGUUGCACAACUAGCUUGUUGGAAAUAUUUUCUUUCUUUGCUCCUGUCCUUUUCACUUUCAUAUUUUAUGGGUGGUGUGAUGAUGGGAAGAUUCAUGGGUGGCUAAAGCCAUCUUACUCACUAGAAGUGAGGCUGUUAUUUUUAGAAGUUAGAGAUGCUAUAUCAAUUGAGGAUGCCGUGAGCAAAAGCUUGCUAAUAAUAAGUGACUGUUCAUAUGCGUGGGUUCUAUCACAUGUUGAUGGAGUAUUUGGUGCUCUUUCUUCACUAAUUUCAUAUGUAUAGAUAUAAUUGUAUAACAUCUCGACGUUGAUUACUGUUACGAGGGGAAAAAAACACAGCAUGUAAUGAAACUCAAAAAGUAGGAAUCCUAGAUCCUUGUAUUCAUUCAUAGGCAUUUUACAACAUUUGAUUUAACUUGAGCAAGAUUCCGUUUUGGGCCUGGUCUUUUCCUGUUCGUUCCCUUGUUUAUAUAUGAUGAAGUUGGUUCAGCAUGCAGGAAACUCGACAGCAUGCAGGCCAUGAAGACCAAGUCGUGCAGGAGCUGCUGGAACGAGCUGAACUUUUCCUAUUUUGUUCAUCUAGUAAUCUUAAGUUAAUGUAAUGUACUUUAGUUCAUUUAGAACUAUGUUAGGUUUAUGAUUGAUGUAAUUUUGAUGACAAUUGAGCUGUUAAGUCAGCUUUGUUUAAGUGUGUAAGCUUAGUUUUUCAAGUUUCAAUGUAUUAGUGGUAGUAGGUGAUGAUUAGGUAUCAUUAUGCAGAUUUUGACAAGCAAAUUGCUUGGUUUAUGUAUUGGCAUUAUGCCAUUGUUCAACAUAUGAAUGAAAUCAACUUUGUUCAUCAAUAUUCUCUCAAAUUUCCUCAGCUUAUUUUCUUUUUUCUUCAACUCGAAAUUGUUUGUUUGCUCAGCAAGAUUCGAGGCUUGCUCGACAAGAAACUUGCUGAGUCUGUUUGAUUCUGCUGUUGCACCAACAAUUGGUAUCAGAGCUUAUUUCUUAAGGGACCUGUUAUACAAAUCCAUGGCUUCAUCAAGUUUUUCACCAGCUGCACCUCAAGUCUUCAAUGGAGAAGGCUAUCACAUAUGGGUGGUCAAAAUGAAGACCUACCUGCAGGCAUUUGAUCUGUGGGAGGUGGUCAACUCUGAUGUUGAACCAGAGCCACUUAGAGCUAAUCCAACAGUGGCUCAGAUCAGGCAGCAUGCUGAUGAAAGGACCAAGAGGCACAAUGCUAUGUCUUGCAUCCAAAACUCAGUGUCUGAUGUGAUUUUCACAAGGAUUAUGGCCUGUGAAUCACCAAAACAGGCCUGGGACAAGUUGCAGGAAGAGUUUCAAGGGACUGAGAGGACAAGGCAACAACAGUUGUUAAACUUGAGGAGAGAUUUCGAGAAUUUGAAGAUGAAGGAAGAAGAAACUGUCAAGCAAUAUUCUGACAGGAUUAUGGCUGUGGUUAACAGCAUCAGGCUCCUUGGAGAGCAGUUCAAUGAAGCUAGGAUAGUGGAGAAGGUUAUAGCAACUCUGCCUGAGAGGUAUGAGGCAAAAAUCUCAUCUCUCGAGGACUCAAGGGACCUGUCCACCAUCUCCCUGACAGAGUUGAUCAAUGCUCUAUAUGCUCAAGAGCAGAGGAGAGCAAGCAGACUGGAGGAGCACCAAGAAGGUGCCUUUCAGGCAAGAACAAAUACUUCCUACAAAGGCAAGAAGGCUUGGAGAGACAAGCCAAAGGAUGAUGCUGCAAGGAGAGAAGGUCAAACUUGCAAGCACUGCAGAAAGGCUGGUCAUUCAGAAGAAAAAUGCUGGUUUAAUCCAGAUGCUGUGUGUCAGCAUUGUAAGAAAAAGGGCCAUGUUGAGAGAGUUUGUAAGAGCAAUGCCAAAACAAGGCGCAAUCAGGCUCAACAGAUGAAAGCUGAGGCUCGAGUAGCUAAGGAGGACAGUGACCAAGAGGAGCAAGUCUUUACUGUGUCAUGCUCAGCUGCUCAGGAAAGGUCCUCAUCUGGUUGGCUCCUAGACAGUGGAUGCACCAACCACAUGACACCUGAUGCUGCAAUCUUCAAGUCUUUAGACAGAAGCUGCAGAACUAAAGUCAAGAUAGGAAAUGGUCAUUUUAUUCAAGCUGAAGGCAAGGGUGAUGUUCUGAUAUGCACUCUUACAGGUACCAAAGUGAUUUCAAAUGUGCUGUUGGUGCCUGAAAUUGACAGAAACCUGCUCAGCAUAGCUCAGUUGCUGGAAAAAGGUUACUUAGUUGUGUUUAAAGACCACCAAUGCCAAAUCAGUGAUCCAAGUGGAUCCAAACUGAUGGCAGUCCCUAUGGCUGAUAAGAGCUUUGUGGUUGACUGGACAAAAAAGUCAGACAUUGCCUACACAGCCACUUCAGAUGAAUCCAAGCUGUGGCAUCAAAGACUGGGACAUGCCAACUUCAGAUCGAUGGCCCGAAUGAUCAGAGAAGACCUGGCUGAAAACUUCAUCAACUCAGUAGACCAUGAUGAUGUAUGUGAAGUAUGUCAGCUAGGAAAGCAGGCCAGACUCCCAUUUCCCUCGAAUCAAGCCUAGAGAGCCUCUGAAAAACUCCAACUGGUGCAUACUGAUGUGUGUGGACCUAUGAAGACUGAGUCAUUAAGUGGAAACAGGUAUUUCAUACUGUUCAUUGAUGAUUUCUCGAGAUAUUGCUGGAUUUACUUCUUAAAACAGAAAUCAGAGGUGGCCACUGUGUUUUGGAAGUUCAAAACUGCUGCUGAGACUGAAACAGGCUGCAAGGUGAAGACCAUAAGGUCUGAUAAUGGGACUGAGUACACCUCAGCUCAGUUCCAAGCCUUCUGUGAUAAGGCAGGCAUCAAACAUCAACUUGCCAACACAUAUACACCUCAGCAGAAUGGGGUAAGUGAAAGGAAGAAUAGGAGUUUGAUGGAUAUGGCCAGGUGCUUGAUGAUUCAGAAGAAUCUGCCUAAAGCACUAUGGGCAGAAGCAGUUAACACUGCAACAUACAUUCAAAAUAGACUUCCAACCAGGGCUUUGGAUCAAAAGACCCCAUUCGAGGCCUGGUUUAGCUUCAAGCCAUCACUGGCUCAUCUGAAGGUCUUUGGAUGCAUCUGUUAUGCACAUGUACCUGCUGUUAAAAGGGACAAAUUGUCUGAAAGGGCUCGACCUGGUGUUUUGGUGGGCUAUAGCACUGUUAAGAAGGGCUAUAGGAUUUUAGAUCCUUCAACAAACAAAGUGUCAGUAAGCAGGGAUGUGGUAUUUGAUGAGAGGUCAUGUUGGAACUAGGAAAGACAUGAACCUGAAGAAGUUUUUGAAGAACUUGCAGCAGACCAAGCUGAGCCAGACCAAGAUGUCCCUGAAAUGGAUAUUGAUGAUGAACCAGUCAGAGGAACAAGGCCAUUGGCUGAAAUUUAUGAAAGGGCUCAUGUAGCCAUAGUUGAACCAAGCAACUUUGAAGAGGCUGAGGCUCAGCAAGGGUGGAAGCAGGCAAUGGCUGAGGAGAUCAGCAUGAUUGAGAAGAACCACACCUGGAAAUUGGUUGAAAGGCCAGUCAAAAGGAAAGUGAUUGGGGUGAAAUGGGUGUACAAAGCCAAGCAGAAUGCUGAUGGUACCUUGAACAAGCUGAAAGCAAGGCUAGUUGUCAAGGGGUUCAGUCAGAGGUAUGGCUUGGACUACCUGGAGACCUUUGCACCAGUGGCCAGGCUCGACACCAUCAGACUGCUGAUUGCCUUAGCAGCACAGCUUGAAUGGAAGAUCCAUCAACUUGAUGUGAAAUCAGCUUUUCUGAAUGGUUUCUUAGAUGAAGACAUCUAUGUUGAACAACCACAAAGGUUUGAAAUAGCUGGCAGAGAGCAUAUGGUCUACAAACUGAAAAAGGCCCUAUAUGGAUUAAAGCAGGCUCCAAGGGCCUGGUAUAGCAGAAUUGAUGGCUACUUGACUGAUCUAGGAUUCGAUCGAAGCAAGAGUGAGCCAACACUGUAUGUCAAGAAACAAGGGACACAAAUACAACUCAUUGUGUCCCUGUAUGUUGAUGAUCUUCUGGUGACAGGAGGAGAUCGAGUAGUGCUGGCUGAUUUUAAGACCAAGAUGCAGGAAGUGUUUGAAAUGUCUGAUCUUGGGGAGAUGUCAUACUUUCUUGGAAUGGAGGUGUCUCAAGUAUAGAAUGAGAUAUUUCUAAGCCAGAGAAGCUUUGCCACAAAGAUUCUGACCAAGUUCUCCAUGCAAAACAGCAAGGCAACUAAAACACCUAUUGCUGUUGGAGAAAAACUAUCGAGCCAAGGUGAUUUUAAGAAAGUUUGUGAAACAACCUACAGGAGUCUAGUUGGUUGCUUGCUAUACUUGACUGCCACUAGACCAGACAUUAUGUAUGCUGUAGGAUUGCUCUCAAGGUUCUUGCAUUGCUGCAAUGAGAAGCAUUUCCAAGCUGCAAAGAGAGUGCUGAGAUAUGUCAAAGGCACUUUAAACUAUGGUUUGAAGUACAGUAAAGAAGGAAAUCUGAAGCUGAUUGGCUACACUGAUAGUGACUGGGCUGGCUCGAUAGAUGACAUGAAAAGCACCUCAGGGUAUGCUUUUAACCUUGGUUCAGCCAUGUUUUGUUGGAGCUCAAAGAAGCAAAGUCUAGUAGCUCAAUCUACUGCUGAAGCAGAGUAUGUGGCAACAGCAAGUGCUAUCAACCAAGCCAUAUGGCUAAGAAAAAUAUUGGCUGACUUGAAUGUGCAUCAAGAGCAAGCUACUGAGAUCUUCUGUGACAACCAAUCUGCAGUAGCAAUUGCUAAAAAUCCAGUGUUCCAUGGAAGAACAAAACAUUUCAGCAUAAAGUUGCAUGUUGUUCGAGAAAUGGAGCAAGCUCAGGAAGUAAAGCUGGUCCACUGUAAUUCAGAAGAUCAACUUGCUGACAUUUUAACCAAAGCUCUUAGUGUCACAAGGUUUGAAUAUCUAAGAAAGAAGCUAGGUGUUUGCUCCAUGCAAACCAAGGAGGAGUGAUGAAGUUGGUUCAGCAUGCAGCAAACUCGACAGCAUGCAGGCCAUGAAGACCAAGUCGUGCAGGAGCUGCUGGAACGAGCUGAACUUUUCCUAUUUUGUUCAUCUAGUAAUCUUAAGUUAAUGUAAUGUACUUUAGUUCAUUUAGAACUAUGUUAGGUUUAUGAUUGAUGUAAUUUUGAUGACAAUUGAGCUGUUAAGUCAGCUUUGUUUAAGUGUGUAAGCUUAGUUUUUCAAGUUUCAAUGUAUUAGUGGUAGUAGGUGAUGAUUAGGUAUCAUUAUGCAGAUUUUGACAAGCAAAUUGCUUGGUUUAUGUAUUGGCAUUAUGCCAUUGUUCAACAUAUGAAUGAAAUCAACUUUGUUCAUCAAUAUUCUCUCAAAUUUCCUCAGCUUAUUUUCUUUUUUCUUCAACUCGAAAUUGUUUGUUUGCUCAGCAAGAUUCGAGGCUUGCUCGACAAGAAACUUGCUGAGUCUGUUUGAUUCUGCUGUUGCACCAACAAUAUACCUCCACUGUGCCAUUGUGUAUUUGUGUUCGAUUUUCAGUUCUGUCUCACAAUCCCUGUCAUGUCUUAUGAGUGAUUUUCUGGCUCUAAAUAUCUAUGAUAUAUUUGUGCAGGCAUUUCACUGAAGACUCAGGAACUCUAUGCUAUUGUCUUUGCUACUCGUUACUUGGACAUAUUCACUAAUCAUAUCUCGCCUUAUAACACAAUCAUGAAGCUAAUAUUCCUGGGCAGCUCUUUCUCAAUUGUAUGGUACAUGCGGUAUCACAAAAUAGUUCGUAGAUCUUAUGAUAAGGACCAGGAUACAUUUCGACAUUACAUCCUUAUACUCCCUUGCCUGAUUCUUGCCCUUCUUAUAAACGAGAAGUUCACCUUCAAAGAGGUAUCGACAUCCUUUUGUUUGUUGGAAUAUGAUAACAGUAUGUUCAUAUUAAUUACUGGUUAACUUAGAAGCUCCCUAAACUGUUUAUCUGUUUUAUAUUAAUUAUUCAUUAUUAUCCUUCUGGUUAUAUUUUUAUAUAUUGAUUAUUGUCUUAAAAAAAAUUGUUGAGCAGGUCAUGUGGACAUUUUCCUUGUAUUUGGAAGCUGUUGCGAUACUUCCUCAGCUUGUAUUGUUGCAAAGGACUAGAAAUAUUGACAACUUGACUGGACAAUAUGUGUUUCUCCUUGGGUAACCACUGUAUUCUUUAAAAAUCCUAAUCAGUUGCAAGUUUUCUAUUUUAUUACCUUGCAAUUUGCAUGAAGGACCCUUAUUUCCUGGCUCAGUUCCCUAAAAUGUUGCCUCCUUCCUGAGGAAACAAAAGAGAGAAAGUCUCUAAAUAGAGUUGCCAUCAUAUUGCCGCUUGGUUGCCACUGAUUUCUUUUUGAUGAAAAGUUGAUAUGAUUAUAUGUUGGACCAAAGUUAUCUAUUUUCAGAUGUGAUUAACUGCAGUUGAAUUUUGCGAGUAUGACUGUUCUUGUGUAACUUUUGUUAUGUGCUUUCAUGUCGUUUUUAGUCUUUUACACUGUGUUCUGUCUAUCUUUGUUUGCUAUUAUCCUAAGUUAGGAGACAAGGUGCCAUUAGGAGCAAUGUGACGUCAAAAUUCAUUUCCCUUUAGCCUUCAGUUCUACCUUUUCUUCCCUUUCUUUAUGUAGUUUUUGGGAGUUGGGGAUCACAGCGAUGAUAGUCGGUACAUGUGACUUGAAAGAUGCCUAAAAACUUCAAGAGCAUAGUGUUGUAUAAAUCUUUUGGAGAAAUUUUUUUGGUACAUUGAUGCCAACUUACAAUAACCCUUGCCACUACAACCGUGGCUUUGUUGGCUUAUGUAUGCACUCUCUUUGUCUUUAUAGGUCACCAAAUUCCUAAUGUCUAAUUCUUGGUUAUGGACUAAUAUAGUUGCUUGUUAUUGCAGUGCAUACAGAGCAUUGUACAUAGUGAACUGGAUUUAUCGGUACUUUACUGAAGACCACUUUGUCCACUGGAUAAGUAUGUACUCUUCUCUGUCUCCCUUCAUCUUUUACUCCAAGUCGGUAGCCAUGGGUGUAUGACGAGUGUGUCAAUAUAUCUACCCCAACACAUUUGUGAUAUACUAUGCUAUAUGUGUUAUUUCUAACACCUUGUUUACAUGAUUGCUGCCUUUCAGCUUGGAUUUGCGGUCUUGUCCAGACAUUGCUUUAUGCUGAUUUCUUCUACUAUUACUUCCAGAGGUAACCCCCUUUCUGACACUCUGGAAAGCACUUCAUACCUAUGUGAAUGAUUGCAACUUAUUUGAUUAUUAUGCCUGCAGCUUGAAGAACAACAUGAAGCUCCAAUUACCAGCUUGAGAUUUUAAUGGUGCAAGUUUUGUAGUAGCAUACAUAAACUUACAUCAUAUGGGUUCAAAUUUAUGAGUAUUUCAAUUAAUUUUAAUUUCACUAUGUUAUAUUGUAAUAUCAUGUAAAAAGUAUCAUAAAAGCAGGCAUAAGUUUUCCACCAAUUAGAACAUUUUGAAAAUUGAUGUCAAGCCCGAAAUGACCGUCACAAGUAAGCAUAUUAAACGUGUGAAGAGAAGACCUUAUUUUUCCACAUAACUAAAACUUUUUACACCAUAGGAACUUUCAUCGUCAUCAAGUUGGACAUGGAUGGAGCUCACGUAAAAAUAAUUUUUCAUAUAAAAACUAAAAACUAGAAAUUGACUUGUAAUAAUUCUCAAGGUUAAGGUUGACGUGGUCAAUAGUAAUGAACUUAUGUUUAAGGUUUGGGUUAUUUUUCUCAAUUAUAGAUUAGUAUUUUGUUCAUUGUAAACUUUGCUAACAAAAUUUAAUAUAUGACACAUAUCUGAUUUAAUUUAUUUUUAUUUUAUAAAACUUUCAUUAUUUGUUUUACUCAUUAAUGAAAUUUGGUGUGAAUACAUUAAAUAUUACCUUUUAUAUAUUUCACUCCCUCUUACUAUAUCUCAAUGGAGAAAUUGAAGGUCAUUCAAGGAAAUGGUAAUGUCCAUUUUCCACAAAACUAAAAUUUUCCACACGACAGAAACUUUCUUGGUCAAACAAGUUGGAUUUGGCUUCACCAAUAACUUAAUAAUCUGUACUAAAAUUUUCCACGCAAUAGAAUACGAACUCGUUCUCGUAAAUAUUUUAAAAAAUAAAAAAUUUAAUAUUAUGAGUUAACGAAUUAUCAAUUUAAUUAAAAAAAGUUGAAAGAUACAUUUUUUAAAAUUUUAUGAAAUUAUAUAUUAAUAUAAUUAUAAAAUUAUAGUUUUAACUUUAUAAAAUUUAUUAUUUAUCUUUGAUCUUGAAGAGAGACAAAGUAAAAUACCUAUUCUUGGAGCCAUAACGACAACUAGGAUUAUGAUUGCACAUUUUCUAAGUCUUCAUUUUUGUUAAUUAGGAAAGCUGAUGGGCAUCUCCACUAAGUUUCCACCCACAAGAAUAUACGUAUUAAUUUGUUUUUCUCAAUUUCCAUGAGGGGGGAUAUAAGCUUAAAGUUGACGUAGAAGUCAAUACUCAACAUUUGAAAGUUAAUGCAGUGAACUAUGUGCUUGUUGAUAUAUGAAAUGAUAUUUUCUUAACAAUUUCCUCCAACUAGUUCGUAGAUGGUGCUAUAUUACAUCACAAUGGGUAACCAAAUGUAUAUAAUUGAGAUUUUUAAGCAAAUAUUAUAUUUUAUCUUUAUCCAUGAAUAGUCUAAUAAUAAGGAUUAAUAUUUGGUACAUUGUCAGUGGAGUUUUUAAAUUCCAUAAGUAGGGUUAGAGGAUUGACACAUGCCAAUUUUUUAAUGUUGCUUGUGGGAUGCACUUGAAUUGUGGUUCAUAGAAGGAAAUUAUUAUAUAAAGGUUUAAUUCUACCAUAGUUCUUGUACUUUACUGAAGUUGUAGAUUUAAUUCCCAGACUUUAAUUUGAUAUUUUAGAUAUUUGUUAAAUUCAUAAAGUCCUACUAUUUCCAAAUUUGGUGUGGCAAACAUAUUAUCAUAGGUGUAAUAUCACUAAAAUUCAAAAGAAUGAGAAAUUUGUACAUAUUAUCAGAUGUCAAUAUCAAGUUGAGCAUUUCAAAAUCUAAAGUAAUAGUUCAAGUAUUUAUUUUUCCAUAAAACCAAAAUUUUCUACAUGAUGGCUUUUUUUUUGGCUAUUAGUUAAGAGGAAUUUUUUUAAUAACCCAAUUUAAUUAACUAAUUUAAAAAAUGGUUCAAGUAAAACUCAAGUCAUAUUAAAAAUAAUUAUUUAUAAAUUUUAUGUUUCAAAAACUAAUGAAUGUUCAAAGAAUAGUGAAUUAUUAAAGAGAAGUUAUAUGAUAAUGGAUUGUUUUAAAGUAGUGGUCUAGUAGAAAUAAAUAGUUUUUUAUAAAAAAAUAUUAUAUAAAUAAUUAAAUUUUAUAGUUACUCCUAUUUUUUUUAAAAAUAGUGAAUGUAAUAUUUUUUAAAAUGUUAAAUUAACUCAUGAUAUUAAUUAAAUCAAGAAAUUUUAUAAUAAUAGAGAUGAAAAAAACUAAAUUUUCAAAAUCAAAACCUAAAACGUGCAAGAAUAAAAGCAAUCUGAAGACUUAAAAUUUCCAUUAAUAAAACCAAAAUCAAAGAAGUAAAAUUUCCAUGAAUAAAACCAAAAAUGAAGACCUAAAUUUUCCAUUAAUAAAGCCAAAUCAAGACUAAGUUUGUAUAAGUGUAAGAAGGGUAUAAAGGAAACUCACAAGAAAGCCACAUGAAGAAUUUUAUAACUCCAACUACACGAUUUUAUGUCCACCUCUCACUUUUCAUAUUUUUUUUUGGCCAUUCAUUUUUCAAGAUUAACAUUAGCAUUCUUGUGGUCCGUUCAUCCUUUCCUAACCAAUUUCCACCAAGAGUUUUUGCAAUAAGGAAUUUACCUAAAUAAGAAACCUAGAUUGAUCCAAUUUUUGAGGAAUUAAUUAAUUAUAUAUUAUUUUUAUAUUAUAAUGAAUUAGUGGGAUGCAGUAUGUUCUGCUUGUAUAUAAAUAAGAAGCUUAGGCUUCUUUAGAUUAUAUACAUAUAGAAGUUAACAAAAAGUAACAUAUAGCUGAGAGAGAAGUGAAAAUAGAGAGAUGAUGAUGAUGGAGUGGAAAUGGUUAAGGUUUAUUAGGAUGGCAGUAAUGUUGUUGGUGUUAGAAGGAUGCAGAUGGUGUACUACUGAUGCUUGUUUGGAGCAUGAGAGAAUCGCUCUCUUGCAUCUCAAGCCUUUCUUCAAUUAUCAAAAUCAAUUGCAAAGUUGGGUUGAGGUGAAGGGUUCAGAUUGUUGUAAAUGGGAAAGAGUUGAGUGUAACACCACCACUAGGAGACUCAUACAACUCUCCCUUAAUUCUACAAGAUGGUUUGACAGUAUGGGAUACAAAACGGAUAAUAGGAAUCUCAAUGCCUGGUAUCUCAAUACCUCUAUGUUUCUUCCCUUUGAGGAAUUGAAGAGUCUUUAUUUGCGGGGGAAUGCCAUAAGUGGUAACCUUGAAAAUGAAGGUCGUGCCUCUAGUUUUUCCUUAAUUACAUCUUUUAUUAUCCCACUACUCUUACCAUCGUUAUUUUGCAAUUACUUAUAUUUUAUUUUAUUUUAUGGAAGAAAAGUCACUAACUUGUAUAUAUUUAAAAGAAUAUUUCUAUAGGCUUUGGAAAACUAUCAUCCACAUUGAGUAAUUUGGAGAUCCUUGACUUAAGUGAAAACUACUUGAAUGACAGCAUUUUGUUAUCUUUGAGUGAGCUUUCAUCUCUCUGGUAUUUAGAUCUAUCAGGCAACAAAUUUGAAGGAUCAAGCCAUCUAAGAGGUAAAUUAAGUUUGGUCUGGUAUUAGUUUUUAUUUGUAAAGUGGAGUUUGAGGAUGGUCUUCUAGUAAUUCCACUUUUGCUUUAGUAAAAUUUUCAUACAGCUAAGAAAGAAAAAACAAUUAACAAGUAAUUUUUAACUUUAAAAAUCAAUGUAUGUUCAUAUUCAAGGUAGACUGGUUUUAUAUGUUUCUUUUUUACUUUAAAACCAUUUUUUUUGUUUAAGGGACAGUUAAUGUUGCAAUAUGUCUUUGCUUUUAUCAUAUCAUGAAUAUAUAUAAUUGAUCAAUAUUUGGGAUUGAAUUUCAGGAUUGAAUAAUUUGACAAACUUGAAGUACUUGGAUUUAAGUUCGAACAGAAUUGAAAGCAUCUCAAACAAAGGUAUAAGUACAGUAUUUAUAUGUCAAUUCAUAUUAAAGGUAGACUGGUUUUAUAUGUUUCUUUUUUACUUUAAAACCAAUUUUUGUUUAAGGGACAGUUAAUGUUGCAAUAUGUCUUUGCUUUUAUCAUAUCAUGAAUAUAUAUAUAUAUAUAACUGAUCAAUAUUUGGGAUUGAAUUUCACGAUUGAAUAAUUUGUCAAACUUGAAAUACUUGGAUUUAAGUCGCAACAACGUUGAAAGCAUCUCAAACCAAGGUAUAAGUAUUUGUGCGUAGUAACUUUCUUGACUGACUAUUAUUCCAAAAGGCAAUGACAGACUUCAAAUGUAUUUUCUUUAGUGAAUUUUUAUUGCAAAAAUGGAGUAUUAUUAUUUAUUUAAGUUUUGUAGUAACUAAUUAUAUAAUAUAUAAAUGAGGUUUUCAAUGGCUCAUUAAAUUGGAAAUUAUUGAUAUAAGUUGGAAUUAUUUGAAGAAUAGCAUUCUUUAAAAUAAAUUCAUGUUGAAGGAAAAGUUGUUGCAAUAUGUUAUAUCAUGAAUAUAUAUAAGUAAUCAAUAUUUGGGAUUGAAUUUCAAAAUUGAGUAAUUUAAGUAGGAAGGUAUCUCAAACAAAGUAUUUAUAUAUUGAAUCAAUUCAUGGGAAAGCUUGUAAAUUGGCUCUUCCUUCUCAAACAAACAUUUUUCCUAACUAUUUAUAUAUUGAAUGAUGUUAACUAUACUAAUUACUUUCUUCCAAUGAUAGAUGGAACACAAUUGAGGCUAACAAAUUUAGAGGAACUUGAUUUGAGUGGUAAUCUCUUUCGGAACAACACAAUUUCCUUUCCUCAAGGGCUUUCAAGCCUAAAGUCUUUGACUUUGUUCAACAACCGUUUGCAAGGCUCAUUAGAUACUAAAGGUACUAAAGCUAUAACUUUGUUUUUCUUGAUAAUUCUUUCUAGAGCCUUUUAAAAUUAAUUGUUUCAAAUUUGAACAUUCACAUUUCACGUUUGAGGAUUUUUAUCUUCAAUUCAAGUUUUAGAUUUACUUUUUUUUUUCAUUUUUAUUUCAUUAAAAUAUUAAGUAGAAAUUAAAAUUAUUAACAUAAUGAUUUUUUGAAUUGGACGUGGAUAUGUAUAGGAUUGAGCAAUUUAACAAAUUUGAAGAAACUCGAUUUAAGAUGGAAUCAAAUUGAAAGCUUUCAAUCCUUUAAAGGUAUGCAUUUAUAUUUAACCAAUUACCUAAAUUCUUACAUAUAAUUAAAUUUUAUGCCAAUUCAUUUCAGUGAUGAAAUUAUAUAAAUCUUUUGUAGAUGGUGGUAGAAAAUUGGAGUUGACCCACUUGGAAGAGCUUAAUUUAGAUGGAAAUCACUUCAAUACUAGUGUAUUUGCAUCCCUUAACAAGCUUUCAAAUUUGAAAUCUUUGAGCAUAAGUGGGAACCAAUUGAAAGGAUCAAUAGAUAUGAAAGGUAAAUAUAUUAGUCUUUUUAACAAGAAUAUAAUAAUGUUUGAAGAGAAUAUAAUGAAGUUGAUUUGUUGUUUUUGUUUUCCUAGAUUUGGAAGCAUUUAUCAACUUAAGGGAACUAGAUAUGAGCGGCAAUGAAUUGAAAGAUUUGGUGAUCCACCAAGGUAUCAUUUAAUUAAACUUCCUUUUUUUUUUAAAUUUAGAAAUUUAGUUUUGAUGUCAAAUAUUAUAAUAACGGUUAUUGUCAUAAAUAUUAAUAAAGUAAUAUCAUAUCAUACUUGAAAGUAAAAUAUGGGUUUGGUGAAACAUUUUCUAAAUCAUCCAUUAUAAUGUGUUUGGACUUUGGUUUGAAACUAAAAUUCUUUAAAAUUUUCAUCAUUUUAAAAUAUUAAUGUUUAUAAUUAUUUUGUUUGUAUAAAUAUAUUUUUUAAAAUAAUUUAUUGAAUUUUUAUGAGAUAAAAAAUAAUUAUAACAAUAAAAAAUGAUAUUAUAAAUAAAUAAAAACAUAUAUUUAUGAGAAAAUAUGUAAUAUAACUAUAUUUUAAUUUCAUAUAUUUUUAAUAGUAUAAAACAUAAAAAUACAUAUUAGCGUUAAAUAAAUGGCAUUUUUUGGCAAAAAUAAAUAAAUGUCAAUUUUGAAUAAUUUAAAAAAAAUCUUUAAUUUUGUGAAAUUUAAGCAUACAUCGAGAGGUGCUUAAACUUCCAUUGCAAUCUUUUUAUAAAUUUCAAAGUGCAUAUGUUUUUAACUUUUUGGUUUAAAAAAAUAUGAUAGGUCUACGUACUCUUUACUAAUUUGUAAUUUAAUUCUUAUACUUUUAUUUUCAAGAAUUUAAUCCCUGUUUUUUUAUAAAAAAAAUCAAAAUCCUAGUUCAAUUGUUAAAAUUGUUAAAAUUUUAAAAUAGUUUGUUGGUGUGACAUUUUGAAAUAAAAAAAAAAACUUAGUAGUAAUGUAACUAAAAAAAUGACGUAAUGAACAUGGAUUUAAUAAAAUAAUUUUAACAAUAUUAAUAAAAUAAUUUUGAAUUUUGAAUUUUAACUUAACUCUAUUUUUGGGCCAAGAUUUAAUGCUUUAAAAUUUUCAUUUAAUCCGCUGAGUUUACUUAUAAUUCUUUUGAGUUUUAUUUAUUGGUGAGUAAAAUACCUAUUUGAUUUUUUUAUAUACUAUUGGCAUCUUUAAAGGUAAUAUAAUAAUUUUAGUGUAGACGUGUUUUAUUUUAUAAAUAUUAUUUAUAGUGUAGACAUGUGAAUUUUGAAUAAUUUAAAAAUAUCUUCAAUUUUAUGAAAUUUAAACAUACAUUUAGUGUAGACAUGUUUUAUUUUAUAAAUAUUAUUUAUAGUGUUGUUGAUUGGAGUUUGAAAAUUAUACAACUUAGCUAUAUCAGUUAAUUACUUAUAUUAAAAAAUAAUAUAAGAAAAUACUAAAAAGAAAAAAAAUAGUAUAAUUAAUAAAAUGGAUGAAGAGUUAUAUUAAAGUUUCAACAUCUUCUCUCUAUCAAAAUUUAUCUCAGAUAAAUCAUGAAUAAUCUAACUCAUAAAAAAUAUAUAUAUAUUUAUAUACUUCAUUUCAUUCACAGAAAAUAAAGCAUUCUACUUAGUAGAGGCUUUCUAUAAUACCGUUAUCUAAUACCUCUUGACAUUGCUUAGAUUCAAAUGUGUCGAGCAGUUUGGAGGAAAUAUAUCUUGACUAUUCUACUCUCAACACCAACAUUUUGCAAAGCAUUGGAGUAUUCGCUUCUCUUAAAACAUUGUCUUUAUAUCAUUGUGGACUUAUUGGUCCCUUACCUAAUCAAGGUAAAUAAUUUUAUGGCUCAAUUUGAUUUCUUUAUGAACUUUCUGUAAUAUAUUAUCUCCUAUUCUGUUUUAUAAAGCAAAAUUUAAUUGAAACUUCUUCCAUGAAUUUAUUUAUAAAAUUUUCAGGAUGGUGUGAUCUAAGGAACCUUGAAGUGUUGGAUGUGAGUGGGAAUGCACUUGAGGGGAUGCUUCCUCAUUGUUUUAGUAACUUGACAUCUCUUCGUGAGUUAUAUAUUUCAAGAAACCAUUUUCAAAUUCCGCUGUCAUUUGCACCAUUUGCAAACCUUUCAAACCUCAAAUCCCUUUGGAUUAAUGAAAACAAGAUGGUAAUGGAACCUUCCUUUUAUACCUCAAUCCCAAAGUUCCAAUUGGAAGUCAUCAGUUUGCUAAAGUGCAUAACAUCUCAACAACUCAGUCGUAAAGUUCCUACCUUCCUUUACUACCAAUAUGACUUGAGAUAUGUGGAUCUUUCGCAUAACAAUUUCAGCGGAACAGUCCCAACUUGGUUGUUAGAAAACAACACAAAAUUAAAAGUUCUUAUCUUGAAGGGUAAUUCUUUUACUGGUCCUCUCUCA